GAAUCUAAUUUUUCCAACAGCUAAUAUAUAUAUAUAUAUAUAUAUAUAAGCAACAGGCUAGGCAAUGGCUGCAGACCUGGUUUCCGCUACUUUUUCCAGCAUUGUAACAGAAGAUGCAAAGGCAUUGUUCGAACCGAUUAUGCGGCAGAUCUCUUAUGUGUUCAAGUACCAGAGCUACAUAGAUGAGCUAAAAGAUCAAGUGAAGGGGUUGGAAGGUAUAAACGAAAUGGUGCAACAACAUGUUAAUCAUGCUACUCGACAAGGGGAAGAGAUUUAUCAGGUUGUCAAAGACUGGCGAAAUAGGGUUGAAUCUACGGAGGGGGUUGCAAAAUCUAUCAUUGAUGAAGAAGAUGGAGCCAAGAAGUCCUGCUUCAAAGGAUUGUGUCCAAAUUUGUUGUCUCGUUACAAACUCAGUAGACGAGCAGCAAAGGCCGCAAAAGAUGCCGCUAAUCUCAAGGAUGAAGGCUGCAAACUGAAGAGUGAUGUUUCCUACGAUCCUCCUCCAGAUAUCGAAGCACCUAGGGGCGGGAAAGAUAACGAGGCCUUUGAUUCAAGAAAGAAAGUAUUACAGGAUGUUAUGGAGGCGUUGAAGGAUGAUAAGCUCAACAUAAUUGGGGUCUACGGCAUGGGCGGCGUGGGUAAAACCACGCUAGUCAGGCAAGUUAGAAAGCAAGUGAUGGAAAAUAAGUUGUUCGAUAAGGUCGCUAUGGCUGAGGUAACAGAGAACCCAGAUCAUCAGAAAAUUCAGGACAAACUUGCUUCUGAUUUAGGCAUAAAGUUUGAGUUGAAUGAGAAUAUAUUCGACAGAGCAAAUCGACUACGUCGAGUAUUGAAGAAAGAGAAGCGGGUCCUGAUUAUAUUGGAUAACAUUUGGAGAGAACUGAAGUUCGAUGAAGUUGGAAUUCCUUCUGGGGAUGUUGAUGAGAAAGAUAGAGAGGAUGAUCAGAGAAGAUGCACAAUAAUAUUGACGUCUAGAAGUCGAGAUUUAUUGCGCAAUGAUAUGAAUUGUCAGAAAAUUUUCUGGAUCGAUGCUUUAUCGAAAGAAGAAGCAUUGCAAUUGUUUGAAAAGAUAGUAGGUAAUUCCGCAAAAGCAUCUGAUUUUCUACCUUUAGCAGAUGAGAUUGUUGGAAAAUGCGGAGGUUUGCCUGUUGCACUGAGUACAGUUGCAAAUGCUCUGAAAACUAAGGGGCUUGCCAUUUGGAAGGAUGCGUUGAAUCAGCUAAGAAGAUCGGAUGCAAGAGAAAUUCAUGGCAUGCAAGCAAAUGUGUACACCUCCAUAAAAUUGAGUCAUGACUUCUUGGAAAGUGAGGAGGCAAAAUCUCUGUUCCGUCUUUGUGGUCUAUACAGUGAAGGUCAUGCCAUACACGUACAUUACUUAUUGAGAUAUGGUGUGGGUUGGGGUUUGUUUGAAAAUGUUUACACAUUGGAAGAAGCAAGGAGUAGAGUGCAUCGGUUGAUCGACAACCUCAAAUCUUCAUGCUUAUUGUUGGACGGUGAUGCUGAAGAUGAAGCUAAAUUGCAUGACGUCAUUCAUGUUGUUGCCGUAUCAAUUGCCGCAGAGAAGCGCAUGUUUAAUAUUCCAAAUGUUGCCGACUUAGAGAAAAAGAUGGAAGAGACAAUACGGAAAGAUCCAAUUGCCAUUUCAUUACCCCAGAGAGAUAUUCAAGAGCUCCCUGAAAGGUUGCAAUGUCCCAAUCUCCAGUUAUUUUUGUUGUCUGCAGAGGGUAAUGGCCCUAUGCAAAUUUCAGACCUCUUUUUUGAAGGGACAGAAGAACUGAAAGUUUUAAGCCUUACUAGAAUUCCUUUCUCUUCAUUACCUUCGUCACUUGGUCGCCUCAUUAACCUUCAAACAUUGUGUUUAGACUGGUGCCAACUAGAAGAUGUAGCGGCAAUUGGACAGCUAAAGAAAUUAGAGAUUCUUAGCUUUCGAGAUUCCGACAUUAAGCAGUUACCACUUGAAAUUGGACAAUUGACGCGGUUACAAUUGCUAGAUUUGAGCAAUUGUAGGAGCCUUGUAGUGAUAGCAACAAAUGUCAUAUCAAAAUUUUCACGAUUGGAAGAACUAUAUAUGGGCGACAGCUUUUCGCAGUGGGAUAAGGUUGAAGGAGGAAGUACCGCCAGUCUUGCUGAAUUGAAGGGGCUGUCAAAGCUAACUACUUUGGAGAUACAAUUUUGGGAUGCCCAAAUUCUGCCGCAGGAUUUGGUCUCUGUGGAAUUGCAAAGAUAUAAGAUAUGUAUAGGAGAAGCGUGGCGCAUGUGGGGCGUUAAUUCUGAAACAUCAAGAAUGGUGGAGCUCGAUGGGCUAGAAAAUGUUAGCAGUCUUUUGGAGAAUUAUGGGACGAAAAUGUUGCUGAAGGAAGCUGAAGAGAUCCAUCUAAACGAACUGAAGGGUGUUCUGAAUGUUGUUCAUGAAUUAGAUGAUGGGGAAGGUUUUCCACGAUUGAAGCAUCUUCGUGUAGAAAGUUGUUCUGAGAUUUUGCAUAUUGUCGGUUCAGUUGGACGGGUUCAUUGUACAGUCUUUCCCUUGCUGGAGUCAUUGUCUCUUUGGUUUUUGAACAAGUUGGAGACAAUAUGUGAUAGCCAACUCACAGAAGAUCAAUCUUUCAGCAACUUAAGGAUUAUAGGAGUACAAUCCUGUCACAAAUUGAAGCAUCUUUUCUCAUUCUCCAUGGCAAAAAACCUACUGCGGCUUCAAAAGGUAGAAGUGUUUGUUUGCGAUGAUCUGGAAAUGAUUGUUGGUAAGUGUUGAAAUUAAGUGUUGGUGGAUUUAUGGACUUCGCCUCAAUUAUUUUGAAAAAAAAAAAACAACGACAAAGAUUAAUUAUGUGUAUUGUUUUUGUUUGUUUAUAGGACCCGACAGGGAGAAACCAACAACUUCUUUGGGAUUCAACGAAAUCAUUGCUGAUGAUGAUACUGCUCCAAAGGUGAUAAUUUUCUGUUCAAUAAUUAAUUGAUUAAUUUAUUAUCACGAUUAAUCUUCGAUCAUGAAAAGAAUAUUAUACUAGACGGUUGUACUUGAAGGAACAAAAAUGUAUGGGUUUUCUUUGCAGGUUAUUCUUCCGAGCUUAGAGGAAUUGAAUCUCGGGGAAUUAGGAAACAUCAAAAAAUUAUGGGCCGAUCAUAAUCAAGGAAUGUACUGUUGUCAAAUUUAACAACGGUGAUCGUGGGGGAUUGUAAUCGUCUGAAGUAUCUGUUUUCAUAUUCUAUGGUUAAUAGUCUUUUGCAACUCCAACAUCUUGAAAUACGGUCUUGUGAGUCAAUGGAAGGGGUAGUCGACACCACGGGGUGGUCAGAAAGAGAUGAAGGAAAGUUGAUUGAAUUAAAGGUUUUUCCUAAACUACACUCCCUGCAGCUCUAUCGGCUUCCAAAACUAACAAGCUUUGCAAACACGAGACAUAUUCAUUCAGAUUUAGUUGUUGAAUUCCCUUCUUUGCAAAUACUCAAGAUUGAUAGUUGCAGUAAUAUGUUAAGAUUCAUCUCUACGAGCUCACCAGAAGACACCAUUCAUUCUGAAAUGCAACCUCCUCCUCUCUUUGACGAAAAGGUUUUUUUUUUUAAAUAAAAAAAAAAUUAAUUUGUCCCAAUACUUAAUUUGUCUUUUCCUUGAGUCUUCAAAUUUAGUUAAUAUCCGCCUCUAAUUUAGUUAUCAAUUGAUUAUGCCAUUAAUUGAUUAAUUAGUUAUUUAAUCUUUAACUGCCAGGUACGACUUCCUAGGCUGGAGGUAUUACGUAUCGGGUUGAUGGAUAAUUUGAGAAAAAUAUGGCACCACCAGCUUGCUUCGGAGUCUUUCAGCAAAUUGAAGAAUUUGGGGAUAUGGUGGUGUGAUAACCUAAUGAAUAUUUUUCCUCCAUUGGUAAGGUCGCUGUAUUCAUUUUGAAUAAUUUUUUUUCAAAUUACAUCCAACAAUUUUUUAACCAUUUUUGUGUUUACAAAUGAUAUUCAGCCACUAAUUAUUUAUUUCAAGUAUUGUACUUCGAACCACCACUCUAUCUAUUUCUCUUUUCCUUAAUUCUUCACGUUUCGAUUGGAAAAAAAAAUACAAGUCUUCAAAUUUAAUUAAUAUCUCUAGUUUAGUUACGAAUUGAUUAUGCCAUUAAUUAACCACAAAUUCAUGAUUAUUUACAACUGACCCUUGAUUGUAAAGAAAUUUCCUCAAGUCUGGAAGUACUUAAUAAAGAUCCACUUUACAGCAGUCCCUUGUUGACAGUAUUGGGAAAUCUUUUCCAAAUUUUUUUUCCAUUUUUAAAUAUACAUUAAAAAAAGAACCAAGGAAAAGGGAAAAAUGGUUCAGUAUUUUUUUAAAAAAAGGAAGAGUUGAAAUUUGCAAAUUUAUGCUUAAAAACUGAUAUCAAGAUACAAAAUAAGUCUAAAAUAUUUAGAAAUUGCCUUAAAUUCUUUCUACGUUCCUAAUACUAAAUAGUGUAAAUGCAUUUUUAUUAUCUUUGUUUAUCUGGCUUUUAUUUAUUUAUUUAUCUUGUUGCUUUUUUUGUUUAACAAAAAAUUAUCUAGUAGACAUCUCAUGGUUUGUUAUGUUUAUAAAACGUAUAAUUGUAUGAUUAAACAUACUUUGAGCCUAGUUGAAUGAUAUUCUUACACUUUUACUUUUUUAAUAUACACACAUAUGCACACACUUUUGCUUAUUUUCAGGUUGGAAUUCCCAAUAGCCUAGUGAAUCUUAAUGUAUCGAAUUCCCAAAAAUUAGAAGAAAUCGUAGGACAUGUUGGAGAAGAAGUGAAGGAGAAUCGUAUUGCUUUCAGCGAAUUAAAAUUUUUGAUACUUGAGGAUUUACCAAGGCUUACCGGCUUUUGUUUGGAGAAUUACACUCUUGAAUUCCCAUCAUUGGAACGAGCUUCUAUGAUACGUUGUCCGAACAUAAAGACUUUUUCUCAAGGAAUCUUAUCCACACCAAAGCUGCACAAAGUGCAAGUGACUUUAAAGGAAGAGGGUGAAUUGUACCUUCGCGAAGGCAACCUUAAUUCCACUAUACAAAAGUAUUACAAAGAAAUGGUAUGUGUGAAUCGAUUCAUCAAAAUUGCUCAUGCAUCUCCCUUGAACUUGCACAUUUAAACAUAUACACCUGCCUUGUAUAUGUAUUUUUAGAAGUUAAAACACAAAACAUGUAAGUUUAAUGUAUAUAUAUCUAAUGCCUUUCAAAAAAAAAAAAAUUGUAUAUAUCCAGUGCAAUUGUUUUGGUUUGUGCAGAUUGGAUUCCGUGACAUAUGGUAUUUGCAACUCUCACAUUUUCCACGUUUGAAAGAAAUAUGGCAUGGCCAAGCACUGCCUGUCAGCUUCUUCAACAAUUUAUUUAAGCUGGUGGUGGAUGACUGCACGAAUAUGUCGAGGGCUAUUCCUGCCAAUCUGCUACGGUGCUUGAACAAUUUGAGAUGGCUAGAAGUGAGGAAUUGUGAUUCGCUAGAAGAGGUGCUUCAUUUGGAAGAACUAAUUAAUGCUGAGGAAGAACAUUUUGGCCAACUGUUCCCUAAUCUUUUCGGGCUAAGCCUCAUUGAUCUUCCAAAACUCAAAAGAUUCUGCAACUUCACUGGGAAUAUAAUUGAACUGCCUAUGUUGUGGAGUCUGACUAUUGAGAAUUGCCCUGAUAUGGAAACAUUCAUAUCCAACUCUGUAGUGCACGUGACAACAGAUAACAAGGAACCUCAAAAAUUAACAUCAGAAGAGAACUUCUUGCUGGCUCAUCAAGUACAACCUCUCUUCGAUGAAAAGGUGAUUAUUAUUGUUAUUAUUAAUUUUUCCCUUCACUUUCGUUCGCAUAGAUGUAAUUUCAUUAGAAUCAAAUCAAAUUUAAUGACUCAUCCUUUUGCAUGUCGUCUUAAUUUAUAUCUAAUUUAACAAUAUAACCGCAGUUAUUAACUAACUUUAUAGUAUGAAUUAUAAAAAUGUCUCAAAUUAAUUAGAUGCCUAGUGACAGGAGGUGAUGAACUAUAUCGAUGCGUGUUACAUCUCUGUUUUCCUAGCUAAUUCAUAUUGGAUUUAGCAUCAGAUUUCAUUUAUGUGUUUCAAAGGGUAAUCGAUUUGAUACUUAUAUUUGGGAUCCUACUGCAAAGCAUACUAAUUUGGAAAUAAAAUAUAAAAUGCUGUGAUUAAUCUUGUCCAUAAAAUAUGCAGGGGAAGACUGCAGAGAUUGGAUACAUAUUUUAAUUUACAACUUAAUUUUGUUGAUUUUCAGGUUGCAUUCCCUAAAUUGAGAUGGUUAGAGCUGUCUAGAUUACCCAAUGUGUUGCAUCUCUGGAAGGAAAAUGCCGAAUCCAACAAAGUGUUUGCAAACUUGAAAAGUCUAGAAAUAUUUUAAUGUAGUAAGUUGCAGAAAUUAGUACCAGCUUCGUGGCAUUUGGAAAAUCUUGCGACUCUGGAAGUAUCGAAGUGUCAUGGGUUGAUAAAUUUAUUGACGCUCUCAACAUCUGAAAGUCUAGUGAAUCUUGAAAGAAUGAAGAUAACUGAUUGCAAAAUGAUGGAAGAAAUUAUACAGUCGCAGGUUGGAGAAGAAGCGGAAGAUUGCAUUGUUUUCAGGAAAUUGGAGUACUUGGGACUUGAUUGUUUGCCAAGCCUAACAAGCUUUUGUUUGGGUAAUUACGCUCUUGAGUUCCCGUCCUUGGAACAAGUAGUUGUGAGACAGUGUCCAAAAAUGAAGAUCUUCUCUCAAGGAGUCUUAGACACACCAAUGCUAAACAAAGUGAACGUCACCGAAGAAGAAAAAGAUGAUGAUGAAGGAUGUUGGGAAGGCAACCUCAAUGACACCAUAAAAAAAUUGUUCAAUGAAAUGGUGAGUAUCAAUUAAGUUUCGGUGCUAUUUAGCAAAUUAUUUUAUAGAAACUAAUGUGAUAUAAUAUGAUUGGUUGACUGAAAAUAUAUAAUAAUAAUAAUAAAUAAAUAAAUAAAUUAUGAGGGCCAUGUAAUGUCAAAAGCAGCCAUCCAUCUAGAUGGUCAACAUUCAAAGAAGAGAAAUUUUGCAGCAAGUUGGAAAGGAAAAGGAGCACACGGGCUUGGCAUUUAAAAGAAGAAGUUGGCAACUACUUUGAAAUAUAUACAUAUAUAUAUUAAUUUAAUAGCCAUUUUUUGGCUAUAAAAUGAAGAGCUUCCUCAUUCAUUUUCAUUCAAUUCCAUCGAGAGAAAUCUUUCUUUCUUUGAGUGUUGAGAGUUUUCAAGAGUUUAAUAAACUCUUGAGUGUCUAGUGAGUGAGAGAUUGGGUGUAUUGGGGUUUUGGGUAGUGAGCUAAAAUCUUACAAUACUUGUAAUCCUUAUUUCACUAGUAAAAUAUUUUCUUCUGUCUUCGCCCGUGGAUGUAGGCUAAAAGCCGAACCACGUAAUUUUUCGGUGUCCUCUAUUGUGCUUGUUCUUUAUUUUAUUUUCAAUUUUAUUUUAGCUGCGGUCCUGCUGCACCCACUAAAUUACUAACAGUGGUAUCAGAGCCAUUGGUUGUAUUUUUGGAGUCGGGAAUUGUUCACGUAUUCACGUAUACGGCGUACGGCACUAUUCACGUAUACGGUGUACGGCACUAUUCACGUAUACGGCAUACGGCACUAUUCACGUAUACGGCGUACGACACUAUUCACGUAUACGGUACUAUUCACGUGAAAACGGUGGAAGCGAUCCAAGAAUUUUGCGGUGCAAAGCAGGGAAUAGUGGUGUGAGUAAAGCAACUGUGUGGUUCUGUACAUGUCUAGGAAAGUUUUGUCACAAAGGCGAUAAGAGCCUAAGGAGUCUGGGUUUUAAGUGGGACCAUUGUGACCCCUCCAGUCUUUCCUGGGAACUUUCCUGGUGCGCAUUCUCACACAUACUCACAACUAUUCAAGGUGGUACACUAGCUUGUGUGCAGUAUUAUCAACAAAAUGGCGGCAAAGUAUGAAAUUGAGAAGUUUAACGGAAAUAAUUUUUCGUUGUGGAAAAUGAAGAUGAAAGCUGUAUUGAGGAAAAAUAAUUGUUUGGCAGCAAUUGGAGAAGGGCCUAUGGAGAUAACUGAUGACAAGUGGAACGAGGUAGACGGCAACGCUAUUUCUGAUCUACACUUGGCACUUGCGGAUGGAGUAUUAUCCAGUGUGGCAGAGAAAAAUACGGCGAAGGAAAUUUGGGAUACUCUCACAAAAUUGUACGAGGCCAAGUCACUACACAACAAAAUCUUCUUGAAGAGAAAACUCUAUACUCUUCGAAUGGCGGAAUCUACAAUGGUGACCGACCACAUCAACACAUUGAAGACUCUAUUUUCACAACUCACAACGUUGGGUCAUAAUAUAGAGGAAAAUGAACGUGCAGAGCUUCUACUUCAAAGUCUACCAGAUUCGUAUGAUCAACUCAUCAUCAACCUGACGAACAACAAUCCAGUGGAGGGUCUAGUUUUCGACGAUGUUGCAGCCUCCGUAUUAAAUGAGGAGAGCAGGCGGAAAAAUAAGGAAAACAGACAAGCAAGUUCGCAGCAAGCAGAAGCGCUAUCGGUGAUGAGAGGGAGAUCAACGAAACGUGGCCCCAGUGGGAGUCAAAAUCAGGGUAGAUCAAAAUCCAGAAGUAAGAAGAAUGUUAAAUGCUAUAAAUGUGGCAAGAAAGGGCACGUCAAGAAAGAAUGUUGGAGUAACCAGAAGAGAAAAGAGGGCAAAGAACCUGAGUCAUCAAAUGCUCAGGGUUGUGUAGCAAGUACCUCGGAUGAUGGCGAAAUUCUUUACAGCGAGGCAACAACUAUUUUAGAAGGCAGGAAACGACUUUCUGAUGUCUGGCUUAUAGACUCAGGAGCUACCUGGCACAUGACCUCUAGGAGAGAAUGGUUCCACACAUAUGAACCUAUCUCAGGAGGAUCUGUAUAUAUGGGAGAUGAUCAUGCCUUGGAGAUCGCUGGUAUUGGUACUAUCAAAAUAAAAAUGUUUGAUGGGACAAUUCGCACAAUUGGAGAGGUACGACAUGUCAACGGCCUGAAGAAAAAUCUAUUGUCUUUGGGACAAAUGGAUAGUCAUGGGUACAAAACUCAUGUGGAGAAUGGAAUUAUGAAGAUCGUUAAAGGCGCGCUUGUAUUGAUGAAGGCAGAAAAGAUCGGUGCUAAUCUAUUCAUGCUUAAAGGAGAAACACUACAGGAGGCUGAUGCGUGUGUCGCGUCAAAUGGAGAAGAGUCAACGAUGAUGUGGCAUCUCAAACUUGGCCACAUGUCAGAACAAGGCUUGAAGAUUCUCUCUGAGCGAAAAUUGCUUCCGAGGCUCAAAUCGGUAAGUUUACCAUUUUGCGAGCAUUGUGUUACAAGUAAGCAGCAUAGAUUAAAAUUCAGUAGAUCUAUUGCUAGAAGUAAAUGCAUUCUAGACUUGAUUCAUUCUGAUGUUUGGGAAUCACCGGAUAUAUCCAUGGGAGGUGCAAAGUACAUGGUGACUUUCAUUGAUGAUUAUUCCAGAAGAUGCUGGGUGUAUCCACUUAAGAAAAAGUCAGAUGUAUUUCUAGUGUUUAAAGAAUACAAAGCGCGGGUGGAACUUGAAUCUGGUAAAAAGAUCAAGUGCUUGAGGACAGAUAAUGGUGAAGAAUAUACAGACGGCGAGUUUCUUGCUUUAUGUAAGCAAGAAGGUAUUCAGAGGCAGUUCACAGUGGCAUACACUCCUCAACAAAACGGAGUAGCGGAGCGGAUGAACAGAACUCUUACAGAAAGAAUAAGAGCUAUGUUGAGGACUGCUGGUUUACCCAAUUCAUUCUGGGCAGAAGCAGCCAAAACCGCCUGUUAUAUAGUAAAUCGGUCGCCAUCUACAGCUAUUGGGUUGAAGACAGCGAUGGAGAUGUGGACUGGAAAGCCAGCUGAUUAUUCCUACCUACAUGCAUUUGGAUGUCCUGUGUACGUGAUGUAUAAUGCCCAAGAAAGAACAAAGCUGGAUGCAAAAUCUAGAAGAUGUAUCUUCUUGGGGUAUGCUGAUGGAGUAAAGGGGUAUCGUCUGUGGGACCCCACUGCCCACAAGAUCGUCAUCAGCAGAGAUGUUAUCUUUGUAGAAGAUCAACUAUAAAGAAAAGAUGGAGAUGAUGGCACUGUAAAAGAAAAGUCAGAGACUGUACCAGUAUAUGUCGAAAAUAAUCUAGAAGAUUCAGAUUCUUCUGAAGCAGCACCAGAGCACGAUGGACAAGAACCAGUCGAGUUCGAGGCUCCAGAAGUUCGUCGGUCAACUCGUGAGAGACGACCGCCGGCGUGGCACUCGGAGUAUGUCAUAGAGAUCAACGUUGCAUACUGUCUUCUAACAGAGGAUGGAGAGCCUUCAACUUUCCAUGAAGCUUUAAACAGUUUAGAUGUUGCUUUGUGGAUGACAGCAAUGCAGGAAGAAAUUGAAGCUCUACACAAGAACAAGACAUGGGAACUUGUACCACUACCACACGGAAGAAAAGCCAUUGGAAACAAAUGGGUCUACAAGAUCAAACGUGAUGGCAAUGACCAAGUGGAGCGGUAUCGUGCAAGAUUGGUGGUGAAAGGAUAUGCUCAGAAAGAAGGUAUUGACUUCAACGAGAUAUUUUCUCCAGUGGUUCGACUCACAACAGUCAGAAUAGUCUUGGCGAUGUGUGCUACAUUUGAUCUACAUCUUGAGCAGUUAGAUGUGAAAACUGCAUUUCUUCAUGGAGAACUUGAAGAAGAAAUAUAUAUGCUCCAACCAGAAGGUUUUGCAGAAACAGGAAAGGAGAACUUGGUUUGCAGGUUGAACAAAUCUCUAUACGGUCUCAAACAGGCGCCGAGGUGUUGGUAUAAGAGAUUUGAUUCCUUCAUAAUGAGCCUUGGAUACAACAGACUCAGUUCAGACCAUUUUGCAUAUUAUAAGAGGUUUGAAGAUAAUGAUUUCAUUAUUUUGCUGUUGUAUGUGGAUGACAUGUUGGUAGCAGGUCCCAACAAAGAUCGAAUCCAAGAAUUGAAGGCACAGUUGGCUAAGGAGUUUGAAAUGAAGGACUUGGGACCAGCAAACAAGAUUCUAGGGAUGCAAAUUCACCGAGACAGAAAUAACAGGAAGAUUUGGCUUUCACAGAAGAAUUACUUAAAGAAAAUCUUGCGACGCUUCAACAUGCAAGAUUGUAAGUCAAUUUCUACCCCACUUCCUAUUAAUUUCAAAUUAUCCUCAAGUAUGUGUCCUAGCAAUGAAGCAGAGAGAAAGGAGAUGUCUCGAGUUCCUUAUGCAUCAGCAGUGGGAAGUUUAAUGUUCGCUAUGAUAUGUACAAAACCGGACAUUGCACAAGCAGUGGGAGCAGUCAGUCGAUAUAUGGCGAAUCCUGGUGGAGAGCAUUGGAUAGCUGUGAAGAGGAUUCUGAGAUACAUCAGAGGAACCUCAGAUGUUGUAUUAUGUUAUGGAGGAUCAGAGUUUACUGUCAGGGGCUAUGUGGAUUCAGAUUUUGCAGGAGAUCUUGAUAAAAGGAAAUCCACUACUGGUUAUGUGUUUACACUUGCGGGAGCAGCUGUAAGCUGGGUUUCAAAACUGCAGACCGUUGUGGCUUUAUCUACAACAGAAGCAGAAUACAUGGCAGCUACACAAGCUUGCAAGGAAGCUAUUUGGAUACAAAGAUUAUUGGAGGAGCUCAGGCACAAACAACAGAAAAUUCCUGUGUUUUGUGACAGUCAAAGUGCCUUGCACAUUGCAAGGAAUCCAGCCUUUCAUUCCAGGACAAAGCACAUAGGAGUUCAGUAUCACUUUGUUCGUGAAGUAGUGGAAGAUGGAAGUGUGGAUUUACAGAAAAUCCAUACUAAAGAGAACCUAGCAGAUGUUUUGACCAAGCCGAUAAAUACUCAUAAGUUUAUCUGGAGUAGAUCCUCUUGUGGCCUAGCAGAAACGUAGGCAACAUGAUUAUGGCGAAGCAGAAAGGAUGGUGUGGAGAUUGAUUGAUUCUCCAUCAAAGCUCCAAGUGGGAGAAAUGUCAAAAGCAGCCAUCCAUCUAGAUGGUCAACAUUCAAAGAAGAGAAAUUUUGCAGCAAGUUGGAAAGGAAAAGGAGCACAUGGGCUUGGCAUUUAAAAGAAGAAGUUGGCAACUACUUUGAAAUAUAUACAUAUAUAUAUUAAUUUAAUAGCCAUUUUUUGGCUAUAAAAGGAAGAGCUUCCUCAUUCAUUUUCAUUCAAUUCCAUCGAGAGAAAUCUUUCUUUCUUUGAGUGUUGAGAGUUUUCAAGAGUUUAAUAAACUCUUGAGUGUCUAGUGAGUGAGAGAUUGGGUGUAUUGGGGUUUUGGGUAGUGAGCUAAAAUCUUACAAUACUUGUAAUCCUUAUUUCACUAGUAAAAUAUUUUCUUCUGUCUUCGCCCGUGGAUGUAGGCUAAAAGCCGAACCACGUAAUUUUUCGGUGUCCUCUAUUGUGCUUGUUCUUUAUUUUAUUUUCAAUUUUAUUUUAGUUGCGGUCCUGCUGCACCCACUAAAUUACUAACAUGUAAUUUUUUUAUUUAACCAAUCAUAUUAUGUCGCAUUAGUUUAUACAGUAUUGUUUGUGCACAAGAGGUGGUGGUCAUAUCAUUACUCUAGCUUUAUUAUUCUUAUGGUGGCAAUGUAUGCUGGCUUACACGAGUAAUUACAAAAUCUGCAGAAUUCUAAAGAAGAGAUUGAGCCAACCCUUCAGCUACAGUGAAGAAGCUAUCCCGAACCAGGCCAAUCUCCUAUACAUGAUUUAGCUUGCUCGUUCUUCUGUACUUGAAUAAUUUGGUUCUACAUAUUUACAAUUUUUUGCUCAUGCUACAAACUUGCAAGACACUUUGGAUUUUGUUUGAUGCAUUCUUUGUUUAAGAAAGGACUUGAAUUGAUGUUUCAUGUUUCAUACAAUAUUCGAUUAGAUUCUGCCUAAAUUUCUGUAUUAUUCGUUCAAUUGGUCUUUUAAGCAUUUGAUUUCUAACCUCUCCUGAUAGAAGAUCAUUAGCCGAAGAAAACAGCAUAACAUUUGUGGCAUUAUCAGAAUAAGAAUAUUUUUUAGUAUAGUAAAAUUAUCUCGACCACUGUUAAAAAGAAUUAAUCAGUCAAACUGACCUUCUCACACCAGCACGCUUUAAAUUAAAAGAAUUUCGUGAAAUCAAGACCAUGUUAUAGAUCUCGUGGAAAGAAGUAAACCCGUAAUUUUUUUCACAGCAUCAUAAGAAAAAUCAUUUUUUUAAAGUAUUUUUGUUAGCUGUUGAGUUUUAAUAGUAGUAGCUAUUAAAUAAUAACAAUUAGUGUAUAUUAAAAAGUUGGAAACUGGUUGAUACCACUCGGGAAUCGAGCAGUUCACUUGUUUGCGAGUAGAAACCAACUUUACUACUAAUUGCCUUGUGACAAAAUAAAAUACCAUACUAUAAUGUGUUGAACCAGGAACCUGCAGAUGCUUAGGUUACAACUAUACAACCUCCCAAUACAAUAAGUUUGAAACUUAAUACCUUCUGAAAUGAAACAAACUUACUUGAAGAUUAAAGAUCAGUGAGAAAAGCCCUUUUUCAGAAGCAACCUACAUUUUUUAGAAGAGGGUCAGUGUGUUAUAGAUUCAAUGAACCAUGAGAAGUUAUUUACAUUAUAGUAUCUCACAGGCAGUAUUUUCUCCUAAUGCAUCAAUGGUAAAGGAAAAAUAAAAAGAAAAGAAUAGUUACUUGUGCAGCACAGCCUUUACGCCUAGCUACAUGGUCCAUUCUCUGUCUUUGAACCAAUCAACAGCAACAAGUUCCAUUAAAUGUUUUCCUGCAGGUAUCUGCAGUUACAAAUUGCACAAAGCACAAGAAGAGCCAACCAAACUACAUCAUAACCUGUCUACCUAGCCUAUGCAGGAUAUAUAAAUACCAUAAAUAAGUACCAUAAAUAACAAAUAAACAACAUAUGGGGGAACCUUUGUUUUGUCAUAACAAAAAUGCUUGCUACGAACUCUAAAGUUAUUUCCAUCAGAAAGUUUCCAGCAGUCACGAGCAUUAUCAUGGUCAUCGUGUCGUAGAUUGCCCGAAAAACAAGACAAAUCAAUUUGAUCAGCCUGCUCUUCCUCUAGGGCUGCAACUAAUUGAAAAUUAAAAAAAAAAAAAAAAAGAUCAAUACCAUAAAAAUCCACUAAUGCGGACAUUAGCCAAAUAUACAAAAAUGAAUACUUAUCAUCCACCUGUCCUCUUGAAAUCAUUCUCAAUCUUUUUUUCAUUUGCCUGAAAUCCCAAGGAAAAAUAUGUAACGAAUACUUCCCAUUCAUGACUAUAGUCUGUUGUAUAAACAUGACAUAUUUAAUUGGAAUAAUAAAAUUAUUUAAUUAUUUUAAUUAAAUGUUAAUCCUACAAAUUAUUUUUGUUAAAUCUAGCAAGAAUAACUAAAAUUUCUUUAAGAUAUAUUUUGGUAGUAAAUUAAAAAAAUUUAAUUAUUUGGCAGGAAUUAUUGAAAUUGGAGCCAUUUUUUUUGUGGGAAUUGAAAUAUAUUCUUUAAAUUAUUAUAUAAAUAGCAAAAUGUACAUACACACACAUAUAUAUAAUUCAUAUAUAAAAAUUCUCUAAUUUGUUCACAAGUAUCAUAGAUUAUAAUUCAGUUAUGAAAUAAAAUAACUACAAUAAUUAUAGUUAAAUGAAUACUUCAUUAAUUCUUAAUUUGCUUCCUAACAUUAAAUGAACAACUUGAGUCAGCCACCUGAAUUAACCAGUAACAACGCCUGAGUCAACCAUCUGAAUAAACCAGCAACCCUAGCUGAUUCAAGCACCUGCAAUUAACAUCAGCACAACAGGAACAAUCUUAAAUCAACACCAAGAACAGACCAAACUGCCAUCAAAUGUCACAAAACCAAACAGUCUGCUACUGCCAUCAAAUGCAAGCAAACAUAUGCAACAAAACCAGAUGCAAGUGAAAUUCUGGAGAACAUCGGAUAAACCAAACCAAAUGCCACACUUCUAGUAAUUAGACUAGAUGCAUUGUUCAAUUAAACUAAAUGUAGUCUCAUAUUACAUUCAAAAUUUCUAAAAAAGGCAGUGUUCCAUCAGAGAAGCACCAAAACCAAACCAAUCUAAUCCAGCAUAAUUACCAGCUCAACCCAAAACAAUUACACAUUAUAUUGACAUAUCAAAAUUCGCUAUCAAAACAUAGCCAAAUAAAUGACAAUAAACUCAAAACAGACCCAAACCAACUGAUGUUGCAGCCCUAGUAGUCGUUGUCCGUUCCACUGCCAUGGGAGUGAGGGUAGGCUCCGUUGUUGAUGAGUGAGUAAGAUAAGGCUCCAAAUCAAUAGUUCCACCUCCUUUCUGCAAUUCAAAAAACAGAAAUUCAUAUAUGUAAAACUAUUAAAAAGUGUGAAACAACCUGUAAGUAUUCAACUUCUGUCAACUCAAUAGUACUUACUAAAGUUUUUAUACAGAAGAAAAAGGCAUUUUAAGUCCAAAAAAUUAGAAUUAUUGGUUGAACUCCAACUCCAUCAAUCCAUGCAACCAUCCAAUCUUUAACGAAAAAAUGAAGCAUAAUUAACAAGACAUCUGAAUCAGAAAGAUUGUGCUUUCGUUUGGCACGAGGUGUUGGAAACAACUUAACAAAUCUAGACACAAUCUAUAACCAUCAAGUCCAAACAAAAGUCAGGAUCUAAAAUACUUUGAAAAAUCAGAAAAACAGCAAAAUAUCAGUUUCAAUUUCUUUUUCAUCCAUUGUAAGCUCAAACUAAAGGUAGCCGCGCUACCUUUAAACAUCAUUUGGGCUUGUACAUGUGACAUUUGCUCAUGAACAACUAAAGUUGAAUAAGAUUUUUAUAUGAAACAGAAUAUAAAAAGUCAAAGUAGAAUAUGACAGGAGCUACAAUAUAUUAUUCAGCAUUAGCAUUAUGUAUAAAAUAAAUUUAGACGCAUUAUAUUGAUUCACAAUCUUGCAGAGGUAAUACCAGAUUAUGGCACGCAACUCUUAUAUAGCAGAUAAAGGAGGAGAUGCAGUGGGAAGGUAGUAUCUUGCUUGCAUGAGGAUUAGAAAGCAAUAGCCCAAGAUCAAUUAUAGAUCUCAUAAAACAAAAACAGUGAGGCAAACACAAUUAUUGUGAACAAUUAUUCAUAGAACCACAUACCAGCAACAAGAUCAGAGUCAUCUGUGUAUAUAUCGAUUCCCCAUAGCUGACUGCCUCUGACCUAAACAUAAUGAACUUACAUAACUAAGAAGUAGAGUCAUAAAAUAUGCAGCUGUAACAGCUAUCAAUAAAUUUCCAGACAAAUGGAAUUUGAUCUGUAAGGCUAUAACUAGCAACACUUCAAAAUAAUUUGAAGUAGCAUGAUCUUACUUUAAGGAUCAAUACUACAAUCUUUCAGAAAAAUUAAAGUCUAAGCAAAAUUAAAACCUUAAACAUACUAAAAUCUGGUAAAUAGACCUACAGGAAUUCCAAUGACCUCCAAAAUAUUUGAAAGAAAAAUUAAUUUACAGCAAAAAAUGUUAAAAGAUUUGUAAAAUGGAAGCCCAUACUACUAUUCAAAUUACAAAUGAGGAAAGGGAGCUGGCCAUUAAAUGAUAAAGGCAUGCAUAAAGAAAUACAAAUAAUAUGCCCAUAAAGACGUCCACUCAAGCGUUAUAAGCGGCUUUAUGCAAAGGAAAGCCAAUUAGUUAACAAUAAAUGAAUUUCAAGGUGCAAUAAUUAAACUCCCUGAUCAGCACAUAUAAGGUUCAUGCAUUUCUACAAAACAUGUAAAUCAUAAGAACUUUUUUGGUCCAAAUGCUAACCAAUAAUUAAGUAGAUUAUCAAAGUUGUCACAGAACAAGCACCACAUUGAUUGCUAUGCAAAAGAUGAAAGUAAAAGUUAAUACUUUAUUUUAUUUUACUUUUCGAGAGUUUUGAUCAUCAUGUGCAAAAUAGUAGUAUAACUUGCUCAGUGUUAUCUCAAAAAGCUUGCUUAAAAUACCUAUUAGCACCAGUCCAAGUAGUCAAAUAAAUCCUUAUCUAUCCAUUCAUCUCUGACCUUGCCAAAAAGAUUUAAAUGAGCAUCUAUAUUCUCACUCCAAUCUUUCACAAUCAUGGGCUUUAUCUUUAGACCAGUUCUUCAAUAUCCCUUCCACUGUGAGCCCCUCGAAAACCUUGUAAAUUGAAUCACAUUUGUCGUCAGUUUCAAAUCCAUGUGUCAAAAGGCUAAGCAAAUGAAUAUACAAUCAACACCAUUCUUCCAAACGAAUAUACAGUCAACACCAUUCUUCCAAACGAAUAUACAGUCAACACCAUUCUUCCAAACACAAACAAAGUUUGAACGUAUGACAGAUUUUUAGCCAUUUAAUAUUCCAUCAAAGAUAAUUAGAUAACACCUACCAAGGAUUUUUGAAAAGAAUGCAUUCUCAUCUUAAGCAGCAACCUCACCAGUAACACAUUUUCAUACCCUGUUUCCACCUCUGGUCGCACCACCAAAAAAAAAUCAGUACUAAUUAGCUUCAACAGAGUCUAUUUUUUUAUUUCUUUUUUUUUUCAAAAUAAACCUCCAUUCUUAUACAUAAAAUUAAAAUAUCAAUUAAAUAAAAAAAGUCUAUGCUUACUAGUAAAACACGUCCAUUUUCAGGUAGAGGCAGAUAAUAAAAGAAAAUUGAUACUGAGAUAAAAUAAGAAGAGCUUACUAUGUGCAUUUGAUCAACAAUCCAAUCCUUAAUGAUGGAAUCGAUGCUAUCAAAUAAACGUGACUUAAUCUUGAAACAUUAAACUGCACUAAGCAUAGCACCAAAGCCAGAGCGUGACUAUAAAGAAGAAAAAGAAGAAUUAAAUCAACAUGAAAUUGAACUUUUGUUUUAUCUUCCACAAGCAAGAAAUUCAACUGGAACAAUACAAAAUAUGAAAUUUUUAGCAAUCUUACUAGCAUUAUACACAAAUCUCAAUUCACGACAAAUAGGGGAAUGAAUCACUAACAUCACCCAAUUCAUAUAUUCAAAUAAUGUAUCCCCACUCCUAACAAGCAACGUGCUACCACAGUCGAUUAGUUGUUAGGGUUAAGGCUCACCAUAGAGAACUGGAUGGCGCUAACUAAAUGACACGUUGAAACGGCAUCUGCAAUCGUAUUGAAUGACAUUGAACUUUUUCAGCUUCGUCGGUUGCGAAUGUGAGACCUUGGCUUAGGGUUCUAUACAGUGUUGUUGAUGCUUAAAUCUGCUCGCCUUUUGACCGACCAGAUUCUUUCACCAACAUUUGUGUUGUCAACUGCUGCUCGGACCACUGGGGUUGGAAUUGCCCUCCUUCCUCUUACUAGACCUGCGUUCACCAAAAAUGGAUCAGAGACGCCGGUGGUUUUGCCGGCGUAAACCCUCCGAUGCCUAAGUUAGCACAAGGUAUUUACGGGAAAACGGUGUAAUUUGGAUUCAAGAAGGGCUUAUAACUUGUUUCGAAGUUUGUAAGGAAAAGGCAUGAUUGCAAUUUGGCAGCGUUUUCCCUCUCUUCAUUUUUUUUGUCCUUUUCUUCAUCGAUUUCUUCUCCUUUUAUAGCCGUUGUCCCAUGUUCCCGUUUGGCUUUCAUCCCUCUUUUUUCGGAUGGUGGCAGCCCCUCAACGGACUCUAACUGCUACAUCAUGGGCAAACGUGGGGUCUCGCAUUACUCGCAACGGUUCUGGGAGAAGCGUAACUACCAUGAUUCUGUGGGAUCGUGUUCCCGCUUUUUCGGGGGAUGGGUAUCGGCUCGGUAUAUACCUCUGGUCGGUAUACUCCCCUGGUUGUACUCGUCUCUGGUCGGACCAUACUUGUCCCUGUGUUCUGCUCGUACCAUUUGGUUAAGGUGAUCCAUGCCGGCAUGGAAAUAGAAGCAUGGCCGACCUGGUGCGUAGCAUGGCCGACCUGGUGCUUUUAUUUACUUAACACCAGUCCCCCAGUUUCUGGUCUUGCGAGUAAAAUGAGUUAAGAGUAGAAACUGAUGGUUGAAUCUUACCAGCCCGGGGCUUCUCAUCUGGUCUUCUGUCAUUCCGGGACGGACCUGAGGUACCAUUCUUGUUCUGGGGGGAUUCUGACCUGAGCAUGGGCCUUAAUAAGCAUGUCCAUUGCAUAUAUGGACUUGCAUCUAGCCUGGCCUCUUGUAACGGUUAGUGACGUGGCGCUUCUCGACUCUUCGUAUUUGAAAUUUGAAACGACGGGCUAUCCGUCCUCGAUAUAUGGGGGGUGAGCUGGCAUAUCCCAUCACUUAAACGCUUCCAUUUCCCCCUUUUCGUUUCAAAUCCCUAGACUGGAGUCAUCAUCAUCUUGUUAUUCGUUUCUCCGCCGUUAAUCAAAUUUUUCUCUGAACUUUGCUCACACUUCCAGCGUCCAGAGUAUCCAUUUGGUGGGUGUUUUCUCUGUCACGGCAGCGCUAUCAGUGUCAGUCUAUUCCAGGUAUAGCCUUUAACCUCUUCUUUGGCUGUUGUUGAUUGGGUUCUGUGUUGCCCCUUUUUGUAUUCGUGUACUUGGGUUUGUUUUGGUUUCCUUUUGGGAUUCCGGUAUGUCGAAUCGGAGAAGGCAGUUGAUUGUAGAUGAGGGUGACGAAGGAACAGAGGAUUCACGCCUUAAUGUUUCAAUACCCACUGAAUUUUUACAUCCCUCUAGUACUGUAGGCUUCUCCCAUGGGAGGGAUACCCUUGAGUACCCACGUCCCUUGUCCAUUUCAUCUUCCCCUGAGCUAGGGCUUGUAGGAAAUAGAGGGGGACCUGCGUCGGGCUCUGGUGAGAACCACAGUUCUGGUGGGGUUGGGGUCCUUGAAGAAGUGGGUAAUAGUGAGGGAAGCAGCUCCGAGCCGAGCCGACCUCCUAAGAAAAGAAACCUUGGGCAUAGGGUGGAGGCGAAUUCUUACCCUAUCGACCAUAUAGCCUGUGCCACCACCCAAACUGACCUGUUCAAGCUUAGGAACCUCUACAACAUUCCUAAGGAGGUUCUUCUUGUAGUUCCUAGGAAGGGUGAUGUUCCUAGUCGGCCUCUGCGGGGGUAUGUGACGAUGCACCUGGAGAGUUUCAAACUAGUAGCUCGGCUGCCCCUUCAGCGUUAUUAUGCCAAGAUAUUGGGGGCCAUGCACCUGGCCCCAGGUCAGCUACACCCAAACGGGUGGAGGGUCCUCUCGGCUAUGUUUGUGUUGUGGGAGAGAUGCGGGUCGGAGGAGCCUUCCCUUGUUGAAGUGAAGCAUUUGUAUCAGCUGCGGAGCAGCCCAAGGGAGGCAGGCUGGUACUACUUCAUGUCCAGUUCUGCGAAGAGAAAGCCCAUUACCGGUUUCCCCUCCUCGUGCAAAAAUUGGAAGAACAAAUUCUUAUUUGCUGGGGGAAAUUGAUGUUCAGCAGUCCGUUCGUUGGGUGGUGAUAUUUACCUUCCAACGCAAUUUGUCACCCCAGGUCGUUCAUUUUUUGCCUGUAUCCUUUCUCGAAUUGCCACUUAUUGGGUUCUUUAACCUUGUUUGUUUUUUCAGAAUCGUGGGGUUUGGUUAAGGAUCUCGAAGACCGGCCUUUGCUUCAGGUGGAAACUGCUCUGGUGAACGCGUCUACUUGUCAAGACCUCCUGUCACCAACAAGCUUGGUCGGUUCGGGCUUAGUAGAUAUUGCCGCAGGAAUGGAUAACAAGAUCCUUAACGCGAUGAGCAGAAAACGUGGUCGGGCUCCGAGUAGCUCCAGCAACCCUCCUCCUCCUCCAAAGAAACCCAGCGUCGGUCCUUCCAAGGCGCCUGUUCCUGCUCUGCCCCCUCCUCCACCUCGUAAGAGUGGUGGGGAGAAAACCUCCGACAAGAGUCCUGAGGUCAGCUUGCAGUCAGGGGACCGAUCUUCUCCUCUUCCAUCUCGGGAUCAAGGUGACUACCUGAGCCCUUAUCAGAAGGAUUAUAAAAAAUCGGUUGGGCCCAAGAUGGUGAAGGACAUCGAGAGCAUGAACCUCUCUGAGUUAGCUGCUUCUGUUCAAAGAGUCUCAUUCAGGCUGGCCACAAUGGUCUCGUGCUACAAGACCGGAUCCGCGCGCCAUGAGAAGAAGCUUCAAGCUGACAAUCAGGAGUUGAAGAAGAAAGAUGAAUCUGCUGACCGCUCCAAGGAGAAACUGGCCGAGUUGAACAAGCAGAUUACGGAGCUGGAGGAGAAAAUUGCAGUUGCUGAGUCCACUGCCUCCAAGUUUGAGGGUGAGCUGGGUGGCCUGAAGUCGGACCUUCAGGUAGCUCAAAGUGAAAGAGAUACUUUGAGGACCGCCCUUGAGGGAAAAAUCAAAUCCCUGAACGAGCAGCUGGCUGAGGGGAAAGGUAAAUCCGCCGAUGUGGACGAUCGGUUGGAUGCCGAGUAUGACUCGGGGGUUGCUUUCUCCUAUAAGUGCAUUAUGUCUGUGCUUCAGGGAGAAUAUCCCGAGCUGGACAUGAGCAAGUUGGAGGCUGGAGUGCAGCGAUAUAUGGCAGAGGUCGGUCAGGCGAACAAGGAGCAGGGUGAGCAGGAUCAGGUGGAGGCUCCUUUUGAUGGGAUGCAAGAGGGGGAAGCUGGGGGACGCACUUUCGAAGUGGGUCAAGGGUCCAUGCCUCCUCCUCCCGGUAUUGCUGAUCUCCCACCUCCUGAUGUUGCUGAUCCCUUACUUCCCGAGCUCGCUGAUCCUUCGGCUGCUGGAACCGUUGACUCUGCUAAGCUUUGAGCCUAUUUUUGUAUAAACUCUAGAUUUGCAUUUGUUUUGUAAACAAUUGAACAUUUAUAAAUUUUUAGAUGCUCUUUAUUUGCUUUCUUGCCCGGUUUUUGCUCAUAGAUUGUUUCUGAAAAACAAUUGGACAACUUAUCUGAUUUUGCCUGCUGGUUCUUUAGUGAGCCGAGCAGGAGUAGGCAUUUGUUUGCCUUAGUAAGAUUUCCAUAAAAUUGGUUACUAGUCUUUAUUGACCGAGCAGAAUUAGGCACUUACUUGCCUUAGUAGGAUUUUUGUAGGAUUAGCUGCUGGUCUUUCUUUGACCGAGCAGAGGUAGGCACUUAUUUGCCUUAGUAGAAUUUUCGUAGAUUAGCUGCUGGUCUUUCGUUGACCGAGCAGAUGCGGGCACUUACUUGCCUUGGUAAGAUUUUCGUAGGAUUAGCUACUGGUCUUUCUUUGACCGAGCAGAGGUAGGCACUUAUUUGCCUUAGUAAAAUUUUCGUAGAUUAGCUGCUGGUCUUUCGUUGACCGAGCAGAUGCGGACACUUACUUGCCUUGGUAAGAUUUUCGUAGGAUUAGCUGCUGGUCUUUCUUUGACCGAGCAGAGGUAGGCACUUAUUUGCCUUAGUAGAAUUUUCGUAGAUUAGCUGCUGGUCUUUCGUUGACCGAGCAGAUGCGGGCACUUACUUGCCUUGGUAAAAUCUUCGUAAAUUUAGCUGCUGGUUUUUCGUUGACCGAGCAGAAGUAGGCACUUGCCUUAGUAAAAUCUUCGUAAAUUUAGCUGCUGGUCUUUCGUUGACCGAGCAGAAGUAGGCACUUGCCUUAGUAAAAUCUUCUUAAAUUUAGCUGCUGGUUUUUCGUUGACCGAGCAGAAGUAGGCACUUACUUGUCUUAGUAGAUCUUUUUAAUGGACUUAUUGGCCAGGGGAUUUCAUGCUGAAUUCAUCUUUAUUGAACUUUGAAUGCGUUACAGAAAUACAGAAUAUAUGCAUAUGCAACAAGCCAUCAUGCGUUUGAAAGGAAUAACUUAUCAAAAUGAAAAUUAAUAGGGCACUUUGCUUACUGGAAGUACUUUUUCAAGUGCUCGGCGUUCCACGACCUCUUCACCUCUCGUCCGUCUGGAUACGCCAGCUUGUAGGCUCCCGGUCCAGUUGCUCGUAUCACCCUGUACGGGCCUUCCCAUUUCGGGCCAAGAGCUCCAUGGUUGGGAUCCCUGGUGUUUUGGUUCACCUUCCUAAGCACCCAAUCUUCUGUUCGGAACUGCCUCACGCGUACGUUUUUGUUGUAAUAACGCGUGACCCUUUGCUGACAUUGGACCACCUUCUGCGAAGCCCGUUCCCUUUUCUCCUCCAGCAGGUCCAGGCUCAAGCAGAUCUGCUCGCCAUUUAUUGCUUCGCCCAAUUCUGAUCCGACCUUAACCACUCUGCUAGGGUCACUCCUGCUUACAACAACUUCCUCCAGCUUCUCAACAGGUUCUUGGCGACCGUUUUUUGAAUCCCCUCGGUUAUCUAGAGAGGUAACUUGCAGUGUUUCCUUGGCCGCUGUAGCAUAGCAGCUCCUGGCCAUUCUCUGGUCGCCCUUUACUACACCCACAACUCCAUUUAUUCUGUAUUUCAGUGCCAGAUAAUGUGUGGACAUUACACAUUGGCUUAUUCUCAUGAACGGUCUCCCCAAUAUCAUCUGGUAAGGACUUCUUUCCUCUACCACGACAAAGUCUAGCAUCAUCGUUCUUUCAAAUGGCUUUGUCCCCACAGUAAUCGGGAGUUCAAUGACCCCCAUGGGAGUUAAUCGUCCCCCUCCAAACCCCUUCAAGGAUGUGUUCGUCCGCUCCAGCUUUAAGUCUGAAAUCCCCAUAUCAUCUAGGGCCGACUUAAACAGAAUAUCGACUGAGCUGCCCGUGUCCACCAGUAUUCGCCUUACUUCUGUACUAGCUACCAACGCUUUAAUCACCAGUGCAUCCUCAUAAGGAUACAAAAUGCCCUCUUCGUCAUCCUCCGUCCACAUAAUGGGCACUUGCCGCACUCUUGCCUUCUUGGCUGCUGGCAAAUUUAGAAGCACCUCUUUGCCAGUCAUGGCGUACCUCCCAUAGUUCUUCCGUGCUCUAUUUGAAUCCCCGACCAAUGUUGGCCCUCCUGCUAUCACACGGAUGGUCGGCUGUUCACGUUCCAGAUCCCUCUCAACUCCUUCAUCCCGUGUGUACUGUGAUUCCAUGGCAGGGGACAUUCCAUCUACAUACUCGUCCAAGUAUCGGUUCCUCACUAAAUCCUCCACCUGAAUCUUCAGGUCACGACAUUGGCUGAUAGUGUGACCAUGAGUGUCGUGGAACUUGCAGAAUCUGCUCUUAUCCCGUCGAUGAGUCGGUUUUGUUAUUGGGGCUGGAAGGUACAGCAGGCCUCGUCCUUCGAUCCUCUCAUACAAUUUCUCCAUGGAGAUCUUUAAUGGAGUGUACUGUCUAUAUGCCAAGCUCUGGUCUACUAGCUGAACUGCUCGGCUAUCAUGAACGUCUCCUCGGGUUGGUAUAGCCGGUAGCUGCUCUAGUCGUCCAGACCUGUAAUUAGUUGCACUUAAUCCUCUGGGAGUGCUGUGAUAAGGGUAGGCAGCCAUCUGCCUGAAUUCUCGCUGUCGCUCUGGGAUCGGGGGGCGCAGAGGUUGAGCCCGGCUGUGUUGGAACUGUUGUGAUCUCGGAGCUAUGGGAUAAGGGCGGGACCGAGCUGAUGUUCCGCCCCUUACUGAGGACUCCCCAGCUCGCUUUCCCGACCCGCUCCCACUUGGAGUUCUUCUUUCCUUUCGUCUCAGCUCCUCCAACUGUUCACUCUUUAUCCUUGCCGAUUUUUCUUCUUCGAUUUCGAUGUCUCUCUUUGCCUGCUCAUACCCUGCUGAAUAACUCUGCACUAGGGGGCUCCUCAGGUUAUUCCAUAGCCGGCCUAUCCUCACACCCUCCUUUAAUCCCCUCAAUGCCUGCGGGUGAUUGAAAGCUCCCAAAUCAAGUACGGCUUGGUGGUAUCGCUUUACAAAAUCCCGUAGGGAUUCAUGCUCCUCCUGUUUUAUCCCCAUCAGUUCCAUCAUGUCAUCCUCUGGGGCUGCUGCUCCUCGGAACUGCUCGGCCAACUCCUGGCACAUCUGCUCAUACCCCUUUAUACUUCCUCGGGAUAGCUUGCGGUACCAUUCUCGGGCUCGUCCCUCUAGUGUCAACGGGAACACCCGGCACCUCUGAGCUGGUGUCAGCCCCUGCACACCCGUCAUGUCGUUGAAACGCUCGAUGUGCACCAGCGGGUCACUUCGCCCGGAGUAUUUGAGGUCGGGGAAGCGGAAAUCUCUUGGGAUUAUGAUACCCAUGAUCUCAGUUGAUAACGGAGAUUCUUCAUCUAGCAUUAUCCUCCAGCUCGGGGGCUUUCUCUUGCCCUGUUUCCUCGACUCUACGCCUCCAGAGGUUGGAUUCUGCUCCAACUUCAUCUCUUCCCACGGGGGUUUCACAAUCCCUUCUCCGCUCAUCCCUCAGCUCAAACAAUAUGGCCGCGAGAGUCUCCAUUUGUUUCUCCAUCCGCUCCAGUCUAUCUUGCAUCAUCCUCUCUCGGGCUUCAUUUGCAAUUUCCCGAAGAGUGAUUGUCUCCCCAGCUUCGUUAUCCUCCCUCAAGGCGUCCUUCCUCGUCACAUCCAUGUCUAACCGUUCGUCGUUUCUCCGGUAACUCCUAAUUCGGUGGUAGCUUUUUAUCCAGCUCCCCACAGACGGCGCCAAAAUGUUGAUGCUUAAAUCUGCUCGCCUUUUGACCGACCAGAUUCUUUCACCAACGUUUGUGUUGUCAACUGCUGCUCGGACCACUGGGGUUGGAAUUGCCCUCCUUCCUCUUACUAGACCUGCGUUCACCAAAAAUGGAUCAGAGACGCCGGUGGUUUUGCCGGCGUAAACCCUCCCAUGCCUAAGUUAGCACAAGGUAUUUACGGAAAAACGGUGUAAUUUGGAUUCAAGAAGGGCUUAUAACUUGUUUCGAAGUUUGAAAGGAAAAGGCAUGAUUGCAAUUUGGCAGCGUUUUCCCUCUCUUCAUUUUUUUUGUCCUUUUCUUCAUCGAUUUCUUCUCCUUUUAUAGCCGUUGUCCCAUGUUCCCGUUUGGCUUUCAUCCCUCUUUUUUCGGAUGGUGGCAGCCCUUCAACGGACUCUAACUGCUACAUCAUGGGCAAACGUGGGGUCUCGCAUUACUCGCAACGGUUCUGGGAGAAGCGUAACUACCGUGAUUCUGUGGGAUCGUGUUCCCGCUUUUUCGGGGGAUGGGUAUCGGCUCGGUAUAUACCUCUGGUCGGUAUACUCCCCUGGUUGUACUCGUCUCUGGUCGGACCAUACUUGUCCCUGUGUUCUGCUCGUACCAUUUGGUUGAGGUGAUCCAUGCCGGCGUGGAAAUAGUAGCAUGGCCGACCUGGUGCGUAGCAUGGCCGACCUGGUGCUUUUAUUUACUUAACAAGUGUUAUAGAGAGAGGCUCAGAGUUGAUUCAUUUUAGGUUGCAGUGGCCAGUGGAGAGAGAGGGAUUUAUUCAACGCUUAGCCAAAAUUUGGCGGAAGUGUUGAUGUGUUUUAAGUUAUAUAAAACGGUGUCGUUAAUUUAAACGGCACUGUUUUACAAUCUUAUAAUUUCACAAAACUUAAGCAUGACUUAUAUGUAUCAUUUAUUUAGGACGGUUAAGUUACGUCAUGAAUAUGUCAUAUAUUCUGGACAUAUGAAUAUAUAUCAUGAAUCUAUCAUAUUUUUAUGAUACAUUCGUGACACAACGAUAUAUGUCAUAAAAUUUCUGUCAUUAUUUAAUACUUUUCUAGUAGUGUCAUAUCUUUAAAACCUUUCUAUUAAUAGCAAAAACUCUAAUCCUUUAGCAAAAGACUAAAAAUUUAAAAAAAAAAAUUCUGUUUAAAUAUCAGUUGGCUCAUGAUCAACACUUCAAUACUAUUUGUUGUAUUUUCUUUCUUUCUUUCUUUGUCAUUUUAUUAGAUUUGCUUAAGUAAUUGUUCAUUGUUUACGUCUGUGUUCUUACUAGCUUUUGAUAAUUUAUGGUUGGUUUUUUAUUCAAACCCUCGAAGUACCUUUCUGUUAACAGCAAAACCUUUGAUCCUUAAGAAAGAAAAAGAAAUUCUCUAUUUAGUUAUUAGUUGGUUCAAGAUCAAUAUCGCGAUAUUGUUUGCGGUCUUUUCAUUCUCUAUCUUUCCCUCUAGUUCAAUUUAAUUUAUUUGUAUUCCUUUCUUUGACCCUUGUAUUUAUAUAUAUAUAUUGUUAAGCAACAGGCAAUGGCUGCAGAAGGGUGCCUCCCUGCUUUUUCCAGCAUUGUAUCACAAGGUUCAAAAGCGUUAUUCGAACCGAUUAUGCGGCACAUAUAUUAUGUGUUCGAGUACCAGAGCUACAUAGAUGGGCUAAAAGAUCGAGUGAAGGAGCUGGAAUAUAUAAGAGAAAGGGUGCAAAUGCUGGUUAGAGAGGCUACUCUACAAGGAGAUGAGAUUUAUAAGGGUGUCAGAGACUGGCUAAAUAGAGUUGCUGAAUUCAGUGAAGGGGUUGCAAAAUCCAUCAUUGAUGAUAAAGAUAGAGCUAAGAUGUUCUGCUUCAAAGGGUUGUGCCCAAAUUUGAUUUCUCGUUACAAGCUUGGUAAACAAGCAGCAGAGGCGCAAACGAAGCUGACAAACUUGUGAAAAAAAGGCGAAUUUAACAUAUGUAAUCAUGUUUCCUACCGUCCUGCUCCAGAGAGUACAGAAUAUGUGCAAGUGAAAGAUUACGUAGCCUUUUAUUAUAAUAUCUUUUCACUCUAUUAACUUAAAAAAAGAUUGACUUCAAAUGUUAAAAAUGUAACAGCGUAUACAUUUUAUAAUAAUUUCAAUAUUUAAAAAAUAUUUGAAUACUUUACAAUCUUAUAUUAUAUUAAACUAAUUUUAUAAUAUAUAGAAACAUAAUAGUAAAAUAAAUAUAUAAAAUUUUAAGUUAGGCUUAAUAUUAUUUAAAAUAAUUUAAAUAUCAUUAAUACAUGAGAUAUAUUAUAUUAAUUAUAAAUUCUAUUUAAUCUAAAUAUUUAUUUAAAUUUUUUAUACUAAAAAUAGAUAUAUUAUUAAAAUAAAUAUAACAACUAACAUUUUAAAAAUUAAUACUGAAAUUAAAAUUAUAAAUUAUAUUAAUCUACUAAAAAGAUUAAUCUAUUUGACACUCGCAGCGGACAAUGAGGUCACGGCAUAGGACAACUUCUUUUGAAAAAAAAAAAAAUCAAAAUCAAAGUCAUUGAAGUGCGUUUGAUGAUUUGCUGUGUAGCUUCUCUCUCAAAUGCUUUUCGAGUGCCUCUGGUAUCUGCUUUUAUAUAAGCUUUUGUCUUUAAUCAUUCAUUCAAGCUUUCGCUAAGAGUGAUGCAGCACAGCACGUAAAUAUAGAAGCAUUGACAGCCGUAGUCAGGAGCUCUUCGGUAUUUGAAGCAAGAAUGGUUGUUUGGCUUUGUGCAUUGAAAGAGAAAAGAAAAUAGAAUGACUAAUUUCAAUAAUACAAUUUAAUUAAUUAAUUUAAAAUAAUAAGCAUAUAAUAAUGAUGAAAUUAAUUAAUAAAAAGAAGAAAAUGAAAAUUGCACGUGCUAUUAGCAUAAACCAAUUGCCGGAAUGAGGUCACUUUGUAGACAAAUGAUUCUGGAAUCAGAACUUGGGCCAGCUUUGGGUUAUGGAUCCAAAAUAAAAAUAAGGUGGGCCACAUGGUCUCUUAUGAUCAAUAAAAAUCGAUUGAAAAGGAUGGUAUGGUGAGUGGAAGAGAAAUGUCGAUGGCAGAUCAAGGGAUGAAGAUACGAGCUCACUUGCAACGUGGUAUAGUUCAUCAUGGCUUUCCUAUAAGUUCAGGUCCUUUGAAUACUUUCAAUGACCUUAUUAGUCAGGAAUUUAACAAUAAUUUUUAUUUUUUUACAUCCAGGAACGGUUUUAAGCAUAGGAAAAUUAGGCCUAUAAUAGCAAAUCUUCUUUUUUAGGCCUCUUUUUAGUUAGUAAUUAUCUUAUAAUUAAGAAUUUUUAUACACAUUCUAUAUUUGAUAACCUUAAUAUUAAAGAUCUCUAAUUGUUAAUUUAUUAUUAGUUUUUCCAAGAAAAAAAUUAAAUUCUUUAUCUAUUUAAAAAAGUUUAUUAUUUAACAUUAUAAAAUUUUUUGCGCCAUUCUCUAUAAAGAAAAUUAUUACAUUUAUUGGUUCACUUUUGAAUUAAAAAAAAGUUUAUUAAAUAAUAAUUCUAGAGGAAGUAAAAAAGAUAUCUUCUUGGAAAUGUUUCAAACCCAUGUGUUUGGAUCUGUUUGAUAAUUUGUCGAAUUUGCCCACAUAUGAAAUUAGUAUGAUUUUACAGGUUAUAUUAUUUAAUUGGCUAUUUCAUUAAAAAAAAAAAAAAACACACACACACACACACACACAAGGAUUUUUAUUUGAUGGUAGAAGUUAAGUUGUUUUUCAGUGAUAAAUAAUGUUGUUAACCAAAUUUAAUUGACAUUCUACGUGGCAGUAAUUCAAUUUUAUAGAAGCACGUGGAUUAAAGGACAAAAACACAUCCAGUAUUUAAUAUUGGAUAUGAAUAUGGAUUUUAUCCAUAUAGAUAUGGAGAUCUACGGAUAUUUUAUUUUUAUUAUAUAAAACUAAUAAUAUAAAAUAGUUAAAAUUUCAAUAUCAAAUUUGAUUAUUAAACUAUUUAUAUUAGUAAUAAUAUAUAUAUAUAUAUAUAUAAUGAAAUGGCCGUCCGGUGGCCGGCAACGGAGGUCCGCGAAGUCUCUUCAUUCUCCUGUUAAGUAAUAAAAAAAAUCAAAACAGAGGAGAAACAUGGCCCUCUUUUCAUUCCCCUGUUUGAUAACAAUAAAAACAAAACAAAGGAGAUACGUGGACUCUCUUCUCAUUCCCCUGUUUUUCUUUUCGGUUUGGCGAUUUUAAAAUUUGAUAUCUACACUCAUUAAAAAAAGAAAAAAAAAAGUUAUUCCAAGAUGAUUUUCUAUUUUCAUAUAGACGUUUAUUUAUUAACCAAAAUUUAAAAAGUGUAAUUCUAAACUUAUCCUUGUGCUUUGAUCUUGGAGGGAUUUUUCAUUUUUUCUACACUGGUCUUAUCAAUUAAUGAUGAAAGUUCUUAUCAUUAAUUGCUUUGGAAAUGAGCAAGCACGGUAUGACCCCUAAGAGAAUUUAUUAAUUGGACAAGUUAUAUAACACCUUUGAUAUGGCUCCUAGACAUGUAUGCAAUUUGUAUCUUUUAGUUUUGCUUUUAAUUCUUUUUUAAUUAAAUGAGUCCGGAUUAGGUCAGUGGCAGAUAAAAGAGUCGGUUUUUCCAUUACUAAGCUUUUCAUGGAUGAAAAUUUUAUUUAUUUUUUUGGUUUUAAAGGUUCUCUGUGAAUGCCAUUAGAAAUGAGAUUGACUAAUUCAAGCUUCCUUUUUCCCCUUAGCAUCCAAACGUGUGAGGCAAGGGCAACUAAUGAGUCCCUUGUGAUGAGAACCUUUGUCUAAGCAAAAGCAGAGGUCAAUUGCUAAUACCGUAAUGUUAUUACUUUCAGUGCUUAAAUUGCUCCAUAAGCUUGCAUUUUAAAGUCUUUGUCUUAAUUUCUGUGGUAUACUGGUUAUGAGACCUCCUGCCAAGUUCAAGUUUCUUGAUGUCUUAUAAUUCCAUUUGUUGUGGUGGUUACUUUGUCAUAGAACUGACUGUUAAAGGCCAUCAAUCAGCUCUGUUUUGUAUUUGUGUACGUUUUUUUUCGUAUAAUGAUCAAUCAAAUGUUAGCCCUUAGAUUGCAUCCAAUAUUUAUUGAUUGUCUUUAAUUAGGAUAUAAACUAAAUUCAUAAGACAUUCCCUUAUUGAUAUUCAUUCCAACACGUCCUAGUCUUUUGCCUUGUAGAAAUGCUUGUGGUUGAAGAGCUUUACACAGAAGCUGUCGUCAGUACUGCGCGGAAAUUGAUUAUAUUGAAUCAGAAAACUUGACUAGGUAAGGUCUAUGUGCAUGAGAAUACUUGGAAAAUCUUCACAAUACUGAGGGCCGGAUCUGCACUCUUUCCUCUAUAUGUGUCUUCAAUAUCAAUGGCUCAAAUACAUGUGUUAUGGUCUUUUAAUAUAAAAUACCAUUAUCUCAUGCGUUAUGGUCUUAUCCUUGUAUUCUUAAAAACUAUAUAAAAUACCAUUAUCUCUGCUUUUGUAGCUAUUGAAUUCGACUUUCACAACAUAAAUAUUUAUUUAUGUUAAUGUGUAUAAUUUUGAAAAUUAUAUGCAUUGUUAAUGUGUAUUAUUGUCUAAUAUUUGGAUUUUAUUAAUUUACAACUGCUAUAACUUAAGGCCUCUUCAAACAUAAUGUGAGUCCCACCACGUGUUAAAUUUUUUACAUUAUUUUUGAAGGAACUAUAAGUUACAGCAGCUGUAACUUAGCAGCACCUCCAAUAUUUUACUUUACUUCCCCUAAUAUUUUACUUGUACUUUUAUAUCUUUACAAAACAAUACCAACAAGACAAUAAUGUAUGAAAUAAAUAAAUAAAGAACUGACAACGAAAUUAGGCCUAUCAUUAAUUUCUCGUGGCGUGAACUCUUGACAAUUCUCCCAUAUCCCACCUGAAGCUCUCGCGUGGUGUGAACGCUUGACGAUUCUCCCAUAUCCCUCCAAAAAUUUGUCAUAUUACGAAAAGCAAUGUCAAUUCAAUGUCGUCUCCAUUAAUCAUAGUGGCAGAUAGGACUAGAAUUUGUUGAAACCCCCGGACUUAUUUUUCCUUUUGAAAAUAAUUUUGUAGAAUCUCAUAUCGUGAAUAACAGACAAUGAGACUCUUUUUUUUAACUAUAAUAUUUUUUUUUAAAUUAUUAACUAAAAAAAUAAUUUUAAUAUUUUUAUAAUAAAUAUAAGUAGGAUAUUAAAAUAAAUAUAAUAAUAUUUAUAUAUUAAAAUAAUUUCAAUACCAAAAAAUAUUUUAAUAUUUUACAAUCUCGUAUUCUAUUAAACCAAAUUAUAAUAAAUAGAGACAUAAUAUUCAAAUAAAUAUAUAAAAAUUUAAAUUAUUUUCAACAUCAUAUAAAAUAACUUUAAUAUUAUUAAAACAUGAGAAAUAUUAUAUUAAUUAUAAAAACUAUUUAACCCAAGGAUUUGUUUAAAAUUUUUAUAAUAAAUAUAUUAUUAAAAUAAAUAUAUUAAAUUACAUUUUAAAAAUUAAUUAUUUAAAUUAUACAUACUAGUCUACUAGAAAAUUUAAACUAUUUAAAUCAUAUAUACAUUUAGUAAAAAAUUUUGAAGUCAUUUUUUUUUAUGUGGCUACCAUAAGAGUACUAUAGUCAAAAAGGGUAUUGGUGUUCUUUAUUAAAAUUUUGGGGUCUACAUGACUAUUUUCUAAAAUUUUAAGGGUGUCAUUUUAUUUUUGGAAAAAAAUAAAAAUUUCAUUUAAACGGCUAAAAUGGUGAAUGAUGGUUGUCGAAGCCAACAAAAAUAAAUAGAUACUCUAAAUAAAUUGUAUAUAGUGAUUGAGCAGGGUCGUGUCCACAUAGAUCGGUAAUUAUUUAAAUUCUUUUAAAACAUAAAACAUAAAAUGGGGGUUUUGUUGACAAUAAUAAAAAUCAAAGUAAAAAAACGAAUGCAAAUUAAAGUUGGAAUUCAAAUUGGAGAAAGCUCUGGUUGAAGGAAUUAACUCAGCUUGAUUCAACUGCUGAUCAUUGAUUCAAAUAUAAAUUAUUAUUACUUAUGAAUAGACCGGUUAUAGCUACUGAGACCCUCUAAUAGCCAAUCUCUCCUUAAUUAGUCAAUAACCAAGGUACGACCGUUGGUUAUUUUCCUAAUCAAUAGACAACCCUAGAUACGAUCAUAGAAUUUAAUCAAUUGACAGCCUGAAAAACCAGAGAGACCCAAAUCCUAAUCAACAAACACAUACGAUGGUUCAUUUAAAUUAGAUUGUUUAUUCUCACAACACAACUCUUUGCUAUGUUAUUUGUCACAAACAUUAAAAUCUUCAUACGAUGAAUCCUUUAAUUGACAAUAGAUUAAGUUGAUAAUUAAAUAGUGGCCAAUUACCUAAUUAACAAACAUAAUCAUGAAAAUAAUUUAGAGAAUAAACAAAUACCCAAAAAGCAAUAAAAAAAUUAAAGCAUAAGAAAGAUCUCACAGUAGUGAUGAAUCAAAGCUUCAUUAACCUUCAACCAGAAAAAUAGGUUUAGUUCUUCAUAGAGAGAAGAGAAAAGUUUAGAUCUAGGGUUUCUUUCUUUUUCCAAUCUCCCAUUUUUCACAAUAGAUUCCUCCCUUAAAUACUCUCUCUCUCUUCUCAUCUAGAGUUCUAUUUAAAAUAAAAUACUAAUAUCUGAAAUAUUAAAUUCAUAAUUACAAAAAUAACCAAAAAUACAAAACACGUUAAACUAAAAACUGCAGGUCCGUAGUUGACAGCACGCGCCCACGCCUUAUCAACAAAGUUCUUUUGACGCUCAUAAUUUCUCCAAUGGAACAAUCAUCCUUAAACAUCAUCUUGUAACUCAAUUUUUGCACCAAUCAAUAGAAUUGCACCUAUAAAAAUAAAACACAAGUAAAUCACUAUUAUUAAGUACAAAACAUCGAUAUUAAGGGAAGUAAACAAUUCAAAACUAGUGCAUAAACUGCACUCUAACAGUGAAUAGUACAAUGCUACAGUGGGCGUAAAUGGAAGGUAAAAAGCACUCAAAAUGACCAACAGUCUAAUGCCUCAGCAGGGACAUAAGGUCAAAGUUUGUUACAUGUGGUUAGGGCCAUUUAGUCUGUGAGUGGGUCCUGCGUGUCAUUUUUGGGCAUUUCAUCUUCUUUAGCAUUGAAGAUUAAAUGUUGCCGAUAUUUUCAAAAUUUUGGAAGACCCAUCACACUUUUGGAUGGUUGUCAUUAUUUGAUAUUAUCAUUAUAUGACGAAAUAAAAUUGGAUGUAACACUUGUUUCGCGUUGUGUGAACUUUUGACAAUUCCCCCAUAUCCCCCAAAAAUCUUUCGCCAUUUUGGGAAGAUGCCAUUUAUUUUCAUUUUCAUCAUUGAUAGUGGCAGAUAAUGGGUUCGGGGACAUACUAUAAAUUAUUAUGACCCAUGGACUUUUCUAAUUUUUUUCCCUUUGGAUAGUUGUCGUUAUUUGAUAUAAGGAGAUAGAGAUAAAGUUUUUUAAUCAAAUGCCCAUUUUUUUUACCUUUGGAUAGUUGUCGUUAUUUGAUAUAAGGAGAUAGAGAUAAAGUUUUUUAAUCAAAUGCCCAUUUUAUUUAACAUGGAAGAAGAUCUUUAAACUCUAAGUGAGGCUAUCACUUCAACUGAUGCAGCCCUCAAGAAAGAGGUAACAAGUGAUGAGAUAGACUCAUUAUUGUCUAAUCAAAAAAGGACAUCAGUAGAUGUAUCAGGAUCUUAAGUUAGAUUGGAAUUUGAUACAUUGUUGCUGGUAACAUUGGUUCAAACCUUUAAAGCGAGGUUGGAUGCAAAAUGGUUUACACCAAAGAAGUGAUUUAGGAAGUUAAUUAACGUUAUUUUAGAUAAUUUAUAAUUCUAGAAUAUUUAUUAUUUUAUGAUUUUCUAUUUUAGUUUGAGUCAAUUAUGGUAUGUAUCUUAAUCUUUUAUUUCCAUUAUAAUUAUGAUUUAAAUUUUCUUUUUAGGUUAAUUUAGGAAAGUGGAUUUCUUUUAUUAUAAAUAAAGAUGUCUGUAAUAAAAAAAAAUAAAGAUGUCUUGUCAUUAUUUUCAAAACUUCAAGUUCAAUUAUUAAAUAAAACCCCUCUUUUAUAAUUUCCUCUAAGAUUAUUUAUCAAAAUCUCUCUUGUAGAGUCGUUUGGAUUAGAGUGUCAUCUAAUCUCGUAUUACGCGUUAUUAAAAAUCGCAUUGAGUCAUUUGGAUUAGAACAAUAUCUAAUCACGCUUCGAAUAGAGCGUAAGCUAAUUGCAUUGGCUUGGUCCAGUAUUAGAACGAUAUCUAGUGUUUCUUACCCUAUAAUUCUGCUUCCGCUACGCCUCGCUCCAUCAAUUCGUAUCAAAGCGAUUCUAUGCGAAUCACACAUCGUUCCUAGAUACACGAUACCCAUCCAAACCAAAUCCAUCAAAAAAAAAAAAAUUUACAAAUUUGAAAACCCUACCCGUCACAUCAACCUCCACCGCCGCCCACACCGCCGAUCAGCCAGCCAACACCACCACAAACCUCACUAGCCACCGUCGACCAAGCCUCAGUCAUCGCUGCCUCAACGGCCGCUUGAACAGCCGCAAAUCACCAACGCAAACCCGCGGCUCCACCAAGCAACCCACCACCAUUCAGCCACUUUCUCCAUCAGCCACCUCCACCAACAAACUCGCCGGCCUCCGUUGGCCAAAAACCAACCAACUUCAGCCCUUGAUCGCCGCCCGCUGUCACCAGACGAAACGACAACCCACGAGUGCUUCCUACACGCGCCGCCACCAAAACACCUUGUUUUUCCGUCAAUUUACACCACCACCAUAAUCCCUAGCAGUCGGCAACCGUAAAUCCAGUCUUCUGCCACUGUAAGGCCGCCAUAAACCAAAAGCCACAUCACCAAAAUCAACCGCCAAUUCAAGUCGGAUUUCCCCCAAUUCAAGUUGCUGAAUAUAAAAAGGACUCAUGAAAAUUACUAAAGUUUCAAAUAUUGUUAUUCAGCAACCACUUUUAGGUUACAUUAGUUUCAACCCAAAUUUUAUAUAAAUAAUUUAUAACUCCCAUUAUUAUUAUAAAAAAAAUUGUAGCAAUUGUGGUUAUAUCACAUGAAAAAAAAAAAUUCUAAUUAAAGAAAUUGACAUUAUAACUUAAAAGGAUAGUUGCUCUUUUAAUCAUUAGAAUUUAUGUCAAUUAUCCAGCUUAUCAUUGCAUUCUUAAAAACUAUAUACAAUACCAUUAUCUCUGCUUUUGUAGCUAUUGAAUUUGACUUUGACAAUAUAAAUAUUUAUUAGCAACAACUUAAAAUUCAAACAAAUCUAAUAUGUAAUGUAUGAAAUACAAAUAACAAUUAAACAAAUUUUGAUUAUUUAAUAUUAAGAUAUAAUCACAUUAAUAUCAUAAGGAUAUGUGGUACUCAAAUAAUCUUUUAAAAAUCAAACCCAAAUUAUAUAUUAUUAAUAUGUAUUAUUAUCUAAUAUUUAGAUUUUGUUAAGUUACAACUGCUGUAACUUAAGUCUCUUAAAAAAUAUGUGGGUCCCACCACCUAUUAAAUUUUUUACAUUAUUUUUAAAAAAAUUAUAAGUUACAUCAGUUGUAAUGUAAAAGCCCCCCUAAUAUUUUACUUUACUUUUAUACCUUUAGAAAAACAAUAAUGCAUGAAUAAAUAAAGAACUGACAACAAAAUUGGGCCUAUCAUUAGUUUCUCGUGGUGUGAACUCUUAACAAUCCUCCCCUAUCCCACCUAAAGCUCUCGUGUGGUGUGAACGCUUGACAAUUCUCCCAUAUCUCUCCAAUAAUCUGUCAUAUUGCGAAAAGCAAUGUCAAUUGCAAUGUCGUUUCCCAUUAGUCAUAGUGGUAGAUAGGACCAGAAUUUUUUGAAACCCCUGAGGCCCUGAACUUGUUUUUCCUUUUGAAAAUAAGAAAAGGACACCCGUCUGGAGAAAUAAUUUUGUAGAACCUCAUAUCUUGAAUAACGGACAAUAAGAUUUUUUUUAAAUUAGAUAUUUUUUAAAUUUAUUAACUAAAAAAAUUAACUCUAAUAAUUUAUGAUAAAUAUAAAUAGGAUAUUAAAAUAAAUAUAAUAAUAUAUACAUAUUAAAAUAAUUUCAAUAUCUAAAAAUUUUAAUAUUUUACAAUCUCGUAUUCUAUUAAACCAAAUUAUAAUAAAUAGAGACAUAAUAUUCAAAUAAAUAUAUAAAAAUUUAGGUUAUUUUCAAUAUCAUAUAAAAUAAUUUUAAUAUUAUUAAUACAUGAUAAAUAUUAUAUUAAUUGUAAAAUCUAUUUAACCUAAGGAUUUAGUUAAAAUUUUAAAAUAAUUACAAAUAUUUUAUAAAUACAAAUAAAUUAAUUUACAUUUUAAAAAUUAGUAUUGAAAUUUAUUAUUACUUGGACAAAUUAACACCAAAAUUAAUAUCUAUGCAAUUUGUGUCAUUUACUUUUGCUUUGUAAUAUUUUUUAAAUGAGUCCCGAUUGGUUCAUUGGCAGAUAAAUGAGUCGGUUUUUCUGUUUUUAUUUUAUUUUAUUGUUUUUGAAAAUGGUUUUUCUGUUACGAAGCUUCUCAUGGAUGAAUUUUUUUUUUAAUUUGGGUAAUUUUUAAUUGGGUCCUAAUUAUUUCUAGAAAAAAAAUUCAGAGACCAAAAGUUUACUAAAUGAAUGAAUUAAAUCCUUUUAAGUGCAAAUUUAUGUCAUUCAAGCCCUUAACCCAAUUCUUCCGUUAAAAAAAUUAGUGAAAAUGUUAAGUUAAAUAUAAAAAGACAGGUAUACCCUUAUAAUCAUAUUAGUGAUUUAAAAUACAAUUUUAGCCUUGGACAUUAUUUUUUUUUUCAAUCUAACAACCUAUUUAUCAAUUUGAGUAUUUGAAAACACUAAACGAAUAUCUUUCGCCAAUUUUUAUAAAAAUUCAAAUAUAAAGAGUGAAUUAUACAUGAAAAUGUAAUUUGCUAUCCAUAUAAUUUCAUCACAUCAAUAAAAAUAUGAUAAUUGUUAAACUAAAUAACAUAUGUAUUGAAUAUAAUAUUAAAAAAAACACAAUAACAUUCGGUCUAAAAAUGAAAUUAAAAGUAUGAAAGUCAAUUAAAUUCAAACUAACAAAUACCUUAACAAUACUAAAGUAAACUGAAAUUUAAACACAAAAAAUAGUUAAUUGUCUUCUGAACUCUAUAAUGGAGAAUUAAAUGCCAACCCAAGGUGAAAUUGUACUAUCCUACUCCCUGUUAACUAUGAUAAGUUCUUCAUUUUGAGGUUGAGGUACAAUCCACAAUAGUUGUGUAUACAGUCCCACUAGUUGAGUGACAUUGAUUGAAGCCUAACUAGCUUGUUUUGGAACUAUUGCCAAUUGAUUGUUCAUUGACAUCUACUUCUUGAGAUUGUGGGUUAGUUUCAUGCUAUUCAAAAAAGAAAAAAAAAACAUCAAUUUCAUUAAAUAAAAAAAAAAGAAUCAAUCUAUUCAAUAUAAUUCCACAAUCAAAUCAAACAUAUAUAGCUAGUCAUGUUUUAUUAGCUGCAUACACAUCACUAGGAUCACCAAGUUAUUAAUCCAUUUGAUAACAUAACAAAAAAAAAUAUAAUGAGAUUCAAUUACAAAAUCAGACCUGUGUGGUUGAUGAAGUGAUAUCACUUGCCUGUGCACAAAAAAAAAAUCACCAAGUUUUAAGCAAUUUAAUGAAAAAGAACAAAAAACAAUCCUUUAGAAUUAAAUUUUCAAAAUCAUAUUAAACACGUCCACUUGAUUAAGUCUUAUUUCUUCCUUACACACAACCAAUAUCACCAAGUUUUAAGCAAUAUCUAGUGCAAAAGAAAAAAAAUCCUUUUGAAUUUAAUUAUAAAAUAUAAUUAAAUUAAACCAAUGCACUUGAUGAAGUCCUAUUGCUUCCCUGCACAACAUGAAGAUCAAUAUUUGUUAACUUCACCAAACGAAAUUUAAAAAACAAAAAUGACUCUUAUAUUAUACCUUUAUGGUUCUUGUGGUUUUUGGAAAAUUAGGGCAGCCCCUUUUGUUGUGCCCAAGAUGUCUGCAAGCACCACAUUUGAUAAUAAACCGUUUAUUAGUUAGUUUGGCCUCACCAAUGUCUUUUGUUCUUUUCUUUUUCGGUCUACCAACUGGAGCCUUUAUGUAAGGUGGUCCAACCUUCACAGGCACCACAACAUCAGGUGAAGGUUCAUCUUCCACUUUAGGCCAUGCACACUCAUAAGGAAUAGGAUUUAUAGUCCCUAUGUAUGUCAUCAUAAAAAAUUCAUUGGUCAGAUAAUGAUGCACAUAAUCUUCACGUUGCCCUCCUUUAUUAAAAAUAGCAGCUACUGAAUGUUUGCAAGGCACUCCACUAACUUGCCACAUCUCACAUUCACACGUACCAUCUAUAAUAUGUACUAGGAAAUUUCUAUAGCCAUCUUGACAACAUUCAAACAACUCCUCUCUACCUCCAAAGACCUUAAUUCUCCUUGUCUCAUUUGAGGAUUGAUUUGGUCUGUCUCUAGCAUAUGGGGUCAAACGGUCUUGCCAAGUUUCCCCUUGUUGAUAUUUUUCCAAUAUUCUCACCAUUAGUUGUCUACGAAUAUGCUCAAGAAUGGUUAGGACAAGCUUGUCCCUAACCUCAUCCACCCACUUAUUAAAAGAGUCAAUCAUGUUGUUUGUAACAUGGUCAAAUUUCACAUGGUGAUCAAACCCGCUUCUAGACCACUGUGCAGAUGGUAUUUUUCUCAACUAUUCACAACAAUUUUAGUCUUUAGCCCUAAUUUGACUCAUUGCCCUCUCAAAGUCAUACUGAUUUACAGCCCUAUAAGCUUUCCAAAAUAACCCCAUGACAUUCAAACCAGGAAACUUACACUUCAAAUUGGCAAAGAUAUGCCUAGCACAAUAUCUAGUACUAGCAUUAGGCUAAUAUUUUUCCAGUCCCUAUAAAAGACCUUUUUGUCUAUCACUAAUAAUAGUCACAUGCCUAUGAUCAUCAUCCCUAAUGAAUUCCUACAGCAAAGAUAAAAAAUAACCCCAACUAUCAUAGUUCUCUGCCUCACAUAUGCAAAAAGCCAGCGGAAAAAUUCCACUAUCAACAUCUAAUGCAACAACAAAUAACAAUACUCCCUUGUAUGGCCCCUUCAAGUGACACUCAUCCAAUCCUAUGAAAGGUCUACACCCAGUUAGGUACCCCACUUUAAGUGUAGGAAAUGACAAAAAAAAAAAAAAACUUUGAAAACCUAGGCUAUUUGACUAUGGCCUAUCAACCUUUACCUUGACACAAGCACCUUUAUUCAUUUUCAUUAGAAUGUGAGCAUAUUUCAAAAGCUUUCCAUAGCAAGUAAUGUGGUCAGCACCUCGGUUUUUUAAUGCAAUUUUUUUGCCCUGUAUAGUUUUUGUUUGUCACAUUCAAUCCCAUGUUUAUCUUUUAACUCACUCCUUAUAACAUUUACACCAACUCCUAGGUUAGUUUGAAUAAGUUCAGCACAACUUUAGCUAUCCAAAGUGCUGUUGCAUCUUUGUUAACUGAUUUAAUAUGGCAAUCAUGUUUCCCUUUAAUAUACCUAACUUUAAAAGUUAUCCCAUCAACCAUCGAUGAAGCAUGAAAUUUCCAAGUUCAUUUUGGAUUGACACAAUAACAAGUAUACUUAACACCAUCAUUUUUAAUCCUAUUUAACUCAAAAUCCUCUUGGAUUGCAUAUUUCACCAUAACCUCUCUUAAUAAUGCAACAGAUUCAAAGGUAUUUCUUACUUUUAGACUAACUGAACCAUUUAGUUUUGGUUUCCACUCAUUAUCAAUAAUGGAUUCAUACAUAUGUGAGAGACCAUUCUCUUCAUCAAAUGAGUGCACUCCGAUAAAGCCAUCCUCACUAAAUUUUUCAAACUUAUCAGUACCCAUACUAACACCUAUAUUGAUAGGACUUUUAGAUCCUAUUACAACACUUUCAUGACAUGAUUGACCACCUAACCCAGUGUGCACCUCAAACUCAAUAACAUGCCAACUAUUAGUAAAGAACUCCUAAAAAACCGAAUACAAUUCACUAUCAUUUGAAAUUAGCUUCCUCUGCCUACUUGUAGUCCAUGGUAACACAACAGAAAUUUCAAUCAAAUCCAUUUCGUUGUGUCCAUAUUUAACCAUGACUUCUAGAAUUUCAUGAAACAACCUAAUACUCUUAUAUUCCUAUGGGUUCCUAUAUCCUAUCUCAUACACUGCCCCAUUAAUUUUAACCAACAAAAAAAAGGUAACAUGGCUACCUGCAUCAAUUUUAAACAAAAGGUAUUGCAUCAAAAAAUGGCUAAACUAAUACAAUUUUAUUUAGCAAAGAAUAAAAAAACUCAACCUAAAUGAAAUAUACAUGUAAUUCAGUUAAAAAAGGUACAAAAGCAAAUUCAAUCUAAUACAUAUAAAAAUAAAAAUUGAAAAGAAAAAAUAACCCAGCAAAUAUAGAGAAUUUAGUCUAAUAUAUAAAAAUUACCACUCAUAAUAACACAUAGAAUUCAAUUUUACAUGAACAAAGAAGCAAAUACAACGAAUUCAAUCUUAUUAAUAUAACGAUACCAAUUAGUUGAAAUGAAAUAUUGUACAUAUACAACAACUCAAGAAAGCAAAUAAAAUAAGCUAAAUAAGUUCAAUAAAUACAUAUAUAAAUAUGGUGUAUUUGUUCUAUUUAUUAUAUAAAGAGCAAAUUAAAAAAAGUAUAUUAAAUACAACAUUCAAUAAAAAAAUCCACCAAUAAUUAAACAUAGUUUGUCAUUUAGAAAAAUAGACUUGAAAAACCUAAUUUUUCACAAAGAUCACUAAAUAUGGAAACAAUUUUUUCAGAAAAUGCUUGCAAAAAUCACUAAAAAAUUAGAGUUACUAACUUUGAAACUCAGGUUCUCUCCAACACUUGAACUCAACCAAUGCUAACAAAUCUUUGGUCAAAAUCACAAUAGAUUUAUACAACAUGUUUUGCGCCAUCCCACGUUCUCUCAAUCUCUCCUCUCACACGAAGAAUACGGCAGUUUCUAUAGUAUUUUUUUUUUUCGUUUGAAAGAACUUUAACUUGGUUAGGUUAAUUGACUUUGCUUUAAACUAUUGCCACCUGUAAGCAAACUAUUGCCACCUGUCAAAAAUAAAAGAAUGAGGAAGGGUUCAAUUGUUCUUUUACUAAAAUGUCCUCAAUGUUGUUAAUAUCUCUAACGGACGAGUUAAGUUAAGGACUUGAAUGACAUUACUUUGUACUUGAAAGGAUUUAAUUGAUUUAUUUAGUAAACUUCUGGUUUUUGAAUUUUUUUCUAAAAAUAAUGAGGGCUUAAUUAAAAAUUACCCUUUAAAUUUUAUAGAUUCUCUGCGAGCGCAGUUAGAAGUACCAAGUUUUGUUAGGUAGAAGGGUAUUUAAGUAAAUCUGCCCACAAUGAAGAAUAGUUCAGAACAGUUGAGGAAGCAUGAGAAUACUUGAGGAAAGCCUGAUAAGAAUUACGGCCGGAUCUGCACCCUUUCCUCUAUAUGUGUCUUCAAUAUAAAUGGCUCAAAUAUAUGCGUUAUGAUCUUUUAAUAUUUCGCCUCUGAUAUUGCCCACAUUGCUUACUGCAACACAUAAAGCACUUCGUUUACCCCAAAUCCUGAUAGGGAAGUAUAAAUAUAUGCUUCCGAAAUAGCGCAACUCUCCAUAAUUAUUUAAUAUGCCUCUCAAUGAAGCAAUCACCUUCAUUUACAACUCUGCGAUUAUUAAUCCUACAUACACGUGUUUCUUUUGUCUCUAAAAGUAUUCUCAAUUAAUUUACAUAAUUUAAUAUAAUAAGUACCUAAGACUAGACAAAUUUUCAUUACAAUAAAAUGAAUAAAUUAUAAUAGUAUUGACACAAUAAUGUCAAUAAUAAAAACUUUAAGAAGCCUAUAAAUUUUAAAAUAUGACUCAGAGUGCUACAAUGAACCACAACAAGUUAUUAUAUGAUCUAUAAUCAAUAUUCUAAUGAUAACAGAGUUCCUCUAUUUUCAAUCCCCUACUUUUCUAUUUAGCGAUUGUCAAAUUUUAUAUCUAAAAUUCUUCUAAUUUUACACUAAGGUUUAUUUUUUUAAAAAAAAAGGGGCAGGAGAAAGAGGCUAGAGAGUAUUAAAAAAUGUCAUUCUAAAUUUUCACUUGAGCGUGGUGUGAUUUUUAUCAUUUUUUAAAAUUGGCCAUUUAUAUUGAGUAAAUAAAAGAAUGAAUAGACGUUUGGACCACUUCUUUUCUGUUAUAAUAAAACAUGAGAUGUCUUCUCUUGAUGCUUUCGUCACAAAAGAAUAUGUUUAUGUCAUCAUAGGCUUAAAUGGGGUAAGUAAAUUAAGAUCGAGGACAAGUUUGUUUAAGCACUAAAGUCGCUAAAUAAAAGAAAGGCUCAUAUAAAAAUUACCUAAAGCACCAAAUAUUGUUAUUCAGCUACUUCUUUUAUGUUACAUUAUUUUCUACGCAAAUUUAUAUAAAUAAUUUAUAACUCCCAUCAUUAUUAAAAAAAAAAAAAACUGUAGCAAUUGUGGUUAUAUCACGUGGUGUGAUUGUUGUGAAAAUUUUAAUAUACUCGCAAGCGCACGAAUCUAGAAAUAGAGUAGUGGUAACGAGGUCGAUCCCACAGGGAUUGAUAAAAAGUCUAAUUUAAAUCUAAAAUUAAUAUUACUCCUAACCUAGUUGAGCAAAUUGAGUUUUUAAGAAAAUUAAACCAAUUAAACUAAGGAAGCAAUUAAAAUAAAAGAGAAUUCAAUAAGAUAGAAAUUACCAAGGUUUCAGAAUCCACCACUAUUCAACUAGUAAUUAUCUAAUUAUUAAUUAAUCCCCAAUUUUAGAGUGACAACUCGAAAUCAAUCUAUGUCAUCUCAUAGAUAUAACAAUUAAGCCCAAGUAAUUAAAUCUAAUGUAGGUUCUUUUUCUGCUUAAUAAUAUGACAUCUAAGCAUCCCAUGUAAACAUAUUGAAUAACAAAGAGUCAAAGUUUUCCUAAGCACUCUAUGUAAACAAUUUAAUGAAAGACAUAAAAUCAAAGAUAAUCAUGUAUAAACUUUAUAGAUCCAAGCAUAGAAUUAAUCGAAUAUUAAUCCUAACAAUCAAUAAUGCAUGACAGAAUUGAUGAAAAGAUUUUAAUAACAUCCAAUUAAUCAUGUGAAAUAAAAACCAUAAUUAUCAAAGAACAUAUAUAGGGAAUUAAUUAAAUAAAAAGAGAUAAUUAUUUCAUUGAAUAGGGUUUCAUCCUUAACCUCAGUAUAAGAGAAUUAGUUAGACAUACUUGAAUUGGGAACAACAAAAAAAAUAAAAUCACCCAUGGAAACCGAACUGCUGCUGCCCAACCUUGCGUCUUGCGUCUGCCGAAUUCUCCUUCUCCUUUCGUUUCUGUCCAGCAGCUCCCUUUUAUAUUGCUUGGCCACGGAAUCCUAUUGUGAUUCUAAUAACUAAACCAACUCUUACAAGCUAAAGCUCUAAGCUUGCCACGUAAUUGAAAACAAUAAAAGCCAAAAGCUAUUGAUUUCCUUCCUUUAUUCUACUUUGACUUUCCAUUCAAAGGCUUAAUUAAAAGCUUUGUUUUUAUGUGCUGCCCACUUUAGCUUUAACUUUCAUCUUUGUUUGCACGAGCAUGGAGAAUUCAAUUUAUUGGAUUCGGCUUCUUCCACAUGCACGUAUGUCUAAUUGGUUCCAAAUCAAUUAAUCUUUAAUGCUUACAAAUUGAACUCCUUUAUGCUCUUUUUAUCCAUAAUCUCCAAUUAAUUCCCUAUUCAAUAAAAUAAUUCAAUUAAUUAAAAAUAACAAAUAAAAAUAACUAGCAAUUAAAUAAUUAAGGGUAAAAUAUGUAUAUAAAUUAUGCUCAUCAAAUACCCCCAAACUUAGAUUUUGCUAGUCCUCGAGCAAAACUAAAAAAAAAAAAAAACAAAAAUAAAAAUAAUGAAACAAAAAGUAAAUCCGAACUAAACCACUUUCGCAGGUAAUCGCGAUUGCAUUUAGCGUAUGCAACAAGCCUUUAAACCCCUAGGCGGCCCUAGUGGACGAGUUAUAGUCUCGUGAGGGCUUCAGUGAUGAUACCCACAAACAUCAUUUUUCAAAGAAUUAAAAUAAAAAUAAAAUGAAAAGAACAACAAGCUUUAAACAAAACAUGAAGAUAGCCUCAAAGAUUGCAUAAAUUAUAUAGCUCAAAGAAAAUUUCAAAUAUUGGCAAAGUUCUAACUUUAAUUCAAUAAUCAAUCCCAUCUCUCUUUCGAUUCUUGUAGUGUGUGUGUGUGAAAUCAAUUCAAUCAAAUCCAUUCCCAAAAUCCUCAAUAUCAAUAGCCUUCGCCUCAAACAAAGAAAAGAGUAGAUCAAACUAAUCUUAUCAUCUUGAUCUCCAAUUUUUUUUUUCAGGCUUUUAUGUGCAUUUUCUUUUGAUUUUUUUUUUUUAGCACAUGCACUUGAUUUUUUUUUCUUUUCCUUUUCUUUUUUUUUUGUUUUUUUUUCUUAACCAUAGUCAGGAGCUUUCACUCUACCCCUUAAGGUAGCCUUCUUCUCAUGGUAGAUUAUCCUCUACAUACUUGUGGUACAUAGGCCCAAAUUACUCAAGGAUAACUUCACUCUUAAGGGUUAUAGGUAGCUAUUUCUGACUUUGGCGCCUGUGUAUACUAAUUUGUAUUGUGGAGAUAAGAAUCAAGACAAACAGUCAUUUACUCUAUCUAAAAUUCUCAACUCAGGCUGUGUCAAUUUCAAAUUUCAAGCCAAAAUUAUAAAAGAACUGAUAUUAGUGCUCAUAGUUUAAAGAAUCUCAAUCAAGAGGAAUUAACACAAGAAUCAAGUAUAAACUAAGACAAUAUUCAACCCUUUCUAAAAACCAUAUUCAUUGUCAAUCAAGUUCUUAUCAUUGGCUUUUCACAUAAAAACAAAAAGAAAAAAAAAAACAAAACAUUUUUUUUUGAAUUUUUUUUAAUAACAAACAAAACACACGCUAUUCCCACCCCUAAAUUUAUUCGGAACAUUGUCCUCAAUGUUUCAUAAACAAAAGAUAUGCAUGCAAACAAAUGAAAGAGAAAUAAUAAUAAUAAUAAUAAUAACAAUAAUAAUAAACAUAAAUAAUAAAAAGAAAGUUGGAGAGAACACACCUGGAUGGGCUGGGAAAGCUUAAAAGAAAAUGCCAAAUGAAAAGAAAACAUUAAAAUAUAUAUAUAUAUUAGAAAAGAAAAUAAAUAAAGAAAAGAAAACCGACUAUUAAAAUAAAACAAGAGUGUAAAGAUGAACUUAAUUAAUCCUGAUAAACAGGAUCAUCUAAAAGUAUCUCCUCAACUUCUGGUGUUUUUAAUUCUAAAAAUGGUUUUAAUCUUUGACCAUUCACCUUAAAUAAAUCACCAUUUUUAGGAUUUUCAAUUUCAAUUGCUCCAUAAGGGAAGAUAGUACGAACUAUAAAAGGAUCAGACCAUCGAGAACGUAACUUACCUGGAAAGAGAUGCAAUCGGGAAUUAUAUAAAAGUACUUUCUGACCUGGUGUAAAGGCUUUUCUCAAAAUAUGUUUGUCAUGAAAGACUUUCAUUCGCUGUUUAUAAAUCUUGGCAUUCUCAUAUGCAUCAUUCCUGAUCUCUUCAAGUUCUGCUAGUUGUAAUCUUCUCUUGGACCCAGCUUGCUGCAUGUCAAAAUUGAAUUUCUUGAUAGCCCAAUAUGCACGAUGCUCCAACUCUACUGGCAGAUGACAUGCUUUUCCAUACACAAGUCGAUAAGGUGACAUCCCAAUUGGUGUUUUAAAAGCAGUUCUAUAUGCCCACAAUGCAUCAUCAAGUCUCAAAGACCAAUCCUUUCUAUCUGGCCUAACUGUUUUCUCUAGAAUCUGCUUGAUCUCUCUAUUAGAAAUCUCUACUUGGCCACUGGUUUGAGGAUGAUAUGGGGUGGCAACCUUAUGUGUAAUGGAAUAUUUGUCCAAAAGAGUUUUGAAAGGUUUAUUACAAAAAUGGGUACCACCAUCACUAAUGAUUGUUCUAGGAAAACCAAAACGAGACAGAAUAUUACUCUUCAAGAAUUUCACUACAACCCUAUGAUCAUUGGUUUUGCAUGGAAUAGCUUCAACCCACUUCGACACAUAGUCCACUGCAACCAAUAUAUAUUGAUAACCAAAAGAUGGAGGGAAAGGUCCCAUGAAAUCAAUACCCCAUACAUCGAAGAUCUCAACCACAAGAAUAGGAUUGAGUGGCAUCAUGUUCCUCUUUGAAAUGCUACCCAUACGUUGGCACCUAUCACACAAAGAACAGAAAACAUAAGCGUCAUGAAAAAGAGUAGGCCAAUAAAAACCACACUGUAAAAUUUUUGUUGCUGUCUUUUUAGCACUAAAGUGGCCUCCGCAAGCUUGUUCAUGGCAAAAUGAGAUAACACUUUGAAUUUCAUUAUCGGGAACACAUCACCUAAUAAUCUGAUCAGCACAAUAUUUAAAUAAAUAGGGAUCAUCCCAAAAGAAGUCUUUCGCUUUAGAUAAGAACUUUGUUCUAUCUUGCUUAGUCCAGUGCUCUGGGAUUUGACCUGUAGCAAGGUAAUUAACUAUAUCAGCAAACCAUGGUACAACAUUUACACUCAUAAGUUGCUCAUCUGGGAAAGACUCAUUCAAAGGUAAAGAUUCUGGAAUAAAUUUAAGAUCAAGGCGAGAUAAAUGAUCCGCCACAACAUUUUCAGAACCUUUUUUAUCUCUAAAUUCAAUGUCAAAUUCUUGUAAAAGCAACACCCAACGAAUCAAUCUUGCCUUAGCAUCUUUCUUAGUAAACAAAUAUUUUAAAGCAGCAUGAUCAGUAAAAAUAAUCACUUUACAACCUAUAAGAUAAGAUCUGAAUUUAUCAAGUGCAAAUACCACAGCUAGCAUUUCUUUUUCUAUAAUUGAAUAGUUCAACUGUGCAUCAUUGAGUGUCAUACUAGCAUAAUAAAUCACAUAAGGCACACGAUCUAAUCUUUGUCCUAAAACUGCUCCUACAGCAUAAUCAGAUGCAUCACACAUAAUUUCAAAAGGCAAAUCCCAAUUAGGUGGCUGAAUGAUAGGUGAAGAAGUCAAUAAUUUCUUAAGGUUUGCAAAAGCAUCAAGACAAGAUUCAUCAAAGAUAAAAGGUGCAUCCUUAACAAGUAAAUUGCAUAAGGGUCUAGAAAUUUUACUAAAAUCUUUAAUGAAUCUUCUAUAAAAACCAGCAUGUCCAAGGAAAGAUCUUACUUCUUUUACGGAUUUGGGAUGUGGAAGAUUAGAAAUUAAAUCCACCUUAGCUUUGUCGACUUCUAUACCUUUGCUAGAAAUUAUAUGACCAAGAACAAUACCUUGUUUUACCAUGAAGUGACACUUUUCCCAAUUUAGAACCAAGUUCUUUUCUUUACAUCUCUGCAAAACUAAUGUUAGAUGCUGCAAACAUUCAUCAAAAGAAUCUCCAUAAACAGAAAAAUCAUCCAUGAAUACUUCAAGAAAUCUCUCAACCAUAUCAGAAAAAAUACUAAGCAUGCAUCUUUGAAAAGUAGCAGGUGCAUUGCAUAAACCAAAUGGCAUUCUCCUAUAUGCAAAAGUUCCAAAUGGACAAGUAAAAGUAGUUUUCUCCUGGUCCUCUGGAGCUAUAGGGAUCUGAUUAUAACCUGAAUAUCCAUCUAGAAAACAAUAAAAAUCAUGACCUGCAAGUCUAUCAAGCAUUUGAUCAAUAAAUGGAAGAGGAAAAUGAUCUUUUCUUGUGAAUGAAUUUAAUUUUCUAUAAUCAAUGCAAACACGCCAACCUGUAGUUACUCUAGUGGGAAUUAAUUCAUUAUUAGCAUUAGUAACUACUGUAACACCAGAUUUCUUAGGAACAACUUGCACAGGGCUAACCCAAGAGCUAUCUGAAAUAGGAUAAAUAAUUCCUGCAUCUAAUAAUUUGAUUACUUCAGCUCUUACCACUUCUUUCAUGUUAGGAUUUAGCCUACGUUGCAUUUCCCUAAUAGGUUUAGCAUUUUCUUCAAGAUGAAUACGAUGCAUGCAAUCUACUGGAUUAAUACCUUUAAUAUCAGCGAUGGUCCAUCCUAUUGCCUCCUUAUGCUCUUUUAGAAUAUCUAACAAUUUACCUUUUUGCUCAAGAUCGAGGGAAGAAGAAAUAAUAACAGGUAGAGUGUCAGAUUCUCCCAAGAAUGCAUAUUCCAGAGUGUCAGGCAGUGCUUUGAGUUCCAAUUUUGGUGGUGCCUCCGCAGAUGGGCCAAUUUUCUUCUCAGAAUGAGGCAGUAGUUCUGACUUUGUCUUCCAUUUAAUUGUGUCCGUAAUUAGAGGUGCAUCAAGUAAAGCGUUGAUUUCUGCAAUUGCACUGUCAUCAUUAAAAGAUAAAUCAGAAUGAGUUAGACAUGCCUCUAAUGGAUCAUCAUUAUGGUUAGAAAUGAAUGAAUCUUCUACUAAUUCCUCUAUCAUAUUCGCUUCAACAAAUUCAUCUUCUUCUUGUGGCUGCUUGGUAACAUUAAAAAUAUUCAAUUCCAUGGUCAUAUUACCAAAAGAUAACUUCAUGUUUCCAUUCCUGCAAUUAAUAAGAGCAUCAGCUGUAGCUAAGAAAAGGACGACCUAGAAUAACUGGGGUGUGUUUCUUAGGAUCAUGUACAUGCUGAAUAUCAAUAACAAUAAAAUCAACAGGAUAAUAAAAUUUAUCAAUCUGUAUCAACACAUCCUCUAUAAUACCACGAGGUAUUUUCAUUGAUCUAUCAGCAAGUUGCAAAAUAAUAGGAGUUGAUUUUAACUCACCUAAUCCAAGUUGCAUGUAAACAGAAUAAGGCAAGAGAUUAACACUAGCACCCAAAUCCAAUAAUGCUUUAUCAAAACAUUGGUUUCCUAUAACACAUGAGAUAGUAGGAGAACCUGGAUCCUUAAAUUUUGGUGGCAUUUUACAUUGGAGUAAGUUGCUAGUUUGUUCAGUUAAAAAUGCCUUUUUAGUGACAUGUAAAUUUCUCUUUUUCGUGCAUAAAUCUUUUAAAAACUUUGCAUAUGAAGGAACUUGCUUAAUAGCAUCGAGUAAAGGGAUGUUUAUACUUACCUGUUUGAAUAUUUCCAUAAUCUCACCUGUUGAAGUCCCUUUCUUUACCUUUGUUAACCUUUGAGGAAAAGGAGCCUUGCGAAUGUAAGCUGGCGGGCCACUCUCUUCUGGAUCAUUUGUUGAUGAGUCUUGUGAUGGAACUGGAUCUGAAGAAGUAGGCUCAGAUGUCUUCCUUGUUUGAACCUCUACUUUGUUGUCAAAUAAUUUUCCUCUUCUCAAGGUCAUAAUAGAUUUUGCUUCUUCAUGCUGAUGGCUCGAACUCGAUCCAACUUCAUGCACUCCUUUAGGAUUGGGAAUUGAUUGACUUGGGAAUUUUCCUUUUUCUCUCUCAGCUACAGUAGUUGCUAAUUGACCCAAUUGAUGUUCAAGUUUUAGAAUAGCUUGAGUGUUUGACUGAAAAGCUUGUUGGGUUGACUGAAUGAAACUUUGAAGUGUAUCCUCUAAAGAAGGCUUUCUUUGUUGGGGUGCAACAAAUUGAGACAUAGGUUGUUGGGCAUGAGGAUGUACUUGGUUAGGAGGGACAAAUUGUUGAUUGGGCAUGUUAAAUUGUUGCCCUCCUUGGUUUGACAAAGGUUGAUUUUGUUUCCAAGAAAAAUUAGGGUGAUUCCUCCAAUUAGGAUUAUAUGUGGAUGAAUAUGGACUAUUGGAGGUUUUCUCAUAUGAUUGUAAGGCAUGUACCUGCUCAGAAUAAGCAUCUGGAUAGACUGGUAAUGAUGGACAAUUUUGUGCUGUAUGAGACAAGUUAGAACAAAUAGCACAAACCUCAUUAGCUACACUAGGAUGAUGAUUUAUGGAUUGGUUCAUAACUAAGGCAUCUACUUUCCUAGAAAGUGUAGCUAGAGUGGAUUUCAUAUCUAAAUCAUCCUUAACUUCAUAUAGCCCCUUUCUAGAAACUUGAGAUGAUUUUUCCCUUUGAUUUGAAAAAUCCCACUGUUGAGAAUUUUCAGAAAGUGAAUUAACGAAAUCCCAUGCUGCCCCUUCAUGUAAGUUCAAAAAUCUCCCACCAUUCAUAGAUUCCACCAUAUGACGAUUCGACAUGGUUAAACCGUUAUAAAAGCAUUGUAUAAGUCUCCAUUUCUCAAAACCAUGAUGGGGACACUUAAGGAGUAAAUCAUUAAAUCUUUCCCAACACUCAUAAAAUUGCUCACCAUCUCUUUGAUAAAAAUCACUUAUCUCUCUCCUAAGGGCAUUUGUUUUAGACAUAGGGAAAAACUUGGUGAGAAACUUAUUACUCAAUUCAUCCCACGUAGUAAUAGACCCAGCAGGAAGUGAAUUCAACCAAGCUUUUGCUUUGUCUUUUAAUGAGAAAGGGAACAUACGAAGCCUAAUUGACUCAUCAUUAAAAUUUUGAAAACGAAAUGUAGAGCAUAUGUCAAGAAAUUCCUUAAUGUGCAAAUAUGGAUCCUCUCUCUCUAACCCAUGGAAGGAUGGCAAAAGUUGAAUGACAGAGGGCUUAAGUUCAAAGUGUGUUGCUGUAGUUUGUGGCAACACAAUACAAGAUGGUUGGUUGGCUGCAAGUGGUGAAAAAUAUUCUCUAAGGGUUUUCUCUGCUUGCACUGGUGGGAGUAUUGGCAAUAGUCUAUUUGGGUCAUCCAUCACUUCUAAAGAACUAGUUUGACUACUAUCAAUUUUUGACUCUCUUUUAACCAAACGAUUUGUUGAAUCACGUUCCCAAACACUCAUAAACUAACUAGACAAGGAAAGAAAGAGAAAUAAAAUAAAAUAAACCAACAAAAAUGAGAAUAAACGAAAUUUAAAAAUAAAAGAAAUCAAACAACCAAACAAUGAAUUUAAAAUAAAAUAAAAUUAAAAUUAAAAUUAAAAGUUUUUUUUUGUGUUUUUUUUUAAAAAUAAAAAUUGAAUAAAUAAAAUAAAAGACAACCUAAAUUAUAACUAGUGGAAGAAUCAAAUUAACCUAGAUUAAACUGACUUUCUAGCACAAUCCCCGGCAACGGCGCCAAAAACUUGAUGUGAAAAUUUUAAUAUACUCGCAAGCGCACGAAUCUAGAAAUAGAGUAGUGGUAACGAGGUCGAUCCCACAGGGAUUGAUAAAAAGUCUAAUUUAAAUCUAAAAUUAAUAUUACUCCUAACCUAGUUGAGCAAAUUGAGUUUUUAAGAAAAUUAAACCAAUUAAACUAAGGAAGCAAUUAAAAUAAAAGAGAAUUCAAUAAGAUAGAAAUUACCAAGGUUUCAGAAUCCACCACUAUUCAACUAGUAAUUAUCUAAUUAUUAAUUAAUCCCCAAUUUUAGAGUGACAACUCGAAAUCAAUCUAUGUCAUCUCAUAGAUAUAACAAUUAAGCCCAAGUAAUUAAAUCUAAUGUAGGUUCUUUUUCUGCUUAAUAAUAUGACAUCUAAGCAUCCCAUGUAAACAUAUUGAAUAACAAAGAGUCAAAGUUUUCCUAAGCACUCUAUGUAAACAAUUUAAUGAAAGACAUAAAAUCAAAGAUAAUCAUGUAUAAACUUUAUAGAUCCAAGCAUAGAAUUAAUCGAAUAUUAAUCCUAACAAUCAAUAAUGCAUGACAGAAUUGAUGAAAAGAUUUUAAUAACAUCCAAUUAAUCAUGUGAAAUAAAAACCAUAAUUAUCAAAGAACAUAUAUAGGGAAUUAAUUAAAUAAAAAGAGAUAAUUAUUUCAUUGAAUAGGGUUUCAUCCUUAACCUCAGUAUAAGAGAAUUAGUUAGACAUACUUGAAUUGGGAACAACAAAAAAAAUAAAAUCACCCAUGGAAACCGAACUGCUGCUGCCCAACCUUGCGUCUUGCGUCUGCCGAAUUCUCCUUCUCCUUUCGUUUCUGUCCAGCAGCUCCCUUUUAUAUUGCUUGGCCACGGAAUCCUAUUGUGAUUCUAAUAACUAAACCAACUCUUACAAGCUAAAGCUCUAAGCUUGCCACGUAAUUGAAAACAAUAAAAGCCAAAAGCUAUUGAUUUCCUUCCUUUAUUCUACUUUGACUUUCCAUUCAAAGGCUUAAUUAAAAGCUUUGUUUUUAUGUGCUGCCCACUUUAGCUUUAACUUUCAUCUUUGUUUGCACGAGCAUGGAGAAUUCAAUUUAUUGGAUUCGGCUUCUUCCACAUGCACGUAUGUCUAAUUGGUUCCAAAUCAAUUAAUCUUUAAUGCUUACAAAUUGAACUCCUUUAUGCUCUUUUUAUCCAUAAUCUCCAAUUAAUUCCCUAUUCAAUAAAAUAAUUCAAUUAAUUAAAAAUAACAAAUAAAAAUAACUAGCAAUUAAAUAAUUAAGGGUAAAAUAUGUAUAUAAAUUAUGCUCAUCAGUGAUCUUUUGACAAUUCUCCCACAUCCCACCAAAAACUCUCACGCGGCAUGAACUUUUGACAAUUCUCCCAUAUCCCACCAAAAAUUUGUCAUAUUGCGAAAGGCAAUGUCAAUUGCAAUGUCAUUUCCAUUAGUCAUUGUGGCAGACAAUGGAGGUCCCGAGAUAGGACUAGAAGUUUUUGAAACCCUGAACUUAUUCUUACUUUAUUUUUUCUUUUGAAAAUGAGAAAAGGACACUUGUUUGAGGAAAUAAUUUUGUAGAACCUCAUAUCGUGAAUAGGGGAUAAUAAGACUUUUUUUUUUUUACUUUACUGCAAUACUCUGUAAUUUUAUUAAUUUUAUAUUUUAUAAUAAAUAUAAAUGUGAUAUUAAAAUAAAUGUAAUAAUAUAUACAUAUUAAAAUAAUUUGAUAUUGAAAAACAUUUUAAUAUUUUACAAUCCCAUAUUAUAUUAAACCAAACUGUAAUAAAUAGACAUAAUAUUAAAAUAAAUAUAUAAAAGUUUAAAUUAUUUUGAAUAUCAUAUAAAAUAAUUUUAAUAUUAUUAAUAAAUUAGAAGUAUUGUUGAGGUUAUGGGGCCCCAACAAUUCUUCUUUGCGCUUGUGGGUGUAACAUCCUUCUGUGUAAUUCCAUUGAGGUGGCAGUAAGGUUACCUAGGGCGUAACUGCCCGGCCCAUUGGCACAAUUACAAAUGUGUGCAGCCCCUCAUGUCCAUCCACCGCUUAGUGUGGGGCUCUGCGCUUCCAUUGUAUAAGAAAAUAAAGUUGCACCUUGGCUAUCAGCUUAAGCUUUUAGCCCAAUGGUAAGCGCUUGAUCCUAACAAGUAUUACAUUAAUUGUAAAAUCUAUCUAAUCCAAGGAUUUAUUUAAAUUUUUUAUAAUAAAUUAAAAAUAUAUUAAUUAACAUUUUAAAAAUUAAUAAUGAAAUUAAUUAUAUAAGUUAUACAUAUUAGUCUACUAGAAAAAUUUAAACUAUUUCAAUCAGAUUUAUAUUUAGUGAAAAUUUUUGAAGUUAAUGUUUUUGGUUAUCAUCUACUAAGAAUCUUGUAGUUAAAAGGGGUAUUGACAUUCUUUAUUAAAAAAUUGAGGUCUACAUGACUAUUUUUUAAAUUUUAAGGGUGUCAUUUUAUUUUUGAUGAAAAUAAAAUUUCAUUUAAGUGGCUAAAAUGGUGAAUAAUACAAUGUUACAACUGGCAUAAAUGGAAGGUAGGAAACAAUCAAAAUGACCAAUAGUCUAACGCCACAGCAAGGACAUAAGGUCAAAAAUCCCCUUAUUAAUUAGUAAAAGAGAGUCCUUUGUGCUUAUAAAUAGUAAGGGCGGGCAAAAUCGGAUACAGAUCAAAUUCGGAUUAAUCUGAUAAAUUUCAGAUUGUUUGAAUUGAUAAAAAAAGUCAUCCAAAUGUAAUCUAAACUUUUGUAUGUGUAUAUAUACAUACUUGUUAUAAAUUAAAGUUGCAAAAGUCUUUAAGCAAGGCCAUUCAUAGUAAGUUUCAAAUUUUUAGGUUAAUUAUGUAACUUCAUUAUGCGGGCCAUGCAUAAAGCCCGUAGGUCUAGGCGGGACUGACCUGAGUUUUUUUACCAAUCCUACACAUGACGGGAGGUGUUAGGAAUAACAUCCCGCAUCAAUUGAGUAUUGAACUUGGGUUCAGUAUAUAAGAUUUGGACAACUCUAAACUCUUGAGCUAACUUACUAGUUUUUGGAUUGAGUUAAGCCUGUACGCUGCAAUAUUACAAAUUAGUCUUUCGUUACCAUUACUUAUUUUUUGUAUUGUUUAAAAUUAACACAAUAAAUGACCUUUCAUCCCAAAAGAACUAAAGUAAUCAUUUCGCAUUGUUACGGCCGUAUCUACACUCUUUCCUCUAUAUGUGUCUUCAAUAAAUAUAUGCGUUAAUGAUCUCUCAAUAUUUCGCAUCCGAUAUUGCCCACAUCGCUUACCACAAUAUAUUCACUUUACAAACAGAGUUUGCAACCCAAUUACUAAUAGAGGAAUAUAAAUAUGUACUUGUCAAUGAAGCAAUCACCUUUAUUUAGAAAUUUUUUAUUAUUAAUCCUACGUACACACACUUCUUUUGUCUCCAAAAAUAUUCUUAAUUAAUCCACACAAUUUAAUAUAAUAAAUACCUAAGAUUACAUAAAUUUUCAUUACAAUAGAAUAUAUAAUUUAUAAUAUUAUUGAUACAAUGAUGCCAAUAAUAAAAAUCUUAUAAACCUUACAAAUUUUAGAAAAUGGCUUAGAGUGUGAUAGGUUGAAUGAACCACAACAAAUCAUUUUCAUUAUAGUACCUAUGAUCAAUAUUCUAAUACAAAUUUUACAUUUCCCUAUAUUUUCUGUUUGGUGAUUGUCAAAUUUUAAGUCUAAAAUUUUUCUAAUUUUACCGUGAGGUUUAUGUUUUAAAGAGAGAGAGAGAGAGAGAGAGAGACUCAAAGAGAAAUAAAAAAUGUAAUUCUAAAAUUUUACUUGUGCAUUGUGUGAUUUUUACCAUUUUUGCAGUUGGCCAUUUGUAUUGAAUAAAUAAAAUAAUAAAUAGACUUAUGGACCACUUUUUUCUGUUAUAAUAAACAUCAGAGGUCCUUUCUUGAUGUUUUCAUUCCAUAUGAAUAUAUUAUAAUUUUAUUGAUACAGUAAUGUCAAUAAUAAAAAUCCUAACAAACAUACAAAUUUUAGAAUAUGGAUUAAAGUGUUACAAGUUGAGGGGAUCACAAGUUAUUUAUACUGUAAUGUCUAUGAUCAGUAUUUCAAUGAUAUCAAGGUUUCCCCUGCAAUUUUUGUUUGGUCAUCGCCAAAUUUUGUAUCUAAGAUUUUUCUAAUUUUACACGACAUUUAUUUAAAAAAAGAAAAAGAGAAAGAGAGACGCGGAGAGAAUUAAAAAUGUAAGUCUAAAUUUUCGCUUGUGUGUUAUGUGAAUUUUACCAUUUUUAAAGUUGGCCAUUUGUAUUGAAUAAAAAAGUAAUUGUUGAAUCUGGUUCGUUAGCUAUUCUUUGAUCAAGAACCAGAUCCUCCCAAGAUUCUCAGCCAAGAUUAAUCAGGAUGCAAUAUCAGCUUAGAUCAACUUCAGAGAAUCAACUAAACCCAAUAAGACUCGUAACAAAAAGGAUUAAUUACAAACUUAGAAACCAAAACCAGCAAGAAAACCAAUCACACAAAACAGAGCACAAGCUUUAACGUGGUUCAGCCAUUAAUGGCUUACAUCCACGAGUGAAUUCCUCAGACAGCUUUAUUGAAUGAUUCAAGAAGUUUGUUACAGAGAUUCUAAGAACAAGAACAAGUAAGACACUUCCUCUUUGAUUUCCCUCAAUCUCUAUCACGCACGAUUACCUCCAAACCAGAAGGCUGCAGCUUAUAUACCAGUCUUGUAACAGCUCUAACAACCCAGAUUGCACAGCUCCUUGACACGUGUACUAUGGGUCUGUUAUUUAACGAACUCAGCUUCAGCUAACUAUCACGUGAAGAACCCGUGACUCCACUUAAGUUGAGCAUAUCCAAAACGCACUCAUGUGUUGCCGUUUCGGAACCAGGAUUGGUUGUGCUUCUCACGUGAUCACUUAAAGCUUCUGAACACUACUGGAAACGCUGUCGUUUGCUGGCAAAGGUGUUUGAAUUCACCUUUCAGCCAACAGUAAUGAAUAGACUUAUGGACAACUUUUUUCUAUUAUAAUAAAACAUUUUCUUCCCCUGAUGUUUUUCAUUCCACAAGAAUGUGUUUGUCAUAAGGGGUCCAAAUGGGGUAAAUAAAUUGGGAUCAAGGACAAGUCUGUUUAAGUGUUGAAAUUGCAAGAAGACCUCAUUAAAAAAUUGCCUAAAGCCCCAUUAUUGUUAUUCAACUAUUACUUUCAUGUCACAUUAGUUUCCACACAGACACUUAUACAAAUAAUUUAUAACUCCAUCUUUAUUUGGGAAAAAACUGUAGCAAUUGUUGUUAUAUCACAGGAAAAUUUUCCAAUUAAAAAUAUAAUAAGAAUUAAUUACAAAUUUUUUAAUAAAUAUCAAUAUAAUUUAAUGGUUUAAUUUUUUUGGUAGAUCAAUAUAAUUUAAAAAAUUAAUAGCAGUAUUACUUUUUAAAAUGCAAAUUAUUAUAAUUAUAUUAAUAAUAUAUUUGUAUUUAUUAUAAAAUUUAUUUUAAUAAAAUCUUAAUUUUUUUUAAAUAUUUGUAUAUAUUGUUAUAUUUUGUUAUAAUAUUAUAUUUAUAUUUAUUAAAAUAUAAGAGUCAAUAUUUUUAAAUUAAUUAAGAUAAAAAGUAUUAUAAUAAAAAAAAAUUCUUUUAUUAAAAAUAUAAUCAUUCUCCCAAACUUAUCCUUGUCCCUUUUUGAAAGGAAAAAAUAAAUUAGAAAAGUCUAUGGUCAUGAUAACAUCUAGCCUUGUCCCGUGGGACAUGGCUACGGUGCAGAAGCUGCAAGUAACAGCUUCGAGCUUUCCCAUUUCCAUCACCUUGUAUUGGGACCUCUUUCUCUCUCCUCUAGCACCCGUGGAAGUUCCCCAUUGGCCGCUGUUACUUACAGAAGCCGUAACAUAGACUUCCCCCGUCCCGUGAUGUCCAUUGUCUGCCACUAUGAAUAAUGGCAAUGACAUUGCAAUUGAAACAUUGAAAAGGUAUUUUCGCAAUAUGACAAAGUUUUUGUUAGGAUAUGGGAGGAUGUCAAAAGUUCACACUACGUUCAUUAGCAUUAGAUCUAAUUUUAUUUCGUCAGUUCCUUAUAUAUUUAUUUCAUUUAUUUCAUGGGUCCCUCUAUGAUGCUGUAAUUAUUUUACAGCAUCAAUAGUGUAAGCAAUAUUAACCAUUAGAUUUUAUCAACAAUGUAUAUUAUAUUUAUUAAUAAAAAAAUAACAUAACCGGUUAACAGGGGUGAGCUGUUGGAUCGUGGAGUUGGUAGAAGUAUGCGAAAUUUCAAUGACGACCCCUACAGUUUUAAAAAUUCUCACAUGUUUCACUUGAAUAGCAUAUUCAGAAGAAUAACACAAAAUUUAAUAAAAUAUAUGAUUUCAAUGAAAUAUAUGAACAUGCAUAUGAAACCCACAUUCAUAGAAAUGUUUCAUUAGACUUUUAACGUUUAUCUUACCUAUGUAUCCUAAACCAUUCAUUAUCAACUUUUCGUAAUUUUAUUAAAUAGAAAUUUCAAGCAAAACAAGAAAGAGUGACAAUAUGUAAUUAAUUUGAAGAUUUAAUAUAAAACUCACAAUUGCUAAAAUAGUGCUUAAAUUAUAUCAUUAAUGUUAUAAGAUAAUUUGAUUAUCAUGUAACCAAACUAAUUUCAAAAUUUAUUUUGAAAGCAUGCAAAACUAAUUUCAAAAUCUAUUUUGAGAGCAUGCAAAUGGAUGUAGUCUCCACUAUGUGAUUUUUUUAUUCUAAUUUAUGGCCAUGGGAGAGAAUUGGAAGAUCCAUAUUUGUCCAAUAGUGAAAUAUAAAUAAUAGCCCGUCAAUUUCUCAUGUAGUAUAUUUCAUUGGCUUAUUAGCUUACAAAACUAUAUACAAGUGUUAAACAUUGGACUACUGCAUGAAAUGUCAUGUGAUAUAUUUCAUUUGACCUUAGAUUAAUUAAAUGCCUAUAAAUGGUUUACAACAUUAAUCUAAAAAUUAAUUUUCACUGAUAUUUAUAUGUGACAUAUCAAUUCAUAAUAUAUCAGGGUAAUUACGAUUUUAAUUUCCCUUCUAUUAAUAAAUAGGGGUAGAAAGAAGUACUCAAUAUGUGUGUGUGUGUGUGUGGGGGUAUCAAUUCAUGUCUUAAUGAAUACAAGAAAAAUCACAUCUACUAAUUUAACAUAUGCCUUUCUAUAAUAGUGUUUGUAAAAUAUAUUUUAUUUGCUAUACUUUGGAAGACGUGUAGUAUAUUAUUUUAUAAUUCGUUUUGUAAUUUACAGAAAACGUGUUUAACAUGUUUUAACUUUUAUUACUAUCAAAUAGAUUCUGUUUAAUACAUUUUAUAAUUUGAUUUAAGGUUUAGGCUCACCAAACAUACAUUACACCUAUACUAUUAAAAUGAAAAUGAAAAUCGGGGCUACAAAAUGAUACUGAACAUACCCUAAGUUACUUGGAGUGUUAGUUUAGAAAUAAGUAUCACUGUAGGCUUAAAUUUAUGGAACAACUUUUCAGGACUGUUGGUCUUCCUCCAUUAGCUUAAUUUAGGUCUGUAUUUUCAUUUUUUUUUAAAUGGCGCAAGAUGAUGAUGAUGAUGAAAUUGUGCUAUUUGUAAUGAUGCUCCUUCGUAUUCAAUAAGAAUCAUAUGCAUAUUCAAUAGUGAAAAUAUGAUAACUCUAUCGUAAUUUGAUCAUAUUACAAUACAAUUGAUUACUAAAAAAUGUCUUUAUAUUUUUUUAUUACAUUUUACAUUAAAGUUGUAGCACAUUAUAAAUGCAAAGCUUAAUGUUUAAUAACAUAACACUUCAACAAAAUCAACAUCUUAAGUAUGAUGUAUGAUAUAGAAUAUUGAAAUAGUUAUACCUAACACUCACAACAAUUUAUAAAAAUUUAUAGUGUUUUAUUUACAAUAUCUUUUCUAAUUAUAUAUGUAUUAAUAUCUAUCUUAAAGUCAAUUUUUGGAUUAGUAGAUUUUAAUAAAUCCAUUGGUAUAGAUUAAUAAUAACUUAAUAUUAAAAAAAUUAAUUAUACAUGUUAUUUUAUUAAUUACACUUAUUUUAAUAUUUUAUUUGUAUCAUAUGAUAUUUAUUAUUAUUUUUAUCCUAUUACUAUAUGUAUAUUUAUUUAGGUUGUGUAAAUCAAAACGUAUAAUAGUCAUUUAUGAAAAUUAAGGGGUCUGUAUUACCAUUUAUGAAACUAAGUGGAUCUAUAUGACUAUUUGAGCAAACCUUGGGAUGUGUGUGGCUUUUUCUCAAAUUAAUAUUAAUUUAAAAUUAAAAAAAUAUUUACCAACAACUUGUAGACUACGUGCUACAUUUUCAUUAAUGAUUUAAUUAUCCAUUAUAUUAAAUGGAUGAUUGAGAUUAAAAUACUUAAAACUAAUAGUCCACAUUAAUCCCAGUAUCAAUAUUGUAAAAAUACAUACAGUAUCAUAAAGAAAUCCUUAUUUCAUACAUAACUGUUUUUUUUCUUUGGUUUUUCUUUUUCCAAAACAUAAAUAGACCAAGCACAUCUCCAAAUCGGGUUGGAGCGGAGAUUCUAACCCUACGAUGGCCAUAUUAAAAUUUAAAUUUUUUUAAUUUAUUUUUUUCUUUUAUAGCUACAUCUCAAUAUUUGAAAAAAUGAUUAUACAGAUCUAUAUAUUUUUAAUAAGAGAUAUUAAGAUGCUCUUUUUUUACUAUAACACCUACUAGUUCUAUUAACUCAAAAAAUUACCAACAAAGUGUUGGCUCCACUGGCAAUGGAGUCCCCUUAAGUGGCUUGACUGGGUUUGCUCUCCAGUUCGAGUCGCAGGGAAGUCGCCUUUGUUGGGAGAACAUGUGUCUCCCGGUUUGAGCGGGGACUUCUAGUCUGGGUUGUGGUACGGGCUUAAAGGUGCUUCCCACAGUUGGGGCCCUCCCCAGGAUACCUCGUGGAUAAGACCAAAAAAAAAAACUCAAAAAAUUGACUUCAAUAUUAAUACAUAUAUUUUAAAAUUAUUUUAAUAUUUUUAAAAAAUAUGAAAAAAAAUUUAAUACUUUACAAACUUAUACUAUAUUAAACUAAAUUUUAUAAUAAAUAGAAACUUAAUAUGAAAAUAAACGUCUAAAAAUUUAAAUUAUUUUCAAUAGCAUAUAGAAUAAUUAUAAUAUUAUUAAUACCUAAGAUAUAUUAUAUUAAUUAUAAAUUCUAUUUAACACAAAUAUUUAACUAAAACUGUUAAUUGCAAUUUCUUUUGAAAACAAUAGAUCAAAUCAUUAAAGUGCAUGUGAUGAUGAUUUGCUGUUUAAUUAUUUCUUUAGAAUAUAUCCAAACGUAAGGUUGUGAACUAGUGCUUUCUUCAACUUAAUUGGGUCCAACAAUACACCGCAGCUUCCUCUUUUGGUCAUUCCAAGUUUAAUUCUUAUGAAAGAAGUUACUACUGAUUUAAGUGCAUGUGAAUGAAAAAAAACAAAUACAUAUAAUUAUUCUAUACAUGCGUCAACAAGGCAACAGUAACCAAAUAAAUGAUAUGAAAGGGGGUGCAUGAUUAAGUCCUUUUCUUAUUCAAUUCAUUGUUAUUAUCCUCAUCAACUCUUUUCUCACUUAUUUUUCAGCAGUUACUGUUCAUAGCAUUGUUAUUAUUCUCAUCACUCAUUAAAAUUAUUCUUAAAUAUUCAAGGCCGAAAAGAGAAGCUCAUCAACUGUCUGAUCCCGGAUAAUUAAAGAGGUGAACUUGUUCUAAAUCCUUUGAUAAUUUCUAUUAAUAGCAUAAUCUCCUUGAUCCAAGAAAAAACAUCUCCUGUUUGUCUUAAUCUUGUCAUUUAAUUUUCUUGAUUUAGGUUACUGUUCAUUGUUAACUUCUGUGUUCUUUAGCAUUUGUUAAUUUGCAUCCCUCCUCUAAAAGUCUCUAAAAAAGAAUGUUGCUUUUCAUUCAUACCCUUGAAACCUUUCAGUUAAUAGCCAAAACUCUAAUCUUUCUUUCUCUUCCUCUCAAAAAUGUGCCAAAAAAUGUGCCAAAAAAGUGAAUCCAAUUUUUUCAACAGCAAAUAUAUAUGUACACACACACACAUAUUGUUAAAAAGUGCAGAAAAGCCACUCAAAAACGUGGAGAAAAAUCACUCAAAUUUAUACAAGCGUCAACAGGGAAACAGUAACCAAAUACGUGAUACAAAAAGGGGUGAAUGAUUCUGUCUUUUCCUUUUGCAAGUCGCUGUUAUUACUCUCAUCAACUCCUUUCUCACGCAUUUCUCAGCAGUUACCAGUAAUAUUUAAAAUCGCUGUGUAGGUAUGCAAAAGUUCGGUAAGUGCACUAAUAAUUAUUUGCCAGAAAAAAAGUAGUUGCGUCAAUGAUAUAUUAAUCUUUAGUUGAAUUGACAUCCAGGAACCCAAUUGAGUUGCUUAAUGAUUAAUUAAUUAAUCAAUUUAUAAUAUAUUAAUCUUUUUAGUUGAAUACUUAAAAUCUUAGACCCUAAACAAUAAAUUAUUUGAGCCAUAUAAAAGAGAAAUUAUCAUUCAAUUUUUUUUUAUUUGUAGCUUAUAAAAGAGAAAUUAUCAGUCAUUUACUCAAAGUUUAUUCAAUUAUUAAAAUUAUUAUAAAAAUUUAAAUUUAUUUAAUUUUACACCCAAUGUAUGUAAUUUGUAUUAAAUAUCCGUUAAAAACAUAAAGUUAUUCUUUCAAAGUCACAAAAUAGGAGCGAACACAAAAUUGUAGUGGUGAUUAUGUUUUGGGAGUAACUUUAUCUUUUUAGUAAACAGUUGAUACACAUUGUAAUAAUGGGUAUAAAAUUAAAUAUAUUUAAAUUUUUAUAACUUUUUGGAAAAUAAGAUAAUUCUUAGGUGGAUAAUUAAAAAUUUUUCUUUUCAAAAUAUUUUGAAAACAAUACCAAAUGUACCAUAUCAUUGUUUAUUUACACUAUAUAUAUAUAUAUAUUAACUCAUUCUUAUCCACAAUCUGUCAAUGAAAUAAUUAUUGACACUCAUAUUUGAAAACUUUCGAAAAGAUAAAAUCCAAUAUGAAAGGUGAAACGUUAUAAUCAUAGUAACUAGAAAAUGGAUUGAUUUACAAAUAUCAAUUUAAACAAUUUUCAAGUUGAUCGACAAUUUAAGUAGAUUGACAAAGAUUGAAGUAAUUACUGUUGGUGAUUGAUUGACUUUGUCCUUAUCCUCGCCGCCUUCUUAUCAAAAGUCGAGUGUCAAUUGGGCCAGGGCUUCUGAUUGCAACUAAUAGACUUCAUAUACGCAUAAUGGUCCCUACGUACAUACGUACCAAUAUUUGAUUGAAAAAGGGAUGCGUGCUUAAUGCUCAAGUCGUCUUCUUUUGGAAAUUCAUUGUUAUUACUCUCAUCAACUCGUUACUCGCAUUCCUCUUUAGUCAACAGAGAUCCUUUUGCUCAAUAAAAUUUUUCUUCUAUAUUCAAGGUGAAUACAGCAGCUCAUCAACUCUGAUCCCAGACAGGUAAAGAGGUGCACUUGUUCUAAGACCUUUAAUAUUCUUUUAGUAGCAGAAUCUCUGAUACUUGAUCUUCAUAGCGGUUCUUUCUUAAUUUGCAUCAACUUUCCUAGGAAAAAAUUCUCUGGUUUUUCUUAAGUCAUAUAAUUUAUUUUUCUUAAGUCAUAUCAUUUAUUUUUAGCAGCAGAAUACUUGAUCUUGAUAACGGUUCUUUCUUAAUUUCCAUCAACUUUCCUUGAAGGAUACCUUUUUGUUAAUAGCGAAACCUCUGAUCCUUAAGAUGGAAAAAGAAAUUCUCUAUUUAGAUAUCAGUUGGUUCAAGAUCAAUAUCGCGAUGUUGUUUGCAGUCUUUUCUUUCUCUGUCUUUCCCUUUAGUUCAUUUUAAUUUAUUUGUAUUCCUUUCUUUGACAUAUUAUUAGAUUUGUUAAGUAGCAGGCAAUGGCAGAAGUGGGUCUGGCUGCUUUUUCCAGCGUUGUAUCAGAAGGUGCAAAGUCACUGUUCAAACCGAUUAUACGGCAGAUAUCUUAUGUGUUCAAGUACCAGAGCUACAUAGAUGGCCUAAAAGAUCAAGUGAAGCAGCUGGGAUAUAGAAGAGAAACGGUGCAACAACCUGUUAAUCAUGCUAGACUACAAGGGGAUGAGAUUUAUGAGGGUGUCACAGACUGGCUAAAUCAAGUUGAUGAAUUCAGUGAAGGGGUUGCAAAAUCCAUCAUUGAUGAUGAAGAUAGAGCUAAGAAGUCCUGCUUCAGAGGAUUGUGCCCAAACUUGAUUUCUCGUUACAAGCUUAGUAAACAAGCAGCAAAGGCCGCAGAAGCUGCCGCUAGUCUCGUGGGAAAAGGAAACUUCUCUAAUGUUUCCUACCGUCCUGCUCCAGAGAGUACAGAACAAAUGGAAGUGAAAGAUUACGAGGCCUUUGAUUCAAGAAUGAAAGUAUUUCAAGAUGUUGUGGAGGCGUUGAAGGAUGAUAAGCUCAACAUAAUUGGGGUCUACGGCAUGGGCGGCGUGGGUAAAACCACGCUAGUCAAGCAAGUUGCAAGGCAAGUGAUGGAAGAAAAGUUGUUCGAUAAGGUCGUUAUGGCUGAGGUAACACAGACCCCAGAUCAUCAGGAAAUUCAAAAGAAACUUGCUUCUGAUUUAGGCAUAAAGUUUGAGUUGAAUGAGAGUAUAUUCGACCGAGCGGAUCGAUUGCGUGAAAGAUUGAAGAAAGAGAAGCGGGUCCUCAUUAUAUUGGAUAAUAUUUGGAAAAAACUCGAGUUCGAAAAAGUUGGAAUUCCUUCCAGGGAUGUUGAUGAUAAAGAUAAAAAGGAUGAUCAGAGACGAUGCACAAUAACAUUGACGUCUAGAAGUCGAGAUUUAUUGUGCAUUGAUAUGAAUUCUCAGAAAAAUUUCUCGAUCGAUGCUUUGCCACGAAAAGAAGCAUUGCAGUUAUUUGAGGAGAUAGUGGGUGAUUCAACUAAAAUAUCUGCUUUUCAAAGUAUAGCAAAUGAGAUCGUUGAAAGAUGCGGAGGUUUGCCUGUUGCACUGAGUACAGUUGCAAAUGCUCUGAAAACUAAGGAGCGUGACUUUUGGAAAGAUGCAUUGAAUCAGCUAAGAAGAUCGGAUGCAAGAGAAAUUCAUGGCAUGCAAGCAAAUGUGUACACCUCCAUAAAAUUGAGUUAUGACUUCUUGGAAAGUGAGGAGGCAAAAUCUCUGUUCCGUCUUUGUGGUCUAUACAGUGAAGGUAAUGUCAUACAAGUUUCUGACUUAUUGAGAUAUGGUGUGGGUUGGGAUUUGUUUGAAAAUGUUUACACAUUGGAAGAAGCAAGGAGUAGGGUGCAUCGGUUGAUCGACAAUCUCAAAUCUUCAUGCUUAUUGUUGGACGGAGAUGCUGAAGAUGAAGUUAAAAUGCAUGACGUCAUUCAUGUUGUUGCCGUAUCAAUUGCCGCAGAGAAGCGCAUGUUUAAUAUUCCAAAUGUUGCCGACUUGGAGAAAAAGAUGGAAGAGACAAUACGGAAAGAUCCAAUUGCCAUUUCUUUACCUUAUAGAGGUGAUCAAGUGCUUCCCCAAAGAAUGCGAUGUCCCCGUCUUGGGCUAUUUUUGUUGCAUAGGAAGGGUCUUUGCUCUAUGCAAGUUUCAGACCACAUUUUUGAAGGGACGGAAGGACUCAAAGUUUUGGAUCUUGCCAGAAUUCACUUCUCUUCAUUACCUUCAUCACUUGGGUGCCUCAUUAACCUUCAAACAUUGUGUUUAGACUAUUGCCGACUAAAAGAUAUAGCAAUAGUUGGACAGCUAAAGAAAUUAGAGAUUCUCAGCCUUGUAUAUUCCGAUAUCAAGCAGUUACCACUCGAAAUUGGACGAUUGACGCGGUUACAGUUGCUAGAUUUGAGCAAUUGUCGGAGCCUUGAGUUGAUACCACCAAAUGUCAUAUCAAAAUUAUCUCGAUUAGAAGAACUGUUUAUGCAUAACAGCUUUUCACAGUGGGAUAAGGUUGAAGGAGGAAGUAAUGCCAGUCUUGUCGAGUUGAAAGCGUUGACAAAGCUAACUACUUUGGAGAUAGAAGUUCCGGAUGCCGAAAUUCUGCCGCCGGAUUUUGUCUCCGUGGAAUUGGAAAGAUAUAAGAUAUUUAUAGGAAAAAUGUCUGUCCGACGGCUCGUCGAAUCUAAAACAUCAACAUUGAUGGUGCUCAAGGGGCCAGAAAGAGUUAGCCUUCUUUUGGGGAAUGAUGGGACGAAAAUGUUGCUGAAGAGAACUGAAGAUCUCCGUCUAUACUCACAGAAGGGUGUUCAGAAUAUUGUUCAUGAAUUAGACAAUGGGGAAGGUUUUCCACGAUUGCAGCAUCUUCUAGUAACAGACUGUUCUGAGAUUUUACAUAUUGUCGGUUCAGUUGGACGGGUUCGUUGCAAAGUCUUUCCCUUGCUGGAGUCAUUGGAUCUUAUUGAUUUAACUAAUUUGGAGACGAUAUGCUGCAGCCAACUCAGAGAAGAUCAAUCUUUCAGCAACUUAAGGAUUAUAAACGUAGAUUCCUGUCCAAAAUUGAAGUAUCUCUUCUCAUUCUCUAUGGCUAAAAACCUAUUGGGGCUUCAAAAAGUAAAAGUGAGAAAUUGCGAUGAAUUGGAAAUGAUGAUUGGUAAGUGUUUAAAUUAAUUAUUGGUAGGAUUAUUGACAUUGACUCAUUCUUUUUUUCUUUUUCUUUUUUUUUUGGGUGAAAAAACAACGGAUGUUUAUUAUAUAUUGUUUUUGUUCAUUUAUAGGGCCCGACAUGGAGAAACCAACAACUACUGAGGGACUCACAGAAAUCAUUGCAGAGGAUGAUCCUAUUCACAAGGUGAUAAUUUUCUGUUUAAUAAUUAAUUAAUUAAUAUUUUAUCGCGAUUGAUCUUCAAUCAUCAAAAGAAUAUUAUAUUAGAAGUUGUAGUUGAAGGAACAAAAAUGUACGGUUUUGCUGUGCAGGUUACUUUUCUACGCUUAGAGGAACUGAAACUUGACGGUUUAAAAAACAUCAAAAAAUUAUGGCCCGAUCAAUUUCAGGGAAUGUAUUGUUGUCAAAAUUUAACAAAAGUGACCGUGGAAAGGUGUUAUCGUCUGAAGUAUAUGUUUUCAUAUUCUAUGGUUAAUAGUCUUUUGCAACUCCAACAUCUUGAGAUUAUUAAUUGUUGGUCAAUGGAAGGGGUAGUCAACAACACCGCGGGGGGGUUAGGAGGAAGAGAUGAAUUAAAGGUUUUUCCUAAACUACACUCCCUGCGGCUCCAUUGCCUUCCAAAACUAUGUAGCUUCACCUCACCAGAAGACGUCAUUCACACUGAAAUGCAACCUCAAUCUUUCUUUAAUGAAAAGGUUUUUUUUUUUUUUUUUAAAUUAAUUUUAUUUUCAAUAGUUAAUUUCUUCUUUCGUUGAGUCUUCAAAUUUAAUUAAUAUCCAUCUCUAAUUGCAUUGAAUUUUUAACUUCAGGUACGACUCCCAAGUCUGGAGGUAUUACAUAUUAGUGAGGCGGAUAAGUUGAGAAAAAUAUGGCACCACCAGCUUGCUUCGAAGUCUUUUAGCAAAUUGAAAAAAUUGGAGAUAUCUUGGUGUAAUAAUCUAUUGAAUAUUUUUUCUCCAUUGGUAAGAUUGCUAUAUUCAUUUUGAAUUUUUAUUUCAAAUAACAUUCAACAAUUAUUUUAAUCAUUUUUGUGUUUACAAAUAAUUUUCAUUCACAAAUUAUUUAUUGCAAGUAUUGUACUUCAAACUUCUGGAGGGAAAAAAAGUAGUGUACUUCAAAUCACCAUUCUGAACUCUGCAUUUUCAAUCUAAUUUAUAGGUUCACCUGCAUUAAAGUCAACAAUAUAAUUGUUUUAAACACGAUUUAACAGCAUAAUAUAAUUCAAUUUAAUUUUUUUUUCUUAAAUCGUAAUAAAUAAGAUUUUCAGAAAUUAAAAGAUACUUAGUUACUCAGCUUUUAAGUUCACAAAUUCAUAUAUAUUUCUCUUGUCCUUGGGUCUUUAGAUUUCGAUUUUAAAAAAAAUAAAGAAAAGUGUUCAAAUGUAGUUAGUAUCUCUAGUUUAGUUAUGAAUUGAUUACGCCAUUGAUUAAGCACAAAUUCAUGAUGGUCAUUUUGAAUCGACCGUUGAUUAAAAAAAUUCCUCAAAUAUUCACUCUAUAACAAUCCCAUGUUGAUGGCGUUGGGAAGUGUUUUCCAGAAAUGUUUUCCAUUUUUAAAAGCAUGAAUAUCGGGAAAAAAAAAAAAAAAGAGAAAUACAACGUUUUAGUUUAGUUAUUUUAAAAAUAGGCAUGUUUGAAAAUUAAAAAUUUUUAAAAACUAGCAUCAAGAUGAAAAAUGAAUUUAUAAUAUUUAAAAAUUACCUGAAAUUCUUUCUCCGUUCCUAAUACUAAAUAGUGUAAAUGCAUUUUCAUUAUCUUUGUUUUUCUGGACUUCUAUUUAUUUAUUUAUUUUUGUUUUAAUUUUUUCCUUUUUUUCUUUAACAAAAAAUAUCUAGUAGACAUUCAUGAUUUGUUAUUUUUCAUAAAACAAUUGUAUGAUUUUGACAUACUUUGAAUCUAGUUGAAUGCUACUCUUUAUUUUAAGGUUGGAAUUCCUAGUAGCCUGGUGAAUCUUGAUGUAUCAUACUGUGAAAAAAUAGAAGAAAUCAUAGGACAUGUUGGAGAAGAAGCGAAGGAGAAUCGUAUUGCUUUCAACGAAUUAAAACUUUUGGUACUUGAUCAUUUACCAAGGCUUACCAGCUUUUGUUUGGAGGAUUACACUCUUGAAUUCCCAUCAUUGGAACGAGUUUCUAUGACAUGUUACCCGAACAUGAAGACUUUUUCUCAGGGAAUCGUAUCCACACCAAAGCUGCACGAAGUGCAGGUGAGUAAAAAGGAAGUAUUAAGUUUUAUAUGAAACUGUGAUGUUGUUUGGUUACUAAGAAAAUAGGAAGAAAGAAAACUUCUGUAAGCUGAGAAUUCUGUUAUUAUUGAUCUAAUGAAUCUGGAAAUUACAAGCCUUUUUAUAUGUGCAUAGAAGAUUCUACACACAUUGCACACACGCACAGUUUACUACUAACAACCUCUAUAACAACCUUUAGCUGACUCAGCUGCCAUGUCAGCAUACUCAUUAACUAACUAAUUCUAUUCUUAACAGGAAGAGGGUGAAUUGCGCCGUUGGGAAGGCAACCUUAAUUCCACUAUACAAAAGUGUUACGAAGAAAUGGUAUGUGUUAAAUCGAUUCGUCGAAAUUACUUAUGCAUCUCCCUUGCACUUGCACAUUUGAACAUAUAAGUUUAAUGUAUAUAUAUAUCUAAUGCCUUUCAAGAAAAAAAUUUAUAUAUAUCCAGUGCAAUUGUUUUGGUUUGUGCAGAUUGGAUUUCGUGACAUACAGGAUUUGCAACUCUCACAUUUUCCACGUUUGAAAGAAAUAUGGCAUGGCCAAGCACUGCCUGUCAGCUUCUUCAACAAUUUAGUACGACUGGUGGUGGAUGACUGCACGAAUAUGUCGAGUGCUAUUCCUGCCAAUCUGCUACGGUGCUUGAACAAUUUGGAAUACCUGGCAGUGACGAAUUGUGAUUCACUAGAAGAGGUGCUUCAUUUGGAAGAGCUAAAUGCUGACAAAGAACAUAUAGGUCCCCUGUUUCCUAGGCUUUACAGUCUAAGGCUCACUGAUCUUCCAAAACUCAAAAGAUUCUGCAACUUCAUUGGGAAUAUAAUUGAAAUGCCUGAGUUGGAGAAUCUAACUAUUGAGAAUUGCCCUGAUAUGGAAACAUUCAUAUCCAACUCUGUAGUGCACGUGACAAUAGAUAACAAGGAACCUCAAAAAUUAACAUCAGAAGAGAACUUCUUGCUGGCUCAUCAAGUACAACCUCUCUUCGAUGAAAAGGUGAUUAUUAUUAUUAUUAUUAUUAUUAUUCCCUUCACUUUCGUUCGCAUAGAUGUAAUUUCAUAAGAAUCAAGUCAAAUUUAAUGACUCAUCUUUUUGCAUGUCAUCUUAAUUUAUAUAUGAUUUAACAAUAUAACCGCAGUUAUUAACUAUCUUUAUAGUAUGAAUUAUAAAAAUGUCUGGAAUUAAUUGGAUUCCUGGCAACACGAGGUGCUGAACUAUAUUAAUUAUGUGUGUUAAUUCAUAUUGGAUUUAGGAUCAGAUUUCAUUUAUGUGUUUCAAAGGGUAAUCGAUUUGAUACUUAUAUUUGGGAUCCUACUGCAAAGCAUACUGAUUUGGAAAUAAAAUAUAAAAUGCCGUGAUUAAUCUUGUCCAUAAAAUAUGCAGGGGAAGACUGCAGAGAUUGGAUACAUAUUUUCAUUUCCAACUUAAUUUUGUUGAUUUUCAGGUUGCAUUCCCUCAAUUGAGAUGGUUAAACCUGUCUAGAUUACACAAAGUGCAGCAUCUCUGGAAGGAAAAUGACGAAUCCAACAAAGCGUUUGCAAACUUGGGAAGUCUAGAAAUAUCGGAAUGUAGUAAGUUGCAAAAAUUAGUACCACCUUCGUGGCAUUUGGAAAAUCUUGCGACUCUGGAAGUAUCGAAGUGUCACGGGUUGAUAAAUUUAUUGACGCUCUCAGCAUCUGAAAGUCUAGUGAAUCUUGAAAGAAUGAAGGUAGCUGAUUGCAAAAUGAUAGAAGAAAUCAUACAAUUGCAGGUUGGAGAAGAAGUGAAAGGCUCCAUUGUCUUCGAGAAAAUGAACUACUUGACACUUGAUUGUUUGCCAAGCCUAACAAGCUUUUGUUCGAGUAAUUACACUCUUCAAUUCCCAUUCUUGCAAAAAGUAGUUGUGAGACAGUGCCCAAAGAAGAAGAUUUUCUCUCAAGGAGUCGUAGACACACCAAAUCUAAACAAAGUGAAACUCACCGAAGAAAAAGAUGAUGAUGAUGAUGAAGAAGAUGAUGAUGAUGAAGGAUGUUGGGAAGGCAACCUCAAUGACACCAUAAAAAAAUUGUUCAAUGAAAUGGUGAGUAUCAAUUAAGUUUUGGUGCUAUUUAGCAAAUUAUUUUAUAGAAACUAGUGUGACAUAAUAUGAUUGGUUGACUGAAAAUAUAUAAUAAUAAUAGUAAAUAAAUAAAUUAUGAGGAGCAUGUAAUGUUUUUGUUUAACCAAUCAUAUUAUGUCGCAUUAGUUUAUACAAUAUUAUUUGUGCACAAGAGGUGGUGGUCAUAUCAUUACUCUAGUUUUAUUAUUCUUAUGGUGGCAAUGUAUGCUUGCUUACACGAGUAAUUACAAAAUCUGCAGAAUUCUAAAGAAGAGAUUGAGCCAAUCCUUCAGGUACAGUGAAGAAGCUAUCCCGAACCAGGCCAAUCUCUUAUACAUGAUUUAGCUUGCUCGUUCUUCUGUACUUGAAUAAUUUGGCUCUACAUAUUUACAAUUUUUUGCUCAUGCUACAGACUUGCAAGACACUUUGGAUUUUGUUUGAUGCAUUCUCCGUUUAAGAAAGGACUUGAAUUGAUGUUUCAUGUUUCAUGCAAUAUUCGAUUAGAUUCUGUCUAAAUUUCUGUAUUAUUCGUUCAAUUGGUCUUUUAAGCAUUUGAUUUCUAACCUCUCCUAAUAGAAUAUCAUUAGCCGAUGAAAACAGCAUAACAUUUGUGGUUGUGGCAUUAUCAGAAUAAGAAUAUUUUUUAGUAUAGUAAAAUUAUCUCGACCACUGUUAAAAAGAAUUAAACAGUCAAACUGACCUUCUCACACCAGCACGCUUUAAAUUAAAAGAAUUUCAUGAAGUCAAGACCAUGUUAUAGAUCUUGUGGAAAUAAGUGAACCCGUAAUUUUUUUCACACCAUCAUAAGAAAAAUCAUUUUUUUUAAGUAUUUUUGUUAGCUGUUGAGUUUUAAUAGUAGUAGCUAUUAAACAAUAACAAUUAGUGUAUAUUAAAAAGUUGGAAACUGGUUGAUACCACUCGGGAAUCGAGCAGUUCACUUGUUUGCGAGUAGAAACCAACUUUACUACUAAUUACACUCAUACCAAAAAUAGUGACGAAAGAAUCAGGGAAUUUCCUAUUCACUAUUCUUCAUUUUUUAAUGCAAAAUUCCCAUUCGAAAACACCAAUGACUUUCAUUCAAAGUAAAUGAGAAAUUACAAUGAAAAUAGAAUCAAAAUACAUAUAUGUAUACCUAAAACAAAUGAUUUUUUUAAUUAAAAAAAAAAUACAGUUGAGGUGAAAUGAAACCAGAGUCAUGAUAUCUCUGGUUCCAACUUUGGGACAACAGCAGACUUGAGUUCUAUAUGAGAAACACGUACAGCACCAAUCAGCCGCUCCAGUAAUUCAUCUGUAGUAUUUGCCUGCAUACAGAAGAGCAAGAUAAAGAAGACAAACACAGAAGCAUUAUAUCAUUCUGAGAACAUUCAAGUAUGCAAAAAUGCAAGUUGCAGUGCAAUAUCUCAAAAUCAUGUCUUUUCCCUUGUGUCCAUUUAGCAGUGGGGGAAAAAAACAAUCAUACAUACCUGUACAAGGAAAGCCAUGUCAACCACCAAUGUCGUAAUUACACCAAUUACAAGGCCCAAAACUCCAUUAGCAACAGUAGAAGAAUCGAUGUCAACAUCAAUCUACAGAAAGAUGAACAAUGUUAAACCAUGUUAAAGGUAUUGGACGCUAUUUGAAAGGGGAACAUCUCAUGUACUAUAGAAAUUCCAAGAGCAUUUACUUCUAAGUACUUGGGACCGCGAAUAUAGUUACAAUCAACUGCCUUCCCCAAUAAACAAGGGGUGCUUCCAACACUCUGGCGCACUAUCCAUGACCCCUGCAUGAUUCAGUGCUUAAAAUCAAGAACAAGUGCAAAACAAAUUCAAGAGGGUAAAAAGGACAUAGUUUGAAUCUGAAUCCAAAUCCAUUAAUCCAGAGUUCAUAGCUUGGAUGAAGACUGAUCAACUUCUGUUGAGUUGGAUGAUGUCGUCGAUACAGCAAAAUCUACUUGCUACUGUGAUUGACUCCACAACUUCAAAACAGCUUUGGGAGACUCUUACUAGUAUGUUUAUUUCUUAAUCACAAGCUAGAAUCCAAACACUUAGAAUGCAGAUUCAAACUAUUAAGAAAAGUGCAAUGCAUAUGUCUGAUUACUUUGCAAAAGUAAAACGUAUAGCUGAUACUUUAGCUCUAGCUGGAAAACCUGUUGAGUUAAGUGACCUUGUGAUGCAUGUAUUAACCGGUCUUGAUUCAUCAGAUUAUGAAUCUUUAGUCACAGCUAUUUUAGCUCGAGGUGAGAAGAUAACAUUAGAUGAACUAUAUCCUUUGCUGUUGAAUCAUGAAAAUAGAGUUGAGCAAAAGAAAGGAAAAAUUGCUGGUGAUGUGAUGCACAAUAUAACAGCAAAUAUUGCUCAGAAGAACUCAUGCUGGAAAGAAUAAUGGCAAUUUUCAAAAAAAUUAUGGAAAUAAUUCUGGAGGUGGAAAUAAUUCUAGGUAUGGAGGUUUUAAUGGAUAUGGAUAGGGUCAGUUUAAUAAUGGUGGUAAUUCCUUUGAAAUUGUUUGUCAAAUCUGCUUAAUACCUGGUCAUGCAGCCAAUAGAUGCAAAAAUAGGUACAAUUCAUCUUUUGUUCCACAAAGAAACUAUGGCAGAGGUAAUAUGAAUGGUGUCAGAGGUUUUAAUCAAGGGCAAUAUGGUAGAGGAAGAGCUUUUAAUGGUAAUGGUGGCAGAGGUUUUGGAGGUUUUGGUUUAAAUGCCGGUUUUGGCUAUGCACCCAGGGGUUUUGGCUAUCAAGGAAAUAUAGUGUAUCCAGAUAGGAAUCCUUCUGCUUAUUACUCAUUCACCCUUGGACCAUCUACUUUUGUUUCUGGUCAAGGAAAUAAUAAUCCUGGACAGUCAAGUGCUUCAUCUUCCUCAGCUAUGCCUUCUUCACUUCCACCAGAACACAUUGAAGAUCCUUCAUGGUAUAUUGAUAGUGGAGCAACAAAUCACAUUACAAAUUAUCUAGGUAAACUUCUGGAUUCACAAGUUUAUACUAGUACUGAAAAAUUGUUUGUUGGAGAUGGAAAUGCAUGAGCUAUUACACAUGCAGGAUCAGUUGUGCUAAAUACUUCAACUUCUAAACCUUUAAGAACCAUCUUCUGCAUGUCCCUUUUAUUACUAAGAAUUUGCUUAGCAUUUCAAAAUUAUUGGCUGACAAUCCAGUUAUUGUUGAAUUUCUUGGUGAUUUGUGUUUUAUAAAGGCUAGGAACACAGGGAAAAUUUUACUUGAAGGUGUUGCUAAAGGUGACUUGUAUAGAGUCUCUUCACAUGUUGCUGCUCAUUCAGUCUUUCUCAUUUCAGUUGGUCAAAAUAAAACUCACUCUCUUUGCUUGUUCUCCUGUUUUCAAUUCUGAUCAGCUCACUGCUGUUAGUUCUUAUGAAUUGAAUAAAAAGUCAUGUCUGUCAGUUGUUACAAAGAGUUCUAUUGAUGUAAAUCUUCUUCAUAGAAGAUUAAGACACCCAGCAUCUUAUACUCUCAAAACUAUACUCAAAACUUGUAACAACUCUACUGCUUAUAAUAAAAUUGAAAGCUUGAAAUUUUGUUCAGCAUGUCAAUAUGGGAAAAAUCAUAUGCUGCAUUUUGAUUCAGUUGAAACAAAAACUUCAGCACCCUUACAAGUGAUAUAUGCAGAUCUUUGGGGUCCUUCUCAUGUCUAUUCUACCCAAGGAUAUAAUUACUACUUAUCAAUCUUAGAUGAUUAUAGUAGAUUUACCUGGAUAUUUCCAUUGUCAGCCAAAUCUGAUGCUCUUGAAGUGUUUACCAAUUUCAAAAUUUUUAUUGAAAAGCAUCUUCAACUUCAAAUCAAAACUGUCCAAACUGACUGGGGAGGAGAGUUCAGAACACUUUCCUCAUUACUCACUGCUUCUGGUAUCCAUUUUAGACACCCUUGCCCACAUAUUCAUCAUCAAAAUGGAAGAAUUGAGAGGAAACAUAGACACAUAGUUGAUGUAGGUCUGACCUUAUUAGCUCAAGCACAUUCACCACUCAAAUUUUGGUGGAAUGCAUUCCACACAGCUGUCUAUUUGAUAAACAGACUUCCAACUCCAGUUCUAAACAACAUUUCUCCUUUCCAAAAGUUAUUUCAUCAUCAACUAGAUUAUUCAACACUUAAAACCUUCGGUUGUGCUUGUUAUCCAACACUCAGACCAUACAAUAGACAUAAGUUUGAUUUCAGAACUGCCAGAUGUAUAUUCAUUGGCUACAAUUCACAACACAAGGGAUAUCAGUGUCUUCACUCUUCUAAGAGGGUUUACAUUUCAAAUCAUGUCACCUUUGAUGAAAAUUCUUUUCCUUGUGAGUCUGGAGCAGAUUUUUCUUCACUCUCUUCAAGUUGUCAGUCAACAAAAAACUAUAAGUCUUCUUUCAAUUCCUCUGUUCCUUCUGUUACUCAGUUACAAGCACCUUUAGCAGCAUCAUCAGAACACCAUCAAAAUGUUCAUCAUUUAGAUGCUCCUACUCCCUCACCAAAUUCUACUCCACUUUAUUUUUCUGAUAAUUCCAACUCAGCUUCUUCUUCUUCACCACCACAUAAUUCACCUCCACAUACAUUGCCACAACCUGCAUCAACUGGUCAUCCAAUGAUAACCAGGUCAAAAGCAGGUAUUUUCAAGCCAAAAAUUUAUUUGUCAGCUUUAUUAGCCCAAAAAUCAGAACCAACUUCUGUUUCCCAAGCACUUUCUGAUCCUAUGUGGUAUAAGGCUAUGCAAGAAGAGUAUCUAGCACUUAAAACUAAUCACACCUGGGAUUUAGUUUUACCUGCUACUCCAGUGAAGAUAGUUGGCAGCAAAUGGGUGUUUCGAAUAAAGUAUAACUCAGAUGGUUCAGUUUCAAGAUAUAAAGUCAGGCUUGUUGCAAAGGGGUUUCAUCAGACACAUGGGAUUGACCAUACAUAAACUUUUAGUCCAGUGGUUAAAGCUUCAACUGUUAGAGUUAUUCUUAGCUUAGCAGUAUUGAAUCAAUGGGUGAUUAGGCAAGUAGAUGUUAAUAAUGCCUUUCUAAAUGGCAUUUUAAUUGAAGAGGUGUACAUGGCUCAACCUGAAGGUUUUGUUGACUCAACUAAACCUAAUCAUAUCUGCAAGCUGAAUAAAGCUUUGUAUGGCUUAAAACAGGCACCCAGAGCCUGGUUUGAUAGAUUCAAGGAUGCAAUGAUCUCUAAACAGCAUUUCCAACAUUCAAGGUCUGAUAACUCUCUGUUUCAUGCCUGGAACAGUGGUCAUCUAACUCUUGUUUUGGUCUAUGUUGAUGAUAUUAUCAUCACUAGUUCCAGUCCAACACUAAUUCAGCAAGUUAUUCAGAGUAUGAAUCAAGCCUUUGCUUUAAAAGACAUGGGGGAACUUAGCUAUUUUCUGGGGAUUGAAGUCAGCAAGUCUUCAUAAGGGGUUUCCUUGACACAAGCAAAGUAUAUUACUGACAUUCUAGAUAAACAUGGCAUGACAGAUUGCAGUCGUGUGCCUACUCCAAUGUCUACUGGUUAUUAUCUCACAAAAGAAUCAGGAGAGCUAAUUGAUAAUGUUUCUCAAUAUAGGAGUGUUAUAGGAGCUCUUCAAUAUGUUACUCUUACCAGACCUGACAUUGCUUUCUCUGUAAACAAGCUAAGUCAAUUCCUUUCAAGUCCUAGAACACAACAUUGGGAAGCAUGCAAAAGGUUAUUGAGGUACUUAAAAGGCACUAUACAUCUUGGGCUGCAAUUUAAUAACAAAGGAGCUUUGCAACUACAUUGUUUUUCAGAUUCUGACUAGGCUUGUGAUCGUGAUGAUAAGAAGUCACUGGUUGGCUUUGCUGUUUACCUAGGCCUUAAUCUAGUCUCAUGGUCAUCAAAGAAACAAGCUGUUGUUUCCAGGUCCAACACAGAGGCUGAGUAUAGAUCUCUUGCUCAUGCUGCUUCAGAGGUUCCCUGGAUACAAUCUUUACUUGGUGAACUUAACAUCAAAUUGAGCUCUACUCCUAUGAUGUGGUGUGAUAAUCAAGAAGCAAUUGCUUUAGCUUACAAUCCAGUCUAUCAUGCUAAAACUAAGCAUGUCGAAUUGGAUAUACAUUUUAUCCGAGAUAAAGUUACUGCUAAAGAGAUUGAAGUAUGUUUUGUGCCCAGUCAAGAUCAAACAGCAGAUGUGUUGACUAAGGCUUACUUUCAAACAGUUUAGUUACUUAAGAAGCAAGCUGAAUGUUCAUCCUAAACAUUUCAGCUUGAGGGGGGAUGUAGUGAAUUGAAUGAAGUUGGAGCAAAGCAUGAUGUUGCUGUGUAGCUGACUGUAGCAGAUCAACUCACUAGGCUGACCUGGCAAAGUUAGUUAGCUGGUUGAGCUGAUGUGUCAAAUUAGUUAUGCAGCAAAUGGUUAUGUGAUGUAAAAAACUUGUGUGUGUGUUGAGCAAAUUGUAGCUUAAUAUAAAUAUCAGUCUGUAUUCAUUUAGUUGUAAUGCUAGAGUAAUAAAGGUUCUACAAACUUCUUUACAGCGCUUUCUUUUAUUUUCUUUCAUUUUCUAGCUUGCCAAACAAUACAAAACUAAGUUUCUUUCGGAAAAGGAAAAAUAAAAAGAAAAGAAUAGUUACUUGUGCAGUACAGCCUUGACGCCUAGCUACAUGGUCCAUUCUCUGUGUCUUUGAACCAAUCAACAGCAACAAGAUCCAUUAAAUGUUUUCCCGCAGGUAUCUGCAGUUACAAAUUGCACAAAGCACAAGAGCCAACCAAACUACAUCAUAACCUGUCGACCUAGCAUAUGCAGGAUAUAUAACUACCAUAACAAACAACCAAAAUAUGGGGGAACCUUUGUUUUGUCAUAACAAAAAUGCUUGCUACGAACUCUAAAGUUAUUUCCACCAGAAAGUUUCCAGCAGUCACGAGCAUUAUCACAGUCAUCGUGUCGCAGAUUGCCUGAAAAAUAAGAAAAAUCAAUUUGAUCAGCCUGCUCUUCCUCUAGGGUAGCAACUAAUUGAAAAUUAUAAACCAAAAAAAAAAAUCAAUACCAUAAAAAUCCACUAAUGAGGACAUUAGCCAAAUAUACAAAAAUGAAUACUUAUCAUCCACCUGUCCUCUUGAAAUCAUUCUCAAUCUUUUUUUCAUUUGAUGGCAGGAAUUAUUGAAAUUGGAGCCAUUUUUUUUGUGGGAAUUGAAAUAUAUUCUUUAAAUUAUUACAUAAAUAGCAAAAUGUACAUACACACACAUAUAUAUAAUUCAUAUAUAAAAAUUCUCUAAUUUGUUCACAAGUACCAUAGAUUAUAAUUCAGUUAUGAAAUAAAAUAACUACAAUAAUUAUAGUUAAAUGAAUACUUCAUUAAUUCUUAAUUUGCUUCCUAACAUUAAAUGAACAACUUGAGUCAGCCACCUGAAUCAACCAGUAACAACGCCUGAGUCAACCAUCUGAAAAAACCAGCAACCCUAGCUGAUUCAAGCACCUGCAAUUAACAUCAACACAACAGGAACAAUCAUAAAUCAGCACCAAGAACAGACCAAACUGCCAUCAAAUGCCACAAAACCAAACAGUCUGCUACUGCCAUCAAAUGCAAGCAAACAUAUGCAACAAAACCAGAUGCAAGUGAAAUUCUGGAGAAUAUCGGAUAAACCAAACCAAAUGCCACACUUCUAGUAAUUAGACUAGAUGCAGUGUUCAAUUAAACUAAAUGUAGUCUCAUAUUACAUUCAAAUUUUCUAAAAAAACCAGUGUUCCAUCAGAGAAGCACCAAAACCAAACCAAUCUAAUCCAGCAUAAUUACCAGCUCAACCCAAAACAAUUACACAUUAUAUUGACAUAUCAAAAUUCGCUAUCAAAACAUAGCCAAAUAAAUGACAAUAAACUGAAAACAGACCCGAACCAACUGAUGUUGCAGCCCUAGUAGUCAUUGUGCGUUCCACUGCCAUAGGAGCGAGGGUAGGCUCCGUUGUUGAUGAGUGAGUAAGAUAAGGCUCCAAAUCAAUAGUUCCACCUCCUUUCUGCAAUUCAAAAAACAGAAAUUCAUAUAUGUAAAACUAUUAAAAAGUGUGAAACAACCUGUAAGUAUUCAACUUCUGUCAACUCAAUAGCACUUACUAAAGUUUUUAUACAGAAGAAAAAGGCAUUUUAAGUCCAAAAAAUUAGAAUUAUUGGUUGAACUCCAACUCCAUCAAUCCAUGCAACCAUCCAACCUUUAACGAAAAAAUGAAGCAUAAUUAACAAGACAUCUGAAUCAGAAAGAUUGUGCUUUGAUUUGGCACGAGGUGUUGGAAACAACUUAACAAAUCUAGACACAAUCUAUAACCAUCAAGUCCAAACAAAAGUCAGGAUCUAAAAUACUUUGAAAAAUCAGAAAAACCGCAAAAUAUCAGUUUCAAUUUCUUUUUCACCCAUUGUAAGCUCAAACUGAAGGUAGCGGCGCUACCUUUAAACAUCAUUUGGGCUUAUACAUGUGACAUUUGCUCAUGAACAACUAAAGUUGAAUAAGAUUUUUAUAUGAAACGGAAUAUAAAAAGUCAAAGUAGAAUAUGACAGGACCAACAAUAUAUUAUUCAGCAUUAGCAUUAUGUAUAAAAUAAAUUUAGAGGCAUCAUAUUCAUUCACAAUCUUGCAGAGGUAAUACCAGAUUAUGGCACGCAACUCUUGAAUAGCAGAUAAAGGAGGAGAUGCAGUGGGAAGGUAGUAACUUGCUUGCAUGAGAACUAAAAAGUAAUAUCCCAAGAUCAAUUAUAGAUCUCAUAAAACAAAAACAGUGAGGCAAACACAAUUAUUGUGAACAAUUAUUCAUAGAACCACAUAGCAGCAACAAGAUCAAAGUCAUCUGUGUAUAAAUCGAUUCCCCACAGCUGACUGCCUCUGACCUAAACAUAAUGAAAUUACAUAACUAAGAAGUAGAGUCAUAAAAUAUGCUGCUGUAACAGCUAUCAAUAAAUUUCCAGACAAAUGGAAUUUGAUAUGUAAGGCUAUAACUAGCAACACUUCAAAAUAAUUUGAAGUAGCAUGAUCUUACUUUAAGGAUCAAUACUACAAUCUUUCAGAAAAAUUAAAGUCUAACCAAAAUUAAAACCUUAAACAUACUAAAAUCUGGUAAAUAGACCUAUAGGAAUUCCAAUGACCUCCAAAAUAUUUGAAAGAAAAAUUAAUUUACAGCAAAAAAUGUUAAAGAUUUGUAAAAUGGAGGCCCAUACUACUAUUCAAAUUACAAAAGAGGAAAGGGAGCUGGCCAUUAAAUGAUAAAGGCAUGCAUAAAGAAAUACGAGCACCACAUUAAAUGAUAAAGGCAUGCAUCGAGAAAUACAAAAAAUAUGCCCAUAAAGACGUCCACUCAAGCCUUAUAAGCGGCUUUAUGCAAAGGAAAGCCAAUUAGUUAACAGUAAAUGAAUUUCAAGGUGCAAUAAUUAAACUCCCUGAUCAGCACAUUUAAGGUUCAUGCAUUUCUACAAAACAUGUAAAUCAUAAGAACUUUUUUGGUCCAAAUGCUAACCAGUAAUUAAGUAGAUUAUCAAAGUAGUCACAGAACAAGCACCACAUUGAUUGCUAUGCAAAAGAUGAAAGUAAAAGUUAAUACUUUAUUUUAUUUUACUUUUCGAGAGUUUUGAUCAUCAUGUGCAAAAUAGUAGUAUAACUUGCUCAGUGUUAUCUCAAAAAGCUUGCUUAAAAUACCUAUUAGCACCAGUCCAAGUUGUCAAAUAAAUCCUUAUCUAUCCAUUCAUCUCUGACCUUGCCAAAAAGAUUUAAACGAGCAUCUAUAUUCUCACUCCAAUCUUUCACAAUCAUAGGCUUUAACUUAGACCAGUUCUUCAAUAUCCCUUCCACUGUGAGCCCCUCGAAAACCUUGUAAAUUGAAUCACAUUUGUCGUCAGUUUCAAAUCCAUCUGUCAAAAGGCUAAGCAAAUGAAUAUACAAUCAACACCAUUCUUCCAAACGAAUAUACAGUCAACACCAUUCUUCUAAACACAAACAAAGUUUGAACGUAUGACAGAUUUUUAGCCAUUUAAUAUUCCAUCAAAUAUAAUUAGAUCACACCUACCAAGGAUUUUUGAAAAGAAUGCAUUCUCAUCUUAAGCAGCAACCUCACUAGUAACACAUUUUCAUACCCUGUUUCCACCUCUGGUCGCACCACCAAAAAAAAUUCAGUACUAAUUAGCUUUAAUAUGUAAAUUUUCGCUUAGUUUAAGCUAGGGUUUUCUUUCGAUUGAAACAGAGGAAAGCUUUUGGGUUAUUAAAGUGAAAGAUAUGGAAUAAUACAAAAAAUUAUUGAAGUGAAAGAGCAGGAAUACAAAAAAUCAGCAGAUGAGAUCGUUGAAAGAUGCGGAGGUUUGUAUAUAAAUAUUAAAUUGAUCGUUGAAAGAUGUAUAAACCUCCAUAAAAUUGAGUUACGACUUGAAGGAUUGUAUAUAAACAUUAAAUUGAUCUAAUUUAACUUGUAUGUAAACACUAAAUUGUAUAUAAAUACACAAAACAGAACCAUAUCAGUGUUGGAAAAAAAAUAAGAAUCCAGAGUUAUAUAAAUUCAAUAAAAAAGUAUUGAAUUUUUUAUUACUAACUUUGAACACUCUAAUUUCAAUAAAAAAAAUAUAUUACUAAAAUAGUCUUAAUUGAAUUUAAUAUUAAAGAUAUUAGAAUAACUCAACACUAAUAUUCUCAAAUAUAUUUCUCUCCAUAGUCUAAUCUAAUCCAUUCUAAGAAUCCUAUAGAAAAUCUAUUAUUUACUUUUUCCUUAUUAAACACAAAAACAUGUCAUUUUGUUGCUAACUAAAAUUUUGGAACUAACAACAGCAGAUUAACUAAAAUUAUCAGGAAAAGAAAUCAAACAGGAUUUUAAUCGUCAUCAUCUUCACUCUUGCCUUUUUCUUUUUCUUCACACAUGUGGCUUGCACACGCAUUCCCCUCUCUCAUCCUUAGGGCCGCCCUUCAACAAUAUCCAAUCAUCGAUUAUAAUUAUUUAGAUUGACCAAAUCAAGCUUUGAUCAUAUAUCGGUUGAGGUUAGAAGUAGGCAGGCAGCAACGACAAUACUAAUUAAUAUCUCAUGAGAAUUUUAAAAAAGAAUCUAACGUUGCCCAAUUCGUUUGAUUUCAAUGAAAUCUUUCUCCUACCUAUACUUUCGCAUAUUCUCUUUUAUUUCCAAAGUUAAGGUUAUGGAUGUUGUAGAGUAAAAAGAUGAACAUUGCUAGGAAAGCAAUAAAAGGAAAUAAAUAAAAAUUAAAAAUAUAAAAAGAGUUAAGUCAUUUUUUUUGUCUAUUAGUGUUUUUGUAUUUAAUAACGAAAGAUAAAAAUGAAGUAAAUAUUAUCUGUUAGAUUAUUAAAAUACAUACUUAAAAUGUUUUAGUGACAAUCUAAUUAUAAAUUAAGGGUCUAUUUGAGAUUGAGAUUGAACAGUUAAAAUGUUAUAGUUGUUGUAGUUUAGAAGUUAAGAUGAUUUGAUUUUACACUUAUAUGAUAAAAAAUUAUUAUAUCUUUAUUAAUUUUAUCAAAAUUAUUAUUAAAAAAACUAAAUUUAUUAUAUACUAUUAAUUUUUAUUUUAUACUUAAAAUUUUUUUUUUCUUACGGCAAAAGUUUUAGCACCUCAAUACCCAACCAAGUCUAAAACUGCACAAUAAUAAUUAUGAGUGUGCAUGUUAAAAUCUACACACAUUCUUUAAUUUCAAUCAACAGUGUUACAAACUUAGUUAAAAUAUUAUAUCUGAAAUUAUUGAGGGGAAAAAAAAAGAAAAAAGAAUGUUGUUUUCAUGAUAGUGACAUGCGUCGUGCACAUUUUGCUGUUGGCUCUUUGGUCUCUAACCUAGCGAAUAGGUUGCUGUGUCCUCGUUGUUAGAUGCCCGAACCCAGCGCAAGAACUUUGUACGAUACCAUAUAUUUUGUAUGAAUUUAAGCUGAAGUUGGUACCUUUUAUUGUUUUAUAUCAUGACAUCAGGGAAAUUUUUAAUAGAUCUUCAUUUUAGGCUAAAGUACCCGAACAAUAGUUCCCAUGCACUUUGUGAUCUUUUUACAAAAUAUUAAACUAAAUAGCUGUGGAAGUAACAAAGAGGGCAACUUUUUACCAUAAUGUGAUGAAAAUAAUUUAUUUGUUGUCAUCACGAACUAACCAAAUCAAAACAAAAAACUAACUCAAAUCUGUGCGUCUAGUAACUUAUAUGAUGAUCAUUAGAUCUUGUUCUUGUUAAUGCGUCUAGUAACUUAUAUGAUGAUCUGAUGAUAUCCGUAACAUUAACAUACCCAUAAUCCAUUAUUUUAUAAUUAUAAAAAUUGAAGAUUCGGUCAUGCAAUUUUGUAUGAUGAACAGUGUUUCAUUUUUCUGUGAAACAUAAGAACAAUUUGUAAAUAAUGUCCAUGCGGACCUUGUAAUAGCGAAGCAUCAUUAUUGAUCUUACUUUGAUGAUCGCACUUUAGUUUCUUUUUAAAGUGCCUUUUGUUUAUUUUAUCGGCAUCCGCUUUUACAAAAGUUUUGGUCCUCGUUCAUUCAUCAAAGCUUCUACUUUUAUCUUUUAUUAGGCAUCUUAUAAAAAGCUUAAUUUAAUUGGAUUCAUGUUCGAUAUGAAGAUUGUUUUACUUACUUCAAUCUUUCAAUCAACCGAAUUUAUUCUUUUCUGAUCUGGAAAUUAUUCAUGAAAAAAUAGGCGCGUCAGUAGGACAACAGGGACCAAGUACAUAAUAUGAAAAUUCAUUUGUAUUGCUUACUCUAAUAAGCUCUUAAACUCACACAUUCCUCUGCAGUUACCAGUGAUCUUUUGCUCACUAAAAUUGUUAAUAUAUAUUCAAGGUGAAUAAAGAAACUCAUCAUCCCAGAUAAUUAAAGAGGUGAACUUGUUCUAAAUCCUUUAAUAAUUUCUAUUAAUAGCAUAUAUAAUCUCUAAUCCUUGAUCUUGAUAGUAGUUCUUUCUUAAUGUCCAAGAAAAAUAUCUCUCAUUUGUCUUAAUCUUGUCAUUUAAUUUUCUUGAAUUCUGAGUUAGUGUUUAUUGUUAAAUUCGGUUUUCGGUUAGUAGCUGUUGGUUAAUAGCUUCGGUUAAUCCUUGAAUUAAACAUAUUAAAAUCUAAUCAUAAACCCGCCUUUCCCUAUUUUACGACACCCUUUGUGUAAUAGUGACUUCAAAAGUGUAACAUAUUUUUGAACAAUUGCAAGGAAAGAACAUAUUUGACACUUCACGAAACGGUAAAUAUAUAAGCUUCAAUUCUUGUACAACAAAUUAAUAUAACCAACAUCAACCGUCAAUUGAUCAAUAAUUCAGUAACAAAAAGGGACAGAUAUCCUAGUCUUUCUUUACUAAUGAAGCAAGCCAUUAAACUUCGAAAGCUAUUUCUAUUUCCACAUUCUUCAUGUACCAAAGCCAAAAAAAAAAAAAAGCAACAAAAAUUUGGAAGUAAUCAUCUUUAUUCAGCAGCAUGCAUAUUAAUUAAAACAUAUUCAAAAAGAGAUAUACAAUAUCAGGUCUGGAGACGAAAUGAGCCCACAGAGACUACCAAUAAUGUAGUGGCUUGAUUAAAAAUAUUAAUCAAGCCACUACAUUAGAAGAACAAGAGUUAAUCAUGCAUAUUAAUUAAAAAUAUUUUUGCUAUCAUCCACCUGUUCUCUCUAAAUAGUUGCCACUUUUUUUUUUCGUUUGUCUGAAAUUCCAAGCAAAAAUAUAAUUAGAAGAACAAGAGUUAAGGGUUAAAAAAAUGGAAAAAUAGGGCUCCUCUGUUUUCAUUCCCCUGUUUUUCUGUUCGGUGAUUACAAAGAUUUAAAUCAAAAUUUAUGAUGCAGGCUACACGGCACCUGGUGGAAGACUGCUAGGGUUUACCUUUUAUUGUUAGUUAGAAAUUUAAUUUAGAAUUUGUAGUGUUUGCCUUAUAUAAGUAGGUUUCCUAAUAGUAAAAUUAAAUAAUCAAGUUUAUGAUGCACUAGGAUAUGGUUGUGAUAAAUGAGCUUUUUAUGUAUCCUGUGAGGCUGAUUAUUAUUUUAUUACAUUGAAGAUUCAGUCAUCUCUUGGUAGUCUUGUGAAUCAAGCGGAUUUAGUUAGUAGUAGGUAAUACUCUGGACUUCACAUAGUAAACGGAAUGGAGCAUUAUUUUAUCCCGCUAAAUCAGUUUUUUUUUUAAUUAAAAAAUAAUUCAUCAAACACUUUAUAGCUCUGGUUUUAAGUUGGUAAACACUUUAAGCCGCAACUUUAAAUUCAGUUUACGAGAACUCCUAACAGUCACUGUGGCUUGGGUAGAAAUGAAUAUACUAGCAUAAGUAAUGCUACCCAGGAAAUGUAGUUGAACCUAACCAAACUAAAACCAGAUGAUGAAAGCUUAUAUACGCCAAGAGAUUUAUUCGUUUCUGAGUUUGUUUCCAGAAACCCGGAACCUCCCCUGUUUCUACAAACACGGCACCUUUGUUUUCAUUCCCCUGUUUUUCCAUUUGGUGAUUGUAAAAAUCUAAAUCUAAAUUCUUGAUGCAGUCUACACGGCACCUGCUAGAUGAUUGUUUGGGUUUAUCUUUUAUUCUUAAUUAUCAAUUUAAUUUAGAUUCGUAGUGUGCACCUUAUGAAAGAUUAAAUAGAAUAAUGUGAAAAAAAAAGAAUGCCUUUGUUAAUUUUGACUUCAUAAUGUUGCAGUAACCGUCCUCUCUUAUCAUUCCCCUGUUCUUUGGUUUAGUGAUUGCAAAUAACAUUCUUUUCAUCUACUCUUUAUUUAUUUAUUUUUAAUUUUUAACUCAUUAAUUCUUGUUCUUCUUAAAGCGUUUAGUAAAUUAUAUGAUCACCUGAUCAAAUCCCUCACAUUAACAUACAACAUAACUAACAAAGUGUUGGCUCCACUGGCAAUGGAGUCUCCUCAAGUGGCUUAACUGGAUUUGCUCUCCAGUUCGACUCGCAAGGAAGUCGCCUUUGUUGGGAAAACUUGUACCAAAAACUCUGAUCUGUUGGCUUUGUAUCAGUAUUGCUUGUUUGUUGUCUUUUAUUUCAUUAUUUGUAUCUAAGUUUAUUUGAAGAUUACAGAUCAGCAGGAAAAGCCCUUUUUCUAAAGCUAACUAUACAGAUUUUAGAAUAGGGCUCAACCACAUGAAAAUAUUUACGUUGUAAUAUCUCAUAUUAAUAAUCUAAAAACAACCAAUCCAACAAGUUCAAAUUCAGUCAAAUCUAAAAAAAAAUUGCUUUUAAGGAGUACAUGAUAGCUAUUAAACUUUGGUUAAAGAUCUUUUGGGCAAACGUGAAAUUCAGUCAAUCAUAAAUCAACCAAUCCAACGAGUUCAAAUUCAUCACUUGCAAAAUUAAGUUUUCUUCCGAAAUUGAGUUUUUUCCAGUAGAAAUUUUCCCGCAGUCACGAGCACUAUCAUCAAAACAAGAUUAUUAACAUAAGAACAAGAGUUGAGGAAAAAAAUAUCUGUUUAUAUGGACACGGGGUGCACGCUUUAAGUCUUGUUCUUUUACAAUUCAAUUGUAUUGCUUACUCCCAUAAACUCCUUACUCACAUUCUUCUGCAGUUAACAGUGAUCUUUUGCUCAUUAAAAUUUUUCUUAUAUAUCGAAGGCCAAGAGUGAAGCUCAUAAACUCUGUGAUCCUAGAUAACCGAAGAGGUGCGUUUGUUCUAAAUACUUUAAUAAUUUCUUUCAAUCGCAUAAUUUCUAAUCUUUGAUCUUGAUAGCAGUUGUUUCUUAAUGUCCAACAAAAACUAUCUCUUGUUUGUCUUAAUCUUGUCAUUUAAUUUUCUUGAGUUUUAAGUUACUGUUUAUUGUUAACUUCUGUGUUCUUAUGCAGUAUUAUUAAUGGUUAAUUUGCAUCCAUCUUCCAAAAAAGUUUUCUUUCUUCAUAAAAUUGUUGGUUUUCCAUUCAGGCCCCUGAAACCUUUUUCUAAAAAGUUUUUUGUUGUCGUUUCUUUCUUUUUCUUCCCCGCUAGUUCAUUUAAUUUAUUUGAAUCCAUUUUUUUUUCAACAGCCAAAAACUAGAUAUUUAUAGUUAAGCAACAGGCAAUGGCUAUAGAAGCGUGUCUGGCUUUUUUAACCAACUGUGUAUCAGAAGGUGCAAAGUCACUGUUCAACCCUAUUACACGGCAGAUAUCUUAUGUGUUCAAGUACCAGAGCUACAUAGAUGAGCUAAAAGAUCAAGUGAAGCAGCUGGGAUAUAAGAGAGAAAUGGUGCAGCAACCAGUUAAUCAUGCUAGGCUACAAGGGGAUGAGCUUUUUGAGGGUGUCACAGACUGGCUACAUAGCGUUGAUGAAUUCAUCAGUGAAGGGGUUGCAAAAUCCAUUAUUGAUGAUGAAGAUAGAGCUAAGAAGUCCUGCUUCAAAGGAUUAUGCCCAAACUUGAUUUCUCGUUACAAGCUUAGUAAACAAGCAGCAAAGGCGGCAGAAGCUGCCGCUAGUCUCGUGGGAAAAGGCAACUUCUCCAAUGUUUCCUACCGUCCUGCUCCAAAGCGGGCAGAACAUAUGCAAGUGAAAGAUUUCGAGGCGUUUGAUUCAAGAAUGAAAGUAUUUCAAGAUGUUGUGGAGGCGGUGAAGGAUGACAAGGUCAACAUAAUUGGGGUCUAUGGGAUGGGCGGCGUGGGCAAAACCACGCUGGUCAAACAAGUUGCAAACCAAGUGAUGGAAGAUAAGUUGUUCGAUAAGUUCGUUAUGGCCGAGAUAACACAGACCCCAGAUCAUCAUAAAAUUCAAGACAAACUUGCUUUUGAUUUAGGCAUGGAAUUUGACUUGAAUGAGAAUGAAUUUCAAAGAGCUUCUCGACUGUGUCAAAGGUUGAAGCAAGAGAAGCGGCUCCUCAUUAUACUGGAUAAUAUUUGGACAAAACUUGAGUUGGAUGCGGUUGGAAUUCCUUCUGGAGAUGUGGAUGAGAAAGAUAGAGAGGACGAUCGGAGAAGACUCACAAUAAUAUUGACGUCUAGAAGUCGAGAUUUAUUGCGCAAUGAUAUGAAAUCUCAGAAGGAUUUCUCAAUUGAAGUUUUAUCAAAGGAAGAAGCAUUGCAAUUGUUUGGAAAGAUAGUGUGUAAUUCUGCAAAAGCAUCUGCUUUUCAACCUUUAGCAGAUGAGAUCGUUGAAAAAUGCGGAGGAUUGCCUGUUGCACUGAUUACCCUUGCAAAAGCUUUGAAAAAUGAGAGGCUUGACACUUGGAAGGAUGUGCUGCGUCAGCUAAGAAGUUCCAAUGCAAAAGAAAUUGAUGGAAUGGAAAGAAAUGUGUACAUCUCCAUAAAAUUGAGUUACGACUUACUGGGAAAUAAGGAAGCAAAAUCUCUGUUCCUUCUUUGUGGUCUAUAUACUGAAGGUGAUGUCAUACACGUUUCUGACUUAUUGAGAUAUGGUAUGGGUAUGGGCUAUUUUAAAAACGUUUACACACUGGAAGAAGCAAGGAGUAGAGUGCAUACGUUGAUCGGUAAACUCAAAUCUUCAUGCUUAUUGUUGGACGGUGAUGCCGAAGAUGAAGUUAAAAUGCAUGACAUCAUUCAUGCUGUUGCUGUAUCAAUUGCAGAAGAGGAGCUCAUGUUUAAUAUUCCAAAUGUUGCCUACGUGGAGAAAAAGAUGGAAGAGACAAUACGGGAAGGUCCAAUAGCUAUUUCUUUACCUUAUAGAGAUAUUCAAGAGCUUCCCGAAAGGUUGGAAUGUCCCCGUCUCGAGUUACUUUUGUUGUUUUCAAAGCGUGAUAGCUCUUUGCAAAUUUCAGACCUCUUUUUUCAAGGGACAGAAGAACUCAAAGUUUUAGAUUUUACUGGAAUAUUUUUCUCUUCAUUACCUUCAUCACUUGGUUGCCUCAUUAACGUUCAAACAUUAUGUUUAGAUGGUUGCCGACUGAACGAUGUAACUAUAAUUGGACAGCUAAGGAAAUUAGAGAUUCUCAGCUUCCGAGAUUCUGAUGUUAACGAGUUGCCACUUGUAAUUGGACAAUUGACGAGAUUACAGUUGCUAGAUUUGAGCAAUUGUAGCAGCCUUGUGGUGAUAGCUCCAAAUGUCAUAUCAAAAUUAUCUCGAUUAGAAGAACUAUAUAUUGGUAACAGCUUUUCACAGUGGGAGAACGUUGAAGGAGGAAGUAACGCCAGUCUUGUUGAGUUGAAGGGGUUGUCAAAGCUAACUACUUUGGAGAUACACGUUCGGGAUGCCGAAAUUCUACCGCAGGAUUUGGUCUCUGUGGAAUUGCAAAGCUAUAGGAUAUGUAUAGGAAAUAAGUGGUGGAGCAGCUGGUCCGUUAAAUCUGGAUUAUCAAGAUUGAUGAAGCUCCAGGGGCUAGAAAAGUUUGGCAUUCUUUUGCAGAAUUACAGGAUGAAACUGUUGUUGAAGAGAACUGAAUAUCUCUAUCUAGGAGAACUGAAGGGUGUUCAGAAUGUUGUUCAUGAAUUAGAUGAUGGGGAAGGUUUUCCACGAUUGAACCAUCUUUCUGUAAAAAGUUGUUCUGAGAUUUUGCAUAUUGUCUGUUCAGUUGGACGGGUUCGUCGCAAAGUCUUCCCCUUGCUGGAGUCAUUGUCUCUUCGUCGUUUGAUCAAUUUGGAGACAAUAUGUGACAGCCAACUCACAGAAGAUCAAUCUUUCAGCAACUUAAGGAUUAUAAAAGUAUCAGACUGUCACGAAUUGAAGCAUCUUUUCUCAUUCUACAUGGCCAAAAACCUACUGUGGCUUCAAAAGGUAGAAGUGUUUUUUUGCGAUGAUCUGGAAAUGAUUGUUGGUAAGUGUUGAAAUUAAGUGUUGGUGGAUUUAUGGACUUCGCCUCAAUUAUUUUGAAAAAAAAAAAAGACAACGACAAAGAUUAAUUAUGUAUAUUGUUUUAGUUUGUUUAUAGGACCCGACAUGGACAAACCAACAACUUCUUUGGGAUUCAACGAAAUCAUUGCUGAUGAUGAUCCUGCUCCAAAGGUGAUAAUUUUCUGUUCAAUAAUUAAUUGAUUAAUUUAUUAUCACGAUUAAUCUUCGAUCAUCAAAAGAAUAUUAUACUAGACGGUUGUACUUGAAGGAACAAAAAUGUACGGGUUUUCUUUGCAGGUUAUUCUUCCGAGCUUAGAGGAAUUGAAUCUCAUGUCAUUAAGAAACAUCAAAAAAUUAUGGGCCGAUCAUAAUCAAGGAAUGUACUGUUGUCAAAAUCUAACAAAGCUGCACGUGGUCGGUUGUCAUCGUAUGAAGUAUCUGUUUUCAUAUUCUAUGGUUAAUAGUCUUGCGAAACUCCAACAUCUUGAGAUAAGCUAUUGUGAGUCAAUGGAAGGGGUAGUCGACACCACGGGAUGGUCAGAAAGAGAUGAAGGAAAGUUGAUUGAAUUAAAGGUUUUUCCUAAGCUACACUCCCUGCAGCUAGAAUGGCUUCCAAGACUAAGUAGCUUUGCCAAUAUGGGACAUAUUCAUUCAGAUUUAGUUGUUGAAUUCCCUUCUUUGCUAAACCUCAUGAUUGGUUGUUGCAGUAAUAUGUUAAGAUUCAUCUCUACGAGCUCACCAGAAGACACCAUUCAUUCUGAAAUGCAACCUCCUCCUCUCUUUGAUGAAAAGGUUUUUUUUUUUUUUUUUAAUUAAAAAAAAUAAUUUUAGUCACAAUACUUGAUUUGUCUUUUCCUUGAGUCUUCAAAUUUAGUUAAUAUCCGCCUCUAAUUUAGUUAUCAAUUGAUUAUGCCAUUAAUUGAUUAACUAGUUAUUUAAUCUUUAACUGCCAGGUACGAGUUCCUAGGUUGGAGGUAUUAUAUAUUGCGUGGAUGGAUAACCUAAGAACAAUAUGGCACCACCAGCUUGCUUCGGAGUCUUUCAGGAAAUUGAAGAAUUUGGAGAUAGAAGAGUGUGAUAACCUAAUGAAUAUUUUUCCUCCAUUGGUAAGGUUGCUGUAUUCAUUUCGAUUUUUUUUUUCAAAUAACAUUCAACAAUUUUUUAAUCUUUUCUGUGUUUACAAAUGAUAUUCAGCCACUAAUUAUUUAUUUCAAAUAUUGUACUUCAAACCACCACUCUAAAAUCUACGUUUUAAGUCUAGUUUUUAGGUUCACCAGCAUUAGAAUCAACAAUAUAAUUUUUUUAAACACGAUUCAAUAGCAUAAUAUAAUUCAAUUUAAUUGUUUUUGCUCAUAUCUUAAUAAGUACGAUUUUCAAAAAUUAAAGGAUAGUCACUCAUCUUAUAAGUUCACAAAUUCAUCUAUAUAUUUCUCUUUUCCUUAGUUCUUCACAUUUCGAUUGGGAAAAAAAAAAAGAAAGUCUUCAAAUUUAAUUAAUAUCUCCAGUUUAGUUAAGAAUUGAUUAUGCCAUUACUUAACCACAAAUUCAUGAUUGUUUACAACUGACCCUUGAUUGUAAAGAAAUUUCCUCGAGUCUGGAAGUACUUAAUAAAGAUCCACUUUAUAGCAAUCCCUUGUUGACAGUACUGGGAAGUCUUUUCCAAAUUUUUUUUUUCCAUUUUUAUACAUACAUAAAAAAAAGGGGACCAAGGAAAAGGGAAAAAGAGGCAUUUUAGUUGAGUUUUUUUUAAAGGAAUAGUUGAAAUGUGCAAAUUUAUGCUUAAAAACUUAUAUCAAGAUGCAAAAUAAGUCUAAAGUAUUUAGAAAUUGCCUUAAAUUCUUUCUACGUCCCUAAUACUAAAUAGUGUAAAUACAUUUUUAUCAUCUUUGUUUAUCUGGCUUUUAUUUAUUUAUCUUGUUACCUUUUUUGUUUAACAAAAAAUUAUCUAGUAGACAUUUCACAGUUUGUUAUGUUCAUAAAACGUAUAAUUGUAUGAUUAAACAUACUUUGAGCCUAGUUGAAUGAUACUCUUACAUUUUUACUUUUUUAAUAUACACACACACACACACUCUCUCUGCUUAUUUUCAGGUUGGAAUUCCUACUAGUCUGGUGAAUCUUUAUGUAUGGAACUGCAAAAAAUUAGAAGAAAUCGUAGGACAUGCUGGAGAAGAAGUGAAGGAGAAUCGUAUUGCUUUCAGUGAAUUAAAACUUUUGGAACUUGAUGAUUUACCAAGGCUUACCAGCUUUUGUUUGGAGAAUUACACUCUUGAAUUCCCAUCAUUGGAACGAGUAUUUGUGACACAUUGUCCGAACAUGAAGACUUUUUCUCUGGGAAUCUUAUCCACACCAAAGCUGCACAAAGUGCAAGUGACUGUAAAGGAAGAUGGUGAAUUGCACCAUCGGGACGACAAUCUUAAUUCCACCAUACAAGAACACUAUACAAGAUCUCAUGGAAAUAAGUAAACCCGUAAUUUUUUUCACAGCAUCAUAAGAAAAAAUCAUUUUUUUUUUAGUAUUUUUGUUGGCUGUUGAGUUUUAACAGUAGUAGCUAUUAAACAAGAACAAUCAGUGUAUAUUAAAAAGUUGGAAACUGGUUGAUACCACUUGGGAAUCGAGCAGCUCACUUGUUUGCGAGUAGAAACCAACUUUACUACUAAUUACACUCAUUCCAAAAAUAGUAACUAAAGAAUCAGGAAAUUUCCUAUUCACUAUUCUUCAUUUUUUAAUGCAAAAUUCCCAUGAAAAUGGGAUCAAAAUACAUGUAUGUAUACCUAAAACAAAUUAUUAUUUUUAAUUAAAAAAAAACACAGUUGAGGUGAAAUGAAACCAGAGUCAUGAUAUCUCUGGUUCCAACUUUGGGACAACAGCAGACUUGAGUUCUAUAUGAGAAACACGUACAGCACCAAUCAGCCGCUCCAAGACACACGAAGCGUUAUGCCAUUCCGAGAACAUUCAAGCGUUAUAUCUCAAAAUCAUGUCUUUUCCCUUGUGUCUGUUAAGGAAGCACACUGAGCACGUGUGAACUAAGAGUAGCUGCACGAUAAGCAUGUGUUAGUUAAAGAAGUAUAUGCCAGCUCAGCCAAUUAGUUAAGCAGGCUUUUGAUUCUGUUAUAGUUGUGUACCUUGCUUUAAUUCUGUUUUUAUGAUGUAAGCAACGAGUAUAAACACUGCUACGUUUGUCAUUUGUAUGUUAUGGAAAGAAAAGAAAUCCAGAAUAUUCUAUUUCACUUUCUCAUGAAUUUUCUGAGCUUCCAAACAAAAUUAUCAGUUCAAUUUUAAGCUUUUCAACAGUGUCCAUUUAGACGUGCAAAAAAAACAAUCAUACAUACCUGUACAAGGAAAGCCAUGUCAACCACCGACCGAUGUUGUAAUUACACCAAUUACGACAAGGCCCAAAACUCCACUAGCAAAAGUAGAAUAACAUCUAUGCCAACAUCAAUCUAUAGAGAGAUGAACAUGUUAAUGGUAUCGGACGAGCUAUUUGAACGGGAAACAUCUCAUGUACUAUAAUAGAAAUUUUAAGAGCAUUUACUUCUAAGUACUGGGGACCGCGGAUAUAGUUACAACCAACUGCAUUUAGAAACAAAAAUUUGCGCUUGCGACAAGAGCUGAUCUCUUCAUUCCCCUGUUUAGUAAUAAAAAAAAAUCAAAAUAGCGGAGAAACAGGGCCCUCUUUUCAUUCCCCUGUUUGAUAACAAUAAAAACAAAACAGAGGAGAAACGUGGGCUCUCUUUUCAUUCCCCUGUUUUUCUUUUCGGUUUGGCGAUUUUAAAAUUUUAUAUCCACAUUCAUUAAAAAAAAAAAAAAAAGUUAUUCCAAAAAGAUUUUCUAUUUUCAUAUAGACGUUUAUUUAUUAACCAAAAUUUAAAAAGUGUAAUUCUAAACUUAUCCUUGUGCUUUGAUCUUGGAGGGGUUUUUCAUUUUUUCUACACUGGCCAUAUCAAUUAAUGAUGAAAGUUCUUAUCCUUAAUUGCUUUUGAAAUGAGUGAGCACGGUAUGACCCUUAAGAGAAUUAAUUAAUUGGACAAGUUAUAUAACGCCUUUGAUAUGGCUCCUAGACAUGUAUGCAAUUUGUAUCUUUCCUCAAGUAUGCAUGAGAAUACUUGAGGAAAGCUUCACAAUAGUUACGGCCGGAUCUGCACUUCACAAGUCCUAAUAGGGAAGUAUAAAUAUAUGCUUCUGGAACAGUGCAACUCUCCAUAAUAAGUACCUAAGAAUAGACAAAUUUUCAUUACAAUAGAAUGAUAAAUUAUAAUAAUAUUGACACAAUGAUGCCAAUAAUAAGAAUCUUAACAAAUCUACUAAUUUUAGAAUAUGGCUUAGAGUGCUACAAUGAACCACAACAAGUUAUCGAUAUUAUAAUAUCUAUAAUUAAUAUUCCAAUAAUAACUGGGGCUCCUUUGUUUUCAUUCCCCUACUUUUCUGUUAAGUGAUUGCCAAAUUUUUAUAUCUAAAAUUCUUCUAAUUUUAAACUAAGGUUUAUUUAGAAAAAAAAAGGGAGAGAGAGAGAGAGACUCGAAGAGCAUUAAAAAAUGUAAUUUUUAAUUUUCACUUAAGCAUUGUGUGACUUUUAUCAUUUUUUAAAGUUGGCCAUUUGUACUGAAUAAAUAAAAUAAUGGAUAGACUUAUGGACCACUUUUUUUCUGUUAUAUUAAAACAUGAGAUGUCUUUUCUUGAUGUUUUCAUCACACAAGAAUCUGUUUAUGUCAUCAUGCAUCAUGGGUUUAAAUGGGGUAAAUAAAUUAAGAUCGAGGGCAAGUUUGUUUAAGUUCUAAAGUUGCUGAAUAUAAAAAGGGCUGAUAUGAAAAUUACCUAAAGUUUCAAAUAUUGUUAUUCAGCAACCACUUUUAGGUUGCAUUAGUUUCUACACAAAUUUUAUAUAAAUAAUUUAUAACUCCCAUUAUUAUUUAAAAAACUGUAGCAAUUGUUGAAAAAAAAUUCUAAUUAAAGAAAUUGACAUUAUAAUUUAAGGGAUAGUUGCUGUUUUAAUCAUUAGAACUUAAGUCAAUUAUCCAGCUUAUCCUUGUAUUCUUAAAAACUAUAUAAAAUACCAUUAUCUCUUCUUUUGUAGCUAUUGAAUUCGACUUUCACAACAUAAAUAUUUAUUAGCAACAACUUAAAAUUCAAACAAAUAUAAUAUGUAAUGUAUGAAAUACAAAUAAUAGUUAAACAAAUUUUGAUUAUUUACUAUUAAAAUACAUUCACAUUAAUAUCUUAAGGAUAGGUGGUACUCAAAUAAUUUUUUAAAAAUCAGACCCAAAUUAUAUGCAUUGUUAAUAUGUAUUAUUGUCUAAUAUUUGGAUUUUGUUAAGUUACAACUGUUGUAACUUACGAUCUCUUCAAAAAAGAAAAUUGAGUCCCACCACCUAUUAAAUUUUUUACAUUAUUUUUUAAAAGACUGUAAGUUACAUCAGUUGUAACUUAACAGCACCCUUAAUAUUUUACUUUACUUUUAUAUCUUUACAAAACAAUACCAACAAGACAAUAAUGUAUGAAAUAAAUAAAAUAAAUAAAUAAAGAACUGAUAGCGAAAUUAAGUCUAUCAUUAGUUUCUUGUGGUGUGAACUCUUGACAAUUCUCCCACCUAAAACUCUCUAGUGGUGUGAACUUUUGACGAUUCUCCAAAAAUUUGUCAUAUUGCAAAAAGCAAUGUCAAUUGUAAUGUCAUUUCCAUUAGUCAUAGUGGCAGAUAGGACUAGAAAUUGUUGAAACCCAUUGACUUAUUUUUCUUUCUAAAAAUAAGAAAAGCACACCCGUCCGGGGAAAUAAUUUUGUAGUACCUCAUGUCGUGAAUAAGGGACAAUACGAUCCUUUUUUUAUUAUAGUAUUUUUAAAUUUAUUAACUAAAAAAUUAAUUCUAAUAUUUUAUAAUAAAUAUAAGUAGGAUAUUAAAAUGAAUAUAAUAAUGUAUACAUAUUAAAAUAAUUUCAAUAUCUAAAAAUAUUUUAAUAUUUUAAAAUCUCGUAGUCUAUUAAACCAAAUAAUAAUAAAUAGAGACAUAAUAUUCAAAUAAAUACAUAAAAAUUUAAAUUGUUUUCAAUAUCACAUAAAAUAAUUUUAAUAUUAUUAAUACAUGAGAAAUAUUAUAUUAAUUGUAAAAUCUAUUUAACCUAAGGAUUCAUUUAAAAUUUUUUGUAAUAAUUACAAGUAUUUUAUAGAUACAAAUAUAUUAAUUCACAUUUUAAAAAUUAAUAUUGAAAUUAAUUAUUUAAAUUUUAUAAAAAAUUUUGAAGUCUUUUUUUUUUUUUUGGCUACCAUCUACUAAGAGUAGUAUUAUGAUCAAAAGGGGUAUUGGUAUCCUAUAUUAAAAAUUUGAGGUCUACGUGACUAUUUUUCUAAAUUUUUAGGGUAUCAUUUUGUUUUUGACAAAAGUAAAAUUUCAUUUUUGACAAAAAUAAAAUUUCAUUUAAAUGGCUAAAAUGGUGAAUAAAAUAAUACUACAGUGGGCGUAAAUGGAAGGUAAGAAACAAUGAAAAUGAAUAGUCUAAUGUCACCACAGGCACAUAAGGCCAAAGUUUGUUACAUCUGAUCAAGGACAAUUUAGUAUGUGGAGUGGGUCCUGCGUGUCAUUUUUUGGGCAUCUACCUUCUUCAGCAUUGAAGAUUUGAUGUUGACGACAUUUUAAAAAUUUGGAAGACCCAUCAUACAUUUGGAUGGUUGUCAUUAUUUGAUAUUAUCAUUAUCUCGUGGUGAUCCUAUUAUUUAUGUGGCAAAAGAGGUAAUUAAAUAAAAUUUAAUUGGAUGUAACACUUGUUUCGCGUUGUGAACUUUUGACAAUUCCCCUAUAUCCCUCCAAAAACUUUCGUCAUUUUGCCAAGAUACCUAACGAUUGUAAUGUAAUUUUCAUUAUUCAUAGUGCCAGAUAAUGGAGGUCCAGGAACGGACCAGAAAUUAUUGCUACCCGUGGACUUUUCCAAUUUAUUUUUUUUCUUUUGGAUGGUUGACGUUAUUUGAUAGGAGGACGAGAUAGAGAUAGAGUUCUUAAUCGAACACCCGUUUUAUUUAAUGGGGAAAUUAUCAUUUCACCACUACUCUUUUGCCUUAUGCUCAUUCAAUUACUACAAAAUUUUAACAUGUUCUCUGCACUACUUUUCUUUUUUAAAUUUGUAUCAAUUACUCACUUUUAUACUAACACCAUUAAAUAAUUUAAACAAAAUAAUAAAUUUACCCCUAAAUAAAUUAAAAGACCAUUUUAUUUUAUAAAAACUUAAAAAAUAAAAAAUAAAAAUUAUAAUUAUAAUUAUAAAAAUACCCCUAAAUUUAAUAAAGAAAUAAAUCCCCAAAUUAGAAUUUUUAUUUUAAUAAAAAUUAUAAUUAUAAAAUAAUUGCAAAAUUUUGGGAUUUAAUAAACAUCCCCUAAAAUAUUAAAUUUUGGGAUUUAUUUUUAAUAAAUAAAUUUAGUUAUUUUAAUAAAAUUUUACAAAAUUAUAAAUUUGUAAUAAAAAUAAGCUGAGCGCCUCUAUUUUGGAUUAUUUUUUAUUAAAUUUAGGGGUAUUUUUGUAAUUCUAAUAUUUUUUUUCAAAGCUUUUAUAAGAUAAAAUGGCAUUUUAAUUUAUUUAGGAGUAAAAUUAUCAUUUCGUUUAAAUUAUUUAACAGUAUUAGUGUAAAAGUGGCUAAUCGAUUCAAAUUUAAAAAGAAAGAUAGUGCAGAAAACAUGUUGAAAUUUUGUGGUGGUUAAAUGAACAUAAGUCAAAAGAAAGAUGGUAGAAUGAUAAUUUCCCUAUUUAAUAUGGAAGAAGAUCUUUAAACUCUCAGUGAGGCUAUGGCUUCAACAGAUGCAGCCUUGUGGAAAGAGGCAACAAGUAAUGAGAUAGACUCAUUAUUAUCUAAUCAACUAGAUGCAUCAACAAGAUCUUAACUUAGAUUGGAACUUGAAGCAUUGUUGUUUGAAACAUUGGCUCAAGCCUUUAGAGCGAGGUUGGAUGCAAAAUGAUUUACAACAAAGAAAGGAAAAAAUAAAUUUACUAAUUUACAAAAUAAAUUUAGUAAAUUAAUAAAGUCAUUAUAUGAUCUUAAAUAAGCACUAAAGCAACAGCAUGAAAAUUUUGAUUCUAUGAUCAUGUUGCAUGGAUUUUAACAUAAUAACGAUGAUAAAUGCAUUUAUUCUAAAUUAAUGGAUAAAUAUGGUAUGAUAAUUUUCCUCAUUUGAGAAAGAAUUCUUAAAUAAUGUCCCAUAUUAAUUAGUAAAAGAGAGUCACUUGGGCUUAUAAGUAGUAGAGAUGGGCAAAAUUGGAUGCAGAUGAUAUUCGGGUUAAUAUGAUCAGAUUUUGGAUUGUUCGGAUUGAUAAAAAGUCAUAUGAAUGCAAUAUGAACUUGCAUCCAAUCCGAUUAUGUACGGAUCAUAUUCAAAUUGGAUGAAUAGUGCAGAUUAAUUUGGAUUCGGAUCAGAUCGAUAAUAUCAAACUGAAAUCGGAAUCAGAUGUGUUCGAAUAAAUCAGAUGAAUUUCAAUCACUUGCAAGUUGAAAUACAAAAUUGAAAAAUCAUAGAAAUUAAGAAAAAAAUGCAGCAAGCUAGCAAAUGGAAGAACAAAGGCAAAAAAUUAUAUUAUAAAUUAAUCGUAAAAAGGUGCUAUUAGCAAUUGUUGCACAAUGCGAAAAUGUCCUGGAACUCGCUGUGUAGACAUGCAAAAGUUCCGUAAGUGCAUUAACAAUUAUUUUCCAAAAAAAGGUUGUUGCGUCAAUAUUAAAGGAAUUGACAUCCAGGGACCCAGUUUAGUUGCUUAAUGAUUAAUUAAUUAAUCAAUUUAUAAUAUAUUAAUCUUUUAAGUUGAAUACUUAAAAUCUUAGACCCCAAACAAUAAAUCAUCUGAGUAAUAUAAAAGAGAAAUUAUCAUCCUAUUUUUUAUUUGACUUCUUGUAGCUUAUAAAAGAGAAAUUAUCAGUCAUUUACUCAAAGUUUAUUCAGUUAUUAAAAUUAAUAUAAAAUUUAAAUUUAUUUAAUUUUACACUCAAUGUAUGCAAUUUGUAUUAAACAUCCGUUAAAAACAUAAAGUUAUUCCAUCAAAGUGACAAAAUAGAAGCGAACACAAAAUUGUAUUGGUGAUUAUGUUUUAAGAGUAAUUUUAUCUUUUUAGUAAACAGUUAUCCACAUUGUAACAAUGGGUAUAAAAUUAAGUAUAUUUAAAUUUUUAUAACUUUUAGGAUAAUAAGAUAAUUUUUAGGUGGAUGACUGAAAAUUUUUCUUUUCAAAAUAUUUUGAAAACAAUACCAAAUGUACCAAAACAUUGUUUACUUACACUCUAUAUAUAUAUAUAUAUAUAUAUAUAUAUAUAUAUAUAUUUAAUUUCUUAACUCAUUCUUAUCCUUAUUCUUGCUAACAUAUCCACAAUCUGUCAAUGAAAUUUACUUUUAUAAAUUUGAAGAUUCUUUCAUGCAAUUUUGUACGAUAAUGAGUUCUCAUGUCUCUGUUAAAAAAGAAUUCGUAAAUAAUACAAAUGAAAAAAAAACAAAAAGUAGCAGGGCUGGCAAUACAAACCAUAACUUUUUUUCUUUGAAAUAUGCAUAAAUAAAGUUAAUAGUGAUGUGUCAGCACGAUCUUGAGAGCACGGCUUGGAGUCUCAAUAAUUAUUGACACUCAUAUUUGAAAACUUUUGAAAAGAUAAAAUCCAAUAUGAAAGGUGAAAUGUUAUAAUCAUAGUAACUAGAAAAUUGAUUGAUUUACAAAUAUCAAUUUAAACAAUUUUCAUGUUGAUCGACAAUUUAAGUAGAUUGACAAAGAUUGAAGUAAUUACUGUUGGUGAUUGAUUGACUUUGUCCUUAUCCUUGCCUUCUUCUUAUCAAAAAUCGAGUGUCAAUUAAAUUGGGCCAGGGCUUCUGAUUGCAACUAAUAGACUUCAUAUACGCAUAAUGCUCCCUACGGACAUACGUACCAGUAUUUGAUUGAAAAAGGGAUGCGUGCUUAAUGCUCAAGUCGUCUUCUUCUGGAAAUUCAUUGUUAUUACUCUCAUCAACUCGUUACUCACAUUCCUCUUUAGUCAACAGAGAUCUUUUGCUCAAUAAAAUUUUUCUUCUAUAUUCAAGGUGAAUACAGCAGCUCAUCAACUCUGAUCCCAGACAGGUAAAGAGGCGCACUUGUUCUAAAACCUUUAAUAUUCUUUUAGUAACAGAAUCUCUGAUACUUGUUCUUCAUAGCGGUUCUUUCUUAAUUUCCAUCACCUUUCCUAGGAAAAAAUUCUUUGGUUUUUCUUAAUCAUAUCAUUUAUUUUUCUGAAGUCAUAUAAUUUAGUUUUAGUAGCAGAAUACUUGAUAUUGAUAGCGGUUCUUUCUUAAUUUCCAUCAACUUUCCUUGAAGGAUACCUUUCUGUUAAUAGCAAAACAUCUGAUCCUUAAGAUAGAAAAAGAAAUUCUCUAUUUAGGUAUCAGUUGGUUCAAGAUCAAUAUCGCGAUGUUGUUUGCGGUCUUUUCUUUCUCCGUCUUUCCCUUUAGUUCAGUUUAAUUUAUUUGUUUUCCUUUCUUUGAUAUAUUAUUAGAUUUGUUAAGUAGCAGACAAUGGCAGAAGUUGGUCUGGCUGCUUUUUCCAGCAUUGUAUCAGAAGGUGCAAAGUCACUGUUCAAACCGAUUAUACGGCAGAUAUCUUAUGUGUUCAAGUACCAGAGCUACAUAGAUGAGCUAAAAGAUAAAGUGAAGCGGCUGGAACAUAAAAGAGAAAGGGUGGAAAUACCCGUUCAUCAGGCAACUCAACAAGGAGAUGAGAUUUAUAAGGAUGUUGCAGACUGGCUUAAUAGCGUCAAGGAAUUCACUCAGGGAGCUGCAAAAUCCAUCACUGAUGAUGAAGAUAGAGCUAAGAAGUUCUGUUUCAAAGGAUUGUGCCCAAACUUGAUCUCUCGUUACAAGCUCAGUAAACAAGCAGCAAAGGCUGCAGAAGCUGCCGCUAGUCUCGUGGGAAAAGGCAACUUCUCCAAUGUUUCCCACCGUCCUACUCCAAAGCUGGUAGAACAUAUGCAAGUGAAAGAUUUCGAGGCCUUUGACUCAAGAAUGAAAGUAUUUCAAGAUGUUUUGGAGGCGUUGAAGGAUGAUAAGCUCAAGAUAAUUGGGGUCUACGGGAUGGGCGGCGUGGGUAAAACCACGCUUGUCAAGCAAGUUGCGAAGCAAGUGAUGGAAGAUAAGUUGUUCGAUAAGGUCGCUAUGGCUGAGGUAACAGAGAACCCAGAUCAUCAGAAAAUUCAAGACAAACUAGCUUCUGAUUUAGGCAUAAAGUUUGAGUUGAAUGAGAGUAUAUUCGACAGAGCAAAUCGACUAUGUGGAGUAUUGAAGAACAAGGAGCGGCAUCUCAUUAUAUUGGAUAAUAUUUGGAGAGAACUGGAGUUCGAUAAAGUUGGAAUUCCUUCCAGGGAUGUCGAGAAAGAAAGAAUGGAUGAUCAGAGACGAUGCACAAUAAUACUGACGUCUAGACGUCAAGAUUUAUUGCGCAAUAUUAUGAAUUCUCAGAAAGAAAUCCAGAUCGAUGCUUUAUCAAAAGAAGAAGCAUUGCAUUUAUUUAAGAAGAUAGUGGGUGAUUCAAUGAAAACAUUUGCUUUUCAAUCUAUAGCAGAUGAGAUCGUUGAAAGAUGCGGAGGACUGCCUGUUGCACUGAUUACACUUGCAAAAGCUUUGAAAAAUGAGAGGCUUGACACUUGGAAAGAUGUGUUGAAUCAGCUAAGAAGUUCCAAUGCAAAAGAAAUUGAUGGAAUGGAAAUAAAUGUGUACAUCUCCAUAAAAUUGAGUUACGACUUAUUGGGAAGUAAGGAAGCAAAAUCUCUGUUCCUUCUUUGUGGUCUAUUUAGUGAAGGUCAUGCUAUACCAGUUUCUUCCUUAUUGAGAUAUGGUAUGGGUAUGGGCUAUUUUAAAAACGUUUACACACCGGAAGAAGCAAGAAGUAGAGUGCAUACGUUGAUCGGCAAACUCAAAUCUUCAUGCUUAUUGUUGGACGGUGAUACUGAAGCUAAAGUUAAAAUGCAUGACGUCAUUCAUGCUGUUGCUGUAUCAAUUGCAGAAGAGGAGCUCAUGUUUAAUAUUCCAAAUGUUGCCGACUUGGAGAAAAAGAUGGAAGAGACAGUACAGGAAGGUCCAAUUGCUAUUUCUUUACCUUAUAGAGGUAUUCAAGUGCUUCCUGAAAGGUUGCAAUGUCCCUGUCUUGAGCUAUUGCAUACGGAGGGUGAUGGCUCUAUGCAAGUUUCAGACCACCUUUUUAAAGGGACGGAAGGACUCAAAGUUUUGAAUUUUAAUCGAAUUCACUUCUCUUCAUUACCUUCAUCACUUGGUUGCCUCAUUAACCUUCAAACAUUGUGCUUAGACUAUUGCCGACUAAAAGAUAUAGCAAUAGUUGGACAGCUAAAGAAAUUAGAGAUUCUCAGCCUUGUAUAUUCCGAUAUCAAGCAGUUACCACUUGAAAUUGGACGAUUGACGCGGUUACAGUUGCUAGAUUUGAGCAAUUGUUGGAGCCUUGAGUUGAUACCACCAAAUGUCAUAUCAAAAUUAUCUCGAUUAGAAGAAUUGUUUAUGCAUAACAGCUUUUCACAGUGGGAUAAGGUAGAAGGAGGAAGUAAUGCCAGUCUUGUCGAGUUGAAGGGGUUGUCAAAGCUAACUACUUUGGAGAUACAUGUUUCGGAUUCCGAAAUUCUGCCGCUGGAUUUUGUCUCUGUGGAAUUGGAAAGAUAUAAGAUAUUUAUAGGACAAAUGUCUGUCCGGUGGCUCGUCGAAUCUAAAACAUCAACAUUGAUGGUGCUCAAGGGGCCAGAACAAGUUAGCCUUCUUUUGGGGAAUGAUGGGACGAAAAUGUUGCUGAAGAGAACUGAAGAUCUCCGUCUAUGCUCACAGAAGGGUGUUCAGAAUAUUGUUCAUGAAUUAGACGAUGGGGAAGGUUUUCCACGAUUGAAGCAUCUUCAUGUAAAAAGUUGUUCUGAGAUUUUACAUAUUGUCGGUUCAGUUGGACGGGUUCGUUGCGAAGUCUUUCCCUUGCUGGAGUCAUUGGAUCUUAUUAAUUUAACUAAUUUGGAGACGAUAUGCUACAGCCAACUCAGAGAAGAUCAAUCUUUCAGCAACUUAAGGAAAAUAAACGUAGAUUUCUGUCCAAAAUUGAAGUAUCUCUUCUCAUUCUCUAUGGCCAAAAACCUAUUGCGGCUUCAAAAAGUAAAAGUGGAAAACUGCGAUGAUUUGAAAAUGAUUAUUGGUAAGUGUUGAAAUUAAUUAUUGGUAGGAUUAUUGACAUUGACUCAUUCUUUUUUUCUUUUCUUUUUUUUUUUUUGGUGAAAAAAACAACGGAUGUUUAUUAUAUAUUGUUUUUGUUCAUUUAUAGGGCCCGACAUGGAGAAACCAACAACAACUCAGGGAUUCACAGAAAUCAUUGCAGAGGAUGAUCCUGUUCACCAAGUAAUAAUUUUCUGUUUAAUAAUUAAUUAAUUAAUAUAUUAUCACGAUUGAUCUUCAAUCAUCGAAAGAAUAUUAUAUUAGAAGUUGUAGUUGAAGGAACAAAAAUGUAUGGUUUUUCUUUGCAGGUUACUUUUCCACGCUUGGAGGAACUGAAACUUGUCAGUUUAACAAACAUCAAAAAAUUAUGGCCCGAUCAAUUUCAUGGAAUGUAUUGUUGUCAAAAUUUAACAGAAGUGACCGUGUUCGGUUGUGAUCGUCUGAAGUAUCUGUUUUCAUAUUCUAUGGUUAAUAGUCUUGGGCAACUCCAACAUCUUGAGAUACGAAAUUGCUGGUCAAUUGAAGGGGUAGUCAACACCACGGGGUUAGGAGGAAGAGAUGAAUUGAAGGUUUUUCCCAAACUACACUACCUGUCGCUCCAUUGGCUUCCAAAACUAAGUAGCUUUGCCUCACCAGAAGACGUCAUUCACACUGAAAUGCAACCUCAAUCCCUCUUUGAUGAAAAGGUUUUUUUUCAUUGAAUUUUUAAAUUCUCUUUUCGUUGAGUCUUCAAAUUUAAUUAAUAUCCAUCUCUAACUGCAUUGAAUUUUCAACUUCAGGUACGACUCCCAAGUCUGGAGGUAUUACAUAUUAAGAGGCUGGAUAAGUUGAGAAAAAUAUGGCACCACCAGCUUGCUUCGAAGUCAUUUAACAAAUUGAAAAAAUUUGAGAUAUCAGGGUGUCAUAAUCUACUGAAUAUUUUUCCUCCAUUGGUAAGAUUGCUAUAUUCAUUUUGAAUUUUUAUUUCAAAUAACAUUCAACAAUUAUUUUAAUCAUUUUUGUGUUUACAAAUAAUUUUCAUUCACAAAUUAUUUAUUGCAAGUAUUGUACUUCAAACUUCUGGAGGGAAAAAAAGUAGUGUACUUCAAAUCACCAUUCUGAACUCUGCAUUUUCAAUCUAAUUUAUAGGUUCACCUGCAUUAAAGUCAACAAUAUAAUUGUUUUAAACACGAUUCAACAGCAUAAUAUGAUUCAAUUUAAUUGUUUUUUUUCUUAAAUCCUAAUAAAUAAGAUUUCCAGAAAUUAAAAGAUACUUAGUUACUCAGCUUUUAAGUUCACAAAUUCAUAUAUAUUUCUCUUUUCCUUGGGUCUUUAGAUUUCGAUUUUAAAAAUAAAAUAAAGAAAAGUGUUCAAAUGUAGUUAAUAUCUCUAGUUUAGUUAUGAAUUGAUUACGCCAUUGAUUAAGCACAAAUUCAUGAUGGUCAUUUUGAAUCGACCGUUGAUUAAAAAAUUUCCUCAAAUAUUCACUCUAUAACAGUCCCAUGUUGAUGGCGUUGGGAAGUGUUUUCCAGAAAUGUUUUCCAUUUUUAAAAGCAUGAAUAUCGGGAAAAAAAAAAAUGGGAAAUACAGCGUUUUAGUUUAGUUAUUUUAAAAAUAGGCAUGUUUGAAAAUUAAAAAUUUUUAAAAACUAGCAUCAAGAUGAAAAAUGAAUUUAGAAUAUUUAAAAAUUACCUGAAAUUCUUUCUCUGUUCCUAAUACUAAAUAGUGUAAAUGCAUUUUCAUUAUCUUUGUUUUUCUGGUCUUCUAUUUAUUUAUUUUUGUUUUAAUUUUUUCCUUUUUUUCUUUAACAAAAAAUAUCUAGUAGACAUUCAUGGUUUGUUAUUUUUCAUAAAACAAUUGUAUGAUUUUGACAUACUUUGAAUCUAGUUGAAUGCUACUCUUUAUUUUCAGGUUGGAAUUCCCAAUAGUCUAGUGAAUCUUAAUGUAUCAUACUGUGAAAAAAUAGAAGAAAUCAUAGGACAUGUUGGAGAAGAAGCGAAGGAGAAUCGUAUUGCUUUCAACGAAUUAAAACAUUUGGAACUUGAUCAUUUACUAAGGCUUACCAGCUUUUGUUUGGAGAAUUACACUCUUGAAUUCCCAUCAUUGGAACGAGUAUCUGUGACACAUUGUCCGAACAUGAAGACUUUUUCUCAGGGAAUCGUAUCCACACCAAAGUUGCACGAAGUGCAGGUGAGUAAAAAGGAAGUAUUAAGUUUUAUAUGAAACUGUGAUGUUGUUUGGUUACUAAGAAAAUAGGAAGAAAGAAAACUUCUGUAAGCUGAGAAUUCUGUUAUUAUUGACCUAAUGAAUCUGGAAAUUACAAGCCUUUUUAUAUGUGCAUAGAAGAUUCUACACACAUUGCACACACGCACAGUUUAAUACUAACAACCUCUAUAACAACCUUUAGCUGACUCAGCUGCCAUGUCAGCAUACUCAUUAACUAACUAAUUCUAUUCUUAACAGGAAGAGGGUGAAUUGCGCCGUUGGGAAGGCAACCUUAAUUCCACUAUACAAAAGUGUUACGAAGAAAUGGUAUGUGUUAAAUCGAUUCGUCGAAAUUACUUAUGCAUCUCCCUUGCACUUGCACAUUUAAGUAUAUACACCUGCCUUGUAUAUAUAGUUUUAGAAGUUAAAACACAAAACAUGUAAGUUUAAUGUAUAUAUAUCUAAUGCCUUUCAAAAAGAAAAAAAAUUGUAUAUAUCCAGUGCAAUUGUUUUGGUUUGUGCAGAUUGGAUUUCGUGACAUAAUGCGUUUGCAACUUUCGCAUUUUCCACGUUUGCAAGAAAUAUGGCAUGGCCAAGCACUGCCUGUCAGCUUCUUCAACAAUUUAAGAGAGCUGGUGGUGGAUGACUGCACGAAUAUGUCGAGUGCUAUUCCUGCCAAUCUGCUACGGUGCUUGAACAAUUUGGAAUACCUGGCAGUGAGGAAUUGUGAUUCACUAGAAGAGGUGCUUCAUUUGGAAGAACUAAUUAAUGCUGAGGAAGAACAUUUUGGCCAACUGUUCCCUAAUCUUUACGAGCUAAAGCUCAUUGAUCUUCCAAAACUCAAAAGAUUCUGCAACUUCACUGGGAAUAUAAUUGAACUGCCUAAGUUGGACAAUCUAACUAUUGAGAAUUGCCCUAGUAUGGAAACACUGCCUGUCAGCUUCUUCAACAAUUUAAGAGACCUGGUGGUGGAUGACUGCACGAAUAUGUCGAGUGCUAUUCCUGCCAAUCUGCUACGGUGCUUGAACAAUUUGGCAUGGCUGAAAGUGAGGAAUUGUGAUUCACUAGAAGAGGUGCUUCAUUUGGAAGAGCUAAGUGCUAAGGAAGAACAUAUAGGCCCCAUGUUUCCUGAGCUUUCCCUGCUAGGGCUCAUUGAUCUUCCAAAACUCAAAAGAUUCUGCAACUUCACUGGGAAUAUAAUUGAAAUGCCUAAGUUGGAAUAUCUCAUUAUUGAGAAUUGCCCUGAUAUGGAAACAUUCAUAUCCAACUCUGUAGUGCACGUGACAACAGAUAACAAGGAACCUCAAAAAUUAACAUCAGAAGAGAACUUCUUGCUGGCUCAUCAAGUACAACCUCUCUUUGAUGAAAAGGUGAUUAUUAUUAUUAUUAUUAUUUUUCCCUUCACUUUCGUUUCAUAGAUGUAAUUUCAUUAGAAUCAAAUCAAAUUUAAUGACUCAUCUUUUUGCACGUCGUCUUAAUUUUUAUAUGAUUUAACAAUAUAACUGCAGUUAUUAACUAUCUUUAUAGUAUGAAUUAUAAAAAUGUCUGAAAUUAAUUGGAUGCCUGAUAACACGAGGUGAUCUAUUAAUUAUGUGUAUUACAUCUCUGUUUUCCUAGCUAAUUCAUAUUGGAUUUAGCAUCAGAUUUCAUUUAUGUGUUUCAAAGGGUAAUCGAUUUGAUACUUAUAUUUGGGAUCCUACUGCAAAGCAUACUAAUUUGGAAAUAAAAUAUAAAAUGCCGUGAUUAAUCUUGUCCAUAAAAUAUGCAGGGGAAGACUGCAGAGAUUGGAUACAUAUUUUCAUUUACAACUUAAUUUUGUUGAUUUUUAGGUUGCAUUCCCUCAAUUGAGUUGGUUAACGCUAUCUGGAUUACACAAAGUGCAGCAUCUCUGGAAGGAAAAUGACGAAUCCAACAAAGCGUUUGCAAACUUGGCAAGUCUAGAAAUAUCGGAAUGUAUUCAGUUGCAAAAAUUAGUACCACCUUCGUGGCAUUUGGAAAAUAUGUGGGGACUGGAAGUAUCGAAGUGUCACGGGUUGAUAAAUGUGUUGACGCUCUCAGCAUCUAAAAAUCUAGUGAACCUUGAAAGAAUGAAGAUAGCUGAUUGCAAAAGGAUAGAAGAAAUCAUACAGUCGCCGGUUGCAGAAGAAGCGAAAGAUUGCACUGUUUUCAAGAAAUUGAAGUACUUGACACUUGAUUGUUUGCCAAGCCUAACAAGCUUUUGUUUAGGUAAUUACGCUCUUGAAUUCCCGUCCUUGAAACAAGUAGUUGUGAGACAGUGUCCAAAAAUGAAGAUCUUCUCUCAAGGAGUCUUAGACACACCAAUGCUAAACAAAGUGAACGUCACCGAAGAAGAAAAAGAUGAUGAUGAUGAAGGAUGUUGGGAAGGCAACCUCAAUGACACCAUAAAAAAAUUGUUCAAUGAAAUGGUGAGUAUCAAUUAAGUUUUGAUGCUAUUUAGCAAAUUAUUUUAUAGAAACUAAUGUGAUAUAAUAUGAUUGGUUGACUGAAAAUAUAUAAUAAUAAUAAUAAUAAUAAAUAAAUAAAUAAAUAAAUUAUGAGGACCAUGUAAUGUUUUUGUUUAAUCAAUCAUAUUAUGUCGCAUUAGUUUAUACAAUAUUAUUUGUGCACAAGAGGUGGUGGUCAUAUCAUUACUCUAGCUUUAUUAUUCUUAUGGUGGCAAUGUAUGCUUGCUUACACGAGUAAUUACAAAAUCUGCAGAAUUCUAAAGAAGAGAUUGAGCCAACCCUUCAGGUACAGUGAAGAAGCUAUCCCGAACCAGGCCAAUCUCUUAUACAUGAUUCAGCUUGCUCGUUCUUCUGUACUUGAAUAAUUUGGUUCUAUAUAUUUACAAUUUUUCGCUCAUGCUACAGACUUGCAAGACACUUUGGAUUUUGUUUGAUGCAUUCUCCGUUUAAGAAAGGACUUGAAUUGAUGUUUCAUGUUUCAUGCAAUAUUCAAUUAGAUUCUGCCUAAAUUUCUGUAUUAUUCGUUCAAUUGGUCUUUUAAGCAUUUGAUUUCUAACCUCUCCUAAUGGAAGAUCAUUAUCUGAAGAAAACAGCAUAACAUUUGUGGCAUUAUCAGAAUAAGAAUAUUUUUGAGUAUAGUAAAAUUAUCUCCACCACUGUUAAAAAGAAUUAAUCAGUCAAACUGACCUCACACCAGCACGCUUUAAAUUAAAAGAAUUUCGUGAAGUCGAGACCAUGUUAUAGAUCUCAUGGAAAGAAGUAAACCCGUAAUUUUUUUCACAGCAUCAUAAGAAAAAUCAUUUUUUUUAAGUAUUUUUGCUAGCUGUUGAGUUUUAAUAGUAGUAGCUAUUAAACAAUAACAAUUAGUGUAUAUUAAAAAGUUGGAAACUGGUUGAUACCACUCGGGAAUCGAGCAGUUCACUUGUUUGCGAGUAGAAACCUACUUUACUACUAAUUACACUCAUACCAAAAAUAGUAACUAAAGAAUCAGGAAAUUUCCUAUUCACUAUUCUUCAUUUUUUAAUGCAAAAUUCCCAUUCGAAAACACCAAUGACUUUCAUUCAAAGUAAAUGAGAAAUUACAAUGAAAAUAGAAUCAAAAUACAUGUAUGUAUACCUAAAACAAAUGAUUUUUUUAAUUAAAAAAAAAACACAGUUGAGGUGAAAUGAAACCAGAGUCAUGAUAUCUCUGGUUCCAGCUUUGGGACAACAGCAGACUUGAGUUCUCUAUGAGAAACACGUACAACACCAAUCAGCCGCUCCGGUAAUUCAUCUGUAGUAUUUGCCUGCAUACAGAAGAGCAAGAUAAAGAAGACACACACAGAAGCAUUAUAUCAUUCUGAGAACAUUCAAGUAUGCAAAAAUGCAAGUUGCAGUGCAAUAUCUCAAAAUCAUGUCUUUUCCCUUGUGUCCAUUUAGCAGUGGGGGAAAAAAACAAUCAUACAUACCUGUACAAGGAAAGCCAUGUCAACCACCAAUGUCGUAAUUACACCAAUUACAAGGCCCAAAACUCCAUUAGCAACAGUAGAAGAAUCGAUGUCAACAUCAAUCUACAGAAAGAUGAACAAUGUUAAACCAUGUUAAAGGUAUUGGACGCUAUUUGAAAGGGGAACAUCUCAUGUACUAUAGAAAUUCCAAGAGCAUUUACUUCUAAGUACUUGGGACCGCGAAUAUAGUUACAAUCAACUGCCUUCCCCAAUAAACAAGGGGUGCUUCCAACACUCUGGCGCACUAUCCAUGACCCCUGCAUGAUUCAGUGCUGAAAAUCAAGAACAAGUGCAAAACAAAUUCAAGAGGGUAAAAAGGAGAUAAAGUUUGAAGGUACAACCCAUCAAUACAUUCACACCUAAAUGCAUGCCUUCUUUGUACAAAUUGAAGUGUACCAUGCAGUAAAGGGUAAGUAUACGUUAAUAUAGUCCUACUACAUGAAGGCCAAGAUGGAUACCUUAGGAACAGAUGGAAUAAGUUUCAACCUACUAUUGCGAAAUUCAUCAUCGCCAUCAACAAACCGUUGCAAAAGUGAUCCCGUAACCAAUUGCCUUGUGACAAAAUAAAAUACCAUACUAUAAUGUGUUGAACCAGGAACCUGCAGAUGCUUAGGUUACAACUAUACAACCUCCCAAUACAAUAAGUUUGAAACUUAUACCUUCUGAAAUGAAACAAACUUUCUUGAAGAUUAAAGAUCAGUGAGAAAAGCCCUUUUUCAGAAGCAACCUACAUAUUUUAGAAUAGGGCUCAGUGCGUUAUAGAUUCAAUGAACCAUGAGAAGUUAUUUACAUUGUUGUAUCUCACAGGCAGUCUUUUCUCCUAAUGUAUCAAGGGAAAAUGCUAGUGAAUUGAAUGAAGCUAGAGCAGAGCAUGAUGUUGCUGUGUAGCUGACUUUAGCAGAUCAACUCACUAAGCUAACCUGGCAAAGUUAUUUAGCUGGUUGAGCUGAUGUGUCAAAUUAGUUAUGCAGCAAAUGGUUAUGUGAUGUAACAAACUCGUGUGUGUGUUGAGCAAAUUGUAGCUUAAUAUAAAUAUCAGUCUGUAUUCAUUCAGUUGUAAUGCUAAAGUAAUAAAGGUUCUACAAACUUCUUUACAGAGCUUUCUUUUAUUUUCUUCAUUUUCUAGCUUGCCAAACAAUGCAAAACUAAGUUUCUUUCAUGGUAUUAGAGCCAUAAAUGGCGAAUACAGUUCAAAAUAACAACUCUUUUAGUUUUGUUACGCCUGUAAAGCUAGACCAAAACAACUUCAUUUUAUGGCGGGCACAAAUUUUAGCAUCGAUCAAAGGAAACGGUCUGGAAGGGUUUAUCAAUGGUGAUCAAGAAUGUCCUGAGCAGUUUCUUUCUUCUGGAAACAACAAUGGAGCUGAAAUUUUUACUGAAUCUGAAUCCAAAUCUAUUAAUCCAGAGUUCAUAGCUUGGAUGAAGACUGAUCAACUUCUGUUGAGUUAGAUGAUGUCGUCGAUACAGCAAAAUCUACUUGCUACUGUGAUUGACUCCACAACUUCAAAACAGCUUUGGAAGACUCUUACUAGUAUGUUUAUUUCUUAAUCACAAGCUAGAAUUCAAACACUUAGAAUGCAGAUUCAAACUAUUAAGAAAGGUGCAAUGCAUAUGUCUGAUUACUUUGCAAAAGUAAAACGUAUAGCUGAUACUUUAGCUCUAGCUGGAAAACCUGUUGAGUUAAGUGAUCUUGUGAUGCAUGUAUUAACUGGUCUUGAUUCAUCAGAUUAUGAAUCUUUAGUCACAGGUGUUUUAGCUCGAGGUGAGAAGAUAACAUUAGAUGAACUAUAUCCUUUGCUAUUGAAUCAUGAAAAUAGAGUUGAACAAAAGAAAGGAAAAAUUGCUGGUGAUGUGAUGCACAAUAUGACAGCAAAUAUUGCUCAAAAGAACUCAUAUGCUGGAAAGAAUAAUGGCAAUUUUCAAAAAAAUUAUGGAAAUAAUUCUAGGUAUGGAGGUUUUAAUGGAUAUGGAUAGGGUCAGUUUAAUAAUGGUGGUAAUUCCUCUGAAAUUGUUUGUCAAAUCUGCUUCAUACCUGGUCAUGCAGCCAAUAGAUGCAAAAAUAGGUACAAUUCAUCUUUUGUUCCACAGAGAAACUAUGGCAGAGGUAAUAUGAAUGGUGGCAGAGGUUUUAAUCAAGGGCAAUAUGGUAGAGGAAGAGCUUUUAAUAGUAAUGGUGGCAGAGGUUUUGGAGGUUUUGGUUUAAAUGCUGGUUUUGGCUAUGCACCCAGGGGUUUUGGCUAUCAAGGAAAUAUGGUGUAUCCAGAUAGUAAUCCUUCUGCUUAUUACUCAUUCACCCCUGGACCAUCUACUUUUGUUUCUGGUCAAGGAAAUAAUAAUCCUGGACAGUCAAGUGCUUCAUCUUCCUCAGCUAUGCCUUCUUCACUUCCACCAGAACACAUUGAAGAUCCUUCAUGGUAUAUUGAUAGUGGAGCAACAAAUCACAUUACAAAUGAUCUAGGUAAACUUCUGGAUUCACAAAUUUAUACUAGUACUGAAAAAUUAUUUGUUGGAGAUGGAAAUGCAUUAGCUAUUACACAUGUAGGAUCAGUUGUGCUAAAUACUUCAACUUCUAAACCUUUAAAAACCAUGUUCUUCAUGUCCCUUUUAUUACUAAGAAUUUGCUUAGCAUUUCAAAAUUAUUGGCUGACAAUCCAGUUACUGUUGGAAUUUCUUGGUGAUUUGUUUUUUAUAAAGGCUAGGAACACAAGGAAAAUUUUACUUGAAGGUGUUGCUAAAGGUGACUUGUAUAGAGUCUCUUCACAUGUUGCUGCUCAUUCAGUCUUUCUCAAUUCAGUUGGUCAAAAUAAAAUUCACUCUCUUUGCUUGUUCUCCUGUUUUCAAUUCUGAUCAGCUCACUGCUGUUAGUUCUUAUGAAUUGAAUAAAAAGCCAUGUCUGUCAGUUGUUACAAAGAGUUCUAUUGAUGUAAAUCUUCUUCAUAGAAGAUUAGGACACCCAGCAUCUUAUACUCUCAAAACUAUACUCAAAACUUGUAACAACUCUACUGCUUAUAAUAAAAUUGAAAGCUUGAAAUUUUGUUCAGCAUGUCAAUAUGGGAAAAAUCAUAUGCUGCAUUUUGAUUCAGUUGAAACAAAAACUUCAGCACCCUUACAAGUGAUAUAUGCAGAUCUUUGGGGUCCUUCUCAUGUCUGUUCUACCCAAGGAUAUAAUUACUACUUAUCAAUCUUAGAUGAUUAUAGUAGAUUUACCUGGAUAUUUCCAUUGUCAGCCAAAUCUGAUGCUCUUGAAGUGUUUACCAAUUUCAAAAUUUUUAUUGAAAAGCAUCUUCAACUUCAAAUCAAAACUGUCCAAACUGAUUGGGGAGAAGAGUUCAGAACAUUUUCCUCAUUACUCACUGCUUCUGGUAUCCAUUUUAGACACCCUUGCCCACAUAUUCAUCAUCAAAAUGGAAGAAUUGAGAGGAAACAUAGACACAUAGUUGAUGUAGGUCUGACCUUAUUAGCUCAAGCACAUUUACCACUCAAAUUUUGGUGGAAUGCAUUCCACACAGCUGUCUAUUUGAUAAACAGACUUCCAACUCCAAUUCUAAACAACAUUUCUCCUUUCCAAAAGUUAUUUCAUCAUCAACCAGAUUAUUCAACACUUAAAACCUUCGGUUGUGCUUGUUAUCCAACACUCAGACCAUACAAUAGACAUAAGUUUGAUUUCAGAACUGCCAGAUGUAUAUUCAUUGGCUACAAUUCACAACACAAGGGAUAUCAGUGUCUUCACUCUUCUAAGAGGGUUUACAUUUCAAAUCAUGUCACCUUUGAUGAAAAUUCUUUUCCUUAUGAGUCUGGAGCAGAUUUUUCUUCACUCUCUUCAAGUUGUCAGUCAACAAAAAAUUAUAAGUCUUCUUUCAAUUCCUCUGUUCCUUCUAUUACUCAGUUACAAGCACCUUUAGCAGCAUCAUCAGAACACCAUCAAAAUGUUCAUCAUUCAGAUGCUCCUACUCCCUCACCAAAUUCUACUCCACUUUAUUUUUCUGAUAAUUCCAACUCAGCUUCUUCUUCUUCACCACCACAUAAUUCACCUCCACAUACAUUGCCACAACCUGCAUCAACUGGUCAUCCAAUGAUAACCAGGUCAAAAGCAGGUAUUUUCAACCCAAAAAUUUAUUUGUCAGCUUUAUUAGCCCAGAAAUCAGAACCAACUUCUGUUUCCCAAGCACUUUCUGAUCCUAUGUGGUAUAAGGCUAUGCAAGAAGAGUAUCUAGCACUUAAAACUAAUCACACCUAGGAUUUAGUUUUACAUGCUACUCCAGUGAAGAUAGUUGGCAGCAAAUGGGUGUUUUGAAUAAAGUAUAACUCAGAUGGUUCAGUUUCAAGAUAUAAAGUCAGGCUUGUUGCAAAGGGGUUUCAUCAGACACAUGGGAUUGACCAUACAGAAACUUUUAGUCCAGUGGUUAAAGCUUCAACUGUUAGAGUUAUUCUUAGCUUAGCAGUAUUGAAUCAAUGGGUGAUUAGGCAAGUAGAUGUUAAUAAUGCCUUUCUAAAUGGCAUUUUAAUUGAAGAGGUGUACAUGGCUCAACCUGAAGGUUUUGUUGACUCAACUAAACCUAAUCAUAUCUGCAAGCUGAAUAAAGCUUUGUAUGGCUUAAAACAGGCACCUAGAGCCUGGUUUGAUAGAUUCAAGGAUGCAAUGAUCUCUAAACGGCAUUUCCAGCAUUCAAGGUCUGAUAACUCUCUGUUUCAUGCCUGGAACAGUGGUCAUCUAACUCUUGUUUCGGUCUAUGUUGAUGAUAUUAUCAUCACUAGUUCCAGUCCAACACUAAUUCAGCAAGUUAUUAAGAUUAUGAAUUUGCUUUAAAAGACAUGGGGGAACUUAGCUAUUUUCUGGGGAUUGAAGUCAGCAAGUCUUCACAAGGGGUUUCCUUGACACAAGCAAAGUAUAUUACUGACAUUCUGGAUAAACAUGGCAUGACAGAUUGCAGUCCUGUGCCUACUCCAAUGUCUACUGGUUAUUAUCUCACAAAAGAAUCAGGAGAGCUAAUUGAUAAUGUUUCUCAAUAUAGGAGUGUUAUAGGAGCUCUUCAAUAUGUUACUCUUACCAGACCUGACAUUGCUUUCUCUGUAAACAACCUAAGUCAAUUCCUUUCAAGUCCUAGAACACAACAUUGGGAAACAUGCAAAAGGUUAUUGAGGUACUUAAAAGGCACUAUACAUCUUGGGCUGCAAUUUAAUAACAAAGGAGCUUUGCAACUACAUUGUUUUUCAAAUUCUGACUGGGCUUGUGAUCGUGAUGAUAAGAAGUCAGUGGCUGGCUUUGCUGUUUACCUAGGCCCUAAUCUAGUCUCAUGGUCAUCAAAGAAACAAGCUGUUGUUUCCAGGUCCAGCACAGAGGCUGAGUAUAGAUCUCUUGCUCAUGCUGAUUCAGAGGUUCCCUGGUUACAAUCUUUACUUGGUGAACUUAACAUCAAAUUGAGCUCUACUCCUAUGAUGUGGUGUGAUAAUCAAGAAGCAAUUGCUUUAGCUUACAAUCCAGUCUAUCAUGCUAAAACUAAGCAUGUCGAAUUGGAUAUACAUUUUAUCCGAGAUAAAGUUACUGCUAAAGAGAUUGAAGUAUGUUUUGUGCCCAGUCAAGAUCAAACAGCAGAUGUGUUGACUAAGGCUUACUUUCAAACAGUUUAGUUACUUAAGAAGCAAGCUGAAUGUUCAUCCUAAACAUUUCAGCUUGAGGGGGGAUGUUAGUGAAUUGAAUGAAGUUGGAGCAGAGCAUGAUGUUGCUGUGUAGCUGACUGUAGCAGAUCAACUCACUAGGCUGACCUGGCAAAGUUAGUUAGCUGGUUGAGCUGAUGUGUCAAAUUAGUUAUGCAGCAAAUGGUUAUGUGAUGUAACAAACUUGUGUGUGUGUUGAGCAAAUUGUAGCUUAAUAGAAAUAUCAGUCUGUAUUCAUUCAGUUGUAAUGCUAGAGUAAUAAAGGUUCUACAAACUUCUUUACAGCGCUUUCUUUUAUUUUCUUUCAUUUUCUAGCUUGCCAAACAAUACAAAACUAAGUUUCUUUCAGAAAAGGAAAAAUAAAAAGAAAAGAAUAGUUACUGUUGAAAAUAAAGAUUCAAAGUUAUGAUUUCUUUGUAAUCUAGGCUAUUUUAGGAAUAAGUUAAAUUAUAAUGGGAAGAUUCAUUAGGAUUUUUUCCAGAUUUUGUUUCCUAUUAUUUAGGAAAGGAUAGAUGUAGUCUCCUAUUUUCUCUCCUAUUUUGCUGUAUAUAUUCCCUGUACAUACUGUUCUGGAAAGUAAGAAAAAGAGGAACCAAUUCACAUUUUUCUUCAUGGUAUCAGAGCCUGGCUCUAAACCCUAGUUCUCCUAUCAGCCGCCAUUUCCUUCUUCUCUCAUAAAUUGAACAAUCUACCUUCCUUCCUCUCCCAUCAAUUGUAUUCUCUGUGGCAAAAUACGGGAUGGCUUCCUCAUCAACCUCUGUUACAGUAUCACAGUCUAAAGGAAACGUGGAGACUGCAACUCAUGGUGGAAUUGAUUCUUCACCGAUCUUAAUUACCAGUCAUAAAUUGAACGGCCACAAUUAUCUCCAGUGGUCACAAUCUGUCAUGAUGUUCAUCUGUGGCAAGGGUAAGGAUGAUUAUCUCACGGGUGAGGCGGCCAUGCCAAAGGUAUCAGACCCUAGUUUCAAAAGGUGGAAGUCAGAGAACAACAUGAUCAUGUCAUGGCUUAUCAAUUCCAUGAACAAUGAUAUUGGUGAGAAUUUUCUUCUGUUUGGGACUGCAAAGGACAUAUGGGAUGCUGCAAAGGAAACCUAUUCUAGCUCUGAGAACACAUCAGAGUUAUUCCAGAUUGAAACCAUCCUCCAUGACUUCCGCCAAGGAGAACAAUCUGUCACUCAGUACUUUAAUACUCUGACUAGGCAUUGGCAACACCUUGAUCUAUUUGAAACAUACCCUUGGAAGUGCACCGACGAUACAACCUUGUACAAGAAGAUUGUGGAACAGAAGAGAACGUUUAAAUUUCUCCUCGGACUCAAUAAAGAUCUUGAUCAGGUUAGGAGCCGUGUACUCGGGACAAAGCCUCUACCACGCCCUCGUGAAGCCUUUUCUGAAGUUAGGCAUGAAGAAAGUAGGAAAAAGGUGAUGAUGGGGUCAUCAGAACCAACACUGGACGCCUCUGCACUUGCUGCCCGUGCAUCCAACUCUGUAGGGGUUAGUGAAAAUCGUACAAAGAAAGAAAGACCAUGGUGCGAUCACUGUCGUAAGGCAGGCCACUAUAAGGAGAGUUGCUGGAAAAUUUAUGGCAAGCCUGCUGAUUGGAAACCUCGUUCCAAAGGUGACCGUGAAUCUCGUGCUCAUGCAGCAUCCACCACGGACAAUCAGGCCCUACCCGAGCCAAAUCCAUUCAGCAAGGAGCAAAUGGAGAUUCUUCAAAAGCUUUUCGAUCAAGCCACUUUGAACUCCAAUGCAGGGACAAGUCUAGUGGCUCAGAAAGAGACUCAUUCAGCAUUUGCAGCCACUAAUGGAGCAAGCAAACCUUGGAUAAUUGACACUGGUGCUUCUGAUCACAUGACUGGAGAUGCCUCAAUGUUGCAGGAUUAUAAAGCUAGCAUCAACAGCACUUCAGUCUGGAUCGCAGAUGGCUCUCACACAAAAAUAGCAGGGACAGGUUCCAUCAGACUCACUAAGGAGUUACACCUUAAUUCUGUACUUUAUGUGCCUAAUUUGGCUUGCAAUUUACUUUCAAUCAGUAAAUUCACUCGUGAUCAGAAUUGUGUAACUAAAUUCUAUCCAAAUAUGUGCGUUUUUCAGGACUUGGAUUCGCGAAGACGAUUGGCAGUGCUGAGCUAUGUUCUGGACUCUAUCUACUCAAAAGCGAUCAAUCCUCCUUCAUACAAGAUUCGAGAGCAAACUGUGCCAAGUCCAAUAGUCUGUCAACUAGUUAUCCUCAUUCUAUUGUUAGUCCAAAUGUCAAUAACGAUAGUGAAAUUGUUCUGUUACACUAUCGAUUAGGUCAUUCUAGUUUCAUGUAUCUCGCAAAAAUUUUUCCCAAUCUAUUCAUCAAUAAAAACCCUUUAUCAUUUCAUUGUGAAAUUUGUCAAUUUGCAAAACAUACUCGAAAUGUUUAUUCAAGUGUUAAGUAUAAGCCUUCUCGUCCAUUUGCUUUAAUUCACAGUGAUGUGUGGGGUCCCUCAAGAAUUAAAAAUGUUUCUGGGGCUCGCUGGUUUUUGUCAUUUGUGGAUGAUCAUACUCGUCUCACUUGGGUGUUUCUCAUGAAAAACAAAUCCGAAGUUAGUCAAAUCUUCCAAAACUUUAACGCCAUGAUUCAAACCCAAUUCAAUACCAAAAUCCAAGUCCUUAAAACCGACAAUGCCAAGGAAUAUUUCAAAGACUCCCUCAGCUCAUAUCUUCUCCAUCAAGGCAUUCUUCACAUCAGUUCUUGUGUUGACACCCCGCAACAAAAUGGGGUCGCUGAACGCAAAAACAGACACCUUCUUGAAGUGGCUCGCUGUCUUUUGUUCUCAUCUCAUGUUCCUAAUUUUUUCUGGGGUGAAGCUGUUCUCACUGCAGCCUACUUAAUCAACCGAAUGCCUUCUAGAGUCUUGGGGUUUCAUUGCCCAAGAAAAGUUCUUCUCAAUUUCUUUCCACACACUAGGAUUGUUUCAGCAGAUUUACCACAAAAAAUAUUCGGUUGCACAGCAUAUGUCCAUGUUCACUCUCAACACAGGACUAAACUUGAUCCCCGAUCUCUCAAGUGUAUAUUUUUAGGCUAUUCUCCACAUAAAAAAGGAUACAAAUGCUAUUCUCCUCAUACCAGAAAAAUAUACAUUUCCAGAGAUGUAACAUUUGUUGAAAACCUGCCUUUAUAUUCCAAAACUGUUGUUCAGGGAGAGAGUAUGAGCGAACAUCAGCCUUGGGAAUCUUCUUGGCAAUCUUGGCUGGAAACCCCUCAUGAAAACCCUCAUAACUCAACCACCACACAUGAUCAAUCUAUCCAACAGCCACAAUCAGCAAUCCUCCCAACAUCUUCACAACCUUUUGAGUCAUCUGAGUCCUCCCAACCACAAUCAGCCGAGUCACCCCGUCAUCCAUCAGCCCAUCAACUACAGCCUCUAAUCUCACCUCUUCCACAGCUUGCUGUUGAUAAUCUUAAUGUUUAUAGGAGGAGAAGAACUGGAGAGCAGAUAGAGCACAGAACUCAGCCACAUGUCCAAGAAACUGAACCAAAUCCAAGCUCUUAUGAAGACAACACAGGUAUGGAUAGUCUUGCCUCGGUUGAGUUCAUGGUUCCAAGUGUGGAUGAUUCUAAUAAAUCAAUUGCAGAAAGAAAGGGGGUUCAAAGUUGUACCACUCAUCCAAUUGCCAAAUAUGUCUCAUAUGAUGGUUUGUCCCCAUCAUACCGAGCCUUUGUUUCUUCUUUAGAUAAUCUACAUGUUCCCAACAAUAUACAAGAGGCUCUCGGUCAUCCUGAGUGGAAGAGAGCUGUUCAUGAAGAAAUAAAUGCUCUUGAGAAAAAUGAUACAUGGGUUAUAACAGAUCUUCCUGCAGGGAAACGACCAGUUGGAUGUAAGUGGAUUUUUACUGUUAAAUACAAGGCAGAUGGAAGUGUUGAGAGCCUCAAAGCUCGUCUUGUAGCUAAAGGGUUCACACAGUCAUAUGGGAUUGAUUAUCUUGAAACCUUUGCUCCGGUUGCGAAGCUCAACACCAUUAGAAUCUUGCUCUCCUUAGCAGUAAAUCUAGAUUGGUACUUAUACCAACUAGAUAUAAAAAAUGCGUUUCUCAAUGGCGAUCUUGAAGAAGAAGUGUUUAUGGAAGUUCCCCAGGGUCUUGAUCUGAAUCUUACUAGAAAUAAAGUGUGCAAGCUCAAGAAAUCUUUGUAUGGGCUUAAACAAUCCCCUCGAGCAUGGUUUGAUAGAUUUGCGAAGGCAGUUGUGAGACUUGGUUACACUCAGUGUCAGGCAGAUCACACUUUAUUCCUCCGAACAUCACAAGCAAAGAAGAUCUCUCUCCUAAUCGUAUAUGUUGAUGACAUCAUUCUCUCAGGAAAUGAUGAGGAAGAACUGCAGAAGUUGAAGAAACAGCUAGCUCAGGAAUUCGAAGUUAAAGAUCUAGGGAAUCUGAAAUAUUUUCUUGGGAUGGAGGUGGCAAGAUCUAGGAAGGGAAUUGUUGUCUCCCAAAGGAAAUACACCCUGGACUUACUAAAGGAGACUGGUAUGAUUGGGUGCAAACCAGUAGAUACUCCUAUGGAUCCCUACAAGAAACUAGGCUCAGUUGAGAAUAGUGUUCCAGUCAAUAGAGGGAGAUAUCAAAGACUGGUUGGUCGUUUAAUUUAUCUCUCACAUACCCGUCCGGACAUAGGCUUUGUUGUUAGUGUUGUGAGCCAAUUCAUGCACAAUCCUACAGAGGAACACAUGGAUGCAGUCUUUAGAAUUUUGAAGUAUCUAAAGAUGACACCUGGAAAAGGAUUGUUUUUCAAGAAAUCAGAAUAUAGGAAUAUUGAGAUCUACUCUGAUGCAGACUGGGCUGGAGACAUCACAAAUAGAAGAUCAACAUCUGCUUACUGUUCCUAUGUCUGGGGAAAUCUAGUAACCUGGAGGAGUAAGAAACAAUCAGUUGUAGCUAGGAGUAGUGCAGAAGCAGAGUUCAGAGCUUUGGCAAAUGGAAUCUGUGAAGGAAUUUGGAUAAAGCGUGUACUCAAGGAACUCGGUGUGUGCAGCCCUUCAUCCAUUCUAAUGAGGUGUGACAAUCAAGCAGCAAUCAGCAUCGCAAAAAACCCAGUGCAUCAUGAUCGAACCAAACAUGUCGAGAUUGAUAGGCACUUCAUCUCAGAGAAGGUCACUAGUGGAAGUGUGGAACUAAAGUACAUUCCAACUAGACAACAAAUUGCAGACAUCCUUACUAAAGCACUGCCAAGACCUAACUUUGAAGACUUAAGUAACAAGCUGGGUUUGUAUGAUAUACACACACCAGCUUGAGGGGGAGUGUUGAAAAUAAAGAUUCAAAGUUAUGAUUUAUUUGUAAUCUAGGCUAUUUUAGGAAUAAGUUAAAUUAUAAUGGGAAGAUUCAUUAGGAUUCUUUCUAGAUUUUGUUUCCUAUUAUUUAGGAAAGGAUAGAUGUAGUCUCCUAUUUUCUCUCCUAUUUUGCUGUAUAUAUUCCCUGUACAUACUGUUCUGGAAAGUAAGAAAAAGAGGAACCAAUUCACAUUUUUCUUCAGUUACUUGUGCAGUACAGCCUUGACGCCUAGCUACAUGGUCCAUUCUCUUUGUGUCUUUGAACCAAUCAACAGCAACAAGAUCCAUUAAAUGUUUUCCCGCAGGUGUCUGCAGUUACAAAUUGCACAAAGCACAAGAGCCAACCAAACUACAUCAUAACAUGUCGACCUAGCAUAUGCAGGAUAUAUAAAUACCAUAACAAACAACCAAAAUAUGGGGGAACCUUUGUUUUGUCAUAACAAAAAUGCUUGCUACGAACUCUAAAGUUAUUUCCACCAGAAAGUUUCCAGCAGUCACGAGCAUUAUCACAGUCAUCGUGUCGCAGAUUGCCGGAAAAAUAAGACAAAUCAAUUUGAUCAGCCUGCUCUUCCUCUAGGGUAACAACUAAUUGAAAAUUAUAAACCAAAAAAAAAAAAUCAAUACCAUAAAAAUCCACUAAUGAGGACAUUAGCCAAAUAUACAAAAAUGAAUACUUAUCAUCCACCUGUCCUCUUGAAAUCAUUCUCAAUCUUUUUUUCAUUUGCCUGAAAUCCCAAGGAAAAAUAUGGAACUAAUACUUCCCAUUCAUGACUAUUGUCUGUCAUAUAAACAUGACAUUUAAUUGAAAUAGUAAAAUUAUUUAAUUAUUUUAAUUAAAUGUUAAUCCUAUAAAUUAUUUUUGUUAAAUCUAGCAAGAAUAACUAACAUUUCUUUAAGAUAUAUUUUGGCGGUAAAUUAAAAAAAAUUAAUUAUUUGGCGGGAAUUAUUGAAAUUGGAGCCAUUUUUUUGUGGGAAUUGAAAUAUAUUCUUUAAAUUAUUAUAUAAAAAGAAAAAUGUACAUACACACACAUAUAUAUAAUUUAUAUAUAAAAAUUCUCUAAUUUGUUCACAAGUAUCAUAGAUUAUAAUUCAGUUAUGAAAUAAAAUAACUACAAGGAAAAAUAUGUAACUAAUACUUCCCAUUCAUGACUAUUGUCUGUCAUAUAAACAUGACAUUUAAUUGAAAUAGUAAAAUUAUUUAAUUAUUUUAAUUAAAUGUUAAUCCUAUAAAUUAUUUUUGUUAAAUCUAGCAAGAAUAACUAACAUUUCUUUAAGAUAUAUUUUGGCGGUAAAUUAAAAAAAAUUAAUUAUUUGGCAGGAAUUAUUGAAAUUGGAGCCAUUUUUUUGUGGGAAUUGAAAUAUAUUCUUUAAAUUAUUAUAUAAAAAGCAAAAUGUACAUACACACACAUAUAUAUAAUUUAUAUAUAAAAAUUCUCUAAUUUGUUCACAAGUAUCAUAGAUUAUAAUUCAGUUAUGAAAUAAAAUAACUACAAUAAUUAUAGUUAAAUGAAUACUUCAUUAAUUCUUAAUUUGCUUCCUAACAUUAAAUGAACAACUUGAGCCAACCACCUGAAUCAACCAGUAACAACGCCUGAGUCAACCAUCUGAAAAAACCAGCAACCCUAGCUGAUUCAAGCACCUGCAAUUAACAUCAACACAUCAGGAACAAUCGUAAAUCAGCACCAAGAACAGACCAAACUGCCAUCAAAUGCCACAAAACCAAACAGUCUGCUACUGCCAUCAAAUGCAAGCAAACAUAUGCAACAAAACCAGAUGCAAGUGAAAAUCUGGAGAAUAUCGGAUAAACCAAACCAAAUGCCACACUUCUAGUAAUUAGACUAGAUGCAGUGUUCAAUUAAACUAAAUGUAGUCUCAUAUUACAUUCAAAGGUGAAAACACUGUAAAAAAAAAUACAGCCAAAACAAUUGUUUACUUUUAAGUUCUAACAAAGCGUAACAGUCCAAAACCAAAACAUCUUAACUACCAAGCAAACAUCUAACAUAAUUAUUAAAAUUAAAAAGGAAAAAACAUAGGAAUCUCAGUUCUUAUACAUUUUGUAUGCAUUUAGUAAGCACACGCACAUAGACCAUCUAUGCAUAACCUUCUUCUAGCCCACCUGCAGAUGUCACAGAGAAGAGACAUUUUUUGCAGCUUGAAGUGCUCCAAUUGCUUUGUGAAGGUCCAAUUGUAAGCCUAAAUAUUGAAUCCAUGAGUCCAUAUAAUUGAAGGCUGGUGGCGACUUUUGAGUACAAAUCAAGAGAGAGUGAAGUGUGAAUUUCUGCAUGGCCCAUAACUUCAUCCACGUAGCUAUUCACUUCUUUGCAGUGAAAAGUUCCUUAAUCCUGGCACUAAUGUUGGGCAUCAUUUUGAUUUUUCAAGCCCUUUUAGAACACUUAUUGAUUUAGGAAAUUAAGGGAGCCAUUGAAAGGUGACUAAAACGGAGUGAGUUAGGGGUCCUACCUCUCUGUAGGGCUCUCGAAUCGCGGGAAAUGAGCUCCAUUGUGACCUUCAUUUCCUCCUUUUCGGAAAAAUUAGUUCAUGGCGCUUACGAUGUGAGCAAUUACUCUUUCUGGUGUCCUGAUGGUUGAUAACAGAGACUUUCAGCCUCGCUGCCUCAGGUAAGCUUGAUGGGAGGACCAGAUGUCAUACAAAAAAUAAAAGCUUUCUUUUCUCGGUAAAAGCAUGCGCAUUUUUCUGUAAGUGGGGAAGAGGCCGCGCCGUCAACACUGCAUCGGUGAAGAUGGGUGGUGGUUGUUGGUGGAGAAACGGAGGGAGGUGGCGAUUCUGAGACUUGUUGCGAUUUAGGGUUGGCCGGUUGGGUUUGGGGGAAAUUGGGUAAAGCAAAAUGCAUUUUUGUUGUUAUAUAUAUAUAUAUAUAGAUAUAUAUAUAGUAGUUGGAUUAGCUAAAAGACAAAAAAAUUUAAAUUUUACUACACUACAUGAUAAAAUACAGUGCAUUGGAGUAUGUGUUUAUUUUGUCUUUUAACUAAUCCCUGAUUGGAAAACUACUAUAUAUAUAUAUAUAUAUAUUUUUUUUUUACUUAAUAAAAAAGUGGGCACGGGUCCGGGUUCCGGAUUCUUGGUGCUGUGACCGGACCCGUGCCCGGAUCCGCUUUUUCCAUGCAUCCGAUCCGGGUUUUACCCGGACCGUAUGCACCAGGUCCAGUCCGGAUCCGGUCUGAGCGGGCUUUUCUGCCAUCUCUACAGUGGAGAGAGGGAUUAAUUCAACGCUUAGCCAAAAUUUGGCUGCGAGUGUUAAUGGGUUUUAAGUUAUACAAAACGGUGUCGUUAAUUUAAACGGCAUUGUUUUACAAUCUUAUAAGUUCACAAAACUUAAGCAUGACUUAUAUGUAUAAUUUAUUUACGAUGGUUAAGUUAUAAGUCAUGAAUAUGUCAUAUACUCUGGACAUGAAUAUAUAUCACGAAUCUAUCAUAUUUUCAUGACACAUUCGUGACAUAACGAUAUAUGUUAUAAAAUUUCUGUCAUUAUUUAGUAUUUUUCUAGUAAUGUCAGGUCUUUAAAACCUUUCUAUUAAUAACAAAAACUCUAAUCCUUUAGCAAAAGACUAAAAAUUUUAAAAAAAUCUGUUUAAAUAUCAGUUGGCUCAUAAUCAACACUUCAAUAUUGUUUGUUGUAUUUUCUUUCUUUCUUUUUUUGUCAUUUUAUUAGAUUUGCUUUGUAUCAUGGUUUGUUUUGCUUAAGUAAUUGUUCAUUAUUUACGUCUGUGUUCUUACUAGCUUUUGAUAAUUUAUGGUUGGUUUUUUAUUCAGACCCUCGAAGUACCUUUUUGUUAAUAGCAAAACCUCUGAUCCUCAAGAAAGAAAAAGAAAUUCUCUAUUUAAUUAUUAGUUAGUUCAAGAUCAAUAUCGCAAUAUUGUUUGCAGUCUUUUCAUUCUCUGUCUUUCCCACUAGUUCAUUUUAAUUUAUCUGUAUUCCUUUCUUUGACACUUGUAUUUAUUUAUAUAGAUUGUUAAGCAACAGGCAAUGGCUGCAGAAGGGUGUCUCCCUACUUUUUCUAGCAUUGUAUCACAAGGUUCAAAAGCAUUAUUCAAACCGAUUAUGUGGCACAUAUCUUAUGUGUUCCGAGUACCAGAGCUACAUAGAUGGGCUAAAAGAUUGAGUGAAGGAGCUGGAAUAUAUAAGAGAAAGGGUGCAAAUGCUGGUUAGAGAGGCUACUCUACAAGGAGAUGAGAUUUAUAAGGGUGUCAGAGACUGGCUAAAUAGAGUUGCUGAAUUCAGUGAAGGGGUUGCAAAAUCAAUCAUUGAUGAUAAAGAUAGAGCUAAGAUGUUCUGCUUCAAAAGGUUGUGCCCAAAUUUGAUUUCUUGUUACAAGCUUGGUAAACAAGCAGCAGAGGCCGCAAACGAAGCUGAUAAACUUGUGAAGAAAGGCGAAUUUAACAUUUGUAAUCAUGUUUCCUACCGUCCUGCUCCAGAGAGUACAGAAUAUGUGCAAGUGAAAGAUUACGUAGCCUUUUAUUAUAAUAUCUUUUCACUCUAUUAACUUAAAAAAGAUUGACUUCAAUAUUAAAAAUGUAACAGUAUAUACAUUUUAUAAUAAUUUCAAUAUUUAAAAAAUAUUUGAAUACUUUACAAUCUUAUAUUAUAUUAAACUACAUUUUAUAAUAAAUAGAAACAUAAUAUUAAAAUAAAUAUAUAAAAUUUUAAGUUAGGCUUAAUAUUAUUUAAAAUAAUUUAAAUAUCAUUAAUACAUGAGAUAUAUUAUAUUAAUUAUAAAUUCUAUUUAAUCUAAAUAUAUAUUUAAAGUUUUAUACUAAAAAUAGAUAUAUUAUUAAAAUAAAUAUAACAACUAACAUUUUAAAGAUUAAUACUGAAAUUAAAAUUAUAAAUUAUAUUAAUCUACUAAAAAGAUUCAUCUAUUUGACACUAGCAGCGGACAAUGAGGUCACGGCAUAGGACAAGCAGUUAUCGUGACCCAUGGACUUUUCUACUUCUUUUGAAAAAAAAAAAAAUAUCAAAGUCAUUGAAGUGCGUUUGAUGAUAUGCUGUGUAGCUUCUCUCUCAAAUGCUUUUCGAGUGCCUCCAGUAUCUGCUUUUAUAUAAGCUUUUGUCUUUAAUCAUUCAUUCAAGCUUUCGCUAAGAGUGAUGCAGCACAGCACGUAAAUAUAGAAGCAUUGACAGCCGUAGUCAGGAGCUCUUCGGUAUUUGAAGCAAGAAUGGUUGUUUGGCUUUGUGCAUUGAAAGAGAAAAGAAAAAAGAAAGACUAAUUUCAAUAAUACAAUUUAAUUAAUUAAUUUAAAAUAAUAAGCAAAUAAUAAUGAUGAAAUUAAUUAAUAAAAAGAAGAAAAUGAAAAUUGCACGUGCUACUAGCAUAAACCAAUUGCCGGAAUGAGGUCACUUUGUAGACAAAUGAUUCUGGAAUCAGAACUUGGGCCAGCUUUGGGUUAUGGAUCCAAAAUAAAAAUAAGGUGGGCCACAUGGUCUCUUAUGAUCAAUAAAAAUCGAUUGAAAAGGAUGGUAUAGUGAGUGGAAGAGAAAUGCCGAUGGCAGAUCAAGGGAUGAAGAUACGAGCUCACUUGCAACGUGGUAUAGUUCAUCAUGGCUGGCUUUCCUAUAAGUUCAGGUCCUUUGAAUACUUUCAAUGACCUUAUUAGUCAGGAAUUUAACAAUAAUUUUUAUUUUUUACAUCCAGGAACGGUUUUAAGCAUAGGCAAAUUAGGCCUAUAAUAGCAAAUCCUCUUUUUUAACAAUUAAACAAUUAGGAAGUCUCCCUUUUUUAUUUUUGGUAUUACUUAUAAUAGCAAAUCUUCUUUUUUAGGCCUCUUUUUAGUUAGUAAUUAUCUUAUAAUUAAGAAUUUUUAUACACAUUCUAUCUUUGAUAACCUUAAUAUUAAAGAUCUCUAAUUAAUAGUAUUAUCUAAUUGUUAAUUUAUUAUUAGUUUUUCCAAGAAAAAAAUUAAAAUCUUUAUCUAUUUAAUACUUCAGUUUUUUUUUCGUCAGUGGCAGAUAAAAGAGUCGGUUUUUCCGUUACUAAGCUUUUUAUGGAUGAAUUUUUUUUUAUAAUUUCUUUGUUUUAUAGGUUCUCUGUGAAUGCCAUUAGAAAUGAGAUUGACUAAUUCAAACUUCCUUUUUCCCCUUAGCAUCCAAACGUGUGAGGCAAGGGCAACUAAUGAGUCCAUUGUGAUGAGAACCUUUGUCUAAGCAAAAGCAGAGGUCAAUUGCUAAUACCGUACUGUUAUUAGUUUCAGUGCUUAAAUUGCUCCAUAAGUUUGCAUUUUAAAGUCUCUGUCUUAAUUUCUGAGGUAUACUGCUAAUGAGACCUCCUGCCAAGUUCAAGUUUGUUGUGAUGGCUACUUUGUCAUAUAACUGACUGUGAGAGGCCAUCAAUCAGCUCUGUUUUGUAAUUUUGUACCUUUUUUUUUCAUAUAAUGAUCAAUCAAAUGUUAGCCCUUAGAUUGCAACCAAUAUUUACUGAUUGUCUUAUAUAGGAUAUAAACUAAAUUCAUAAGACAUUCCCUUAUUGAUAUUCAUUCCGACACGUCCUAGUCUUUUGCCUUGUAGAAAUGCUUGUGGUUGAAGAGCUUUACAGAGAAGCUGUCGUCAGUACUGCGCGGAAAUUGAUUAUAUUGAAUCAGAAAACUUGACCAGAUAAGGUCUGUGUGCAUGAGAAUACUUGAGGAAAGCUUCACAAUACUGAGGGCCGGAUCUGCACUCUUUCCUCUAUAUGUGUCUUCAAUAUCAAUGGCUCAAAUACAUGUGUUAUGGUCUUUUAAUAUAUAUAAAAUACCAUUAUCUCAUGCGUUAUGGUCUUAUCCUUGUAUUCUUAAAAACUACAUAAAAUACCGUUAUCUCUGCUUUUGUAGCUAUUGAAUUCGACUUUCACAACAUAAAUAUUUAUUAGCAACAACUUAAAAUCCAAACAAAUCUAACAUGCAAUGUAUCAAUUACAUAUUAUGAUUAAACAGAUUUUGAUUAUUUAUUAUUAAAAUAUAUUCUCAUUAAUAUCUUAAGGAUAGGUAAUACUCACAUAAUUUUUUUAAAAAUCAAACCCAAAUUAUAUGCAUUGUUAAUGUGUAUUAUUGUCUAAUAUUUGGAUUUUACUAAUUUACAACUGCUAUAAUGUACGGCCUCUUCAAACAUAAUGUGGGUCCCACCACGUGUUAAAUUUUUUACAUUAUUUUUGAAGGAAUUGUAAGUUACAGCAGCUGUAAAUUAGCAGCACCUCCAAUAUUUUACUUUACUUCCCCUAAUAUUUUACUUGUACUUUUAUAUCUUUACAAAACAAUACCAACAAGACAAUAAUGUAUGAAAUAAAUAAAAUAAAUAAAUAAAGAACUGACAACGAAAUUAGGCCUAUCAUUAAUUUCUCUUGGUGUGAACUCUUGACAAUUCUCCCAUAUCCCACCUAAAGCUCUCGCAUGGUGUGAACGCUUGACGAUUCUCCCAUAUCCCUCCAAAAAUUUGUCAUAUUGCGAAAAACAAUGUCAAUUCAAUAUCGUCUCCAUUAGUCAUAGUGGCAGAUAGGACUAGAAUUUGUUGAAACCCUUGGACUUAUUUUUCCUUUUGAAAAUAAUUUUGUAGAAUCUCAUAUCGUGAAUAACGGACAAUGAGACUCUUUUUUUUAACUAUAAUAUUUUUUUAAAAUUAUUAACUAAAAAAAUUAAUUUUAAUAUUUUAUAAUAAAUAUAAGUAGGAUAUUAAAAUAAAUAUAAUAAUAUAUACAUAUUAAAAUAAUUUCAAUACCAAAAAAUAUUUUAAUAGUUUACAAUCUCGUAUUCUAUUAAACCAAAUUAUAAUAAAUAGAGACAUAAUAUUAAAAUAAAUAUAUAAAAUUUUAAAUUAUUUUCAAUAUCAUAUAAAAUAACUUUAAUAUUAUUAAAACGUGAGAAAUAUUAUAUUAAUUAUAAAAACUAUUUAACCCAAGGAUUUGUUUAAAAUUUUUAUAAUAAAUAUAUUAAAUUACAUUUUAAAAAUUAAGUAUUUAAAUUAUACAUACUAGUCUACUAGAAAAUUUAAACUAUUUAAAUCAUAUUUACAUUUAGUAAAAAAUUUUGAAGUCAUUUUUUUUUUUGUGAAUACCAUAAGAGUGCUAUAGUCAAAAAGGGUAUUGGUGUUCUUUAUUAAAAGUUUGGGGUCUACAUGACUAUUUUCUAAAAUUUUAAGGGUGUCAUUUUAUUUUUGAAAAAAAUAAAAAUUUCAUUUAAACAGCUAAAAUGGUGAAUAGUACAAUGCUACAGUGGGCGUAAAUGGAAGGUAAAAAGCAAUCAGAUUUUGAUUAAACAUGCAAUGUAUGAAAUAUAUAUUAUAAUUAUACAGAUUUUGAUUAUUUAAUAUUAAAUUAUAUUCACAUUAAUAUCUUAAGGAUAGUUAAUACUCAAAUAAUUUUUCAAAAAAUCAAACCCAAAUUAUAUGCAUUGUUAAUGUGCGUUAUUGUCUAAUAUUUGGAUUUUGCUAUGUCACAACUACUGUAACUUAAAGCCUCUUCAAACAUAUGUCGAUCCCACCACGUGUUAAAUUUUUUACAUUAUUUUUUAAGGGAUUGUAAGUUACAACAGCUUAACUUAGCAGCACCCUAAUAGUUUAUUUUACUUUUAUAUCUUUACAAAACAAUGCCAACAAGACAACAAUGUAUGAAAUAAAUAAAAUAAAUAAACAAAGAUCUGACAGCAAAAUUAUGGCUAUCAUUGGUUUCUUGUGGUGUGAACUCUUGACAAUCCUCCCCAAUCCCAUCCAAAACUCCCGCGUAGUGUGAACAUUUGACGAUUCUCCCAUAUCCCUCCAAAAAUUUGUCAUAUUGCGAAAAGUAAUGUCAAUUGCAAUGUCGUUUUCAUUAGUCAUAGUGGCAAAUAGGACUAGAAUUUAUUGAAACCCCUCGACUUAUUUUUCCUUUUGAAAAUAAUUUUGUAGAACCUCAUAUCGUGAAUAAAAGACAAUAAGACUCUUUUUUUUAAUUAUAAUAUUUUUUAAAUUUAUUAACUAAAAAAAUUAAUUUUAAUAUUUUAUAAUAAAUAUAAGUAGGAUAUUAAAAUAAAUAUAAUAAUAUGUACAUAUUAAAAUAAUUUCAAUACCUAAAAAUAUUUUAAUAUUUUACAAUCUCGUAUUCUAUUAAACCAAAUUAUAAUAAAUAGAGACAUAAUAUUCAAAUAAAUAUAUAAAAUUUUUAAUUAUUUUCAAUAUCAUAUAAAAUAAUUUUAAUAUUAUUAAAACAUGAGAAAUAUUAUAUUAAUUAUAAAAUCCAUUUAACCCAAGGAUUUGUUUAAAAUUUUUAUAAUAAAUAUAUUAUUAAAAUAAAUAUAUUAAAUUACAUUUUAAAAAUUAAUUAUUUAAAUUAUACAUACUAGUCUACUAGAAAAUUUAAACUAUUUAAAUCAUAUAUACAUUUAGUAAAAAAUUUUGAAGUCAUUUUUUUUUUGUGGCUACCAUAAGAGUACUAUAGUCAAAAAGGGUAUUGGUGUUCUUUAUUAAAAUUUUGGGGUCUACAUGAUUAUUUUCUAAAAUUUUAAGGGUGUCAUUUUAUUUUUGGAAAAAAAAAUUCAUUUAAACAGCUAAAAUGGUAAAUAGUACAAUGCUACAAUGGCGUAAAUGGAAUGUAAAAAGCAAUCAAAAUGACCAACAGUCUAACGCCUCAUCAGGGACAUAAAGUCAAAGUUUGUUGCAUGUGGUCAGGGCCAUUUAGUCUGUGAGUGGGUCCUGCAUGUCAUUUUUGGGCAUUUCAUCUUCUUUAGCAUUGAAGAUUAAAUGUUGACGACAUUUUCAAAAUUUUGGAAGACCCAUUAUACUUUUGGAUGGCUGUCAUUACUUGAUAUUAUCAUUAUAUGAUGAAAUAAAAUUGGAUGUAACACUUGUUUCGCGUUGUGGGAACUUUUGACAAUUCCCCAUAUCUCCUAAAAAUCUUUCGCCAUUUUGGGAAGAUGCCAUUUAUUUUCAUUUUCAUCAUUGAUAUUGGCAGAUAAUGGGGUCCGAGGACAGACCAUAAAUUAUUGCGACCCAUGGACUUUUCUAAUUUUUUUUUUUCCUUUGGAUAGUUUUCGUUAUUUGAUAGAAGGAGAUAGAGAUAAAGUUUUUUAAUCAAAUGCCCAUUUUAUUUAACAUGGAAGAAGAUCUUUAAACUCUAAGCGAGGCUAUCACUUCAACAGAUGCAGCUUCAAAAAAGAGGUAACAAGUGAUGAGAUAGACUCAUUAUUGUCUAAUCAAACAAGGACAUCGGUAGAUGUAUCAGGAUCUUAAGUUAGAUUGGAAUUUGAUACAUUGUUGUUCGUAACGUUGGUUCAAACCUUUAAAGCAAGGUUGGAUGCAAAAUGGUUUACACCAAAGACGUGAUUUAGGAAGUUAAUUAACGUUAUUUUAGAUAAUUUAUAAUUCUAAAAUAUUUAUUAUUUUAUGGUUUUCUAUUUUUGUUUGAGUCAAUUAUGGUAUGUAUCUUAAUCUUUUAUUUCCAUUAUAAUUAUAAUUUAAAUUUUCUUUUUAGGUUAACUUAGGAAAGUGGAUUUCUUUUAUUAUAAAUAAAGAUGUCUGUAAUAAAAAAAAUAAAGAUGUCUUGUCAUUGUUUUCAGGACUUCAAAUUCAAUUAUUAAAUAAAACUCUUUUUUUUAUAAUUUCCUCUAGUAUUAUUUAUCAAAAUCUCUCUUAUAGAGUUAUUUAAAUUAGAGUGUCAUCUAAUCUCGUAUUACGCGUUAUUAAAAAUCUCAUUGAAUCAUUUAGAUUAAAACAAUAUCUAAUCACGCUUUGAUUAAAGCGUAAGUUAAUUGUGUUGGCUUGAUCCAGUACUAGAAUGAUAUUUAGUAUUUCUUACCUUAUCAAUUCCACUUCCGCUACGCUCGCUCCAUCAAUUGGUAUCAAAGCAAUUCUGUGCGAAUCACACAUCUUUCCUAGAUACACCAUACCCAUCCAAACCAAAUCCAUCAAAAAAAAAAAUUACAAAUUUGAAAACCCUACCCGUCAGACCAACCCCCACCGCCGCCCACCACCGCCAAUCAGCCAGCCAACACCACCACAAACCUCACUAGCCACCGUCGACCAAGCCUCAGUCAUCGCUGCCUCAACCGCCGCUUGAACAGCCGCAAAUCACCAACCCAAACCUGCGGCUCCACCAAGCAACCCACCACCAUUCAGCCACUUUCUCCACCAGCCACCUCCACCAACAAACUCGCCGGCCUUCGUUGACCAAAAACUGACCGACUUCGGCCCUUGAUCGCCGCCCUCUGUCACCACACGAAACGACAACCCACGAGUGCUUCCUACACGCGCCGCCACCAAAACACCUUCUUUUUCCGUCAAUUUACACCACCACCAUAAUCCCUAGCAGUCGGCAACCGUAAAUCCAGUCUUCCGCCACUGUAAAGCCGCCAUAAACCAAAAGCCACAUCACCAAAAUCAACCGCCAAUUCAAGUCGGAUUUUCCCCAAUUCAGGUUGCUGAAUAUAAAAAGGACUCAUGAAAAUUACCUAAAGUUUCAAAUAUUGUUAUUCAGCAACCACUUUUAUGGUACAUUAGUUUCAACCCAAAUUUUAUAUAAAUAAUUUAUAACUCCCAUUAUUAUUAUAAAAAAAAAUUGUAGCAAUUGUGGUUAUAUCACAUGAAAAAAAAAAUCUAAUUAAAGAAAUUAACAUUAUAAUUUAAGGGAUAGUUGCUCUUUUAAUCAUUAGAAUUUAUGUCAAUUAUCCAGCUUAUCCUUGCAUUCUUAAAAACUAUAUACAAUACCAUUAUCUCUGCUUUUGUAGCUAUUGAAUUUGACUUUGACAACAUAAAUAUUUAUUAGCAACAACUUAAAAUUCAAACAAAUCUAAUAUGUAAUGUAUGAAAUACAAAUAAUAAUUAAACAAAUUUUGAUUAUUUAAUAUUAAGAUAUAAUCACAUUAAUAUCAUAAGGAUAGGUGGUACUCAAAUAAUCUUUUAAAAAUCAAACCCAAAUUAUAUGCAUUAUUAAUAUGCAUUAUUGUAUAAUAUUUAGAUUUUGUUAAGUUACAACUACUAUAACUUAAGUCUCUUAAAAAAUAUGUGAGUCCCACCACCUAUUAAAUUUUUUACAUUAUUUUUGAAAAAAUUACAAGUUACAUCAGUUGUAACUUAACAGCACCCCUAGUAUUUUACUUUACUUUUAUACCUUUACAAGAACAAUAAUGUAUGAAAUAAAAAAAAUAAAUAAAUAAAGAACUGACAACGAAAUUAGACCUAUCAUUAGUUUCUUGUGGUGUGAACUCUUGACAAUCCUCCCCUAUCCCACCUAAAGCUCUCGCGUGGUGUGAAUGUUUGACAAUUCUCCCAUAUCCCUCCAUAAUAUGUCAUAUUGCGAAAAGCAAUGUCAAUUGCAAUGCCGUUUCCCAUUAGUCAUAGUGAUAGAUAGGACCAGAAUUUUUUGAAACCCCCGAGGCCCUAAACUUGUUUUUCCUUUUGAAAAUAAGAAAAUGGCACCUGUCUAGAGAAAUAAUUUAUUAGAACCUUAUAUCAUGAAUAACGGCCAAUAAGACUUUUUUUAAAUUAUAAUAUUUUUAAAUUUAUUAACUAAAAAAAUUAACUCUAAUAAUUUAUGAUAAAUAUAAAUAGGAUAUUAAAAUAAAUAUAAUAAUAUAUAGAUAUUAAAAUAAUUUCAAUAUCUAAAAUAUUAAUAUUUUACAAUCUCGUAUUCUAUUAAACCAAAUUAUAAUAAAUAGAGACAUAAUAUUCAAAUAAAUAUAUAAAAAUUUAGGUUAUUUUCAAUGUCAUAUAAAAUAGUUUUAAUAUUAUUAAUACCUGAGAAAUAUUAUAUUAAUUGUAAAAUCUAUUUAACCUAAGGAUUUAGUUAAAAUUUUAAAAUAAUUACAAAUAUUUUAUAAGUACAAAUAAAUUAAUUUACAUUUUAAAAAUUAAUAUUGAAAUUAAUUAUUUAAAUUAUAUAUAUUAGUCUUCUGGAAAAUUUAAAUUAUUUAAAUCAUAUUUACAUUUCGUAAAAAAUUUUAAGUCAAUUUGUUUGAUUACCACCUGCUAAGGGUAUUGUAGUCAAGGGGAAUAUUGGUAUUCUUUAUUAAAAAUUUGGGAUCUACAUGAUUAUUUUUCUAAAUUUUAAUGGUGUCAUUUUAUUUUUGACAAAAAUAAAAUUUCAUUUAAACAACUAAAAUGAUGAAUAAUACAGUGCUACAGUGGCGCAAGUGGAAGGUAGGAAACAAUCAAAAUGAACAGUCUAACGUCACAGCAGGCAUAUAAGGCCAAAGUUUGUUACAUCCCAAUACAAAAAGUUUGAAACUUUGCACCUUCUGAAAUGAAACAAACUUACUUGGAUAUUGGUGAUCAGUGAGAAAAGCCCUUUUUCAAAAGCAACCUUAGGGUACCGAGUGUUACAGAUUCAAUGAACCACAAAUACUUAUUUACAUUGUAGUAUCUCAAAGGCACCGAUUUCUUCUGAUCCGUUAAGGAAAACAAGAAAAAUAAAAAGAAAAGAAAAAGGGUACUUGUGCCACACAACCUUGACGCCUAGCUACAUGGUACAUUCUCUUUGUGUGUUUGAACCAAUUAACAAUAAUGGUGCCUUUACUUCUUGGACUGGAGAAUCGAAAUCCGAAAUCGAAAUCAUUAAUGAUGUUUACUUCAUAAAAUGGAGGCUGGGAUCCGAAUCAGAACUAUGGGGACCACCCAAAUUAGGAGUGAGGAAUGGAAGAUUGAUUCCUAAGGAAGGUGGUGGGAAUCAAUCCCCCAUUCCCAAGAUUGAUCAUUUUGCCCCCUCUCACAAACUAUAAAAUAUCUAUUUUGUCCUCAAUUAAAAAAUUAUUAUGAUUAAUUAAUAUAUGUUUAUAAUUUAUUAAUAUAACUAUUCUAAUCAAUUUAUAUAUAUUUUAAAUAUAUUAUUAUUAAAUAAUUAAUAUAUUAUUAUAAUUAAUUAAUAUAUUUUGAAUUUUUAUUAUUAUCGUCAUCAUCAUCAUUAUUAUUGUUAUGAAUGAUAAAUUUUUUUACAAUUAAUUAGUAUAUUAAUAUAUUAUUGACAAUAAUUAAUAAUAAUAAUAAUUUUUGAAUAAAUAAAUAAAUAAAAUUAAUUACUGAAUUUGAACAUUUUACAAUUAUUCUAUUAUUUGGACUUAUCGAGAACUUACAUGCAGCGUAGCUAGUUUGCUAGCAUAUGUAAGGUUUAAUUUGAAUGCAUGCAGCAUUGAGAAGAGACAACGCAGAAACAAAAUUUCCGCUUGCAAUCUUUUCAUUUCCCUUUUUAAUAACAAGCAAAAUAGAGGAUAAACAGGGACUUUGUUUUAAUUCUCCUGUUUUUCUGUUUGGUGAUUUUAAAAUUUUAUGUCUAUAUUUAUCAAAAAAAGUUAUCCAAAAUUAUUAUCUAUUUUUGAUACACGUUGAUUUAUUAAAAAAAAAUUAAAAACUUCAUUUCUAAAUUUAUCGUUGUGCUUUGACCUUGGGGUGGUUUUUUUCUGUUUUUUUACGUAGGCCAGAACCUUAAUGAAGAAAGUUUUCAUCGUUAAUUGCUUUUGACCUAGGAGAAUUUAUUCUUGGACAAAUUAACACCUUUGUCUUUUGAUGCGGCUCCUAGAUAUCUAUGCAAUUUGUGUCAUUUACUUUUGCUUUGUAUUCUUUUUUAAAUGAGUCCCGAUUGGUUCAUUUGCAGAUAAAUGAGUCAGUUUUUCUGUUUUUAUUUUUUGAAAGACGGUUUUUCUGUUACGAAGCUUUUCAUGGAUGAAUAUUUUUUUUUUAAUUUUAUAGAUUCUCUGCGAGUUUUGUUAGGUAGAAGGGUAUUUAAGUAUUUUCAUUUCAUAUUUUGACAUUUCCUUGACCUUUGAAGUAUUGAAUCAUUGUGCAGGUAUUUAAGUAAAUCUGCCCACAAUGAAGAAUAGUUCAGAACAGUUGCGGAAGAUAAAUGGCUCAAAUAUAUGCGUUAUGAUCUUUUAAUAUUUCGCCUCUGAUAUUGUCCACAUUGCUUACUGCAAUAGAUAAAGCACUUCGUUUACCCCAAAUCCUGAUAGGGAAGUAUAAAUAUGUGCUUCCGAAAUAGUGCAACUCUCCAUAAUUAUUUAAUAUGCCUCUCAAUGAAGCAAUCACCUUCAUUUACAAUUCUUCGAUUAUUAAUCCUACAUACACGUGUUUCUUUUGUCUCUAAAAGUAUCCUCAAUUAAUUUACAUAAUUUAAUAUAAUAAGUACCUAAGACUAGACAAAUUAUCAUUAUAAUAGUAUUGACACAAUAAUGUCAAUAAUAAAUGCCUUAACAAACCUAUAAAUUUUAGAAUAUGGCUCAGAGUGCUACAAUGAACCACAACAAGUUAUUAUAUUGUCUAUAAUCAAUAUUCCAAUGGUAAUAGAGUUUUUUUAUUUUCAAUCCGCUGCUUUUCUGUUUAGCGAUUGCCAAAUUUUAUAUCUAAAAUUCUUCUAAUUUUAUAUCUAAAAUUCUUCUAAUUUUACACUAAGGUUUAUUUUUUCAAAAAAGGGGGGGGGGGGGGGGGGGGGGGGGGGCAGGAGAGAGAGACUUAGAGAGUAUUAAAAAAUGUAAUUCUAAAUUUUUACUUGAGUGUUGUGUGAUUUUGAUCAUUUUUUUAAAGUUGGCCAUUUAUAUUGAAUAAAUAAAAUAACGAAUAGACGUUUGGACCACUUCUUUUCUGUUAUAAUAAAACAUGAGAUGUCUUCUCUUGAUGUUUUCGUCACAAAAGAAUAUGUUUAAUUAUGUCAUCAUAGGCUUAAAUGGGAUGCCUUUUCUGUUAUAAGAUCGAGAACAAGUUUGUUUAAGCACUAGAGCCGCUAAAUAAAAGAAAGGCUCAUAUAAAAAUUACCUAAAGCACCAAAUAUUGUUAUUCAGCUACUUCUUUUAUGUUACAUUAGUUUCUACGCAAAUUUAUAUAAAUAAUUUAUAACUCCCAUCAUUAUUUAAAAAAUAAAAACCAUAGCAAUUGUGGUUAUAUCAUGUGGUGUGAUCUUUUGACAAUCCUCCCACAUCCCACCAAAAACUCUCACAUGGCGUGAACUUUUGACAAUUCUUCCAUAUCCCACCAAAAAUUUGUCAUGUUGCGAAAGGCAAUGUCAAUUGUAUUGUCAUUUCCAUUAGUUAUAGUGGCAGACAAUGUAGUCCCGGGAUAAGACUAGAAGUUUUUGAAACCCAUGGACUUAUUCUUACUUUAUUUUUUCUUUUGAAAAUGAGAAAAGGACACCCGUUUCGGGAAAUAAUUUUGUAGAAUCUCAUAUCGUGAAUAAGAGAUAAUAAGACUUUUCUUUUUUACUUUACUGCAAUACUCUUUAAUUUUAUUAAUUUUAUAUUUUAUAAUAAAUAUAAAUAUGAUACUAAAAUAAAUGUAAUGAUAUAUACAUAUUAAAAUAAUUGGAUAUUGAAAAAUAUUUUAAUAUUUUACAAUCCCGUAUAAUAUUAAACCAUAUUAUAAUAAAUAGACAUAAUAUUAAUAUAUAUAUAAGUUUAAAUUAUUUUGAAUAUCAUAUAAAAUAAUUUUAAUAUUAUUAAUAAAUCAGAAGUAUUACAUUAAUUGUAAAAUCUAUUUAAUCCAAGGAUUUAUUUAAAAUUUUUAUAAUAAAUUAAAAAUAUAUUGGUUAACAUUUUAACAAUUAAUAAUGAAAUUAAUUAUUUAAGUUAUAUAUAUUAGUCUACUAGAAAAAUUUAAACUACUUCAAUCAGAUUUACAUUUAAUGAAAAAAUUUGAAGUUAAUUUUCUUUUUAUCAUCUACUACGAAUCUUGUAGUUAAAAGAGGUAUUGACAUUCUUUAUUAAAAAUUUGAGGUCUACAUAACUAUUUUUUUUUUUAUUUUAAGGGUGUCAUUUUAUUUUUGACAAAAAUAAAAUUUCAUUUAAAUGGCUAAAAUGGUGAAUAAUACAAUGUUACAGCUGGCGUAAAUGGAAGGUAGGAAACAAUCAAAAUGACCAACAGUCUAAUGCCACAGCAAGGACAUGAGGUCAAAAAAUUCCCUUAUUAAUUAGUAAAAGAGAGUCACUUGGGCUUAUGGCGGGCAAAAUCGGAUAUAGAUCAGAUUCAAAUUAAUCCGAUAAAUUUGAUAUUGUUUGCAUUGAUAAAAAAAGUCACCCAAAUGCAAUCUAAACAUGUGUGUGUGUGUAUACAUAUUUGUUAUAAAUUAAAGUUACAAAAGUCUUUAACCAAGGCCAUUCAUAGUAAGUUUCAAAUUUUUAGGUUAAUAUCUGUAACUUCAUCAUGCUGGCCAUAAAUAAAGCUUGCAGGUCUAGGCGGGAUUGACUCGAGUUUUUUUGCCAAUCCUACGCAUGACGGGCGGUGUUAGGAAUAAUAUCCUGCAUCAAUUGAGUAUUGAACUUGGGUUCAGCAUAUAAGAUUUGGACAACUCUUAACUCUUGAGCUAACUUACUAAGUUUUGGAUUGAGUUAAGCAUGUAUGCUUCAAUAUCACAAAUUAGUCUUUCGUUACCAUUACUUAUUUUUUCUAUUGUUUAAUCCUAACACAAUAAAUGACCUUUCAUCCCAAAAGAACUAAAGUAAUCAUUUUAGACGAAUUAAGACACCAUAAAGUAAAUCUGCACACUAUGAAAAAUACUUUGGAACAGUUAAGGAAGCGUGAGAAUACUUGGGGAAAGCUUCAUAAUUGUUACGGCCGGAUCUACACUCUUUCCUCUAUAUGCAAUAAAUAUAUGCGUUAAUGAUCUCUCAAUAUUUUGCAUCCGAUAUUGCCCACAUCGCUUACCACAAUAUAUUCACUUUAUAAACAAAGUUUACAACCCAAAUACUAAUAGAGAAUAUAAAUAUGUACUUGUCAAUGAAGCAAUCACCUUUAUUUAGAAAUUUUUUAUUAUUAAUCCUACGUACACACACCUCUUUUGUCUCCAAAAAUAUUCUUAAUUAAUCCACACAAUUUAAUACAAUAAAUACCUAAGAUUACACAAAUUUUCAUUACAAUAGAAUAUAUAAUUUAUAAUAUUAUUGAUACAAUGAUGCCAAUAAUAAAAAUCCUAUAAACCUUACAAAUUUUAGAAAAUGGCUUAGAGUGUGACAGGUUGAAUGAACCACAACAAAUCAUUUACAUUAUAGUAUCUAUGAUCAAUAUUCUAAUGAUAAUAGGGCUCCUCCAUUUUCAUUUCCCUACAUUUUCUGUUUGGUGAUUGUCAAAUUUUAUGUCUAAAAUUUUUCUAAUUUUACAGUGAGGUUUAUUUUUUAAAGAGAGAGAGAGAGAGACUCAAAGAGAAUUAAAAAAAAUGUAAUUCUAAAAUUUUACUUGUGCAUUUUGUGAUUUUUACCAUUUUUUAAGUUGGCAAUUUGUAUUGAAUAAAUAAAAUAAUAAAUAGACUUAUGGACCACUUUUUUCUGUUAUAAUAAAAAUCAGAGGUCCUUUCUUGAUGUUUUCUUUCCAUAUGAAUAAAUUAGAAUUUUAUUGGUACAGUAAUGUCAAUAAUAAAAUUCCUAACAAACAUACAAAUUUUAGAAUAUGGAUUAAAGUGUUACAAGUUGAGUGGAUCACAACAAGUUAUUUAUAUUGUAGUGUCUAUGAUCAGUAUUUCAAUGAUAUCAAGGGUCCUCUAUUUUCUUUCCCUUGCAAUUUUUGUUUGGUCAUCGCCAAAGUUUAUAUCUAAAAUUUUUCUAAUUUUACACUGACAUUUAUUUUUUUUUUAAAAAAAAGAGAAAGAGAGACACGGAGAGAACUAAAAAAUGUAAAUCUAAAUUUUUGCUUGUGCGUUAUGUGAUUUUUAUCAUUUUUUAAGUUGGCCAUUUGUAUUGAAUAAAAAAAGUAAUAAAUAGACUUAUGGACCACUUGUUUUUUUAUUAUAAUAAAACAUUUUCUUCUCCUGAUGUUUUUCAUCUCACAGGAAUAUAUUUAUCUCAUCGUGGGCCCAAAUGGGGUAAAUAAAUUGGGAUCAAGGACAAGUCUGUUUAAGUGUUGAAAUUGCAAGAAGACCUCAUAAAAAAAAUUGCCUAAAGCCCCAUUAUUGUUAUUCAACUAUUACUUUCAUGACACUUACACAAAUAAUUUAUAACUCCAUCUUUAUUUAGGGAAAAAACUGUAGCAAUUGUUGUUAUAUCACAGGAACAAAUUCCAAUUAAAAAUAUAAUAAGAAUUAAUUGCAAAUUUUGUAAUAAAUAUCAAUAUAAUUUAAUAGUUUAAUUUUUUUUGGUAGAGUAAUAUAAUUUAAAAAAUUAAUAUUUAAAAAAAUAAUAUCAGUAUUACUUUUUAAAAUGCAAAUUAUUAAAAUUAUAUUAAUAAUGUAUUUUUAUUUAUUAUAAAAUUUAUUUUAAUAAAAUCUUAAAUUUUUUUAAAUAUUUGUAUAUAUUGUUAUAUGUUAUUAUAAUAUUAUAUUUAUAUUUAUUAAAAUAUAAGAGUUAAUAUUUUUAAAUUAAUAAAGACAAAAAGUAUUAUAAUAAAAAAGAAUUCUUUUAUUAAAAAUAUAAUCAUUCUCCCAAACUUAUCCUUGUCCCUUUUUGAAAGGAAAAAAUAAAUUAGAAAAGUCUAUGGUCAUGAUAACUUCUAGCCUUGUCCCGUGGGACAUGGCUACGGUGCAGAAGCUGAAAGUAACAGCUUCGAACUUUCCCAUUUCCAUCACCUUGUUGAUGGUUGUUGAAGCCAAUAAAAAUAAAUUCCUACUCUAAAUAAAUUGUGUAUAGUGAUUGAGCAGGGUCGUGUCCACAGAGAUCGGUAAUUAUUUAAAUUCUUUUGAAACGUAAAACGUAAAAUGGGAGAAUUGUUGACAAUAAUAAAAAAUCAAAUUAAAAUAACAAAAAUGCAAAUUAAAGUUGUAAUUCAAAUUGGAGAAAGCUUUGGUUGAAGGAAUUAACUCAGUUUGAUUCGACUACUGAUCAUUGAUUCAAAAAUAGAUUAUUAUUACUUAUGAAUAAACUGGUUAUAGCUAUUGAGACCCUCUAAUAGCCAAUCUCUCCUUAACUAGUCGAUAACCAAGGUACGACUAUUGGAUAUUUCCCUAAUCAAUAGACAACCCUAGAUACGAUCAUAGGAUUUAAUCAAUUGACAGCCUGAAAAACCAGAGCGACCCAAAUCCUAAUCAACACAUAUGAUGAUUCAUUUAAAUUAGAUUGUUUAUUCCCAUAACACAACUCACUGCUAUGUUAUUUGUCACAAACAUUAAACUCGUCAUACGAUGAAUUCUUUAAUUGACAAUAGAUUAAGUUGAUAAUUAAAUAGUGGCCAAUUACCUAAUUAACAAACAUAAUCAUGAAACUAAUUCAGAGAAUAAACAAAUACCCAAAAAGUAAUAAAACAAUUAAAGCAUAAGAAAGAUCUCACAGUAGUGAUGAAUCAAAAAUUCAUUAACCUUCAACUAGAAAAAAUAAGUUUAGUUUUUCAUAGAGAGAAGAGAAAAAUUAGAUCUAGGGUUUCUUUCUUUUUCUCCAAUUAAAAUCCCCCCUUUUUCACAAUAGAUUCCUCCCUUAAAUACUCUCUCUCUCUUCUCUUUUAAAGUUCUAUUUAAAAUAAAAUAAUAAUAUUUGAAAUAUUAAAUUCGUAAUUACAAAAAUAGCCAAAAAUACAAAACACAUUAAACUAAAAACUGCAGGUCCGCAGUUGACAGCACGCGCCCACGCCUUAUCUAUAAAGUUCUUCUGACGCUCUAAAUUUCUCCAAGAGAACAAUCAUCUUUAAACAUCAUCUUAUACCUCAAUUCUAUCACAAAUCAAUAGAAUUGCACUUACAAAAGUAAAACACAAGUAAAUCAUUAUUAUUAAAUGCAAAACAUCGAUAUUAAGGGAAGUAAACAAUGCAAAACUAGUGUAUAAAUUGUACUCUAACACUUGUAUUGGGACCUCUUUCUCUCUCCUAUAGCCCCCAUGGAAGUUCCCCAUUGGCUGCUGUUACUUACAGAAGCCGUAACAUAGACUUCUAGCCAUGUCCCGUGAUGUCCAUUGUCUGCCACUAUGAAUAAUGGCAAUGACAUUGCAAUUGAAACAUUGAAAAGGUAUUUUCGCAAUAUGACAAAGCUUUUGUUAGGAUAUGGGAGGAUUGUCAAAAGUUCACACCACUUGAAACUAGAAUUAGAUCUAAUUUCAUUUAUUUCAUAAAUUAGAAAAGUCUAUGGUCGUGAUAACUUCUAGCCGUGUCCCGUGAUGUCCAUUGUCUGCCACUAUGAAUAAUGGAAAUGACAUUACUAUAAUAAAAUGACAUUGCAAUUCCAAUAUGCAAUUGAAAAGUCUAUGGUCGUGAUAACUUUUGUAAUAUGACAAAGUUUUUGUUGGGGUAUGAGAGGAUUGUCAAAAGUUCACACACCACAUGAAACUAGUGUUAGAUCUAAUUUUAUUUCGUCCGUUCCUUAUAUAUUUAUUUCAUACAUAUAUGUCUUAGGGUGAUAUUGUUUUGUAAAGAUAUAAUAGUAAGGUACUAUAAAAAGAAAAGAACUGUGUGUAUACUUCCCAGUGUAAUAAUUAUAUGUAGAAGAAAACUAACAAGAGGAAAAAUGACAAAGAGCAAGGCGCUGGUUGUUGGGAGAAGAGGACAUGUCGGCAGAGGAUAGAGAAGCCAAUCUUAGCCUUGUUGAUUGAGGGCUCAUCUUCUGAUCAUCGUAGCCUUGUUGGAGCUGUCAAACAAGUCGAUGUUGUCAUUUAAGGAGCCACAACAUUUUGAUGCUGCUUAAACUUGUUGGGGCCAUCAAAUAAGCUGUAAAUAUUAAGGUACGUAAGCCUUAAUUUUUAUGUAAUUUUAAUUUCAGAUCCAAAAUUGCAUGCAAGCCAUUAAUUUCUUUCCUUUUUUAUUUUUGAUUUGAUGAGGUGCUUGAUUUGGUCGGGUGUGUAUUUUUUCUUUGUUCUUUUUUUUUUUAAAACAUAAAUCUCCAAAUCGGGUUGGAGCGGGGAUUCUAACCCUACGAUGGCCAUAUUAAAAUUUAAAAUUUUUUAAUUUAUUUUUCUACAUCUCAAUAUUUGAAAAAAUGAUUAUAUAGAUCUAUAUAUUUUCAAUAAGAGAUACUAAGAUACUCUUUUUUACUAUAACACCUACUAGCUCUAUUAACUCAAAAAAUUAGCUUCAAUGUUAAUAUAUAUAUUUUAAAAUAAUUUUAAUAUUUUAAAAAAAAUGAAAAAAAUAUUUUAAUACUUUACAAGCUUAUACUAUAUUAAACUAAAUUUUGUAAUAAAUAGAAACUUAAUAUAAAAUAAAUGUCUAAAAAUUUAAAUUAUUUUCAAUAGCAUAUAGAAUAAUUAUAAUAUUAUUAAUACCUAAGAUAUAUUAAAUUAAUUAUAAAUUCUAUUUAACACAAAUAUUUAACUAAAUUUUUUAUAAUAAAUAUAAAUAUAUUAUUAAAAUAAAUCUAAUAAUUAACAUUUUAAAAAAUAAUACUGAAAUUAAUUUUUUAAAUUAUACUAACACUAGUUUCACGCUGUGCGAACUUUUGACAAAAACUGUUAAUUGCAAUUUCUUUUGAAAACAAUAGAUCAAAUCAUUAAAGUGCAUGUGAUGAUUUGCUGUUUAAUUAUUUCUUUAGAAUAUAUCCAAACGUAAGGUUGUGAACUAGUGCUUUCUUCAACUUAAUUGGGUCCAACAAUACACUGCAGCUUCCUCUUUUGGUCAUUCCAAGUUUAAUUCUUCAUGAAAAUCUUAGACACUAAUACAAGGAUAUCGAAUCCAAAAUUAUAAUAAUACAUGUAAUUAUUCUAUACAUGCGUCAACAAGGCAACAGUAACCAAAUACAUGAUAUGCAAAGGGGGUGCAUGAUUAAGUCCUUUUUUUAUUCAAUUCAUUGUUAUUAUUCUCAUCAACUCUUUUCUCACUUAUUUUUCAGCAGUUACCAGUGAUCUUUUUGCUCUUUAAAAUUAUUCUUAAAUAUUCAAGGCUAAAUAGAGAAGCUCAUCAACUAUCUGAUCCCGGAUAAUUAAAGAGGUGAACUUGUUCUAAAUCCUUUGAUAAUUUCUAUUAAUAGCAUAAUCUCCUUGAUCUUGACCGCAGUUAUUUCUUAAUGUCCAAGAAAAAAAUAUCUCCUGUUUGUCUUAAUCUUGUCAUUUAAUUUUCUUGAUUUAAGUUACUGUUCAUUGUUAACUUCUGUGUUCUUGUUAUUAGCAUUUGUUAAUUUGCAUCUCUCCUCUAAAAUAGUUUCUAAAAAAGAAUGUUGCUUUUCAUUCAUACCCUUGAAACCUUUCAGUUAAUAGUCAAAACUCUAAUCUUUCAGUUAAUUUAUUUGAAUCCAAUUUUUUCAACAGCAAAUACACACACACAUUGUUAAGCAACAGCCAAAAAAGUGCAGAAAAACCAGUCAAAUUUAUACAUGCGUCAACAGGGAAACAGUAACCAAAUAGGUGAUACAAAAAGGGGUGAAUGAUUCUGUCUUUUCCUUUUGCAAGUCGCUGUUAUUACUCUCAUCAACUUCUUUCUCGCACAUUUCUCAGCAGUUACCAGUAAUAUUUAAAAUCGCUGUGUAGAUAUGCAAAAGUUCCGUAAGUGCAUUAAUAAUUAUUUGCCAGAAAAAAAUAGUUGCGUCAAUAUUAAAGGAAUUGACAUCCAGGGGACCCAAUUUAGUUGCUUAAUGAUUAUUUAAUUAAUUAAUUUAUAAUAUAUUAAUCUUUUAAGUUGAAUAAUUAAAAUCUUAGACCCGAAACAAUAAAUCAUCUGAGGCAUAUAAAAGAGAAAUUAUCAUCCUAUUUUUUCUUUUUUCUUUUUAACUUCUUGUAGCUUAUAAAAGAGAAAUUAUCAGUCAUUUACUCAAAGUUUAUUCAAUUAUUAAAAUUAUUAUAAAAAUUUAAAUUUAUUUAAUUUUACAUCCAAUGUAUGCAAUUUGUAUGAAACAUCUGUUAAAAAUAUAAAGUUAUUCGUUCAAAGUGACAAAAUAGAACCGAACACAAAAUUGUAGUGGUGAUUAUGUUUUAGGAGUAACUUUAUUUUUUUAGUAAACAGUUGAUACACAUUGUAAUAAUGGGUAUAAAAUUAAAUAUUUUUAAAUUUUUAUAACUUUUUGGAUAAUAAGAUAAUUCUUAGAUGGAUAAUUGAAAAUUUUUCUUUUCAAAAUAUUUUGAAAACAAUACCAAAUGUACCAAAACAUUGUUUACUUUCACUCUCUCUCUCUCUCUCUCUCUCUCUCUAUCUAUCUAUCUAUAUAUAUAUAUAUAUAUAUAUAUAUAUAUAUAUAUUAUUUCUUAACUCAUUCUUAUCCUUAUUCUUUCUAACAUAUCCACAAUCUGUCAAUGAAAUUUACUUUUAUAAAUUUGAAGAUUUUUUCAUGCAAUUUUAUACGAUGAUGAGUUCUCAUGUUUCUGUUAAAAAAUAAUUCGUAAAUAAUACAAAUGAAAAAAACAAAAAGUAGCAGGGCUGGCAAUACAAAACCAUAACUUUUUUUCUUUGAAUUUUGCAUAAACAAAGUCAAUAGUGAUUUGUCAGCACGAUCUUGAGAGCACGGCUUGGAGUCUCAAUAAUUAUUGACACUCAUAUUUGAAAACUUUCGAAAAGAUAAAAUCCAAUAUGAAAGGUGAAACGUUAUAAUCAUAGUAACUAGAAAAUGGAUUGAUUUACAAAUAUCAAUUUAAACAAUUUUCAUGUUGAUCGACAAUUUAAGUAGAUUGACAAAGAUUGAAGUAAUUACUGUUGGUGAUUGAUUGACUUUGUCCUUAUCCUUGCCUUCUUCUUAUCAAAAAUCGAGUGUCAAUUAAAUUGGGCCAGGGUUUCUGAUUGCAACUAAUGGACUUCAUAUACGCAUAAUGGUCCCUACGUACAUACGUACCAAUAUUUGAUUGAUAAAGGGGGUGCAUGCUUAAUGCUCAAGUCGUCUUCUUUUGGAAAUUCAUUGUUAUUACUCUCAUCAACUCGUUCCUCACAUUCCUCUUUAGUCAAAACCUGUAAUAUUUCUUCUAUAUUCAAGGUGAAUACAGCAGCUCAUCGACUCUGAUCCCAGACAGGUAAAGAGGUGCACUUGUUCUAAAACCUGUAAUAUUCUUUUAGUAGCAGAAUCUCUGAUACUUGAUCUUCAUAGCGGUUCUUUCUUAAUUUCCAUCAACUUUCCUAGGAAAAAAUUCUCUGGUUUUUCUUAAUCAUAUCAUUUACUUUUCUUAAGUCAUAUCAUUUAUUUUUAGUAGCAGAAUACUUGAUCUUGAUAGCCAUUCUUUCUUAAUUUCCAUCAACUUUCCUUAAAGGAUACCUUUCUGUUAAUAGCGAAACCUCUGAUCCUUAAGAUAGAAAAAGAAAUUCUCUACUUAUGUAUCAGUUGGUUCAAAAUCAAUAUCGCGAUGUUGUUUGCGGUCUUUUCUUUCUCUGUCUUUCCCUCUAGUUCAUUUUAAUUUAUUUGUAUUCCUUUCUUUGACAUUUUUAUUCAUUUUAUUCAUAUAUAUACAUAUAUUGUUAAGCAACAGGCAAUGGUUGCAGAAGUGGGUCUGGCUGCUUUUUCCAGCAUCGUAUCAGAAGAUGCAAAGUCACUGUUCAAACCGAUUAUACGGCAGAUCUCUUAUGUGUUCAAGUACCAGAGCUACAUAGAUGGCCUAAAAGAUCAAGUGAAACAGUUGGGAUAUAAAAGAGAAAGGGUGGAAAUACCCGUUCAUCAGGCUACUCAACAAGGAGAUGAGAUUUAUAAGGAUGUUGCAGACUGGCUUAAUAGCGUCAAGGAAUUCACUCAGGGAGCUGCGAAAUCCAUCACUGAUGAUGAAGAUAGAGCUAAGAAGUUCUGUUUCAAAGGAUUGUGCCCAAACUUGAUUUCUCGUUACAAGCUCAGUAGACAAGCAGCAAAGGCCGCAGAAGCUGCUGCUAGUCUCAUGGGAAAAUGUAACUUCUCUAAUGUUUCCUACCGUCCUGCUCCAAAGCGGGCAGAACAUAUGCAAGUGAAAGAUUUCGAGGCCUUUGAUUCAAGAAUGAAAGUAUUUGAAGAUGUUGUGGAGGCGUUGAAGGAUGAUAAGCUCAAGAUAAUUGGGGUCUACGGGAUGGGCGGCGUGGGUAAAACCACGCUAGUCAAGCAAGUUGCAAGGCAAGUUAUGGAAGAUAAGGUGUUCGACAAGGUCGUUAUGGCUGAGGUAACACAGACCCCAGAUCAUCAGGAAAUUCAAAAGAAACUUGCUUUUGACUUAGGCAUGAAAUUUGGCUCGGAUGAGAAUAAAUUCGAAAGAGCAGAUCGAUUACGUGAAAGAUUGAAGAACGAGAAGCAGGUCCUCGUUAUAUUGGAUAAUAUUUGGAAAAAACUCGAGUUCGAAAAAGUUGGAAUUCCUUGUGGGGAUGUUGAUGAGAAAGAUACAAAGGAUGAUCAGAGACGAUGCACAAUAAUAUUGACGUCUAGAAGUCGAGAUUUAUUGCGCAUUGAUAUGAAUUCUCAGAAAAAUUUCCCGAUCGAUGCUUUGCCACCAAAAGAAGCAUUGCAGUUAUUUGAAAAGAUAGUGGGUGAUUCAACUAAAAUAUCUGCUUUUCAAAGUAUAGCAAAUGAGAUCGUUGAAAGAUGCGGAGGUUUGCCUGUUGCACUGAGUACAGUUGCAAAUGCUCUGAAAACUAAGGAUAGUUACUUUUGGAAAGAUGCAUUGAAUCAGCUAAGAAGAUCGGAUGCUAGAGAAAUUCAUGGCAUGCAAGCAAAUGUGUACACCUCCAUAAAAUUGAGUUAUGACUUCUUGGAAAGUGAGGAGGCAAAAUCUCUGUUCCGUCUUUGUAGUCUAUACAGUGAAGGUAAUGUCAUACAAGUUUCUGACUUAUUGAGAUGUGGUGUGGGUUGGGGUUUGUUUGAAAAUGUUUACACAUUGGAAGAAGCAAGGAGUAGAGUGCAUCGGUUGAUCGACAACCUCAAAUCUUCAUGCUUAUUGUUGGACGGUGAUGCUGAAGAUGAAGUUAAAAUGCAUGACGUCAUUCAUGUUGUUGCCGUAUCAAUUGCCAGAGAGGAGCGCAUGUUUAAUGUUCCAAAUGUUGCUGACUUGGAGAAAAAGAUGGAAGAGACAAUACAGAAAGAUCCAAUUGCUAUUUCAUUACCUCAUAGAGAUAUUCAAGAGCUCCCUGAAAGGUUGCAAUGUCCCAAUCUCCAGUUAUUUUUGUUGUAUACGGAGGGUAAUGGCCCUAUGCAAGUUUCAGACCACUUUUUUGAAGGGAUGGAAGGACUCAAAGUUUUACAGUUUCCUGGAAUUGGCUCUUCUUCAUUACCUUCAUCACUUGGUCGCCUCAUUAACCUUCAAACAUUGUGUUUAGACUGGUGCGAACUAGCAGAUAUAGCGGCAAUUGGACAACUAAAGAAAUUAGAGAUUCUCAGCCUCGCAUAUUCCAAUAUCAACCAGCUACCAGUUGAAAUUGGACAAUUGACGCGGUUACAAUUGCUAGAUUUGAGCAAUUGUUGGUGGCUUGAGGUGAUAGCACCGAAUGUCAUAUCAAAAUUAUCUCAAUUAGAAGAAUUGUAUAUGGGUAACGGUUUUUCAGGGUGGGAGAAGGUUGAAGGAGGAAGUAAUGCCAGUCUUGUCGAAUUGGAGAGGUUGACAGAGCUAACUACUUUGGAGAUAGAAGUUCCGGAUGCCGAAAUUCUGCCGCCGGAUUUUGUCUCUGUGGAAUUGCAAAGAUAUAAGAUACGUAUAGGAGAUGGGCCCGAAGAUGAGUUUGACCCAUUGCUCGUCAAAUCUGAAGCAUCAAGAUUGAUGAUGCUCAAGGGGAUAAAAAAAGUUAGCAUUCUUCAGGAGAAUGAUGGGACAAAAAUGUUGCUGCAGAGAACUGAAGAUCUCUGGCUAGAAACAUUGGAGGGUGUUCAAAGUGUUGUUCAUGAAUUAGACGAUGGGGAAGGUUUUCCACGAUUGAAGCGUCUUCUCGUAACAGACUGUUCUGAGAUUUUACAUAUUGUCGGUUCAGUUAGGGUUCGUUGCGAAGUCUUUCCCUUGCUGGAGGCAUUGUCUCUUAUGUUUUUAACUAAUUUGGAGACGAUAUGCUACAGCCAACUCAGAGAAGAUCAAUCCUUCAGCAACUUAAGGAUUAUAAACGUAGAUUCCUGUCGAAAAUUGAAGUAUCUCUUCUCAUUCUCUAUGGCCAAAAACCUAUUGCGGCUUCAAAAAGUAAAAGUGGAAGACUGCGAUGAUUUGAAAAUGAUUAUUGGUAAGUGUUGAAAUUAAUUAUUGGUAGGAUUAUUGACAUUGACUCUUUCUUUUUUUCUUUUUCUUUUUUUGGGGAAAAAAACAACGGAUGUUUAUUAUAUAUUGUUUUGGUUCAUUUAUAGGGCCCGACAUGGAGAAACCAACAACAACUCAGGGAUUCAUAGAAAUCAAUGCAGAGGAUGAUCCUGUUCACCAGGUAAUAAUUUUCUGUUUAAUAAUUAAUUAAUUAAUAUAUUAUCACGAUUGAGCUUCAAUCAUCGAAAGAAUAUUAUAUUAGAAGUUGUAGUUGAAGGAACAAAAAUGUAUGGUUUUUCUUUGCAGGUUACUUUUCCACGCUUGGAGGAACUGGAACUUGUCAGUUUAACAAAUAUCAAAAAAUUAUGGUCCGAUCAAUUUCAGGGAAUAUAUUGUUGUCAAAAUUUAACAAAAGUGACCGUGUGGAGUUGUCAUCGUCUGAAGUAUUUGUUUUCAUAUUCUAUGGUUAAUAGUCUUGGGCAACUCCAACAUCUUGAGAUUCGUAAUUGCCGGUCAAUUGAAGGGGUAGUCAACACCACGACGUUAGGAGGAAGAGAUGAAUUUAAGGUUUUUCCCAAACUACACUACCUGUCGCUCCAUUGGCUUCCAAAACUAAGUAGCUUUGCCUCACCAGAAGACGUCAUUCACACUGAAAUGCAACCUCAAUCCCUCUUUGAUGAAAAGGUUUUUUUUCAUUGAAUUUUUAAAUUCUCUUUUCGUUGAGUCUUCAAAUUUAAUUAAUAUACAUCUCUAAUUGCAUUGAAUUUUUAACUUCAGGUACGACUCCCAAGUCUGGAGGUAUUAAAUAUUAGUGAGGCGGAUAAGUUGAGAAAAAUAUGGCACCACCAGCUUGCUUCGAAGUCUUUUAGCAAAUUGAAAAAAUUGAAGAUAUCUGGGUGUAAUAAUCUACUGAAUAUUUUUCCUCCAUUGGUAAGAUUGCUAUAUUCAUUUUGAAUUUUUAUUUCAAGUAACAUUCAACAAUUAUUUUAAUCAUUUUUGUGUUUACAAAUAAUUUUCAUUCACAAAUUAUUUAUUGCAAGUAUUUUACUUCAAACUUCAGGAGGGCAAAAAAGUAGUGUACUUCAAAUCACCAUUCUGAACUCUGCAUUGUCAAUCUAAUUUAUAGGUUCACCCGCAUUAAAGUCAACGAUAUAAUUGUUUUAAACACGAUUUAACAGCAUAAUAUAAUUCAAUUUAAUUGUUUUUUUCCUUAAAUCCUAAUAAAUAAGAUUUUUAGAAAUUAAAAGAUACUUAGUUACUCAGCUUUUAAGCUCACAAAUUCAUAUAUAUUUCUCUUUUCCUUGGGUCUUCAAAUUUCGAUUUAAAAAAAAAUAAAAGAAAAGUGUUCAAAUGUAGUUAAUAUCUCUAGUUUAGUUAUGAAUUGAUUACGCCAUUGAUUAAGCACAAAUUCAUGAUGGUCAUUUUGAAUCGACCGUUGAUUAAAAAAAUUCCUCAAAUAUUCACUCUAUAACAGUCCCAUGUUGAUGGCGUUGGGAAGUGUUUUCCAGAAAUGUUUUUCCAUUUUUAAAAGCAUGAAUAUCGGGAAAAAAAAAAGGGAAAUACAGCGUUUUAGUUUAGUUAUUUUAAAAAUAGGCAUGUUUGAAAAUUAAAAAUUUUAAAAAACUAGCAUCAAGAUGAAAAAUGAAUUUAGAAUAUUUAAAAAUUACCUGAAAUUCUUUCUCCGUUCCUAAUACUAAAUAGUGUAAAUGCAUUUUCAUUAUCUUUGUUUUUCUGGACUUCUAUUUAUUUAUUUUUAUUUUUUCUUUUUUUUCUUUAACAAAAAAUAUCUAGUAGACAUUCAUGGUUUGUUAUUUUUCAUAAAACAAUUGUAUGAUUUUGACAUACUUUGAAUCUAGUUGAAUGCUACUCUUUAUUUUCAGGUUGGAAUUCCCAAUAGUCUAGUGAAUCUUGAUGUAUCAGACUGUGCAAAAAUAGAAGAAAUCAUAGGACAUGUUGGAGAAGAAGCGAAGGAGAAUCGUAUUGCUUUCAACGAAUUAAAACUUUUGGAACUUGAUGAUUUACCAAGGCUUACCAGCUUUUGUUUGGAGAAUUACACUCUUGAAUUCCCAUCAUUGGAACAAGUUUCUAUGACACAUUGUCCGAACAUGAAGACUUUUUCUCGGGGAAUCUCAUCCACACCAAAGCUAUACGUAGUGCAAGUGACUGAAAGGGAAGAGGGUGAACACCAUUGGGAAGGCAAUAAGCUUAAUUCCACUAUACAAAAGUGUUACGAAGUAAUGGUAUGUGUUAAUCGAUUCACUUUACGAAGUAAUGGUGUUACGAACACCAUUACGAAGUAAUGGCAAUAAGCUUAAUUCCACUAUACCACAUUUAAACAUAUACACCUGCGUUGUAAAUAUAUUUUUAGAAGUUAAAGCACAAAACAUGUAAGUUUAAUGUAUAUAUAUAUCUAAUGCCUUUCAAAAAAAGAAAUUUAUAUAUAUCCAGUGCAAUUGUUUUGGUUUAUGCAGAUUGGAUUCCGUGACAUAGAGCAUUUGCAACUCUCACAUUUUCCACGCUUGAGAGAAAUAUGGCACGGCCAAGCAGUGCCUGUCAGCUUCUUCAACAAUUUACGACAACUGGCUGUGGAUGACUGCACGAAUAUGUCGAGUGCUAUUCCUACCAAUCUGCUACGUUGCUUGAACAAUUUGAGAUGCCUGGAAGUGAGGAAUUGUGAUUUAAUAGAAGAGGUGCUUCAUUUAGAAGAGCUAAAUGCUAAGGAAGAACAUAUAGGCCCCCGGUUUCCUAGGCUUAACAGACUAAGGCUCAUUGAUCUUCCAAAACUCAAAAGAUUCUGCAACUUCACUGGGAAUAUAAUUGAACUGUCUGAGUUGGAGAAUCUAACUAUUGAGAAUUGCCCUGAUAUGGAAACAUUCAUAUCCAACUCUGUAGUGCAUGUGACAACAAAUAACAAGGAACCUCAAAAAUUAACAUCAGAAGAGAACUUUUUGCUGGCUCAUCAAGUACAACCCCUCUUCGAUGAAAAGGUGAUUAUUAUUAUUAUUAUUAUUAUUAUUAUUAUUUUCCCCUUCACUUUUGUUCGCACAGAUGUAAUUUCAUUAGAAUCAAAUCAAAUUUUAUGACUCAUCUUUUUGCAUGUCAUCUUGAUUCAUAUAUGAAUUAACAAUACAACUACAGUUAUGAACUAACUUUAUAGUAUGAAUUAAAAAAAUGUCUUAAAUUAUUUCGAUGACUGGUAACAUGAGGUGAUGAACUAUAUCAAUUAUGCUUGUCGCAUCUCUGUUUUCCUAGCUAAUUCAUAUUGGAUUUAGUAUCAGAUUUCAUUUAUGUGUUUCAAAGGGUAAUCGAUUUGAUACUUAUAUUUGGGAUCCUACUGCAAAGCAUACUAAUUUGGAAAUAAAAUAUAAAAUGCCGUGAUUAAUCUUGUCCAUAAAAUAUGCAGGGGAAGACUGCAGAGAUUGGAUACAUACUUUCAUUUACAACUUAAUUUUGUUGAUUUUCAGCUUACAUUCCCUCAAUUGAAGGAGUUAAAGCUAUCUAGAUUACACAAAGUGCAGCAUCUCUGGAAGGAAAAUGACGAAUCCAACAAAGCGUUUGCAAACUUGAAAAGUCUAGAAAUAUUUGAAUGUAGUAAGUUACAGAAAUUAGUACCAGCUUCGUGGCAUUUGGAAAAUCUUGAGGCUUUGAAAGUAUCGAAGUGUCACAGGUUGAUAAAUUUGUUGACGCUCUCAACAUCUAGAAGUCUGAUAAUUCUUCAAAGUAUGACGAUAGCUGAUUGCAAAAGGAUAGAAGAAAUCAUACAGUCGCCGGUUGCAGAAGAAGCGAAAGAUUGCAUUGUUUUCAAGGAAUUAAAGUACUUGGGACUUGAUUGUUUGCCAAGCCUAACAAGCUUUUGUUUAGGUAAUUACGCUCUUGAAUUCCCGUCCUUGAAACAAGUAGUUGUGAGAGAGUGUCCAAAAAUGAUGAUCUUCUCUCAAGGAGUCUUAGACACACCAAUGCUAAACAAAGUGAACGUCACCGAAGAAGAAAAAGAUGAUGAUGAUGAAGGAUGUUGGGAAGGCAACCUCAAUGACACCAUAAAAAAAUUGUUCAAUGAAAUGGUGAGUAUCAAUUAAGUUUUGGUGCUAUUUAGAAAAUUAUUUUAUAGAAACUAAUGUAAUAUAAUAUGAUUGGUUGACUGAAAAUAUAUAAUAAUAAAUAAAUAAAUAAAUUAUGAGGGCUAUGUAAUGUUUUUGUUUAACCAAUCAUAUUAUGUCGCAUUAGUUUAUACAAUAUUGUUUGUGUACAAGAGUUGUAAUGUAUGCUUGCUUACACGAGUAAUUACAAAAUGUGCAUAAUUCUAAAGAAAAGAUUGAGCCAACCCUUCAGGUACAGUGAAGAAGCUAUCUCGAACCAGGCCAAUCUCGUGUACAUGAUUCAACUUGCUCGUUCUCCUGUACUUGAAUAAUUUGGUUCUAAACGCAUUUACAACUUUUUUGUCAUGCUAUAGACAUGCAAGACACUUUGGAUUUGUUUGAUGCAUUCUUUGUUUAAGGAAGGACUUGAAUUGAUGUUUCAUGUUUCAUGCAAUUUUCAAUUAGAUACUGUUUAAACUUCUGCAUUAUUCAUUCAAUCGGUGUUUUAAGCAUUUGAUUUCUAACUAGUCCUGAUAGAAGAUCAUUAGCUGAAGAAAACAUCAUAACAUUUGUGGCAUUAUCAGAAUAAGAAUAGUUUUAUGAGUAUAGUAAAAUUAACUAGACCAUUAUUAAAAGGAAUUAAUCCGUCAACUUUAAGUAAACUUUAGAUGAUGGUUCUGACCUAAACCAUUUUAAUGCUUGGCAAAAUCACAUCCUGAGCAUAGAGUAAAGAAAGUGGCAUACAUGGUAAUCAACUUCAAGAAGCUCUUCGAAAUGCAUAAUACUGUUGGGGAGAAAAGAAAAAGAAAGAAUACAAAUAAAAAGAAGUCACACAUCAUCAGCAGUUUUUCGGGAACACAAAAAUGUUAUAAUAACUUUUCUUGAUUGCCACCCACAUGCUAAACUGAUCAAAUACAAAACAGGAUACAGAAAAUCUCUAACCUUUUUGGCACUGAAGAAGACGCCAGUGCUUUCAAAAGAAAAUGCUUGAUUGUUGGCAUUCUGGUUUGAAAAAUAUGAGUCCAAUUCCUGUGUCCAGUCAUGUACCAAAUCAGGACGACGUGCAAGUCAUACAAAGAUGACAAAAAUACAGUAUAAAUUGCGUCAAACCAAUUCAAGUCAAUUGGAGAAGUAAAUCAAGGACCAUUUGCAAUAGUUGUUCUCCACAUCAAAUUUGGGUGUCCAUCGUCUUCAUCCUCUUGUGCACUGAACCUGAGAGUCCACGAGAAAUACAUAUAAAAAUUAGGCAUGAUUGAAAUUGAUAGUAGUACAAAAUGGAUAUAAACAUCACGAUGAACAAAUUAAAUUGUUCCCUGUCAGACAAAUCCAACCUGCAAGCUUAAGCUCUUAAGCUAGACCAAAUCACACUGCAAAUAACAAGACAUAAGGCCAAAAAAAGAUAAUAUGUAUCAUUCAUAUGCUUCGCCCUAUAGAAAUGAUUUGGGCCAUAGGUCAAUUAUGUUAAAAGCAGCGAUACUAAACCCAAAAGAAGAGAGGUGAGGCGAGGGAGUGGUGGGUUUUUUUUUUUUUUUUUUCAUUUAUAUAUUUUUACCUUAAACCAAAUGACCGGUUUUACAGGUUUCUGGUUGUUUCAAAUUUUUUUAUUGCUUAAUAAUGAAACAAAUCUCAGCCAUUAGAUCACUCCAUUUAAUCCAAUGGUCAGUUUUUGUGCAUGUAUCAGAUGCACGCAUGUAUUGUAGCCGCCCCAUUUUCCUUUUUAGUUGCAAAACCUCGUUCGAAAGCAACAAUGACUUUCACUCAAAGUAAAUGAGAAAUUACAAUGAAAAUGGGAUCAGAAAAAGGUUGAGGUGAAAUAAAACCAAAGGGAUGAUGUUUCUGCUUUCCAGCUUUGGGAAACGGCGUGGAUGGAGCACGUUCAAUACGAAAAACUUCAUUAGCUCACGCGCUGCUCAGCUGAUUCUUAACAGAAAAUGAUUUAGUGGAAACGGCGUGGAUGGAGCACGUUUAACAUAUCAGUUUAAGUAACCACGUGAGAAAGCAUGUGAUGAAGGUUGUUCCGAGUUCGUUGAAGGUUGUUAACCACGUGUCAAAACAAAGUGUUCAUACUGGAAAGAAACAAAAUAUUAAUAAAUAAACCAUUAAAAAGAUUAUCUGAAAAUUAUGUUUAACUAGGCCAAUUCAAUUAUCGAGCAGUUUGAUAUAUUAAAUGAGCUAGAACAGUAGCCUUUUAAUUAUUUCACUUACUAUUAUCGAACAGUUUUAUAUCAUUCCCUAUCUUAUAGUAAAGGUAAAAGAACAGAAAAGGUAUAUUGCAUUAGAGUUCGUGUACUUCUACCUUUUAGUUUAUUCUUCAUUUUAUUAAAAUGACAGAUUCCUCAUUAAAAAAGGUCACUCUACAUAGUAUGUGGGUGUAUGUUCUUUUAAAAAGGACUGAGAGAAAAAUAAAUGUGAAAAACAAGUAACAUCUGAAGAAGAAAGUGAUGCUGACACAUUAACGACCACUUGAUUUUGUAGGGACUGCACAUAAUUGAUAAUUUCAUCCAACAUGAGACCUUUCCAAUUACCUAAUUUUAUACCAAACAACAUGAAGUUUAUAAGAAAUAUUAAAAACACAAAAACUCGUUAUUUGUUUUAAGACAGGAAAAAGUGAAUAAAAAACAAUAACAAAAAAAAGAACUCAAAUUACUUAAUUACCAUAGCUAUGAACAAGUUUUUGCAAAAUUUUCAUCCUCUCACUAACUUUCUCUCUUCUUACCUAAAACCAAAUAAUGACAAGACAACUGCCCAUUAGACUAUGACAAAAGUUGGAAAUUAAAAUAAUAUAGUAGGUUAUUUUGGAUAAAAUUAGAAAAAGAAAGUUUGAAUUUGUAUUAAUAUACUCACCCUUUCUGUUAACCCCUAUUUGAAGGGCCGAAAGAGUAGUAACAGUAGCAAAAAAUUCAAAUAAUAGAAAUCAGAGUGCCCACUACAUAUAAAUGGAUCUAAAGAAUAGAUUAUAUAAUAGCUUGUUUCUUAUGAAUGAUACAUGUGAUUCCACAGAUAAAAAGAAAAUAAAAAUCAAGUAUGUGAAUUAAAAAAAACACCUAACCAAUAGGGGUUAGUGAGAUAUUUUAGCUAAAUAUCAGUUGACAGAAUCUGACCCACAAUAAAAAUUGCUAUCUUUUCACAAUGGGAAUCUGAAUUAUAAAAUUACUGAACAAAACUUUUAACACCUACAAGUCCAAAUAACAUCAAAUAAAAUGCCUAACCAGCUGUUAAAUAUAAAAUGUCCAUGUAGGACUAAAGCCCUGUGGCUAAUCCUUCAAAGUUCCAAGCAACAAUAUGAUAAAAACAUAAUGCAUAAUAUAUAAGGAGCUUAUCUGUAAAACUUCCAUACAAUACUUAUCAUAUUAAACAAUGUACAUAAUGAAAUAUUGGCUUAUUUCUACAGAAUAUUACGAUCUAAGUACACCAAUUUCUCAAGCAAUGCCAUAUAGAAAGAUACCGAAGAAAAAAGGAAAAUAAAAAAUCGAAGUAUGUUAGUUAUGAUUUCAACUUUUGAACUAAAAGUCUGUGACAAAUUUUGCUUCGGGAAAUACUAACAAACACUUGAGAAAAACUAAAGUGUAUCACACUUGAACCGUAUAUAAAGCACAAGAAUAAAAACAACAAGGGGCAAAAAGAGGCUAGAUGUAUCAUCUUCAUUAGUUAAACAACAUAAAUAGAAUCAAAAUAUUAAUGCAUACACCAAAACCUUCAAAAUUCUCUAAACAUUCAAUUUUUUUCAGAGUAAGAAAAUAAAUUUAUAAGAAAUCGAGAAUGCGUAUUUGUUGCGGUAUUUUAUCAAGCAAUUAGCAUGCAGCAAUGUAAAUGACAAUUAAAACAUGUAAAUCUCUGUACUUUGAAAGCUCACCUUCGUUAUUCAUCCAAAGAGAAUAUAUAGGGCAUGUAAGCUCCUUCUUUGAUAUUUAUCCCUAUCGUUCAAUUAUUUUGUUUUCAUCAAAUUCCGUUAGCUCAAGUGGAGACAAAGCAAUACAAAUGGUGCAUUUAGAAGGUACAACUUUAGAAACCGAAUUUGUGCUUGCAACAUAGGAGAAACAGGGGCUCUCCUUCCAUUUUCCUGGUUUUGUGUUUGGUGAUUUUAAAAUUUUAUAUCUAUAUUUACGAAAAAAGAAAAGAAGUUUUCAAAACUAUUUUUUUUAUACAAGUUCUGUGUCAACUCAAAAAUUGCUCAUGACCAAAAAACAUCUAUGGUUCUUCAGUUACUCAAAAAUUCCUCGUUUUUGAGUUACUUUUUUUUUUUUUUUUAAUUUUUAUUCUCAAGUAAUUUUAUCAUGGAAUUGUUAAUUUUUAUUGAAUGUUGAACAAGCCUUUAUUUCUUUUCUUUCCCUUUUAAUGAAAUUAAAUAAAUGGUGGGGAUAUACCCUACAAAUUAUUGUCUCCACCCCAUAUUUAGUAUUGCUUUUACCACAUGAAAAAUUAAUUUUAUACGAUAAAUUUAUUUACUUGAAUAUUAAACCAUAUCAUGAACCAAUUGACAGGUUGAAGAAUUAACUUUCAAGUUUCAACAUUAUAAGAUUAAUAAAUAGCAUAAACAAAUUUUUAUUUUCAUUUAAAUUAAUCUAAUCCUACCAACUUCAUUUGGAUUUCAUAGUUGUUGGUUUCAUGUAUCACACGAAUUGUUAGGCACCAACUAACACAAGUAUAUGUUACUCAAGCAUCUCACUUGAAUAAUAGUCUAAGGAACUUUGAUUCGGAUGGUAGAUAUUUAACUAACUAAAACUAACAUUCUUAACUCAAAGCUCAUUUACUAGUAAAAGUAGAACCUUCUCCGUCAGCUUAUCUUGUUCAUUAUAUAACAAAAGAUAUUUAGUGAAAAAAAAAAAUUGGAGGGGGGGGGGGGAGGGGGAGACUAUGAUAAUAAUUAUGUUCAAGAUCUAGCCGCUAGGGAUAGAUUUGGCUAUGACUAUUUGUUGAUCCAGUAAUUAAUUUGAACAAUAUUGUUAAUUUUAGUUGAAACUGGAAUGAAUUUUGUGAAAGAUGCUUUCUCAUAACUAACCAACUAAAACUAACAAUCAAAUUAUCAAAAUCAGAGCUCAACUACUAGUAAAACUAUAAAAGUAAAACACUUGCUUCUCCAUCAAGUCAUCUCUUUAUAUAUAACAAAGAAUGUUUUAUGAAAGAUGGCAAAAGCAGUCAAUAACAAUUAAGUCUCAAAUAAUUCAUAAAAGAUGUCAAGCUCUGUUGCGAAUGCUGCUGAGGCUGAGAUUUGGAUUGUCCCAUUCUUCGGUAAGGGACAUAUGUUUCCAUGCAUUGAAUUAUGCAAGCAAAUCACUUCUCGUAAUUACAAAUCUACCCUCAUUAUUCCCUCUCACGUUUCCGCCACCAGCAUCACCCCUUCUUUUGUUCACCAAUACCCUCUAUUUGAAAUUACUGAAAUACCCUCCUCAUCUCCACUACUACCAUCGCCUCCUUCUUACCUCCAUGUUGUCAUGCACAACCAAAUGCUUCAGGGUCUUCGAAACCUCCUUUCAACCCGGAACCCGAAAGCCGACCUGUUUGCGUAGUCAUCGGCGUUAUGAUGGGCUGGACGGCUGAUGUUUUCAAGAAUUUUGAAGUUCCCAUUGUUGGGUUCUUCACUUCUGAUGCUUGCUCAGCAGCUGUGGAGUGUGCCAUGUGGCAGGCUCGCAUCCAGGAUGUCAAACCGGGAGAGGCCCAUUUACUUCUUGGGUUACCCAAGGAUGUUGCUUUAUUCCAAUCAGAUCUUAAACGCAGGCCUCACGGGUCCCUUCCUGGUGGCCCACAACCUUUGUGAGGUGCACCCGGUUCAGAGAAAAUAGGUCCAUCAGAACCGAGUGAUCAACCACACUGGAUGAAGCAAGUGGAGGGAUCGAUGGUGUUGAUGCUAGUGUGGGGAGUGGGCCCAUUGUUACCUGAACAAUUUUACAAAUCGACCGGUUCAGUGCUUCGUGAUUGUGAGAUGAGAACCAACCGGCGGAGUUCUAACAUGACCAAAGAUGAGAUCAUUCAAUGGUUAGAUUUGAAAUCAUGUGGAUCAGUGUUAUACAUGUCAUUUGGUACCGAAAUGGGUCCCACCUUAAAUGAUUAUUCAACAUUAGCCAAUGAUUUAGAAGCAUCAAAUCCACCGAUUAUUUAGGUAAUUCAAACUGAUGUAAAUAGAUUGGAUCCUCCACGUCAUUUAACCAGCUUAUUUUCAUAGUGGUUUAGAUAGUAAAGCCGGUAAAAAGGGUUUGAUAAUAGAUGGAAUGGCACCACAAUUAUUGAUGCCGAGUUAUCAAUUAAUAGGUGGAUUUUUAUCUCACUGUGGAUAAAAUUCAACUGUAGAAGCAAUUGGCUGUGGGGUCUCAAUUUUAGCAUGGGCAAUUAGAGGUGAUCAACGUUACAAUGCCAAAUUGGUGAUCAAUCAUCUCAAGGUGGGGUGCAUGAUCUCUGAUGAUCAGUCGAAAUUGACUUAAAAGGAUGAUAUAGUGAGUGGUAUAGAAAAGCUUAUGAGUAGGGUUGGGCAAAAUAUCCGACCCGAUCCGAUCCGAUCUGACCCAAAAAAUAUCGGGUUCAGAUCGGAUCGGAUUGUUAACAAAAUCCAAUCGGAUGUAACUUUGCCAACCCGAUCGGAUCAUGAUCGGAUCGGAUGAAACCCGAUCCGAUCCGAAAACCCGAUCGGGUUGGCUUAAAAAAAAAACUGUGUAACAAACUAACAAAGUGGCAAACACAACAAAAUCGGAUUCACACCACACAAAAAGCAAAUCUUAGAUCUAAAUUAAAAUAAUCUGUAAGUGCACACACACACACUCACAUCACACACGGUCACACACAAAUAGAGGUUUGGCCUCGGAGAUCGGAAAUGUUGAGAUGCCAAACAACGAAGCAGCAGCCAACAGAUUGGAGAUACAACCGCAAGAAGCAGCAACCAGCAGACCGGAGAUGCGGCCGCGCGAAGCCGCGAACCAGCAGCCAGCAAUCACCGACGUGAUCGUGCGAAGCCAAACCAUCGGAGAUCGGAGAUGUCAGCGAAGCAGCGGUGAGCAGAUCGGAGAUGCAACCGCAAGAAGCAGCAGCCAGCAAAUCGGAGAUGCAACUGCGUGAACCAGCAGCCAUCAGUCACCGACGCGAUCGUUCAAAGCUAAGCCAUCGCUGCAACCGCAACGUGCCGAUGGAAUCUACUACACCUCGACUGCUACCGCUUGCUGCCACUAGCUUCACCGGUUACCACAACUGCUACAACUAAAUUCACCUCCACAUUCACUGUCACCAAGUUUUUGGUGGUAUUGACUAUAUUGUUUUAAAUAAUUUAAUUUAAAAAGCUUAAAACAAAACUAUAUCUUGAGAAAAGGUUGAUUGUUUUACUUGAUUGCUUCUGAAAUUAACCCAGAAAUAUAGAAUGGAUAUAUAACCCGAAUGCUUUUAAAUCUGAAUCUAAUCCGAAUUAAUCCGAAUUUUCGAUCCAAUCCGAUCCGAAUUAUAUUCGGAUCGGAUUGGAUCGGGUUAAUAAUUCGGAUUGAGUUCGGAUGAUUUUUUCCCCAACCCGAUUGAUCCGAAAUUGAUCAAAUCAACCCGAACCCAAUCCGAAUCCGAUUUUGCCCACCCCUACUUAUGAGUGAUCAAAGAAAUUGAAAAACGAGCUCACAUGCUUCGCCGUGUAUUUAAUCAUGGCUUUCUUAUAAGUCAAUGACUUCUUUAAUAUAGUGUUUACUUUUUGGAGUGAGAGUGAGGAGUGUGGAUUCCUCUUACUCCAGUGUUUACUUACAAUUUUCAAAGGGGAAGUGAGAAUUCCACUCCGUGGAUCCCACCUAAUUUUGGAGUGGGGGAGUGAGAUUCCCACUCCCAUGGAGGAAGGUGGGAGUGGAAAUUCACUCGCCUCUCUUCCUUUUUCACCCUUAUAUUUAAUAAAAUAAAAUAAAUAAUAUCAUAUUUAUUUAACUUAUAUUAUUAUUUUAUUUUAUAAAUUACAUUUAUUAAAAAUAAUAAUAUUAAACAUAUUUAUUUUAUUAAAUUUAAUAAAAUAAGUAAAAUCAUAUUUAUUUAAAUAAUAAUAUUUUAUUAUUUUAUAAAUUAAAUUUAUUAAAAAUAAUAAUAUUAAACAUAUUUAAAAUAAUAUUAAUUUUUUGGUUAAAAAUAAUAAUUUACAUUGAUUCUAAGUUAAAAUUACUUAAAAAUAAUAUCAUUAUAUUCAUAAAGAAUUAAUAAUAUUACUAUAUUCUAUUUUUAUUUGAAAAUAUAAUAUUAUUAUACUUAUUUAAAAAUAAUACUAUUAUAUUUAUUUAAUAUUAGUAAUUAAUAAUAAUAAAUAUUUUAUUCUAAAAAAAUUAAUUUUGUACUAUAUUAUCAAUAAUAAUGUUUCAUUUGUAUUGUUGUUAUUAAUAAUUUUUUAUUUAUAUAAUUAAAAUUAAAAUUAAUAAAAUAAUUGUGAUUUACAUAGUUAAGAAUAUUAAUAAUUAUUAUUAAUUUAAAAAUAUAAUUUUUAUUAAUUUUGUAAUUAAUAACUAUAAUUCUUUAAGAGUAAAGCUGUAAUUUAAAAUCAUUACUCACAAUCUAAGACAAUGUAAACAAAUAAAUUGGAUUCUGAUUUCAAUUCCAUACUUCCAUUUCAGUGUAAGUAAACAACAUACUUCGACUCCCACUCCACACUCCUAAUCCCAGGAUUCUCACUUCUCACGAUUCUCACUCCAACGCAAAAUGUAAACGCUACCUAAAUGCUUUCAAAUAUCUUGUUAACCAGAAAUCAAUUUAACAAAAACAAUUACCGUGUAUAUUAUUAACGAAAAGGCUUUGAUUCCGUUGGCUUGGGUGUAAAUAAAUCGACUUUAUCAAGAACAGACAUCUCAGCAACUACAUAAUAAUAUAUGUAAGCUUUUGUUAAUUGACUGCAUUAAAUCAUUAAAUCAAAAGCCUUACAAAGCAUCUACAAUAAAAAGAUGGCACAUCCUCCAUCCAAACGACAAAAACAUGGACUCGCAACGCAAUUCUUGCUAAUUAAUUAAUAGGUAGUCAUAUUCCUCCGAGCAACAAAAUGAACAUCAAAUUGUUGAUGAGGCACCAUAUGCACAAAAUGUUGAUAUUGUUUAAUGUUUAAUAUUAUGGGAAAGUUUUAAUAGAUCUUCAUUUCCCUUACAUAUUGUGAGCUUAUAACCAAAAAUGGGACUAUAUGGUUGUGUGACAAACAAAAAGGGAAAUUUUUUACUAUUCGGCUAAAUUUUAAUGUCAAUAAUAUAGGAUCUGAAUUCACUUUAAUAUGAUAUCGACAUGUGUAGAAAAUUCCUUAAGUAAAUAGAUUUUGCAUAAAAGGUAUCGACCCAGAGUCAGAGGAAAAUUAAAUAGAAUGUCUUUUAAUACAACAAUCACUGGUGACCCUGUUUGGGCAUAGUUUGAGAGUACUAAAAUAUCUACUGCCAACUCUAUUCUAGUUGAAAGGCUAUCAAGGCAAAUUGGUCGCAUUGUUGAUGAUGAGGAAAUAGAGGUUGGAUUCAAGAAGAAGAAGAUUAUGGUAGUAAUGUUCUUGAAGGUCGAGAGAUGGAGAGAUUGAGAAAUAAUAGUGCAGCAAGUUUAAUGAGUGGAUAAUAUUAUGGUCAUAUGUUUUUUUUUUUUACACACAUGUAUAUAAUAUUAUAUUUCUAUGAACUAGUUUGAUUACAAUGAUUUUAUGUACAUAAAAGUUUAUAUAAAGAUUAAAUUUUUGCAUUUUCUUUUUUGCACUUAAUUUAUUAAUCAAACUAAUGAUAUGUUAGUAUUUGUUAUAUCACGAACUACAUAACAAAUUUUUUAGUUAAAAAGAUAUUGAAGUUAAUUUUAUUGCAAAUUAAAAUAGUUAAUAAAAAAUUAUUUAAAUAUGUAAUAAAGAAAAUAGAAUAUGCUCUUAAAAAAUCUUGUAAAUAAAAAAAGAUUUAAAUAAUAAUAUUCUAAAUAAAUUACAAACAAGUAAACAAGUACAUUUUUGUCAUUGUACAUGAACAUUUUACACUUUUAAUUUUCAUUUACCAGAUUUGUAUAGUAAACCGUUUAAAAAUUGAUUGUCAAAUAAUCAUCAUUUACCAAACACCCUAAUAGAUUAUUUGUAAAAUUAUUUUUUUGUUCAGAAUCAAGGUAGAAAUUAAUUCUUGGAAAGUAAAGGAAAUCUCAAACAUACCCUCAAUCAACCAUGGGAAGUUAUUUAAGUUGUAGUAUCUAAUAAGUUCUAUUAAUAGUGAGCGCACAUAUCAAAUAUAUAAAAAUAAGUAUUUUAGUUAUUAUCCACCUGUUCCCUUGAAAUCAAUCUCAGUUUUUUUUUUCUUUUACCUAAAAUUCCAAGAAAAAUAUAUAAAAGAAGAAGAACUUUUUUUUGGGGGGGGGGGGGGGGGGGGGGGGGCGGGGAUUGGGGUGGGGGAGGGGGGAGCUCCUCUGUUUUCAUUCCAUUGUUUUGAAAUUAUCUAUCAUCAGUAUAAAGUUAUACUUUUGAAUCAAUAUGCUUUGUGACUCGAUAAUUUAGCAUAAUAAAAAAAGAAAAACACACUUACUCACAUCCCGAUUGAAUCUUAUCUCUAAGGAUAAGUAAAAAAUUAUUGUUCCUCUUUUUCUUUUACGGUUUGUUUACGAAAAGAAAACACUCACACCUUCAAGAUAUUUAUAAGUAGAACACUUAAGUUUUAAGAAUAAUACACCCUAAUUUGAAAAAAAAUGAAUACAUGUAUCAUAUUUUAUGUUUUUUUUUUAAAAAAAUUAUUUGAUGACAUUAUGAGACUCUAUAUGCCAAGAUCUAUGUGAUGGUGAGAAUGGUUUCAUAAAAGAAGCAAUAGUAUAACCGCACACAUGGCAUUGUUUGUAAUGACUAAAAUUAGAAGAGAGUCUAUGUAUCUACUCCUGAAACAUUAAGAAUUUAACUAUUUAUUAAUUAAAUCAAAAUUUCAAGAUCAUAGUGUCGUUUUACAUAAAGAACCCAAAUACUAAAUCUAGCUAAUAAAGGAGAACGGUUUAGAUUAGUUGCUUGGACUUCCUUGUCUCGGGGCUGUGUGGUCAAGCCUGUCCAUCAGGCGGAUUCAGAUUUUGAAAGUUAUCUGAAUCUUCUUCUCUAUGUAAGCCUAUACAAUGAUUUUGUGAAAGACAUAUGCAAAAACAGUACCAGUAAGCAUAUUUAUUUAUCAAAGAUGUCAAGCUCUGAUGCUCAGAUAUGGAUAUCAAAGAGAGAGAUUGAAAAAGAGAGAGAGAGAGAGAGGAUAAUCAGGGACUCGUCUGUUAUCAUUCCCCUGUUUUUCAGUUUGGUGAUUGGAAGUAACAUUAUUUGCGUGUACUCUUUAUUUAAUUUAUUUUUCAAUUUUUUAAAAAUUAAUUAUUGUUCUUCUCAAAGCGUUUAGUAAAUUAUAUGAUAAUCUGAUCAAAUCUCUAACAUUAAUGUCCGCAUAAUCUAGUAAUGAAACUUAUAAUUUUAUAAUAAUCAAAUUGAAGAUUUCUUCACGCUGUUUUGUAUGAUGACGAGUUUUUAUUUUUCUGUUAAACAUAAGAUCAUUUUCUAAUAAUGUCCAUCUGGAAUUAGUAAUAACGAAGCAUCAUUUGUGGACAGAACAAUUGAAAUAUCAAGUCACUAUUGAUCCCACUUUGAUGAUUGCACUUUAGUUUCUUUCUAAAAUGUCAUUCUUCAUUCAAGCUUUUACUUUAUCUUUUAUCAGGUAUCUUACAAAGCUUUUCCCUCCUAAUAAGCUCUAAUAAACCAAUGUGCUUUUCAAUUUCGCAGGAUACAAGUAACGUAUAUGCCAAAAUUAUUCAAGCACAACAAGUAUUUAUUCGUCGAAAACUUCAACUUAAUUAUUUCAUUAGAAAAUAUGAAACGCAGAGCCAUAAACUAGUGUUUUCUUCAACUUACUUGGGUUAAAUAAAAUUUUUUCAGUAUUUUUCCCGAUCCAUUUCUUGUAUCUCACUGCAUGCUUUAUUAAAGCUUCGUCUUUGUUCUUGAUUGUGAACUUCAAGAUUAAAUCUUAAAAAUCGGGUAUAAAAGGGGUGCUUGAUUAAGUCUUCUUCUUUUGCAAUUCAUUGUUACGGCUCUUUUCAGCUUUUUACUCACAAAUUCCUCUGACGUUAACAGUGAUCUAUCGCUCACUAAAAUUGUUCUUCAUAAUUUCUUUCAAUACCAGUUCUUAAUAUUCAAGGCGAAUAGAGAGCUCAUCAACUCUCUGAUCCCAAAUAAUUAAAGAGGUACACAUGCUCCUAAAUCCUCUAAUAAUUUCUUUUAACAGCAGUUCUUAUUUAAUUUAAUUUCCGUCUAUUUUCCAAGAAAAAUUUCUCCGGUUUGUCUUAAUCUUAUCAUUUAUUUUGCUUGAGUUGUAAGUUAUUGUUCAUUUGUAAGGUCUGUGUUCUUAUUACUAGCUUUGGUUAAUUUGAAUCUAUCUUCCCCAAUAAAAAAAAAAAAGAAGUUUUUAAAAAAAGCGCGGGUUUUUAUUCGGACCCUUAAAACCUCUCUGUUAAUAGCAAAGAAAGACUCUAAUCCUCGAGCCAGGGGGAGUAAAAAAAGAACAAAGAAUUCUCUGUUUAAGUAUCAAUUGUCUCAAGAUCAACAUUGUUUUUUUUCUUUUUCUUUUUUUUGUUAAUUUGUUUGUUAUUUUAUUAGAUUUGCUUUUAAUCUAAUUGUGCUUGAGGAUUGAAGAUGAGUGAGAAAUACCCUUUUUUUCUGAAGCAACCUACAAAUUUUAGAAUAGGGUAAGAGUAUUAGAGAUUCAAUUAAUCAAAAAAAGUUAUUUACAUUCGUCAUUUGCAAAAAUGUUUGCAUUAGAAUUUUUCUAGCAUUCAAGAGCAUUACAUAUCAUCAUGUCACAAAAUAGCCUGAAAAACAAGAUAAAUCAAUUAGAGCAACUUGCUCUUUAUUGAAUUUUUUUUUUUUUUGUUUGGUUUGCCCGAAAUCCCAGGGAAAAUAUUAUAUAAGAACAAGAGUUAAGAUCAAAAAAAUGUAAAACAAGUUUCCUCUGUUUUCGUCCCCCCCCCCCCCCCCCCCCGGUUUGAUGAUUGAAAUUUUUUUUAUCUAAAUUUUAUGAUUUUCCGUUGGGGUUUUAUUAAAUAAAAAAUAAUUAGAAAAUGUAAUUCUAGAUUUACCCUUGUGCAUCGAGUGAUUAUUAUUAUGUUCUCUUAAGAUUUGAUAGUGCAAUUUUGUGUGAUGUGAAUUUCAUGUUUCUGUUAAUCAAUACAAACACAAUUUGUAAGUAAUGGCCAUGUGGAACUUAAUUAUAACCAAGCAUCAUUUGUGGAAAGAACAAAUGAAAUAACAAAAAAGCAGCGUUGGCAAUACAAUAUCAAACUUUAUUUAUUUAUUUAUUUUUGUUUUUGUUCUUGAAUAUGCAUUAAUCAAAUCAUAUAUUGUUGAUCUUACUUUGAUGAUUUGCUGUUCAGUUUCUCUCUCAAAUGAUUUUUGUGUGUUUCCGGUAUCUGCUUUUAUGAAAGAAGCCCUAAAGUGCAUGUGGAUUUUUAAAAAAAGAUUGCAUAUAAUUAUCCUAUACGUGCGUAAACAGGGCAACAAUAACCAAAUACAUGAUAUAAAAAAGGGGUGCUUGAUUAAUGCUUUUUCUUCUGCAAGUCAAUGUUAUUAUUCUCAUCAACCCUUUUCUUACACAUUCCUCGGCAGUUACCGGUGAUCUUUUUGCUCUUUGAGGUUGUUCUUAAAUAUUCAAGGCCAAAUAGAGAAUCUCACCAACUCUCUAAUCCCAGAUAAUUAAAGAGGUGCACAUUUUCCAAAUCCUCUAAUGUGUGUGUUUGUGUAUAGUAGAUCUUUGAUCUUGACAUCUGUUCUUUCAUAAUUUCCAUCUAUUUUCCAAGAAAAAAAAUUUCUCUGGUUUGUUUUAAUAUUGAAUUUACUUUGCAUGAGUUUUAAGUUAUUGUUCAUUGUUAAAGCCUGUGCUCUUAUUAUUUCGUUUGGUUAACUUGCAUUCUUCCCCCCCCCCCCCCCCCCCCCCCCCCCCCCCCCCCCCCCCCCAAAAAAAGAAAAAAGAAAAAAGAAAAAGAAAGUUUUUAAAAAGAUUAUAGGUUUCUACUCAGACCCUUGAAACCUUUUAGCUUUCCGGUAAUACCAAAAUCUCUAAUCCUCCAACAAAUGAAAGCUAGGAAAAAAAUGUCCUAAAGUUUAAUAUCUGUUGCCUUUGUAUCAAUAUUGCCAGUUUGUUGUCUUUUAUUAUAUUGCUUGUUUGUCAUUUUAUUUGAUUUACUUUAUAUCUAAGUUUACUUGAAGAUUAAAUAUCAGUAGGAAAAGCCCUUUUUCUAAAGCAACAUACAGAUUUUAGAAUAGGGCUCAGCCACAUGAAAAUGUUUACAUUGUAGUAUCUCAUAUCAAUAAUCUAAAAACAGCCAAUCCAACAAGUUCAAAUUCAGUCAAAUCUAAAAAUGAUUGCUUUUAAGGAGUACAUGAUAGCUAUUAAAAAGAUCUUUUAGGCAGAAUUGAAAUGCAGUCAAUCGUAAAUCAACCAAUCCAACGAGUUCAAGUACAGAGUCAAUUGAACAAAUUCAUCACUUGCAGAAUUAAGCUUAUCUUCCGAAAUUGAGUUGUUUCCAUUAGAAAUUUUCCCAUAGUCACGAGCACUAUCAUCAAAACAAGAUUAUUUGUAUAGGAACAAGAGUUAAGGAAAAAAAAAAAAAGGUAAAACAAGAUUCCUCUGUUUUCAUUCCCAUUUUUUUUCCUUGGUGAUUGAAAAAUUUUAUCUCUAAAUUUUUAUAAUUUUCCAUUAAGAUUUAUAUUUAAAUAAAGAAUUAAAAAAAUCUAAUUUUAAAUUUAUGCAUUGAAUGAUUAUUAUUAAAUUCCCUUAAAAUUGGUUACAAUAUCAAUUAAAUAACGCAUAGAGUUAUUGAUCACUUUGUUAAAAAUGAUCAUGUGUUCUAUUUAUAUAAUAAAACAAAAGAUGGGGUCACACUUAAGUCUUGUUCUUUUACAAUUCAUUUGUAUUACUCACUCUCAUGAACUCUUUACUUACAUUCGUCUGCAGUUAAUAUUCAUCUUCUGGUCGUUCUUAUAUAUUCAAGGCCAGCAGUGAAGGUCAUUAACUCUUUAAUAAUUAAAUAGGUACAAUUGUCCAAGAAAAAAUAGCCCUUGUUUGUUUUAAUCUUGUCAUUUAAUUUUCUACGUACUGUUCAUUGUUAACUUCUGUGUUCUUAUGUAAUAUUAGCAAUGGUUAAUCUGCAUCCAUCUUACAAUUUUUUUUUUAAAUUGUUGGUUUUCCAUUCAGGCCCUUGAAACCUUUUUUUAAAAAGUUGUUGGUUGUCAUUUCUUUCUCCGUCUUUCCCCUAGUUCAUUUUAAUUUAUUUGAAUCUAAUUUUUCCAACAGCUAAUAUAUAUAUAUAUAUAUGUAUGUAUGUAUGUAUGAAAGCAACAGGCUAGGCAAUGGCUGCAGACCUGGUUUCCACUACUUUUUCCGGCAUUGUAACAGAAGGUGCAAAGGCAUUGUUCGAACCGAUUAUGCGGCAGAUCUCUUAUGUGUUCAAGUACCAGAGCUACAUAGCUGAGCUAAAAGUUCAAGUGAAGGAGCUAGAAUAUAAAAGAGAAAGGGUGGGAAUACCCGUUCGUGAGGCUACUCAACAAAGAGAUGAGAUUUACAAGGAUGUUGCAGACUGGCUUAAUAACGUUGAUGAAUUCAUCAGUGAAGGGGUUGCAAAAUCCAUCAUUGAUGAUGAAGAUAGAGCUAAGAAGUCCUGCUUCAAAGGAUUUUGCCCCAACUUGAUUUCUCGUUAUAAACUUAGUAAACAAGCAGCAAAGGCCGCAGAAGCUGCCGCUAGUCUCGUGGGAAAAGGCAACUUCUCUAGUGUUUCCCACCGUCCUGCUCCAGAGAGUACAGAACAUAUGCAAGCGAAAGAUUUCGAGGCCUUUGAUUCAAGAAUGAAAUUAUUUCAAGAUGUUGUGGAGGCAUUGAGGAAUGAUAAGCUCAACAUAAUUGGGGUCCACGGUAUGGGCGGCGUGGGUAAAACCACGCUAGUCAAGCAAAUUGCAAAGCAAGUUAUGGAAGAUAAGGUGUUCGAUAAGGUCGUUAUGGCUGAGGUAACAGAGAACCCAGAUGUUCAGAAAAUUCAAGACAAGCUCGCUUCCGAUUUAGACUUGAACUUUGACUUGAAUGAUAGCAAACCCCACAGAGCAAAACAACUUUGUCAAAGAUUGACGAAAGAGAAGCGAGUCCUCAUUAUAUUAGAUAAUAUUUGGAAAAAACUUGGGUUGGAAGAAAUUGGAAUUCCUUUUGGGGAUGUUGAUGAGAAAGAUAGAAAGCAAGAUCUAAGGAGACGCAUGAUAAUAUUGACGUCUAGAAGUAAACAUUUAUUGACCAAUGACAUGAAUUCUCAGAAGAUUUUCCUAAUUGAAGUUUUAUCAAAGGAAGAAGCAUUGCAAUUUUUUGAAAAGAUCGUGGGCAAUUCCGCAAAAGCAUCUGCUUUUCAACCUUUAGCAGAUGAGAUUGUUGGAAAAUGUGGAGGAUUGCCUGUUGCACUGAGUACAGUUGCAAAUGCUCUGAAAAAUAAGAAGCUUCCCGUUUGGAAGGAUGCGUUGACUCAGCUGCGAAAUUCUAAUCCAAGAGAAAUUCAUGGAAUGGAUGCAAAUGUCUGCUCUUCCAUAGAAUUGAGUUACAACUUCUUGGAAAGUGAUGAAGCAAAAUCUUUGUUCCUUCUUUGUACUCUAUUUGGUGAAGGUACUCCUAUACAAGUUGCUUCCUUGUUGAGAUAUGGUAAGGGUUUGUUUAAAAAUGUUCGCACAUUGGAAAAUGCAAGGAAUAGAGUGGACGCAUUGAUCGACAAUCUCAAAGCUUCAUGCUUAUUGUUGGACGGCGAUGCUGAAGAUGAAGUUAAAAUGCAUGACGUCAUUCAUGUUGUUGCCGUAUCAAUUGCCUCAGAGAAGCUCAUGUUUAGUAUCCCAAAUGUUACCAACUUGAAGGAAGAGAUAGAAAAGAUCAUACAGAAAGGUGCAAUUGCUAUUUCUAUACCUUAUGGAGAUAUUCAAGAGCUUCCCGAAAGGUUGGAAUGUCCCCAACUCAAGUUAUUACUGUUGCUUGCAAAUGGUGAUAGCUAUUUGGAAAUUUCACACCUCUUUUUUGAAGGGACGGAAGAUCUCAAAGUUUUAAGUCUUAGCGGAAUUCAUUUCUCUUCAUUAUCUUCAUCACUUGGUCACCUCAUUAACCUUCAAACAUUGUGUUUAGACUGGUGCCAACUAGAAGAUGUAGCGGCAAUUGGACAGCUAAAGAAAUUAGAGAUUCUUAGCUUUCGAUAUUCCGACAUUAAGCAGUUGCCACUUGAAAUUGGUCAAUUGGCGCAGUUACAAUUGCUAGAUUUGAGCAAUUGUAGCAGCCUUGUAGUGAUAGCACCAAAUGUCAUAUCAAAAUUUUCUCGAUUGGAAGAACUAUAUAUGGGUGACAGCUUUCCGCAGUGGGAUAAGGUUGAAGGAGGAAGUAACGCCAGUCUUGCUGAAUUGAAGGGGCUGUCAAAGCUAACUACUUUGGAGAUACAAGUUCAGGAUGCCCAAAUGCUGCCGCAGGAUUUGGUCUUUGUCGAAUUGCCAAGAUAUAGGAUAUGUAUAGGAGAAGCGUGGGGCAUCUGGCGCGCUAAUUCUGAAACAUCAAGAUUGGUGCAGCUCCAUGGGUUAGAAAAUGUUAGCACUCUUUUGGAGAAUUAUGGGAUGAAAAUGUUGCUGAAGUUAACUGAAGAUAUCCGUCUAGAGGAACUGACGGGUGUUCAGAAUGUUGUUCAUGAAUUAGAUGAUGGGGAAGGUUUUCCACGAUUGAAGCAUCUUUGGGUAGAAAGGUGUUCUGAGAUUUUACACAUUGUCGGUUCAGUUGGACGGGUUCAUCGCAAAGUCUUCCCCUUGCUGGAGUCAUUGUCUCUCUAUAAAUUGAUCAAUUUGGAGGCCAUAUGCCACAGCCAACUCAGAGAAGAUCAAUUUUUCAGCAACUUAAAGAUUAUAGAAGUAGAAUCCUGUGAUAAAUUGAAGCAUCUUUUCUCAUUUUCCAUAGCCAGAAACCUACUGCGGCUUCAAAAGGUCAAAGUGGCUUCCUGCAAUAAACUGGAAAUGACUGUUGGUAAGUGUUGAAAUUAAGUGUUGGUGGAUUUAUGGACUUCGCCUCAAUUAUUUUGAAAAAAAAAAGACAACGACAAAGAUUAAUUAUGUAUAUUGUUUUUGUUUGUUUACAGGACCCGACAGGGAGAAACCAACAACUUCUUUGGGAUUCAACGAAAUCAUUGCUGAUGAUGAUACUGCUCCAAAGGUGAUAAUUUUCUGUUCAAUAAUUAAUUGAUUAAUUUAUUAUCACGAUUAAUCUUCGAUCAUCAACAGAAUAUUAUACUAGACGGUUGUACUUGAAGGAACAAAAAUGUACGGCUUUUCUUUGCAGGUUCUUCUUCCGAGCUUAGAGGAAUUGAAUCUCACGGAAUUAAGAAACAUCAAAAAAUUAUGGGCCGAUCAUAAUCAAGGAAUGUACUGUUGUCAAAAUUUAACAAAGCUGUACGUGAGAAGUUGUGAUCGUAUGAAGUAUCUGUUUUCGUAUUCUAUGGUUAAUAGUCUUUUGCAACUCCAACAUCUUGAAAUAUGGUCUUGUGAGUCAAUGGAAGGGGUAGUCGACACCACGGGGUGGUCAGAAAGAGAUGAAGGAAAGUUGAUUGAAUUAAAGGUUUUUCCUAAACUACACUCCCUGCAGCUCUAUUGGCUUACAGAACUGACAAGCUUCGCCAAUACAGGACAUAUUCAUUCAGAUUUAGUUGUUGAAUUCCCUUCUUUGCUAAACCUCGAGAUUGGUAAUUGCAGUAAUAUGUUAAGAUUCAUCUCUACGAGCUCACCAGAAGACACCAAUCAUUCUGAAAUGCAACCUCCUCCUCUCUUUGACGAAAAGGUUUUUUUUUUAAUAAAUAAAAUUAAUUUUAGUCACAAUACUUAAUUUGUCUUUUCCUUGAGUCUUCAAAUUUAGUUAAUAUCCGCCUCUAAUUUAGUUAUCAAUUGAUUAUGCCAUUAAUUGAUUAAUUAGUUAUUUAAUCUUUAACUUCCAGGUACGACUUCCUAGGUUGGAGGUAUUAGAUAUUAGCUGGAUGAAUAAUUUGAGAAAAAUAUGGCACCACCAGCUUCCUUCGGAGUCUUUCAGCAAAUUGAAGAAUUUGGAGAUAUAUAAGUGUCAUAACCUAAUGAAUAUUUUUCCUCCAUUGGUAAGGUCGUUGUAUUCAUUUCGAAUCUUUUUUUUUUUAAAUUACAUCCAACAAUAUUUUAACCAUUUUUGGGUUUACAAAUGAUAUUCAGCCACUGAUUAUUUAUUUCAAGUAUUGUAUUUCGAACCACCACUCUCAAAUCUACAUUUUAAGUCCAUUUUUUAGGUUCGCCAGCAUUAGAAUCAACAAUAUAAUUUUUUUAAUCACGAUUCAACAUCAUAAUAUAAUUCAAUUUAAUUGUUUCUGCUCAUAUCUUAAUAAGUACAAUUUUCAAAAAUUAAAGGAUAGUCACUCAUCUUAUAGGUUCACAAAUUCAUCUAUAUAUUUCUCUUUUCCUUAAUUCUUCACAUUUCGAUUGGAAAAAGAAAAAAAGAAAAGAAAAGUCUUCAAAUUUAAUUAAUAUCUCUUGUUUAGUUACGAACUGAUUAUGCCAUUAAUUAACCACAAAUUCACGAUUAUUUACAACUGAUCCUUGAUUGUAAAGAAAUUUCCUCGAGUCUGGAAGUACUUAAUAAAGAUCCACUUUAAUUUUGUUUCCAAAAUUAAAUAUACAUAAAAAAAAGGGACCAAGGGAAAAGGGAAAAAGCGGCAUUUUGGUUGAUUUUUUUUUCCCAAAAGGAAUAGUUGAAAUUUGCAAAUUUUGUUUAAAAACUGGCAUCAAGAUGCAAAAUAAGUCUAAAAUAUUUAGAAAUUGCCUUAAAUUCUUCGUACGUUCCUAAUACUAAAUAGUGUAAAUGCAUUUAAUAUCUUUGUUUAUCUGGCUUUUAUUUAUUUAUUUAUCUUGUUGCUUUUUUUGUUUAACAAAAAAUUAUCUUGUAGACAUUUCAUGGUUUGUUAUCUUUAUAAAACGUAUAAUUGUAUGAUUAAACAUACUUUGAACCUAGUUGAAUGAUAUUCUUACAUUUUUACUUUUUUAAUAUACACACACUUUUGCUUAUUUUCAGGUUGGAAUUCCUAGUAGUUUGGUGAAUCUUAAAGUAUCGAAGUGCCAAAAAAUAGAAGAAAUCGUAGGACAUGUUGGAGAAGAAGUGAAGGAGAAUCGUAUUGCUUUCAGCGAAUUAAAAGUUUUGAUACUUAAUUAUUUAUCAAGGCUUACCAGCUUUUGUUUGGAGAAUUACACUCUUGAAUUCCCAUCACUGGAACGAGUUUCUAUGAUACGUUGUCCAAAUAUGAAGACUUUUUCUCAGGGAAUCUUAUCCAUUCCAAAGCCAUGCAAAGUGCAAGUGACUGAAAAGGAAGAGGGUGAACUGCACCAUUGGGAAGGCAAUAACCUUAAUUCCAUUAUGCAAAAGUAUUACAAAGAAAUGGUAUGUGUUAAUCGAUUCACCCAAAUUGUUUAUGCAUCUCCCCUGCAAUUGCACAUUUAAGCAUAUACCCCGGUCUUGUAUAUAUAUUUUUAGAAGUUAAAACACAAAACAUGUAAGUUUAAUGUGUAUAUAUAUAAUGCCUUUCAAAAAAAAAAUUGUAUAUAUCCGGUGCAAUUGUUUUGGUUUGUGCAGAUUGGAUUCCGUGACAUAUGGUAUUUGCAACUCUCACAUUUUCCACGUUUGAAAGAAAUAUGGCAUGGCCAAGCACUGCCUGUCAGCUUCUUCAACAAUUUAGCACGGCUGGUGGUGGAUGACUGCACGAAUAUGUCGAGUGCUAUUCCUGCCAAUCUGCUACGAUGCUUGAACAAUUUGCGACGGCUGGAAGUGAGGAAUUGUGAUUCACUAGAAGAGGUGCUUCGUUUGGAAGAGCUAAAUGCUGACAAAGAACAUAUAGGCCCCAUGUUUCCUAAGCUUUCCAAUCUAAGGCUCAUUGAUCUUCCAAAACUCAAAAGAUUCUGCAACUUCACUGGGAAUAUAAUUGAACUGCCUGAGUUGAGAUAUCUAACUAUUGAGAAUUGCCCUGACAUGGAAACAUUCAUAUCCAAUUCUACAUCUGUAUUGCACAUGACAGCAGAUAAUAAGGAAGCUCAAAAAUUAAAAUCAGAAGAGAACCUCUUGGUAGCUAAUCAAAUACAACAUCUCUUCGAUAAAAAGGUAAUCAUUAUUAUUAUUUUUCCCUUCACUUUCAUUCGCAUAGAUGUAAUUUCAUUAGAAUCAAAUCAAAUUUAAUGACUUAUCUUUUUGCACGUCGUCUUAAUUUAUAUCUGAUUUAACAAUAUAAUUGUAGUUAUUAACUAACUUUAUAGUAUGAAUUAAAAAAAUGUCUCAAAUUAAUUAGAUGCCUAGUGACAGGAGGUGAUGAACUAUAUCGCAUAAAUUAUGCGUGUUAGAUCUUUGUUUUCCUAGCUAAUUCAUAUUGGAUUUAUGAUCAGAUUUCAUUUAUGUGUUUCAAAGGGUAAUCGAUUUGAUACUUAUAUUUGGGAUCCUACUGCAAAGCAUACUAAUUUGGAAAUAAAAUAUAAAAUGCCGUGAUUAAUCUUGUCCAUAAAAUAUGUAGGGGAAGACUGUAGAGAUUGGAUACAUAUUUUCAUUUACAACUUAAUUUUGUUGAUUUUCAGGUUGCAUUCCCUCAAUUGAUGAAGUUAAAGCUAUCUGGAUUACACAAAGUGCAGCAUCUCUGGAAGGAAAAUGCCGAAUCCAACAAAGUGUUUGCAAACUUGAAAAGUCUAGAAAUAUUUGAAUGUAGUAAGUUGCAGAAAUUAGUACCAGCUUUGUGGCAUUUGGAAAAUCUUGCGACUCUGGAAGUAUCGAAGUGUCAUGGGUUGAUAAAUUUAUUGACACUCUCAACAUCUGAAAGUCUAGUGAAUCUUGAAAGAAUGAAGAUAACUGAUUGCAAAAUGAUGGAAGAAAUUAUACAGUCGCAGGUUGGAGAAGAAGCGGAAGAUUGCAUUGUUUUCAGGAAAUUGGAGUACUUGGGAAUUGAUUGUUUGCCAAGCCUAACAAGCUUUAGUUUGGGUAAUUACGCUCUUGAGUUCCCGUCCUUGGCACACGUAGUUGUGAGACAAUGCCCAACGAUGAAGAUUUUCUCUCCAGGAGUCGUAGACGCACCAAAGCUAAACAAAGUGAAACCCACCGAAGAUGAAGAUGGUGAUGAUGAAGGAUGUUGGGAAGGCAACCUCAAUGACACUAUAAAAAAAUUGUUCAAUGAAAUGGUGAGUAUCAAUGAAGUGUUGGCACUAUCUAGUAAAUUAUUUCUAUUUAAUGUGGCAUAAUAUGAUUGCUUGACUGAAAAUAUAAAAUAAUAAUAAAUAAAUUAUGAGGGUCAUGUUAUGUUUUUGUUUAAUCAAUCAUAUUAUGUCAUAUUAGUUUGUACAAUAUUAUUUGUGCACAAGAGGCUGUGGUCGUAUCAUUACUCUUGCCUUAUUAUUAUUAUGGUUGUAAUGUAUGCUUGCUUACACGAGUAAUUACAAAAUGUGCAGAAUUCUAAAGAAAAGAUUGAGCCAACCCUUCAGGUACUGUGAAGAAGCUAUCUCGAACCAGGCCAACCUCUUGUACAUGAUUCAACUUGCUUGUUCUCCUGUACUUGAAUAAUCUAAACGCAUUUACAAUUAUUUACAGACAUGCAAGACACUUUGGAUUUGUUUGAUGCAUUCUCUGUUUAAGGAAGGACUUGAAUUGAUGUUUCAUGCUUCAUGCAAUUUUCAAUUAGAUACUGUUUAAACUUCUGCAUUAUUCAUUCAAUUGGUGUUUUAAGCAUUUGAUUUCUAACUAGUCCUAAUAGAAGAUUAUUGGCUGAAGAAAACAUCAUAACAUUUGUGGCAUUAUCAGAAUAAUAAUAGUUUUACGAGUAUAGUAAAAUUAACUCGACCAUUAUUAAAAGGAAUUAAUCCGUCAAAUUAACUUUCUCAGACCAGAACCCUUUAAGUUAAAAGAAUUUCGUGAAGUCAAGACCAUGUUAUAGAUCUUGUGGAAAUAAGUGAACCCAUAAAUGUUUUCACAGCAUCAUAAGAAAAUCAUUUUUUUAGUUGUUGAGUUUUAAAAGUAGUAGGCUAUUAAACAAUGACAAUUAGUGCGGUCGCAGUUGGGGAUCGAGUAGUUCACUUGAUUGCGAGUAGAAACCAACUUCAAUACUAUUACACUCAUUCCAAAAAUAGUAACUAAAGAAUUAUUAAGUUUCCUAUUAAGUAUUCUUUAUUUUUUAAUGCAAAAUUCCUAUUCGAAAACACCAGUGACUUUCUUUCAAAGUAAAUGAGAAAUUACAAUGAAAACGGGAUCAAAAUACAUGUAUGCAUACCUAAAACAAAUGAUUUUUUUUUUCAAUUAAAAAAAAAACAGUUGAGGUGAAAUGAAACCAGAGUCAUGAUGUCUCUGGUUCCAACUUUGGGACAAUAGCAGACUUGAGUUCUAUAUAAGAAACACGUACAGCUCCAAUCAGCCGCUCCGGUAAUUCAUCUGUAGUAUUUGCCUGCAUACACGAAGCAUUAUACCAUUCUGAAAAUGAUUCUUGAGUUACUAUUCAAGUAUGCAAAUAUGCAAAUUGCAGUACAAUAUCUCAAAAUCAUGUCUCUUCCCUCGUGUCAUUUAGAAGUGGGGGAAAAAAACAAUCAUACAUACCUGCACAAGGAAAGCCAUGUCAACCACCAAUGCCGUAAUUACACCAAUUACAAGGCCCAAAACUCCAUUAGCAACUCUAGAAGAACACGUCAACAUCAAUCUACAGAAAGAUGAACAAUGUUAAACCAUGUUAAUGGUAUUGAACAAGCUAUUUGAAAGGGAACACAUCCCAUGUACUAUAGGAAUUCGAAGAGCAUUUAUUUCUAACUACUUAGGACCGCGGAUAUAGUUACAAUCAACUGCUUUUCCUAAUAAACAAGGGGUGCUUCCAUCACUCUGGUGCAUGAUCCAUGACUAAGCCCUAUAUUUAAGUCAUAUUGAGGAAACAUAAGAAAAAAAUUCCAGAAAAAGUAUCAGCUAAGAAUUAAAAUUAAAUUCAUCAAAAUGAUCUCAAUCACUAGAUUUUUUACUGUCACAGUAUGUUUAAAAACUUGCAGAAGGCCCAAAGAGAACUUAGGACUGAACCGAGGGAAAAACAAGACGGUGUAUUUAUUUUAUUUCUGAAUGCCAACAAUUACAUUGGGAUACAGAAAUUUUAGGUAAUUUCCUCACAUAUUACAUCAGAAGAGAGGAAAGGGGAAAGAAGAACAAUAAAUGUUCUAUUCUGACCAAAGCAUAAAUGAGAUGAUUGAAUCAAGAGACUAUUACAUUGGAAGCCAGUCCAGCUGAAGCCUAUGAUAGAGAAUAGCCGUAUGACCAUCUACCUCUUCAACUAAGCUGCGAUACAGAAGACUACAAUCCCACCUGCACAAAACAUGAAAAACGGUGUACGUGCGGCAAGAACUUUGAGAAAGGUACAUAAAAAAGAUCUGAUGGCCAAGAAAUACAACAAUUGUACAACCAAAAGAGGUAGAAAUCCAUGUCUAGUACACUGCCCUCUUCAAGACCUCUAAAUACUGAGUCAAAUUGAUAGGAAUUUCAUGGAAAUAACUAUUCGACAAAUGAUCAGCCUUGCUGGCCUUUAUAAGCCAACGCACAGAGAUUAUGGAACAAUGCAAUGGUGCAAACCAAGAAUUAUUAGGGUACAGACAGUAAAAUUAAAUAGAAUAAUUUGAACACAUUACUAGCAAACCUUGCCAAGAGACUUGUUAAAAUCUAAUUCGCAAACCAGCUAGAUUUGCUAGGAAACAGGUAAUUUCAGGCAGCACGCCUUCUCCUGUUUUAGAACACUCUUUUAUGUAAUAGUGACUUCAAAAGUGUAACAUGUUUCGAAAAAAAAAAAAAAAGAGGAAAGAACGUAUUUGACACUUCAUGAAAUGGCUAAGAUACAAGCUUUAAUCUAGUACAACAAAUUAAUAUAACUAACUUCAACCAUCAAUUGAUCUAUAGUUCAGCAACAAAAAAUAUAGAUAGCUACAUCUAUUUUGUCUUCAUCAAAUACCAUUAGCUAAGUGGAGAAAAGUUAUAAAAAUGAGUCCUAGUCUUUCUUUAUUAAUGAAGCAAUCCAUCAAACUUCAAAAGCUAUUUUCAUUUCCACAUUCUUCAUAUACUUAAGCAACAAAAGUUUGUAAUAAUCUUUAGAAAGCACCAUGCAGAUUAAUUAAAUAUAUUCAAAAAGGCACAUACAGAAUCGGGACUGGAGACAAUGUGAAUUUCACAGCAUACAAGAGGAAAUAUAAUACUCAGCUUACACAGACAGCCAAUAUAGUCUUGAUUAUGUUAAAGUAACUAAAAAUAAAAAAUAGAAAAGAAGCAUACUCGUAUCGUGUCCCAUCCAUGCUCAUUACAAGUUCAAAUAUUUCUUCACAGCUGGCCUUCAUAACACCAACAGCCUUCAUUGCUCUACUACAGCUUCUCGGCAGCAUUAAGUAAACUUUAGAUGAUGGUUCUGACCUAAACAAAAUCACAUCCUGAGCAUAGAGUAAAGAAAGUGGCAUACAUGGUAAUCAACUUCAAGAAGCUCUUCAGAAAUACAUAAUUCUGUUGGGGAGAAAAGAAAAAAGAAAGAAUACAAAUAAAAAGAAGUCACAAACAAUUCAUUUCCUGCACUACACAUCAGCAGCAGUUUUUCGGGAACACAAAAAUGUUAUAAUAACUUUUCUUGAUUGCCACCCACAUGCUAAACUGAUCAAAUACAAAACAGGAUACAGAAAAUCUCUAACCUUUUUGGCACUGAAGAAGACGCCAGUGCUUUCAAAAGAAAAUGCUUGAUUGUUGGCAUUCUGGUUUGAAAAAUAUGAGUCCAAUUCCUGUGUCCAGUCAUGUACCAAAUCAGGACGACCUGCCAGUCAUACAAAGAUGACAAAAAUACACUAUAAAUUGCGUCAAACCAAUUCAAGUCAAUUGGAGAAGUAAAUCAAGGACCAUUUGCAAUAGUUGUUCUCCACAUCAAAUUUGGGUGUCCAUCGUCUUCAUCCUCUUGUGCACUGAACCUGAGAGUCCACGAGAAAUACAUAUAAAAAUUAGCCAUGAUUGAAAUUGAUAGUAGUACAAAAUGGAUAUAAACAUCACGAUGAACAAAUUAAAUUGUUCCAUGUCAGACAAAUCCAGCCUGCAAGCUUAAGCUCUUAAGCUAGACCAAAUCACACUGCAAAUAACAAUACAUAAGGCCAAAAAAAGAUAAUAUGUAUCAUUCAUAUGCUUCGCCCUAUAGAAAUGAUUUGAGUCUACAUAAGAAAAUUUUUUGAGCUUCCCGAUCCACGAAUAAUAAUAAAUCUCCUUAAAAUAAUCUUUUGUAAAUAAUUUUAUUUUUCUUGACACAUGACAAGCACCUUCAUAUAGAGAAGAAAGGAGAAUCUCAAAUUCCACCCGCUCUCAGAACACCACAUCAAAGCUUCGUAUCAGUGAACAUGGAAGAAGAAUAAAAGAAGUAGCUCAAAUCCUGUAAAAAAGAACCUUGGACUUCGACUCUUGUCAAACAGUUGACUCCGACUGAAUAUAGGAAGAGUAAUUGAGCAAGCAUAGAUCGGCCAAGCUUAAGCAAGCGCAUAGAUCGGCCAAAUUUGAGCAAAGCCGAGAGAGAGAGAUGAUUGUGGUCAAUUUACAGCCGCAGUUGAUCGUUGCCGACUCGUGCCGCCGUUGAUGGCCGUGGAACAAGAAGAGAGGUGAGGUGAGGCGAGGGAGUGGUAAGGCGCGUGACGCGAGGGCGUGGGAGUGGGAGUGGGAGUGGGAGUGGGAGUGGUGGUUUUUGUGCAUGUAUCAGAUGCACGCAUGUAUUAUAGCAGAGUUGAGUUCAAUACGAAAAACACGUACAGCACCAAUCAGCCACUUCGAUAAUUCAUCUGUAGUUGUGAGAUGAUGAAUCAAGUUUGGUUCCCAGAAACGGCUGCGUUUUGAAGCCGUAAAAGCUUCAUUAGCUCACGUGCUGUUCAGCUGAUUCUUAACAAAAAAACGAUUUAGUGGAAACGACAUGGAUGGAGCACGUUUUACAUAUCAAUUUAAGUAACCACGUGAGGAAGCAUGUGAUGAAGGUUGUUCCGAGUUCGUUGAAGGUUGUUAAGCACGUGUCAAAACAAAGUGUUCAUGCUGGAAAGAAACAAAAUAUUAAUAAAUAAACCCUUAAAAAGAUUCUCUGAAAAUUAUGUUUAACUAGAACAAUUAUCUAGCAGUUUGAUAUAUUAAAUGAGCCUGUUAAUUAUUUCACUUACUAUCUUAUAAAUCCUCUCAAAAUUACACCGCUGCUCUGACCCCAAGUUCCAUUAUCAAUUAUAUCAUUCCCUAUCUUAUAGUAAAGGUAAAAGAAAAGAAAAGGUAUAUUGCAUUAGAGUUCGUGUACUUCUACCUUUUAGUUUAUUCUUCAUUUUAUUAAAAUGACAGAUUCCUCAUUAAAAAAGGUCACUCUACAUAGUAUGUGGGUGUAUGUUCUUUUAAAAAGGACUGAGAGAAAAUACAGUAGCACGUAAAAAUGUGCACCCAGCAGCAGAACCAUAUUAAUCCACAACAGCGCAAAAUAAAUGUGAAAAACAAGUAACAUCUGAAGAAGACAGUGAUGCCGAAACAUUGACGACCAAUAUAGUGUCUUGAUUUGGUUAAUUAAAUAUAUUUUUGUUAUCAUCCACCUGUUUGCUUUAAAUAAUUUUCAAUAUUUUUUCGUAUGCCUGAAAUUCCAAGGAAAAAUAUUUGUAUAAGGACAAGAGUUAAGGGGGACAAAAAUGGAAAAAAUAGGGCUCCUUUGUUUUCAUUCCCCUGUUUCUCCGUUUGGUAAUUGCAAAAAUUUAAAUCUAAACUUAUGAUGCAGGCUACAAGGUAGCUGGUGGACGAUUAAUAGGGUCUAUCUUUUGUUGUUAAUUAGGAAUUUAAUUUGGAAUUUGUAGUGUGCGCCUUAUCUAAGCAGACUUCCUAACAGUAAUUAAAUAAUCUAAAUUUAUGAUGCAUUAGGAUAUGAUUGUGAUAAAUUAGCUUUUUUCUCUGUAUUCUAUGAGGCUGAUUAUUAUUUUAAUUUAAGCCACACCUUUAAAUUCAGUUUUCGCAAAACUGACAGGUAGCUUGGGUGUAAAUGAAUAUACAUUAAUGAAGAACGGACAUGUGGAGUACCGAUAUACUAGCAUAAGUAAUGUUUAAUUUUAAUGUAUAAAACAAUGGUGCAUUUAGAAGGUACUACUGUAGAAAUAAAAUUUGUGCUUGCAACUCAUUUUUUAAUUCCCCUUUUUAAUAAUAAUCAAAAGAAAGCAGAGGAGAAACAGGGGAUUUUCCAGUUUUUUAUUCGGUGAUUUUUAACUUUAUCAUGGAAUUGUCAAUUUUUAGUUGAAACUUAUCUAAAUCGUCCUCUCUAUAUAAGCGAAUACAAUAAUUUUGUGAAAGAUAUAUGCAAAAACAAUACUAAUAAGUAUAUUUAUUUAUCUAAGACGUAGAGCUCUAAUGCUCAGAUAUGGAUAGUCCCAUUUUUUGUUAGAGGCAUCUCUUUCCAUGCAUUGAAUUAUUGCAAGCAAAUCGCUUCUCGCAAUUACAAACCUACCCUCAUCAUUGUCUCUCACGUAUCCAGCACCACAGUUACCCAUUCCUCUCCUCACCAAGGCACACAGAUUACAGGACAAUGCAGCGAUGCCAACCAAGAAUGCUUAGGGUAAAGACGGAAACAUAAAACAGAAUAAUAAAAAAAAAUCUAUUCCGUAAACAUAAUAAUUAAACAGAAAGUGGUACGUUCAGACAAAACACCUGCUCCUGUUUUAGAAAAGAGCUCCUCCGUUUUUAUUUCUCUGUUUUACUGUUUGGUGAUUGCAAAAAUUUUUGUCUAAAUAAUGCAUAGUAGAGUCAAGAAUAAAUUUAUGUUAAAACAAAGAAACAUCAAAGAUCCCCUGAUAUUAUUAUCCAGAACAAUAUGUUUAUUGGGCCGAAAUGGGCUAACAUACAUGGGUUCAAGCUUGCAAAAUCCACAUUUAUGUAUAAUUAUAUAGUAAUUAAAUACUGAACUUGAACUCAUACAACUCUUCAAUCAUUUGGAUUUCGAAUCUGUGUUAAUUGAACUAAAUACUGUCAGGCAUUCGAGUAAACACAUAAAGAAUUCAUGAUUUAAUGUCGUUCUGAAUUUUGACUUCAUAAUAUUCCAGCUACCGUUGCAGUUUCUAUUAUUGUGUGAUAAAUAUGAAUGAUGUCUUAGUAUAAAGACAUGUCUCAUUAAUUAUACCUUAUAGAAGAGAUAUCUUUUUAUACUAAAACUAUAUAGUGAAAAGGGGUCCGCCUAAGUUACGUUAAACGUAACUUACGGCCUGGCUGUAAAACUUCAUCCAGCCCCCUAUAUUCGAUAUUAUUUAUAUUAUAUUUGUGAAUAUUAUAAAAAUUUUUGAUUUGAAAAAUUUCGUUUAACCCCUUACACUCAAUUUUAUUUUAUUAAAAUCCUAGAGUACGAAUUUGCCUCCUAUAAUUUUAAAUUCUCAAAAUAACCUCAUUUAAUUAAAAAAUAUAAUUAUUAUUAAUUGAAUUAUAAUUAUAACUAUUAUUUUAUUAUAAUUAUAAAUAUAUUUAUAUUUUUUAAAUAGAUUAUUGUUAUUAUUAAUAACAAGAAUAAAAAGUAUUACAAUUAAUUAAUCUAUUAACAAUAAUUAAUAAUUUUUUAUUAAAUUGUUAAUAAUAAUUAAUGAUAAUUAUUAUUAAUAAUUAAGUUUUGAAUAAUAAUAAUAAUUAACAAUUAUCAUUAAUAGAUUGUGACUGACUCUGAACAAGUUGUCCGAUAUUUUAUAUCAUAUUGUAUGCAUUCACUUCUGGCUACAAAAAAAAUUAAAGAAAUAGCUUUCUCUUUAACCAAACAAGAGAUUUAACAAAAUCAUAAACACACGUUUCUCAAAACUAACAAGGACUUGGACAAUUAUGGCACUAAGUAGUACUGCAAUUAAUAUCAGUGAUGAGAGUAUGUUGCUACUUUGCUAGCUAAGCCUAGGUGGGCAUUGGCAUUCCUAGGACUCUGAACAAUUAUCGUUAAUUUUUAAAAAUCAAUUAUUAAUAAUAAUUAUCGUUAAUUACUACUAUUAUUAAUUUAAUAAAAACUAUUAUUAAUUAUUGUUAAUAGAUUAAUUAAUUGUAAUACUUUUUAUUCUUGUUAUUAAUAAUAAUAAUCUAUUUAAAAAAUAUAAAUAUAUUUAUUAUUAUAAUAAAAUAAUAAUUAUAAUUAUAAUUCAAUUAAUAAUAAUUAAAAUUUUAAUUAAAUGAGAUUAUUUUGAGAAUUUAAAAUUAUAGGGGGCGAAUUCGUACUCUAGGGUUUUAAUAAAAUAAAACUAAGUGUAAGGGGUUAAAUGAAAUUUUCUAAAUAAAAAAGUUUUAUAAUAUUCAUGAAUAUAAUAUAAAUAACAUUGAAUAUAGGGGGCUGGAUGAAAUUUUAAAGCCAGGCCGUAAGUUACGUUUAACGUAACUUAGGCGGACCCAGUGAAAAGAUAUCUCUUCUAUCAGGUACAAUUAAGUAUGGUUGCUUGCAAAGAAAUGUAAAUAUAAGUCAUAAAACAAAGUCUCUAUUAUUUGAAGUACAAUUUCAUUCACAUGUUGCACAUGAGACUUGAGCAACCACGAUGUGCAGAAGACACUUUACAAUGAUUUUGCUUGUUUUUUUCCUAAUCAUUUCUGUAAUUGAUUUUGUUAGAAAAUGUUAGUAAUGAUUAAAUUACUUUAAAAAACACACUCACACAUCUUAACUGUAAAGGUUCAGAAAAUAUAUCGAUAAAGGUCAGAAGUAUCUAAUAAAAGUUGGCCAUAAACUUCAAUAUCCAAAAUUGCUUUAAUAAAGUAGCUGCAGUAAACAAAAGUCAGUAACCAUAGGCGACAAUAAAUCACAAUCAGCAACUAGGUCUCCAAAUCAAAAUAUAAUGGAUUUGGUUAAGUCUUCUUUCGAAAAGCUCUCUCUCCUUUAGAGAGGCUUGAAUGGAAGUAUUGAGGGGUCGUAAGGACUCAUGUGUUCACUCCCUGUGAGUGGAAGGUAAUCCAAAAAAAGUCAGCUUUUGGGGUUGGUGAGCUGGUUGAGAAAGCUUCGAAAGCAAAGUUCGUGUAGAGCGUUGGGGCACGAUUUAAAGCUAGUGAGCCUAAAUAACUUACUACCUAUCCAAGCAUUAACUACCAUGGAUACUGAAGAGCUAAUUCGUAAGUGUCAAGCAAUAACUAUCACAGAGGAAGACAAAGCCAAAAUAACGCUGGAGGUGAAUUUGGAAAAAAAGAAAGAACAAAUGAUGGCAGGAUGCUUAGUGGGCAAAGUACUUCUCACAAAGGGAGUAAAAAAAGAUGGACUUAAGGUUGCGUUACAGCAGGUGUGGAGGACUUUCAAAGAAGUCAAGAUCGAAAGCGUGGGAAACAACAUCUUCAUGUUCAAAUUUGCUGAAGAAGCAGACAAAAAACGAGUUCUCAAAGGGGGACUAUGGCACUUCGACAGGGCCUUGAUUGUUCUCGCUGAGCCAAGGGGGAUUGGGGAAGUCGCAAAACAAUCUUUUAUUCACACAUCCUUUUGGGUGCAUAUUCGUAAUAUCCCACUGGCGUGUAUGGAUAAAGAUUUUCUCCGAGACUUGGGCGGGAAGAUUGGAUCAGUAUAGGAGGUUCAAACGGAUGAUAAUGGAGACUGUAUUGGGGAAUUUUCCAGAAUAAGAGUCUCAAUUAACAUAACACAGCUGCUAGAGAAGAUUUUAUUUCUAAAGCAAGAAGGUGAAACUGAUAUCCCAAUGCCGGUGGUAUAUGAACGCUUGCCAGAUUUCUUUUAUUGCUGCGGAAUUAUUAGACAUCAAUACAAAGAGUGUGGCAAGUACCAAGACCAACCAAGAGAAGAUCUACCAUUUAGGAGUUGGAUGAAAGUGAUUACGGUAGGGGGUUUUACAAAGAGGAAUUGGAACAAGGAAAGGUGGAACUAUGGGGCUGGUAAAUCGGAUGAAAAAUCAACAAGCUCAGGAACUCACAACUUCCCGCAACAGCAAGGGCAAAACCAAGAAAACUCGAUAGGGGCAAACGGGUCAGUACCCAUUGAGAAAGAAAUGGGGCAAACCAUGAAGCAUGCCAAGAAGGAUGUUAUAGGAGGAGUAGCUGAGCAACAAUUAAUGCGAAGAGUGAUACAAUCAGCGGAAAAAAAGUAAAAUGAUGGCAACAAGCAAGCUGGGGAAACUGGCAAUGCAACAACCCCAAGGAAAAUGGGCACACAAGCGGGAAAUGGCAUUCCAAAAGAGAGGGAAAAAAUGCAGAUAAGUCAUGAAGAGGAAGCUGAAAUAAACAAUGGGCCGGAAGUAUCUCAACUACAGCCCAAUAAAAGGAAAUUGAAGUAAUUAACUAGAGAUCUAAGCGAGGGGGGGGGGGGAAAUUAAGUUACGAGUUCAAAAAAGGCCUAGGGGGAAAAAAUUUGGGCAAAGCCCAAGGAAAAAAACAAAGCUCUCUAGCCCCAAUAAGCUUGAGACUAAAAACCUGGAGCAUGUCUCUCCAACAGCAACGCUUCAGCUGGGUUAGGAACUGUUGGUACUGGAAGAAGUGGUAGUCAUGGAAGCAAACAAUAUGGAGAUAUCGGCGGAGGCUGGUGGUCAGCCCCCCCGGAAGCUAUGAAUAUUCUCAGUUGGAAUGUUCGGGGUCUGGGGAAUCCCCGAGCAUUUCAAGCCUUAAGAAAAAUCCUCCAAUUGCAUGGUGCUCAGCUAGUGUUUUUGUGUGAAACAAAGGUAUCAACCAUGCAAAUGAAUGUGAUUGCAAAUAAGCUGAGUUUUGAGAAUUGCCUCGCGGUGAACUGUAAAGGAAGAUGAGGCGGAAUAGCAAUGCUCUGGAAGUCAGAUAUUGGUGCAAAUCAAUUCAUACAGUCAGCACCACAUUGAUGCCGAAACUCAAAUGCCAAAUGGAAAUCGAAUGCGAGUUACAGGAGUGUACGGACAUCCGGAAACAAGACAGAAAAAACACACUUGGAUGCUCCUCAGGCGGCUGGCAGUUUUAUCUUCUAGCCCUUGGUUGUGUUGUAGAGACUUUAAUGAAAUUUUACAUCCAGAUGAGAAGAGUGGCGGCAAUGACAGGAAUGUGAAUUUAAUUAAUGAUUUCAGAGAAGUUUUGAGAGAUUGUGGCUUAAAGGAUGUUGGGUAUCGGGGGUACGCUUUUACUUGGAAUAAUGGAAGAUAUGGGUAGGGAUUCGUGGAAGAAAGGUUGGAUAGAUUUGUUUGCAAUAAAGCUUGGAGUGAUAGAUUUGUGGAUUAUGCAGCAAGCAACCUUGACACAUGGACUUCGGAUCAUUGUCCCAUGCUGAUGGCUGUUUAGGAGAGAAGUGGGGGCAUGAACCAAAGGGGUAGACAUUCCUCACGAAUCCAUUAUGAGGAUAUGUGGAGCUCGUAUGACUUGUACAAAGAGAUAAUCAAGGAGGAAUAUAAUUUGUAUAGAAAUUAGAAUAGUGAAAAUCCAGCCCAAUCCUUUCGAAAAGCAACAAAAGAUUCGAUGGGUAGGCUGUUGGGGAGGAGCAAGUUGGUGAGGAAAUUCGGAAGGUGGAGAAGCAAAUCCAAAAUAUCCUCAUGGAUGAAGAAAUCUACUGGAAGCAGCGCUCAAGAGCAGAUUGGCUCAAGGAGGGGGACAAAAACACAAAAUUCUUUCACGGCAAGGCAUCGACUAGAAGGAAAAAAAAAAACAAAAUUUUGGGGAUUGAAGAUAAUUUCGGGAGAUGGAUUGAAAAGCCAAAAGAAGUGGAGCAUGAGUUUUGCAAUUAUUUCACCAACCUUUUUACAUCAACCCAGCCGAGACAGGAUCAAAUUGCAGCAGCCUUGAAAGGAAUAACUCCGAGAGUUUCAGCCAGCAUGAAUGAGAGUUUGGAGGAACCGUUUACAGCCGAGGAAGUCUUGGAAGCUUUGAGUCAAAUAAAGGCUUCGGGGCCGGAUGGUUUUCCAGCAGUGUUUUACCAAAAGCAUUGGCAUACGGUUAAGGAGGGAGUGCUCACCACUUGUCUGCAUAUCGUCAAUUCACAAGGUACCAUAGGCCCUCUAAAUCACACUUACAUUGCUUUGAUACCAAAAAUCGGGAAGCCUAGGAAAGUGACAAACUUUAGGCCUAUUAGUUUGUGCAAUGUUAUCUAUAGAAUUGUAGGUAAGUCAGUUGCUAAUAUAUUUAAGCAAAUUCUGCACAAAAUCAUCUCUCUAUCGCAAAGUGCCUUCAUCCCCAAUAGGUUGAUCACUGACAACAUCAUAGUUGGCUACGAAUGUUUGCACAAGAUAAGGCAUUGUAAAGGAAAGCGAAAUGGAUUAAUUGCAUUAAAGCUUUAUAUUAGUAAAGCUUAUGAUAGAUUGUAAUGGAACUUCCUAGAGCAAACUUUAAAACAACUAGGCUUCUCGCAUCAAUGGAUUAGCUUGAUCAUGGGGUGCAUUAGUUCAGUUUCCUUCUAUGUGUUAAUAAAUGGCUCAGUGAAAGGCUUAAUUAAACACCAAAGGGGCAUAAGACAAGGUUGCCCCCUCUCUUCGUAUUUGUUUAUUACAUGUGCAGAGGCUUUUUCUUCCUUGCUGUAGCAGGCUGAGCAACAACGGCUUAUUCAUAGGCUAUCAUUUGGAAACGAUUUGAAGAUUUCGCACCUUCUAUUUGCUGAUGACAGCCUUAUCUUCAGCAGAGCUUCCAUGGCUGACUGUCGAAAUCUGAAGAUGAUCCUUGAGUGCUACUCCACAACUUUCGGUCAAAUAUUUAAUUUCGAGAAAUCUUCUCUUUUUCUUAGUGGCAAUGUACAACAAGAUCAAGCUGAGGCAAUUGGGAAUCUCUUUUAGCUCAAUAUUGUGUAAAGACAUAAAAAAUAUUUAGGCUUGCCGUCUAUGAUCGGGAGAAAGAGAAGCAGCUUCUUCAAUGACAUCAAGCUGAAGGUUUUCAACAAGAUCUCAAGCUGGCAGCAUAAAUUUUUUUCUUGUGGAGGGAAAGAAGUCUUAAUCAAAGCUGUUGUGCAAGUCAUCUCAGCCUACGCAAUGAGCGUUUUUAAAAUUCCGAUGGGAGUUUGUGAUGAUAUUUAAAAAAUGGUGGCAAAGUUCUAGUGGGGCUCCAAGAGGGAAGGGAGGAAUAUUCAUUGGGCGAAGUGUGAAAAGAUGAGUCAAGCUAAGUGUAAUGGAGGGAUGGGAUUUCGUGAUUUUUCAAGCUUCAACAGAUCCCUUCUAGCAAAGCAAGGCUGGAGGAUUCAGCAAUGUCCAAACUCGUUGGUGGCUAGGGUCUUGAAAGCCAAGUAUUUCUAGUCAAAAAAUUUCUUGGAUGCAAAGCUCAACUCAAACCCUUCAUAUAUUUGGAGAAGCAUUCUUUGGCGAAGGAAAAUUAUUUGCUCGGGCUCUAGGUGGAGAGUUGGCAAUGGUCAGAAAAUUCAUAUUCAUAAGGCUAACUAGAUUCCACAACCUUCAACAUUCCAGCCAAUGGUUAAGCCAACUUUUCCUUCGAAUGCUAUGGUCUCUGAAUUAAUCAAUGAGGCAAACUACUGGGAUGAGAAGAGGAUUUAUGAGCACUUCGAAAAAAUGGAUGCUGAUUUAAUUACUAAGAUUCCUCUGCCUAGAAGACCAAGGAAGGAUGAGCUAAUUUGGCAUUAUGGAAAAAAUGGCCAGUUCUAGGUUAAAAGUGGGUACCAGACAACUCUCCAAAUAAAGUUUCUAGCCAUGCCUUCAAGCUCAGUGGCUUCAAAAAAUGAAUGGAAUAUUAUUUAGUCUCUUGCUUUGCCUCAAAAGAUCAGAAUUUUUGCAUGGAGGGCAGCCAAAAACCUACUCCCCUCAGCUGAGAAUUUGUGGAAGAAAAAGAUAAUCCAGGAACCUACUUGCCAAGUGUGUAAAAUGGGAAUGGAAAAUGUAUUUCAUGCUCUAGUGGCCUGCAAAUCGGCUAAGAAAGUAUGGAGGCUAAUCUAUUUUGAAGAUGAUAUUAAUGCUGCUCACAGUCAAGAUAUCUUCAGUUUGCCGCAUGCUAUGAAAAGAAUGAGAAGCAAAGUUGACCUGGAGCUGUUGGUAACGAUUUUUUGGGUUAAAUGGAAUGCUCGGAAUCAGUUGCUAUUCAAAGGAAAAAUGGAGACCCCCCAUGUAACACCCUAGGCGAAUCCCAUAUCGGCAAAGCACAGGAGAGAUGCUGGGUUUAUAAGAAGUGAUCCACACCUUAAUUGGCAAGACGCGUUUUGGGGUCUAUGGGCGCCCCAAGAACAAAUCCGUGCAGGCCUUGUUAAGGCCCAAAGCGGACAAUAUCUUGCCAGGUCAUGACCCAACCCAGACCUGGCAAGAUAUUGUCCGCUUUGGGCCUUAACAAGGCCCGCACGGAUUUGUUCUUGGCGUGCCCAUACACCCCAAAACGCGUCUCAUGCUCCUUCUUACUCUUAGAGUAAAUUAAUAUGUCAUCAAUAAAGACAAUGACAAACUGGUCAAGAUAAGGUUGGAAGAUCCUAUUCAUCAAAUCCAUGAACGCUGCAGGAGCAUUAGUUAAUCCAAAAGGCAUAACUAAGAACUCAUAGUGUCCAUAACGAGUUCAAAAAGCUGUCUUCGAUACAUCCUCACUUCUUAUUUUCAAUUGAUGGUAGCCAGAUCGUAAAUCAAUUUUAGAGAAUACCGCUGCACCUCGUAAUUGGUCAAAGAGGUCAUCAAUUCGAGGAAGAGGGUAUUUAUUCUUGACAGUAACCAUAUUCAACUGCCGGUAGUCAAUACACAACCUCAUUGAACCAUCUUUCUUCUUUACGAACAAAACGGGAGCACCCCAAGGCGACACACUAGGACGGAUGAAACCCUUAUCUAGUAACUCUUGUAGCUGGACCUUUAGUUCUUUUAAUUCAAUGGGUGCCAUCCGAUAUGGCGCCUUGGAUGUAAGUGUAGUACUAGGAACUAACUCUAUAGUAAACUCAACCUCUCUAUCUGGGGGUAGACCAGGAAGAUCCUCAGGAAAUACAUCAAUAAACUCCCUUACAAUAGGUAUGUCUUCAAGGCACGCCCCAUCAGGAUGGUCAGCAAUUAUAUACGCUAAAAAUCCUUCACACCCCUUCUUUAGCAUUUUCACUGCCGUCACCAUAGAAAUCAAAGCUUUAUAACUCUUAUGAUUCCCUUGAAAAUGAAAUUCUUCCUCGCCAGGUAGGCGAAAAAUAAUUUCCUUAGCAAAACAAUCUAUUGAAACAUGGUAAGGUCCUAACCAAUCCAUCCUCAAAAUCAAAUCAAAAUCAUGCAUCUCUAAUGGUAGGAGAUCCACAAGGAAUUCUCUAUCACACAAUCUGAUCACACAUGACUUAUAGACAUGAUCUAUUAACUGGCAAUCCCCCAUAGGGGUACUAAUUGUCACGUGAACACCGAGUGGCGUGAUAGGCACAUCAGCAUAACGGGCAAACACACAAGAUACAAAUGAAUGUGUAGCACCAGGAUAAAAAGGAACUUUGGCUUCUCUAGAGAAUAAGGACAAUGUACCUGAUACUACAUCAUUGGACACCUCAGCAUCUUUCUCCGUUAGCGCAAAAACACGCCCUUGCACCUUCGGUUUCUUCCUCUGCCCUUCGUUAGUCGGAGUAUUUGUAGUCUCGCCACGUCUCUUUGGGCAAUCCAUAAUCCUAUGCCCAGAUUCUCCACAAGCAAAACAAGCUCCAGUUUUCCAAUGGCAUUCACCAGGGUGCCUCCUUUCACAAUGUCGACAAAUGGGGUAAUUUCUCCGAGCAGUGUCACUAGUAACACCCUUGUUAUCCCAUUUGUUACCUCCACCAUUAUACUUCUGGGAGUGAGUGCCUUGCCUAUAGGAACUUCCAUUUCGCGGUCCACCUUGUUGAUUCUUCUUAUUUCUCUGAUACCAUAAUGUCAUGACCCAACCCAGACCUGGCAAGAUAUUGUCCGCUUUGGGCCUUAACAAGGCCCGCACGGAUUUGUUCUUGGGGUGCCCAUACACCCCAAAACGCGUCUUGCCAAUUAAGGUGUGGAUCACUUCUUAUAAACCCAGCAUCUCUCCCGUGCUUUGCCGAUGUGGGAUUCGCCCAAGAACAAAUUCGUGCGGGCCUUGUUAAGGCCCAAAGCGAACAAUAUCUUGCCAGGUCUGGGUUGGGUCAUGACAUUAUGGUAUCAGAGCGGCUCCGCGUGUCCUCUUGAGCGAUGGUGGGGCAAACCUCAGCGAGGACGCUGAGUCCCCAAGGGGGGGUGUAUGUAACACCCUAGGCGAAUCCCACAUCGGCAAAGCACGAGAGAGAUGCUGGGUUUAUAAGAAGUGAUCCACACCUUAAUUGGCAAGACGCAUUUUGGGGUGUAUGGGCACCCCAAGAACAAAUCCGUGCGGGCCUUGUUAAGGCCCAAAGCGGACAAUAUCUUGCCAGGUCUGGGUUGGGUCAUGACACCCCAUAUUAUGGUAGCUAAAGUUGAAGCUAUGAUUGCAGCUUAUAAGAGGGUGCAUUCUUCAGUUGAGGCUUCCAGUGAAACAGAGCAGAGGGUACCUCUUCAGACAUGGAAUCCCCCUCAAGAUGGUUUUGUAAAAGUCAACAUUGAUGCAGCUAUCAACUUCAAAAAGAACCUUGUAGGGCUGGGGGCAGUGAUUAGAGAUGAUUCGGGGCAUGUUACAGCAGCUGCAAUCAAGAUUUCCAAGUUUCAUGGAGAUGUUUCUUAUGCUGAGGCAGCAGCUAUGGAAUGGGGUAUGUUGGUGGAGAGAGAAGCUAAAGUGAAAGUUGUAAUCGUGGAAUCAGAUUCUCAAGGUGUGGUCAGUUUAGUUAACAACAAGCAGGGCUGCAGAUCUGAGAUCUAUUGGGUUGUUUCGGAAAUUCAGAAGUUAGCGGAAAACUUCGAGUGUGUUAGUAUUAAGUAUACAGCCUAGAUCUUGUAAUGUUAUUGCCCAGUCUUUAGCUAAGUUAGCUCUAGAAAAACGCGAGACUGUUGUGUGGAGGGUUCAUACCCUUCACAAGUGAUGUAUUUCCUUUCAUCGUUGUUUUAAUUGAAAUCUAUUUUCAAAAAAAAAAAAUCACAAUCAGCAACUACAAUGAUCCAAAACCAACAUAGAAAGACCUAGAAAUAGUAAAAAAUAUUGCAAUAUAUUAAAGAAGAUUAAUUCAUCAGAGUGCCCACAACAUAUAAAUGGAUCUAAAGAAUAGAUUAUAUAAUAGCUUGUUUCUUAUGAAUGAUACAUGGGAUUCCACAGAUAAAAAGAAAAUAAGAAUCAAGUACGUGAAUUAAAAAAAUACCUAACCAAUAGGGGUUAGUGAGAUAUUUUAGCUAAAUAUCAGUUGACAGAAUCUGACCCACAAUAAAAAUUGCUAUCUUAUCACAAUGGGAAUCUGAAUUAUAAAAUUACUGAACAAAACUUUUAACACCUACAAGUCCAAAUAAUAUCAAAUAAAAUGCCUAACCAGCUAUUAAAUAUAAAAUGUCCUUGUAGGACUAAAACCUUGUGGCCAAUCCUUCAAAGUUCCAAGCAACAAUAUGAUAAAAACAUAAUGCAUAAUAUAUAAGGAGCUUAUCUGUAAAACUUCCAUACAGUACUUAUCAUAUUAAACAAUGUACCUAAUGAAAUAUUGGCUUAUUUCUACAGAAUAUUACAAUAUAAGUACACCAAUUUCUCAAGCAAUGCCAUAUAGAAAGAUACCGAAGAAAAAAGGAAAAUAAAAAAUCGAAGCAUGUUAGUUAUGAUUUCAACUUUUGAACUCAAAGUCUGUGACAAAUUUUGCUUCGGGAAAUACUAACAAACACUUGAGAAAAACUAAAGUGUAUCACACUUGAACCGUAUAUAAAGCACAAGAAUAAAAACAACAAUGGGCAAAAAGAGGCUAGAUGUAUCAUCUUCAUUAGUUAAACAACAUAAAUAGAAUCAAAAUAUUAAUGCAUACACCAAAACCUUCAAAAUUCUCUAAACAUUCAAUUUUUUUCAGAUUAAGAAAAUAAAUUUAUAAGAAAAUCGAGAACGCGUAUUUGUUGCGGUAUUUUAUCAAGCAAUUGGCAUGCAGCAAUGUAAAUGACAAUUAAAACAUGUAAAUCUCUGUACAUUGAAAGCUCACCUUCGUUAUUCAUCCAAAGAGAGAUAUAUAGGGCAUGUAAGCUCCUUCUUUGAUAUUUAUAUAUUUUGUCAUAAAAGAUUAUAUAUUGUCCGAAAAGAGCUAACUUUGGACAGGCUUUUUAUGCCAAAAAAAAAAAAAAAAUUCUUUUGUGACUAUUAUAAAGUUCGUCAAAAAGAAAUUGAAACAGGGACCAAGUAAUGUCUCAAAAAGAAAAAAAAAUGGUUAUCAAAUAUAAAAUUAUUCAAGACAAAACAUUCAAUGACUAUUGUUUAAUUUUGUCACUGUAGGUAAUUAUAUAUGAUAAAAAAAAAUGGUCUUAAAAUUAGCCAAAAGAACAAUAAUUUUGGCUACUAAUAUUUUGUGUCAUAGAUUGUGUAGUCAAUUUUACACCCCUCUUUUAGUUACCAAAUAAUUUGGUCGCCUAUAAUUAUAUUUCGUGACUAUUUAUUUUGUCAUAAAUAGUGAAAUAUUGUCUCAAAAUAAUCACUUUUGGAGGGAAGAUUUUGCGCCAAAAAAAUAUCUUUUGGUGACUAAAAUAAUUUUUGUCAUAAAAAAAAUUAAUUAAUGACCAAUGAACAAGUCUCAAAAUAAAAAUAAUUGGUUACAAAAAACAAUAUAAGUUAGGACAAGACUAUUAGCUACGAUUUUAAAAAUUUGUCACAAUAAAUACCAUUUUGUGACCAAAUUUAAAGUUGUAAAAAAUAUCAUCUUAAAAAAUCAAAUUUCUUAUAGUGGCCGAGGCCUAUGAUAGAGCAUAGCUCUAUGCCCAUUUACCUCUUCAACUGCCAUAGAGAACUAGAAUCCCACUUGCACCCAAAACAUAAAAACAAUGUACACUUGGCAUGAACUCUGAGAAAGCUACGUAAAAAUGAUUUGAUGGCCAAGGAUUACAACAAUUGUACAACCAAAAGAGGUAGAAAUCCAUGUCUAGUAUAGUGCCCUCGUUAACACCUCUAAAUACUGAGUCAAAUCAAUAGGAAUUUCAUUGUGGGAAAAAAAAAACUAUGCUACGAAUGGUCAGCCUUGCUAGCCUUUAUAAGCAACGCACACAGAUUAUAGAACGAUGCAGUGAUGCAAACCAAGAACUAUUAGGGUAUAGACAGUAAGAUUAAAUAGAAUAAUUUGAUUCCAUUUCUAGCAAACUUUGCCUAGAGACUUGUUAAAAUCUAAUCAGUAAACCUGCUAGAUUUGACAGGAAACAGGUAAUGUCAGGCAAAUCGCCUUCUCCUAUUUUAGGGCACUCAUGUAUAAUAGUGACUUUAAAAGUGUAAACAUAUUUUGAACAAUUUUAAGGAAAUUAAAACUAUAUUUGACACAUCACGAAAUGGCUAAGAUACAAGCUUCAAUUCCAGUACAACAAAUAUAACUUCAACUGUCAAUUGAAGGAGCGAGAUAAAGAGGAGAGACACGAAGCAAUAUACCAUUAUGAGAACAUUGCAGCAUACAAAAGUGUAAACGGCAGAGCAAUAUCUCAAAAUCAUGUCGUUUCCGAUGUGUGCUCAUUUGAAAGUGCAGAAAAACCACUCAAACAUGCCUGUACAAGGAAAGCCAUGUCAGCCACCAAUGUCGUAAUUACACCAAUUACGAGGCCCAAAACUCCAUCAGCAACAGUAGAAGAACCGAUGUCAACAUCAAUCUACAGAAAGUUUCUAGCAGUCACGAGCAUUAUCACGAUCAUCGUGCCGCAGAUUGCCCUAAAAACAAGACAAAUCAAUUUGAUCAGCUUGUUCUUCCUCUAGAGCUGCGAAUAAUUGAAAAAAAAAAGAUUAAUUCCAUAGAAAUCCAUUAAUGAGGACAUUAAUCCAAUAUAUAAAAAUGAAUAUUUAAGUUUGAAGCUCCUAGCUUGAAGCUUUCCAAAUAUAAAGUUACAUAGUGAAGGACAACAUUUGUCCAUGAGGUUUCUAAAAUGGCAACUUUUGCACAGUAAAAUUAAAACGGACGGCGGAAGCUCUAGAAACCUCGGAUCGGCUUCAUUCAAAAACGAAAAUCACGAGGAAAGAUUUAAGUUUAAUUAAAUCACUUUUAGUUUCAAAAACGGCUUCGUGAAGUAGAAGAAAAAGACUGAAAACAGCACGCUACGAACACUGUCCAGAAAAUAGAGCUCUGCACGAACAGCUUCUGUUUUGCCACGAUUUGAGAUCCUUAAAGCACCCCAAUUGUGAUGCCUCUAAUUAUUCCACACUUAGAAAUGUUCUAGGAGUUCAUAGGAUUUGGAAUCUCGAAAUUUCGUUUAGAAAUGAAAGAGAUAAUGAAAAAACAUGAAUGCUAGUUCAUGAUGAUUCAUUCCAUCAAAUAAAGCUACCAUUAUCUCUAAUAAUGGCACCAAACAUUAUCAUGUGCUAGACCCACCCACUUAGUUAUUAUUUAUUGAAAGUGAUCUUAUCACUUAAAUAAAUUAUUUAAUCAAAUAAAUAAAUAGCUAAAUUAAUUAAUUUCGUAAUUAAUUAAUUAACCCCAUUUUGAUCAAAUCAAAUGGUUAAAUGUGGGCUCAUUUUGUGACAUGUUCUAAUGCUUUCUCUUAAUCCAUAUUAGAUCUAAUAAAAGCCCAAAAUUCUAAACCCAAAAUUGGUCUAGAAGUCCAUAAUCAUAUAUGAACCGGAACAUGUCCAAAAUGGUCAUUUUACGUGCUUGAUAUUGCAUAAUGUUUAAUGGGGAUUUAUGAAAUUUAUUUUGUUCCUUAAACUAUUUAUGGAACAUCUAAAUUUCUAUCUUAAAUCAUAUUUAAGAUAUAUUUAUAUAUAUAUUCAUUCUUAAUGAAUUAUAAUAUAAAUAUUGAUUUUCCUAAAAUUAGGAAAUUUAACUUCUCAUUUUCUAGUAACUCCUUUUUCAUUUCUAUUUAGUGUGUGACCUUUCAGGUUCUUAGUUAUAAGGUAGUAGAACUAUUUUAAUGAUAACUCUUUAUUCAUUAAAUGAUGCUAAACUCUUUAGUAAUCAAUUAGAACUUUUCUAAUGACCUUAAGAUGCAUAGCUAAUAGGCUUUACCAAUAUUGAUCUUAAGGUUUCUAUAAGUCAUGAGUGACACCUAGCAGUAUAUCACAACUAUCCAAAUAACAAGAAUUGUUGGAUCUAUAAAACCUAUUUUAUUGUAUCUCUAUGUCUUGGUCUCUUCAUCAUCCAUGUCUAGAGAAAAGCACGGCUUAUGGUUUAUUAUGUUAAGCAGUUAUGAUUUAUCUCAAAAUAAAUCUAAAUGAACUUAACAUGAAAAUAUAAUUUGAACUCCUUCAAAUAUAUUUCACCUUGGCCAAGGAUUUCUCAUGCCAAUUCAUAUUAUCUCAUAGGGACAUCCUUUUUGUAUAUUACAAAGUGAUUAAUUCCAUAUUAGCCAUACACUUGUCUUCAUACAUAACCAACCAUGACAGCUAUUGCUAGAUCUCUUCCGUGAUUAGGAAUCCAUGAUUAUGCUUUCACAUAUCAGAGAUGUCUAUGUAUAAGACAUCUGUUAUGCCUCAAGUCUAAAGACCAUUAUUAAACAUAGUGUCUAUUACAAUGUAUAAUAAGCCAUUAACACUCAAAACCAUAUGACUUACUAUAUUUGGUCAUGUUCAGUAAACUCGUUCUCUCAACAAGUACCUAUGUGUUUGACUUGACAUGUCAUGUCAAUGAUAUGAAACUCACCAUCCAUUUUAGUAUCACAUACCAUAAGGAGUCAUAACACAUACUAGUGUUUAUAGGAAUUUAUAAUGUCCAAUCAUAAAUCCACCACUAGGAACUAUUUUAGAAGUAUAGUACAAAGGAUGCACGUUUCAUACUCUCGACAAACUCGAGAAUGUGUUCCUUAACUAUUUUACUUCUUGGACUAUAUUCAUUAAAUUAAUUUAUGAAUGUUGAUAACUUUGCCAUUUUAUAAAUAUCAAAAUGCUAUUCAAAUACAAUAAUUCCCUAAACAAACAAACACCAUUUGAUUGGCCUUUAGGGCAUAUUACUAACACAUAGCCCUUAGAAGGCCGAUUGCAAACAUCACCUUUCCCGGGGAUGGAGAGGAGGACGUCCUCAAGGAUAUUAUAAAGGGUUCUUAGUUUGAGUAGGUCAGUAUGGGUAGUGGCACACUUGAGGUAGUCAAUGGGAUAAGAAUCGGCCUCCAUCCUAUAGCCGAGGUUUCUUUUCUUAGAGGGUCGGCUCGGCUCAGAACUAUUCUCCUUGUUAUCACUUUCUUUUUCAGGGAUCCCAGCCCCCUCAGAACUGUGAUUCUCACCAGAAGCCGAUGCUUGUCCACCGCGAUUUCCCAUAGGUUCACAAUCAGAAGGAGGCAAAAUGGCCUUUGGACGGGGGUACUCAAGGGUAUCUCUAUUAUAAGAGGGACCUAUGUUACUGGAAGGAUUUUGGGGAUCAGUGGGUCUUAAUAAAUUGGGGUAUGAAUCUAUCUCUUCAUCACUCUCAUUUACAAUUAUUUUUCCCCUUCGUCUUGACAUAGUGAAGUCUUAAGAGAAAAAUAUAACAAAUUUAAGUAUAUGGGUACAAAAGUGUUGAGUGCGGAAUGCAGAAUCAAGCACACCAAAUAAUUAUAGAAAAAUAAUUGACACAAAAUUUAUGUGGUUCAGUAAUUAAACCUACAUCCACCGGAGCAAGAGAAAAAUAAUUGUAUUAUUAACAAUUAUUUGAGUACAAAUUUGAGUAAAGAAAUCUUACUUUCCCAUAACCCAAAUACACCCAGUACUCUCACACACACACUCUCCAAUUGCUCACACUUUCAGAACUCUCAAAAGCUUAAAAACUAAUAAGCUUAACAAAUUUUUUGGGAUACUUUAGAAUGAAGAAAUGACUUUAAUUUAUAGGCUUCAAGCUUGCACUAUUCCACUUAAUCCCUCUGCAAUUUGUCAAUCUUCAUCUCCAUCAAUUUGACAAAUUUUGCUAAAUUUUCCAUUUUUCUUCAUUUAGUGCAGGAUUGUCAAAUGCCAAAUAUUUUACAGCUUGCAGUUUUGGUGCCGACUUUGAAAAAACAAAAGCAAUGCAUGUGGCUCACUUUUCUUUUUCAACCAAUUUGAAAACACUCAUUGACUUUUCAACAAUUUUCCACCUCGGCGAAGAUUUGUUCAAAUAUGAGCCGACUCCCAACCAAUCAUCAUCCCCAAAGUGGCUGCAUCUCUGUGACUGCUACGUACACAAAAUUUGGGAUCAAGCCAACCGUAGUUCAAAAUUCCUGAAGGACAUAACUUAACAUAAUCGAAGGAUUUGAAUUAGUCUCAAGCAUUGUUGAAACUUAACUCCAGAAAUCACCUUUGUCAACAUAUCUGCUGGGUUAUCCUUGGUAUUGAUCUUUUUCAACAACACAUCACCACCCUCGAUAAUCUCUCUCACAUAAUGAUAUUUCACAUCUAUGUGCUUCGACCGAGCGUGAUAUGUUUGAUUUUUCGCGAGGAAUAUCGCACUUUGGUUAUCACAAAAGACCGCAAUGUUCUCUUGGAUUACUCCCAAAUCACAAAAUAAGCCUUUCAACCAGAUAGCUUCCUUUACAGCUUCAGUUACUACCAUAUACUCUGCUUCCAUAGUGGAUAGAGCAAUUGUCGAUUGUAGAAUCGACCUCCAGCUAACUGAUCCUCUACCCAAUGUGAAUACGUAGCCAGUUGUUGAUCUUUGCUUUUUAAGGUCUCCGGCGAAAUCAGAAUCACAAUACCCAACACAUUGUUGACCACAAUCCUUUUUUAACAAUAACCCAACAUCAACUGUCCCAUAUAGAUAUCGGAGAAUCCACUUUACCGCAAGCCAUUAAUUUUUACUCGGAUUGUGCAUGUACCUACUAACCAUUCUCACUGCUUGAGAUAUAUUGGGCCUUGUGCAUACCAUAACAUACAUAAGACUACCCACAACACUAGCAUAUGGAACACGAGCCAUGUAAUCGCGCUCCUCUUGAGAUUUAGGACAUGAAGAAGAGCUUAAUUUGAAAUGAGGAGUUAGAAGUGUACAUACCAGUUUAGUUUUGUCAUCCAUACCGAAUCUUUUUAGCACUUUCUUCAAAUAAGACUUUUGAGUCAACCAUAUGCUCCCAUUCUUCUUGUCUCUAUGAAUUUCCAUCUCAAGUAUUAUAUGUGCAUCACCCAAGUCUUUCAUCUCGAACUCAGAAGCCAGCUGCUUCUUUAAUCUUUCGAUCUCAUCUCUAUUCUUCAAAACUAUAAGCAUAUCGUUGACAUAGAGUAACAAAUAGAUGAAAGCUCCAUCUAUUAGUCUUCUAAAGUAAACACAAUGAUCGUGUUCACUUUUGGUGAAUUUCUGCCCUUGUAUAAAUUAAUCAAAUCUUUUAUACUACUGCCUUGGCGAUUGCUUCAGUCCGUAUAAAGAUUUAAUCAACCUACACACAUGAUUCUCCUUUCCAGUAACUUUGAAACCACAAGGCUGAAUCAUAUAGAUUUCCUCCUUCAAAUCUUCAUGUAAGAACGCCGUCUUAACAUCCAACUGAGCCAACUCUAACUCAUAUUCUGCAACUAAGGCAAGUAGGAUACGAAUGGAAGUAUGUUUUACAACUGGAGAGAAAACUUCAUUAUAGUCAAUACUUUCCUUUUGAGCAAAACCUUUUGCCACGAGUCUUGCCUUGUAUCGAGGAGUUGAUUGAUUUGGAGAUCCUUGCUUUUUGGUGUAGACUCAUUUAUUGCCAAUAGUCCUUUUCCCUUUUGGUAACUUUACAAGUUCCCAAGUCUGGUUUUGAUGGAGAGAUUUCAUCUCUUCCUCCAUGACUAACUUCCACUGAUCACUUUCACUGCUGCGUAAUGCUUCACCGAAAGUGUUGGGGAUGUCAUCAUCAAUAACUGAAAGUGCAUAGACUACCACCAUAUCUUUAGUAAGCCAUCCGGGUUUCUUUAUCUCUCUUCUUGGUCUCCUUGUUACUAUAAAAUCAUCAUUAUCUACAGCAUCAAUUGUUUCUUCAUUUUGUGGGACAUCAGAAGAAAUAACAUAUUCUUCAACUCUAGGUAUCACCUCCAUAGUUGAACCCUUAUUUGAUGUAGAACUAACUGGUACAUAUGGAGUUGUAUCAAACUUCACCAGCUGCAAUACCUCUUUGGUUUUGUUUUCCAUUUGCUGAGAACUUGAAGUUUUCAUCAUUGAAACUUCAUCAAAUGUGACAUCUCUGCUACACACAAACUUUUUGUCUUUGAGAUCCCAAAACUUAAAGCCAUUUACUCUACCUUUGUAUCCCACAAAAAUAGCUUUUCUAGCACGAGGAUCCAGUUUACCAUCUUUGACAUAAUAAUAAGCUAGACACCCGAAUAUACGAAGGGAAUUAUAGUCUUGUGCAUGCUUUCCAGACCACAUUUCUAUAGGAGUUUUACCUCCAAUUAUAGCAUAAGGCAACUAGUUUACCAAGUGACUUACGUAGUUCACAGUUUCAGCCCAAAACUUUUUAUCUAAACCAGUAUUAGAUAACAUACACCGUACUUUCUCCAGUAAAGUACGAUUCAUACGCUCAGCUACACCGUUCUAUUGCGGAGUAUGUCUCACUGUGAAAUGUCUUUUAAUACCGUCGUUCUGGCAUACUUACAAGAAUGGAUCAGAAGUAUAUUCACCCCCAUUAUCAGGUCGUAAUACUUUGAUUUUUCUGUCAGUUUAAGUCUCCACCAAUUUCUUCCAUUUCACGAAAAUCUCUAGAACCUCAACCUUUGCUCGCAUGGUGUACACCCACACACGUCUAGAGAAAUCAUCAACAAAUGUAACAAAAUAAUGGCUUCCACCAAUUGAUGUAGUCUUGGUUGGUCCCCAUACAUCACUAUGAACAUAUUCAAGGAUUUCACGAGUAUCGUGAUUAGCUGUACCAAACUUGACCCUUGUUUUCUUGCCUACUACACAAUGCUCACAGAAAUUUAAUUUAUAGGUUUUGGUACCUUUUAAGAGUUCGUGCCUCAUCAGAGUUUGCAAAGACUUUUUGCUAGCAUGUCCUAGUCGUACAUGCCAUAGCUUGGUGGUGUCACUAUGCGCCUCAAUAAUAUUUGCUUCAUCAGUUGUACCUCCCUUCAAAUAGUACAGAUUGUGACGCCGAACCCCUUGUAGAAUCACCAUAGCCCCAUGUGUAAACUUCAUUAUACUAUUUUCAAUGGUAGCCUUGUAGCCUUUAGCUUCUAGAGCACCCACAGAAAUUAGAUUUUUCUUUAAAACUAGAACAAAUCUAACCUCUUUGAGUUCUCUGACCAUUCCAUUAAACAUUUUGAGCCGAAUUGUUCUUAUCCCCAUUGUGCGACAAUGUUGAUCAUUCCCUAUCACAACUGCACCGGAUUUUAGAUUACGAGUAUUCGUAAACUAUUCCUUAAUAGGACACAAAUGAUAGGUUGCUCCAGUAUCAAGUAUCCACUUACUCGAACUAGCCACGUAUGCUGCAAGAGUAAUACUUAGUGAAUAAUCAGAAUCUUCAUCUUUCGUGCCAUGUUUGCUGCUGUUGGUUUUUUCCCAUCUCUGUUUUGAGCUUUUAGACAAUCUUUCCUCCUAUGAACCUUUUCAUGACAAAAGGCACACUCGUCUCGAGCUAUAUCUCUGCUUCUCGAUUUGGAUCGAGAAUUCUUUCCACCACCCUUUUUCUUUUUCUCCAUCGCCCAAUCUUUACUCACCAAAACUUCAGACGAUACUCGUUCAGAAUUUUUAUUAUUAUUCUGAAUCUCCAAGUUAGUCAAUGCUGUGCAAACAUCUUUGAAGAUGAUCACGCUUUUCCCAUAUAUCAAGGUAGUCACAAAAUGGCUAUCUUCCUCUGGUAGUGAGUGUAACAGAAUCAUAGCCUUGACUUCAUCCUUAAUAUCUUCAUCAAGAUUCUUCAAAUCAGCAAGUAACUUUUCAAAUCUCGAGACAUGAUCGUGCAUUGAUACCCCAGGCUUCAUUCGAAAGCCAUAUACUUGGCUCAUUGCAUGAAGACGAUUUUCAGGACUUUUCAGCCUAUACUUCUUCUCUAAUGUAUGCCACAAAGUCACCGCACACUCCUCAACUUUCACCAAGUAUUUUACCUCCUUGGUCAAAUAAGAUCUGACCUGACCACAAACUUUCUCGUUCAUACGAUCUCAAAUUUCUUCAUCAUACAAGUGUAUUUUAUUUUUCAAAACAAUAUCGAGAUCGAUUUGAAUAAGGGCAUCCAUAACUUCGCGCAUCCACAUGCCGAAAUUGAUUUUCCCAUCAAACUUUUCAACAUCGAUCUUCUGGCCUCCUAUAACAGGUGCUGAAUAGCGAUUUUACAAGUCUCGUCUCCCACUUGAAGUGUCUUCUAAAAUAGUCUCGAUAGAUCUCUCCUUAAUUCUGGAAGUUUCACCUUAUACCAUUUUCUCAACGAACUAUUUCCACUUGAAAAACAGCCUCUAUGAUGUUAAUUUCGCGUGAAUAAAUGUCCCAGGAAAGUUCCCUAAAGACUAGACGGGAACUCGGUCCUAAUUAAAAAUCGGAAUCCUUAGACUCUUAUCGCCUUUGUUGACAGAACUUUCAUAGACAUGUAAAAAUACACACUACUUACAAUAGACUGUCUCCCAAGUACAAAUGGCCGCCUCCACCGUAUUCGUGAAUAGUACUGUAUAUGUGAACAAUACAGUAUACUGGAAUAGUACUGUAUAUGUGAAUAGUACUGUAUCCCCCCAAGUACGAACCGUCGGCUCUGAUACCAGUUGUUGAGUGCGGAAUGCGGAAUCAAGCGCACCAAAUAAUUAUAGAAAAAUAAUGGGCACAAAAUUUACAUGGUUCGGUAAUUAAACCUAUAUUCACCGGAGCAAGAGAAAAAUAAUUGUAUUAUUAAUAAUUAUUUGAGUACCAAUUUGAGUAAAAAAAUCUUAUUUUUCCAGAACCCAAAUACACCAAGUACUCUCACACACACUCUUGGUAGUGUGUCUUUUAUGGGCACGAUCUGACUAGAAAAGAUACCGACCAGAAGUUCAUACUGACCAGGUACUUGUCACUCAAAGAGAGGACGUGAUCUCACAAACACGCGACAAUUUCACCACGCCCCAAACCGCUGGGAAAACACGACGCCCCACGAUUACCCACGUUCGGUUGUUGAAGACCCAUUAAGGCCCUUAACCACCCAAAUAUGACGAGCAUGGAAAAUACCCUGAAAAAGUGGGAUGAUUGCCUAUAAAAAGCGGAGAAAUCAAUGAAGAGGGGGAGAGACAAAAAGAGAGAGAGGGGAAACUCUGUCAAAUUGACUCCAGGCAUUGUUACAUAGCCACCUUAAAUACAUUUUAUCUUAAGAACAUCGCAAUGAAUGUGUGUGAGCAUAAAUCAUAUAGUUUUCCCGUAAAUUCCAUUUCCUGACUUAAGUAUCGGAGGGUUUAUGCCGGAAAAACCAUCAGCGUCUCUGAUUUGUUUUUGUGAAUGCAGGUUUAGAAAGAAAAGGGAGAGUGAUUCGGUUCCCAGGAGCUCGGGCAAUUACUAUAGCUGGUGGAGCGCAACCUCUUCUUCAUUGUCAACACACUUGUUGAUGAUCCCAUCUGGUCGGGCAAAAGGCGACUAGAUUUCAGCAUCAACAGUACGUUCAGACAAAACACCUACUCCUGUUUUAGAAACGGCCUCCUCUAUUUUACUGUUUGGUGAUUGCAAAAAUUUGUCUAAAUAAUGCAUAGUUGUAGAGUUAAGAAAAAAAGUUAUGUUAAAAUAAAGAAGCAUCAGAGAUCCCCCGAUAUUAUUAUCAUCCAGAACAAUAUGUUUAUUGGGCCAAAGUGGGCUAACAUACAUGGGUUCAAGCUUGCAAAAUCCACAUUUAUGUAUAAUUAUAUAGUAAUUAAAUACUGAAUUUGAACUCAUACAACUAUUCAAUCAUUUGGAUUUCAAAUCUGUGUUCAUUGAACUAAAUACUGUCAUGUAUUCGAGUGAACAGAUAAAGAAUUCACAAUCUGUUCUCAAUUUUGACUUCAUAAUAUUCCAGCUAUGGUCGCAUUUCUAUUACUGUAUGGUAAAUAUGACUUUUAAAUAAUUUUUUUGACAAAAUUAGUCAAGGUGCCAUAUGUGUAUCAAAUAAUAGUUGAUAAAAUCAUCUUAUAUUUUGAACUACAGAAGUAAGUAUUCAUCAAACACUUUAUAAUUGUCAGUCAAUGUUUAUGUGAACGUGACCGAAAAUGGUUACUAAGUGCAUGUUUGGGAGUUAGGAUUAAGUAUGGGAUUAGAAUAACUUUGGUAUUAAAUAUUUUAUCCCAUGUUUGGCUACUUUGCUUGGAUUGGAUUAAGGAGGACUAAAUUUAAAUUUAGGGCUUAAAUCAUGGGAUUAACAAUCGCAAUUUAUAAGUGGAUUUAGAUGGGAUUAGAAUAAGAGAAAAAAAUUUUGUUCAUGUUUCUUUCAUAAAUAACACUAUUUUUUAUUUGAAACCUAAAAUUUAAUUACUUAAUUUAUUAUUUUAUUCAUGAUUUACAUGAAUUUAUUUUUUAUUUUAUUUUUAUAGUCUAAUUACAUUGGUACUUUACUCCAACAAAAUUAACUAUUUAAUAAUUUGUUACAAUAAUUGAUUGUAUUAAAUUCAAUAAUCAACUAUGUAAUAUUAAAAAUAAUCAUAGAAAUUAAUAAUACAAAUAAAUAAUUGAUUUUGUAUAUACAUUAUUUGCUAACUUUUUGAUAAAAUAAAAUAUAUCUAAAAUAUCCGAUAAAAAUUAAUUAAAUAAUUAAAUAGUUUUAUUAAUUUAUAUUUGUUUAUUAUGAAUAUGACUACCCAAUAACUAAUUUACUACAUAUUUAAUGCUAUUGUUAAUUAUCUUUAAAUUAAUUUUAAUUAUUACUUUUAAAUAUUCUUAACUUUUUUUUUGUAUUUAAAUAUGAUUUAACAUUGUCUAAUUCGAUAUUGUACCAAACAUAGUACAAUAUAUAAUAUAAUCUAGCUUAAUCUAAUCUAACUUAAUCCAGUCCAAUCUUAAAAAUUAGCCCAAUUCAAUUCUACGUGUCAAGCACAACCUAAGAGUUCCUAGUGUUAAAAAUUUAACAUACCCACGAUCCAUUAAUGGGAUAAUUUAUUUUAUAAUAAUCAAAUUGAAGAUCAAUUUGUACGAUGAUGAGCUUUCAUGUUUCUGUCAAACAUGAAAUAAUUUUGUAAACAAUGGCCACGUGGAACUUAUAACCAAUCAUCAUUUGUUGAUAGACAAGUGAAAUAACAAAAAAGCAGCGGGUUUGGGCUUUCUCCAGGAAUCGGCUUAACACAAACAAUGUGGGGUUUCUUGAUCUUCUUAAAGAUCAAGCAUAUACGUAUACAUGUUCUAUACCUAUCAAUCAUUCCCCUAUUCUUCGGUUUGGUGAUUGCAAAUAACAUUCUUUGCAUCUACUCUUUAUUUAUUUAUUUAUUUUUAACUCAUUAAUUCUUGUUCUUCUUAAAGCGUUUAGUAAAUAUAUCAUCACCGGGUCAAAUCCCUAACAUUAACGUACACAUAAUCUAUUAAUGAAAUUUAUUAUUUUAUCAUAAUCAAAUUGAAGAUUAGUUCAUGCAGUUUUCUAUGAUGAGGAGUAUUCACUUUUCUGUUAAAUACAAGAACGAUUCGUAAAUAAUGUCCAUUUGGAACUAGUAAUAACGAAGCAUCAUUUGUGGACCGAAUAAAUGAAAUAACAUUUUAGUUUCUCUCUAAAAUGUCAUUCUUCAUUCAAGCUUUUGCUGCAUCUUUUAUCAGGCAUCUUAUAAAGCUUUUCCCUACUAAUACUAAUAAACUUUGUAAAUCAAUAUUCUUUUCAAUUUCACAGGACACAAGUAAUGCAUAUUCAAGCACAACAGGUAUUUAUUCGUUAGAAACUCCAACUUAAUUAUUUCAUUGGAAAAUAUGAAACGCAGAGCCAUAAACUAGUGCUUUCUUCAAUUUAAUUGGGUUGAACAAACUUUUUAAUGUAUUUUCCCCAAUCCAUUUCUUUUAUCUCACUGCAUGCUUUAUUAAAGCUUUGUCUUUGUUCUUGAUUGAUGACCUUCAAAAUUAAAUCUUAAAAAUCGGGUAUAAAAGGGGUGCUUGAUUUAAGUCUUCUUCUUUUGCAAUUCAUUGUUAUUGCUCUUUUCAGCUUUUUACUCGCAAAACUUCUUACUCACAAAUUCCUCUGCAGUUAACCGUGAUCUUUUACUCAUUAAAAUUGUUCUUAUUAAUUCUUUUUUAUAGAGAGAGAGAGAGAGACUCAAAGAGAAUUAAAAAAAAAGUAAUUCUAAAUUUUUGCUUGUGCAUUGUGUGAUUUUUACCAUUUUUAAAGUUGGUGAUUUGUAUUGAAUAAAUAAAAUAAUAAAUAGAUUUAUGGACUACUCUUUUUUGUUAUAAUAAACAUCAGAGGUCCUUUCCUGAUGUUUCAUUCCAUAAGAAUAAAUUAUAAUUUUAUUGAUAUAGUAACGUCAAUAAUAGAAAUCCUAACAAACAUACAAACUUUAGAUUAUGGAUUAAAGCACUACAAGGUGAAUGGAUCACAACAAAUUAUUUAUACUACAAGGUGAAUGGAUCACAACAAAUUAUUCUGACGAAAGCAUAAACAAGAUGAUUGAAUCAAGAGACUAUUACAUGGGAAACCAAUCCAGAUGAAGCCUGUGAUAAAGAAUAGCCGUACGCCCAUUUACCUCUUUAGCUAAGCUGCCAUACUGAAGGAGGCAAUCCCACCCGCACAAAACAUGAAAAACGAUGUACACGUGGCAUGAACUUUGAGAAAGCUACAUAAAAAUGAUCUGAUGGCCAAGGGAUACAACAGUUGUACGACCAAAAAGGGUAGAAAUCCAUGUCUAGUACACUGCCCUCUUCAAUACCUCUAAAUACUGAGUCAAAUUGAUAUGAAUUUCAUGGAUGAAACUAUGCAACAAUCGAUAAACCUUGCUGGCCAUUAUAAGCCUAUGCACACAGAUUAUAGAACGAUGCAGCGAUGCAAACCAAGAAUUACUAGGGUAUAGACAGUAAGAUUAAAUAGAAUAAUUUGACUACAUUACAAGCAAACUGUCACGGACCGCAAUCGUGGCACCCAAGAUAUGCGCUUGUACGCUAGUGUCGAUGAUGGUUGUUGAUGCUGAAAUCUGCUCGCCUUUUGACCGACCAGAUUCUUUCACCAACGUUUGUGUUAUCUACUGUUGCUCGUUCACUGGGAUUGGAUUCGUCCUCCUUUCUCUCAAUAGACCUGCGCUCACUAAAAACGGAUCAGAGACGCCGGUGGUUUUGCCGGCGUAAACCCUCCGAUGUCUAAGUUAGCUCAAGGUGUUUACGGGAAAACAGUGCAAUUUAGAUCUCAAAACGGUUUCUAAAUUAUUCGGAGUUUAUAAGAAAAUGGCCUGAUUGUAAUUUGGCAGCGUUUUCCCUCUCUCAAUUUUUUCUAUCCCCAUCUUCAUCGAUUUCUUCCUCUUUUAUAGCCGUUGUCCCCACGUUCCCAUUUGCCUUUCACCCUACCUUUUUCGGGUAGUGGCAGCCUCUCAUGGAACUCUAACCGCUGCAUUACGGGCAAACGUGGGAUCUCGCAUCCUCCGCAACGGUUCUGGGAACAGCGCAACUACCGCGAUUCUGUGGGAUCUGUUCCCGCUUUUUGGGGGACGGGUACCGGCUCGGUAUAUACCUCUGGUCGGUAUAUUUCCCUGGUUGGUAAUCGCCUCUGGUCGGUUCAUGCUUGUCCCCGUGUUCUGCUCGCACCAUUUGGCUAAGAUGAUCCAUGCCGGGGUGGAGAUUAGUAGCAUGGCCGACCUGGUGCUUUUAUUUACUUAACAAUGGUUGUGCUGAUUGUUGGAGACGUGCUUCAGGGGCGUGCGUGUUGGGAAUACAAUGCCCUAGACUCUUUGGAGUUCAGGCAGGCCGACCCGGUUGAGUUUGGGGAGCUUGUCGCUAGUCAAGGACUUAACGCUGAAGAGGGGUCUAGGAAAAUCCUGACGCACACUGGUUGGGAAUUGAAGCCGUUCUCCUGAUGAGCCCAAGGCAGGGCGAAACCAGUUGACAUUGUGUCACUUCCUCUAGGCUUACUCUCGUAGUAUGGGAUGCGGGAGUGCCGCACGGGCUCGAAACCUCUCGUCCCGUGACAAAUGGUAUCAGAGCCGCGCUUGUCAUCUCUCGAAGCCCUCGUCGCGAGCUCGCCAAGCGCUCCAAUGCCGCACCACGCGGGUCCCCACCCUUUCAGAUACAAGAGUUGACAAGCGGGACGAACAGGCGGGUUCUCACACCCCCAAGCGUUCGCACCAAGUGGAUGGUGUCUCCAUGCGGGUCCUCUCCAUGGAUUGAGGACGUGCAUGUAGGCAGGGAGUUCAUGGGUUGAGUUUGGCAAGUCGAUCUUCACAUUUUUGCGUGGAAGUGCACACUUGCGAGGCGUACUCCUCAUGCACGAGGACGUGCAUGGUUAUGGCGGUGGGAGAAUGUCACGGACCGCAAUCGUGGCACCUAAGAUAUGCGCUUGUACGCUAGUGUCGAUGAUGGUUGUGCUGAUUGUUGGAGACGUGCUUCAGGGGCAUGCGUGUUGGGAAUACAAUGCCCUAAACUCUUUGGAGUUCAGGCAGGCCGACCCGAUUGAGUUUGGGGAGCUUGUCGCUAGUCAAGGACUUAACGCUGAAGAGGGGUCUAGGAAAAUCCUGACGCACACUGGUUGGGAACUGAAGCCGUUCUCCUGAUGAGCCCAAGGCAGAGCGAAACCAGUCGACAUUGUGCCACUUCCUCUAGGCUUACUCUCGUAGUAUGGGAUGCGGGAGUGCCGCACGGGCUCGAAACCUCUCGUCCCGUGACAAAACGCUGCCUACAGACUUGUUAUAAUCUAAUCAGUAAACCUAUUCGACUUGCUAGGAAAAAAAUAGGGCUUUUUUGUUUUCAUUCCCCUUUGGUGAUUGCAAAAAUUUAAAUCUAAAUUUAUGGUGCAGGCUACAUGGCACCUAGUGGAUGAUUGUUAGGGUUUGUCUUUUGCUCUUAGUUAGGAAUUUAAUUAAGAAUUUAUAGUGUGCGCCUUAUCGAAGUAGGUUUCCUAAUAGUAAUUAAAUAAUCCAAAUUUAUGAUGCAUUAGCAUAUGAUUGUGAUAAAUAAGCUUUUUAUGUAUCCUGUAAGGCUAAUUACUGUUUUAUUAGAUUCUCUUGUUAGUCUUGUGAAUCAACGAGAUUUAAUUAGUAGUAGAUAAUACUUUAGGCUUCACAGGCGCACUAUUUUAUCCGCUAAAUCAAUUUUUUUUUUAAAUUAAAAACAAUUCAUCAAACACUUUAUAGUUCUAACUUUUAAGCUGGUAAACACUUUAAGCCACAACUUUAAAUUCAGUUUACGAGAAUUCCUAAUAGUCACAGUGGCUUGGGUGGAAAUGAAUAUAAAUAAUGAAAUACUAUCUAAGCAACUCAAGGGCGGUGAAUUGAGUUUCUAAAAAUUUUGUAAAACUUAAUUCAAAUAUGAAACGAAUUAAAACAACAGUAAGUAAAUCAACCAAAAUAUAAAAAGAUAGGGGAAGAGAGAUUCAAACACAGAGAUUUUUAUGUGGUUCGGCCAACCUCGCCUACAUCCACGCCUCCAAGCACACCGAGCUUGAGGAUUCCACUAGUCAUGCCUUUAAGGCUUCAAGAACACCUACAAUUGACUUCAAAGAUGUCAAUCAACCUUUACACCAAGAAAUUAUCCUCAAUCUCUUAACCCAAGUGUAUCCUAACACUUACAAUUUCUCAAUUUGAUUUAAAAAUAAAUACAAAAUAAAUCUCUCUCACACAAUGUGUUUGAUUACAAAUGAAAUUCUAAAGUGUGAAUAAAUGAGAUGUAUACAAGAAUUUAAAACUCAAUGAAAGUUGUAUGCUCAAUAAUUUGCUCAAUGAUAAUGGUUGGAAUCGUUGUUAUUUGAAUUUGAUUGAACUUAUUUAUAGUUGGAGCUGAAAUAUAGUCGUUAUUGACUUUUUGCUCAAUGUUGGAUUGCCGUUUUGACUAUGAGCAAGUUACCGUCGGACAAAAUUUUAAAUUCUCGGACCGUCGAUUUCAAGAUGUCGAAUCGCCGUUAAUGUCCAGAGGCUGCUCUUCAAUUCUGUUCAAUGUCGGCUAGCCGUUAUCAAGAGAUCGGUUAGCCAUUUGCUACAAUGACUGCUACAGUGAACUAUUUCUAAAAUUAUAAUUUGGCCCCAAAACUUUAUAAAAUUUACUAUGACCGAUAACUUUAUAAAAUUUUGUCAAAUAAGUCCAUUUCCAAAAUUUUAAGCAAUAUUUGCUAAUUUCAAAGUUCUCAAAACUUUUUCAAUUUAAAUCAUUAACAUGAAAAUAACUAAUAUCAUAAAAUUACUUUUCAUUGAAUAUAAAGCCUUAAUAUGAAAAAAAAAUAAUUUGAGCUUUUAAAUCAAGCUUAACCAAGUUUGUUAUCAUCAAAAUCAAUAUUAAAGAAAUAUUUAUGUUGACAAAUAAUGUUUAAUUUUAAUGUACAAAGCACUGGUGCAUUUAGAAGGUACUACUGUGUAAACAAAAUUUGUGCUUGCAACUCAUCUUUUCAUUCAACUUUCUAAUAAUAAUAAAAUAAUACAGAGGAGAAAUAGGGGCUCUCUUUCCGUUUCCCAGUGUUUGUGUUUGGUGAUUUUAACUUUAUCAUGGAAUUGUCAAUUUUUAGUUGAAAGUUAUCUAAAUCUUCUUCUCUAUAUAAGCGUUUACAAUGAUUUUGUGAAACACAGCAAAAACAAUAAUAAUAAGUAUAUUUAUUCAUCUAAGAGGUCAAACUCUCAUGCUCAGAUAUGGAUAGUCCCAUUUUUUGAUCAGGGACAUCUCUUUACAAGCGUUGAAUUAUGCAAGCAAAUCGCUCCUCAAAAUUACCAAUCUACCCUCAUCGUUACCUCUCAAGUACCCAUAACUAUAGUUACCCAUUACUCUCUUCGCCAAGGCACACAGAUUAAAGAAUGCUUAGGGUGAAGGCAGUAACUGUCCUGAAAUAUGACUUUUAAAUUUUUAUUUUUUUUUUACGAAAUUAGUUAAAAUGCCAUAUGUGUGAUCAAAGUUGUUAAAUAUCUUAUCUUUCAAAUUAUAGGAGUAAAUAUUCACCAAACACUUUAUAAUUUUUAGUCAAUGUUUAUGAAAACACGGCCGCAAAAUGGUUACUAAUGCUAGGGAUCAAUAAUCAAACUGAAGUUUGUACGAUGAUGGGCUUUCGUGUUUCAGUCAAAGAUGAAAUAAUUUGUCAAUAGUGGCCAUGUGGAACUUAAAACCAAGCAUCAAUUGUUGACAUAACAAAUGAAAUAACAAAAUGGCAGCGGGGUUGGCGAUACAAAAUCAAAUCUUUUUUAUUCUUUUGAUUUUUGAUUUUUUCUAUUGCAUUCUGCUUUCUUAAAAGUUUGGUCCAAUUAAAGAGAAUACGGAGCAAUGACUUGUAUCAUCUGUGGAAUAAUCCAUAGAAAUAUAUAUGUGAAGCACGCCAAAGAAAAUGGCGCUGAUGACAUACUCCUAAGAAUUGUUCAUACUGAGUCAUCCAUCAAUCAACGGGUGGAUUAUUAUCUCACUGUAGAUGAAAUUCAACUGCAGAAGUAAUCGGAUGUGGGAUCCCAAUUUUGGCGUGACCAAUUAGAGGUUAUCAAUAUUAUAAUGCGAAAUUGAUGAUCAAUCAUCUUAAUGUGGGGUACAUGAUUUCUGAUGAUCCAUCAAAAAUACAAAGUUGAUUCAAAAGGAUGAUACGGUGAGUGGAACAGACAGGCUGAUGGGAAAUCAAGCUAUUAAAAAACGAGCUCACAUGCUUCAUAUUGCAUUUGAUCAUGGCUGUCCUAGAAGUUCAGUGGCUGCUUCGGAUGCUUUCAAAGUUCUUAUUAACCAGAAAGCAGUUUAACAAAAACAAGUAUUGUGCAUAUUAUUAACCAUAUGCUUUCAAAGAUCAUGUAUAAGCAUAUCAGAGAUCUUGUUGGCUUGAAGAUCUUCUUUGGAUGCUUUCAAUACCUACACUUAUACUACCAUAUGUAAAGCCUUUGUUACUGAUUGCAUUCAAUUAUUCAAUUAAAAGUCUUACAAAGCAUCUAAAAUGGAAGAUGGAACAUCCUCCAUCCAAAAAACAAAACGGAAGUCAAAACGUUGAUAUUGUUUUAUGUUUAAUAUCAUGAUACUAGAACUUUUUAGGCUAAAGCACCUACCUGCUGUGAGCUUUACUACAAAAAAAUGAGACUAUUUAGUUGUGAGACAAAUAGAGAGGGAAAGUUUUUACCAUUUAGCUAAAUUUCGAUCUUAUGCAAAAUAAUAUAAUUCAUUUGUUAUUAUGACCUAACCAACUCAAAACAAAAAGGAUUAUUAUGGCCUAACACAGUUCAAAAUGCAUGCAACAAUGGUGUAUUUAAAAUGGAACUAAUGUACAAAUAAAAUUUAUGCAUCUCUUGGAGGAAGGCCUUUAGGCCAACAAAUGAAAAUAGUGAGCUCGCAUUUUCUAUUAUCAUUUUCACCACUUGAAAAAGAGAGGGAAAAAAAUUGAGAGGAAAAACAGGGCUCCCCUGUUUUCAUUUCCCAUUUUUUCAGUUUGGUAAUUGUAAAUAACAUUCUUUACUUCCCUCUUUAUUUUAUUUUUUUUUUAUUUUUAACUCAUUAAUUCUUUUUCUUAUUCUUGCUAAAGCGUUUAGUAAAUCUUAUGAUCAUCUGAUCAAAUCCCUAACAUUAACAUACCCAUAAUCUAUUAAUGAAAUUUAUUUAUUUUAUAAUCAUCAAAUUGAAGAUUUGUUCAAUUUUGUAUGGCGACCAAUUUUCAUUUUUCUAUUAAACAUAAGAAGAAUUUGUACAUAAUGUUCAGGUCGAAACUCGUAAUAACGACGCAUCAUUUUUCGACAGAACAAAUGAAAUAACAAAAAAGUAUAAAUCAAGUCAUUAUUGAUCCUACUUUGAUGAUCGAACUUUGGUUUCUUUCUAAGAUGCCAUUCCUCAUUCAAGCUCUUGCUUUUCUCUUUUAUCCGACAUCUUACAAAGCCUUGUCCCUACUAAUAAGCUCUGCAUAUCAAUAUUCUUUUCAAUUUCGCAGGAUACAAGUAAUGUAUAUGCCAAAAUUAUUCAAGCACAACAGGUAUUUAUUCGUUGAAAACUUUUAACUUGAUUAUUUCGUUAGAACAUAUGAAACGUAGAGCUAUAACUUAGUGCUCUCUUCAAAUUAACUGGGUUGAACAAAAAAUUUUAAAGUAUUUUACCCGAUCCAUUUCUUGUAUCUCACUGCAUGCUUUGUUAAAAGCUUCGUCUUUUGGUCUUGAUUCUGAACUUCAAAAAUUAAAUCUUAAGACUCGGGUAUAAAAUGGGUGCAUGAUUAAGUCUUCUUCUUUUCCAAUUCAUUGCUAUAACUCACACCAACAUUUUACUCAGACAUUCCUCUGCAGUUAACAGUGGUCUUUUACUCAUUAAAAUUUUUCUUAAUAAUUUCUUUGGAUACCCGUUCUCACUUAAUAUUCAAGGCGAAUAGAGAAGCUCAUCAACUCUUUGAUCCCAGACAAUUAAAGAAGUACACAUGUUCUAAAUCAUCUAAUAAUUUCUUUUAAUAGCUGUUCUUAAUUUCCAUCUACUUUGCAAGAAAAAAUUUAUCUUGUUUGUUUUCAUCUUGUCAUCUAUUUUGCUUGAGUUUUAAGUUAUUGUUCAUUUGUAAUGUCUGUGUUCUUAUUAUUAGCUUUGGAUAAUUUGCAUCCAUGUCUUUUCUUUGUUUGUGGGCUUUUAUUCAGACCCCCUGAAACCUUUCUGUUAAUAUAAAAACUCUAAUCCUUGAGCAAAAGGUUAAAAAAAGAAAAAGAAAGAAUUCUCUGUUUAGAUAUCAGUUGGGUUAAGAACAAUGUUGUUUGUCUCCUGUCUUUUCUUUGUUUGUUUGUUUGUUUAUUUUGUCAUUUUAUUAGAUUUGCUUUGUAUCUAAUUUUACUUGAAGAUUAAAGCUGAGCGAGAAAUGCCUUUUUUUUUUUUCUGAAGCAACCUACAAAUUUUAGAAUAGGGCCAAGAGUAUUAAAGAUUCAAUUAACCGCAAAAAGUUAUUUACAUGCAUCGCUUGCAAACUUAAGCUUAUCAUCCCAAAUUGAGUUGCUUGCAUUAGAAAUUUUCAUGCAUUCACGAGCAUUAUCAUCAUAUCACAAGAUAGCCUGAAAAACAAGAUAAAUCAAUUUGAGCAACAAGUUUCCUCUGUUUUCGUUCCUCUGUUUUCAUUCCCUGUUUAUUGAUAUUUUUUUUUUUUUUUGGCCUGAAAUUAAGAAGAAAAAAGUGGUAAAACAAGUCACCACUGUUUUUAUUCCCCUGUUUUUCGUGGAAAGAAUAAAUGAAAUUGAAAAAAAAAAAAGCAGCGUUGGCAAUACAACAUGAAACUUUAAAUUUUUAUUUUAUUUUUAUUUUUGAUUUUGAAUGUGCAUAAGUCAAAUCAUAUAUUAUUGAUCUUACUUCGAUUAUUUGCUGUUUAGUUUCUCUCUUAAAUGCUUUUUGUUUGUUUCCGGUAUUUGCUUUUAUAAAAGUUUUAGUCCUCAAUCAUUCGUUCAAGGAUUUGCUUUCUCUUUUAUUAGGCAUUUACAUUGCUCUGUCGAUCAAUAUUCAUUUGAAUUUCACAGUACACAAGCAAUGUAUAUACCAAAACUUAAUUAUUUCUUUAGAAUAUAUGAAAACGUAAGAGUUGUGAACUACUGCUUUCUUCUUCAACAUGCGUCAACAGGGCAACAAUAACCAAAUACAUGAUAUACAAAAGCGGUGCAUGACUAAUUCUUUUUCUUUUGCAGGUCAUUGUUAUUGCUCUCGUCAACUUCUUUUCUCACACAUUUCCCAGCAGUUACCAGUGAUCUUUUUUCUCCUUCAACUUGUUCUUACAUAUUAAAGGCGAAAUAGAAAAGCUCACCAACUCUCUAAUCCCAGAUAAUUAAAGAGGUGCACGUUUUCUAAAUCCUUUAACUUUUUUUUUUUUUUUUUUUAUAGUAGAACCCCUGAUCCUUGAUCUUGACAUUUGUUCCUUCAUAAUUUCCAUCUACUUUCCAAGAAAAAUUUCUCUGGUUUGUUUUAAUAUUAUAACUUAUUUUGCAUGAGUUUUAAGUUACUAUUCAUUGUUAAAGCUUGUGCUCUUAUUAUUUCCUUUGGUUAACUUGCAUGCUUUUCCCCAAAAAAAAGAAAAAAGUUUAUAAAAAGAUUAUAGGUUUUUACUCAGACCCUUGAAACCUUUCUGAUAAUACCAAAAACACUAAUCCUUUAACAAAAGAAAGCAAGAAAAAAAAAGGUCCUAUAUUUUAAUAUCUGUUGGCUUUGUAUUGAUAUUGCUUGUUUGUUGUCUUUUAUUUCAUUGUUUGUAUCUAAGUUUACUUGAAGAUUAAAGAUCAGUAGGAAAAGCCCUUUUUAUAAAGCUAACAUACACAUUUUAGAAUAGGGCUCAACCGCAUGAAAAUAUUUACAUUGUAGUAUCUCAUAUUAAUAAUCUAAAAAAAACCAAUCCAACAAGUUCAAAUUCACUGAAAUCUAAAAAAGAUUGCUUUUAAGGAGUACAUGAUAGCUAUUGAAUUUUGGUUAAAGAUCUUUUAGGCAGAAUUGAAAUUCACUCAGUCAUAAAUCAACCAAUCCAACGAGUUCAAGUGCAGAGUCAAUUGAACAAAUUCAUCACUUGCAGAAUUAAGCUUAUCUUCCGCAAUUGAGUUGUUUCCAUUAGAAAUUUUCCCGCAGUCACGAGACUAUCAUCAGAACAUGAUUAUUUAUAUAAGAACAAGAGUUAAGAGGAGAAAAAUAAGGCAAAACAAGAUUCUUCUGUUUUCAUUCCCUUUUUUUUUUUUUUGUUUGGUGGUUGAAAAAUUUUAUCUCUAAAUUUUUAUAAUUUUUCGUUAAAGUUUAUAUUUAAAUAAAGGGUUAAAAAAAUCUAGUUCUAAAUUUAUGCAUUGAAUGAUUAUUAUUAUUGGUUACGAUAUCAAUUAAAUAACAAAUAGAGCUACUAAUCACUUUGUUAAAAAUGAACAUGCGUUCUGUUUAUAUGACAGAGCAAAACACGGGGUGCACGCUUAAGUCUUGUUCUUUUACAGUUCAAUUGUAUUACUUACUCUCAUAAACUCUUUACUCACAUUCCUCUGCAGUUAACCGUGAUCUUUUGCUCAUUAAAAUUUUUCUUAUAUAUUCAAUGCCAAUAGUGAAGCUCAUAAACUCUGUGAUCCUGAAUAAUAAAAGAGGUGAACUUGUUCUAAAUGAUAGCUAUUCAACUUGGUUAAAGAUCUUUUAGAAAGAGUUCAAAUUCAGUCAAUCAUAACUCAACCUAUCCAACAACUCCAAGUCUAGAGUCGAUUGAGCAAGAUUCAUCACAUGCAAAAUUAAGCUUAUCAUACCCAAAUUGAGUUGUUUCGGUUAGAAAUUUUCCAGCAGCCAUAAGCAUCAUCAUUGUGUUUCCGUUAGGAAAUUGAGUUGCUUAUCAUACCCAAAAUAUUUAUAUAAGGACAAGAGUUAAGGAAAAGAUCCCUCAAGGAAAAGGUCCCUCUGUUUUCAUUCCCCUGUUCUUUCGUUUAGUGAUUGAAAAAUUUUAUAUCUAAAUUUUAUUAUUUUCCAUUGAGGUUCAUUUAAAACAGAAAAGAAUUAAAAAUGUAAUUCUAAAUUUACCCUAAUUCACGGAGUGAUUAUUAUUAUGUUAUCUCAAAAUUGGCCAUACGAAUUAAAUGACUAAUAGAGUUAUUGACAAUUUUGUUAAAAAUGAACAACCGAUAAGUCAUUAUCUUUUGCACUUCAUUCUUAUUACUCUCAUAAACAUUUUAAUCACAUUUCUCUGUAGUUAACAAUGAUCUUUACCCAUUAAAAUUGUUCUUACAUAUUCAUGGCAAAUGAAGAAGCUCAUCAACUCUGUGAUCCCAGAUUAUUAAAGAGGUGCACAUGUUCUAAACCCUUUAAUAGUUUCUUUUGAUACCAUAAUCUAAUCCUUGAUCUUGAUAAUAGUGCUUUCGCAACAUCCAAGUAAAAAUUUCUCUUGUUUGUCUUAAUCUUGUCAUUUAGGUUUCUCGACUUUUAAUUUAUUAUUCAUUGUUGACUUCUGUGUUCUUAAUAUUAGCAUUCGUUAACUUACUUAAAUCCAUCCUUUUCAACAGCCAGAAAAAUAUAUAUUGUUAAGCAACAGGAGAUGGCAGAAGUAUGUCUUGCUAUUUUUUCCUGCGUAUCAGAAGGUACAAAGACAUUGUCUGAACCGAUUAUAGGGCAGAUGUCUUAUGUGCUCAAGUGCCAGAGCUACAUAGAUGGGCUAAAAGACCGAGUAGAGGAGCUGGGACAAAGAAGAAAAAGGGUGGAAAUACUGGUUGAUCAGGCUCCUGGACAAGGAUAUAAGAUUUUUGGGGAUGUCACAGAGUGGCUAGGGAAAGUUGAGCAAUUCACUCAAGGGUAUGCAAAACACAUCAUUAAUGAUGAAGAUGAAGUUAGGAAGCCCUGCUUUAAAGGAUUGUCCCCAAAUUUGAUGUCUCGUUAUAAACUCAGUAAACGAGCAGUGAAGGCUGCAAAAUAUGCUGAAACUCUCUUGGCAACAGGCAACUUAUGGAUCAUGAGUAAUGUUUCCCACCCUCCUUCCCCAAAGAUGAGAGAAUUUGGCAACAUGAAAGAUUACGAUAUCUUUAAUUCGAGAAAGAAAAUAUUUCAAGAUGUUAUAGAGGCGUUGAAAGAUGAUAAGCUCAACAUAAUUGGGGUCUGCGGAAUGGGCGGCGUGGGUAAAACCACGCUAGUCAAGCAAAUUGCAAAGCAAGUUAUGGAAGAUAACGUGUUCGAUAAGGUCGUUAUGGCUGAGAUAACAAAGAACCCAGAUGCUCAAAAAAUUCAAGGAGAACUCGCUUCCGAUCUAGGCAUGAACUUUGACUCGAAUGAUCACAUAUACCACAGAGCAAAACAACUAUGUCAAAGAUUGAAGAAAGAGAAGCGAGUCCUCAUUAUAUUAGAUAAUAUUUGGACAAAACUUGAGUUGGACAAAAUUGGAAUUCCUUAUGGGGAUGUUGAUGAGAAAGAUAAAAAUGAUGAUCCGAGAAGAUGACGAUAAUAUUGACGUCUAGAAGUCGAGAUUUAUUGUGCAUUGAUAUGAAUUCUCAGAAAAUGUUCUGGAUCGAUGCUUUAUCAAAAGAAGAAGCAUUGCAGUUAUUUGAGAAGAUAGUGGGUGAUUCCACAAAAGCAUCUGAUUUUCGACCUUUAGCAGAAGAGAUUGUUGGAAAAUGCGGAGGAUUGCCUGUUGCACUGAGUACAGUUGCAAAUGCUCUGAAAAAUAAGAGUCUUGCCAUUUGGAAGGAUGCGUUGAAUAAGCUGACAAGUUCCAAUCUAAGAGAAAUUCAUGGUAUGGAUGCAGAUGUGUAUUCUUCUAUAAAAUUGAGUUACGACUUCUUGGAUGAUGAAGCAAAAUCUUUGUUCCUUCUUUGUGGUCUGCAC
This 215115-nucleotide long non-coding RNA is filed under the name Citrus maxima (pomelo). RNAcentral describes it as "long non-coding RNA (CMAX_LNC001424)". The stretch from base 49951 to 50057 matches the Rfam family "Plant small nucleolar RNA R71". The record is from RNAcentral. Lineage: Eukaryota; Viridiplantae; Streptophyta; Magnoliopsida; Sapindales; Rutaceae.